CAGGAAGGACAAGGACUCCAAAUUCAGGCUCAUUCUUGUUGAGAGCAGGAUCCACCGUCUUGCCCGUUACUACAAGCGCACCAAGAAGCUCCCGCCCACCUGGAAGUAGUAAGUUACUCUGCACCUUUACCUUUUACCUUAGCCAGGGAUACUGCGAUUGAACGUGAGAACUUGCCAGUGCUAAUCGGUUAUCUUAGUACCUAUUUUGCGUUAUACCAGUUGAUUCAGUCCUCAUGUUUACAAAUUACUAUGUAGAAAGCUUCAGGUUGAUCAGCUGUGCUACUCAAAUGCCAUUUUAUGUGGAAAGCUCCCUGUCCUGUUAUCCGUUAAAGUAACUAAGUAUGCGUAACAUGUGGAUGCUGUGUUCUGAGCUGCUGUAUGCAUAUCUGUAUGCUAUCUUGGUUUUUAUGGGUUUAGGUUUGUAAACGCAUGCCACUCAGUAGCUUAUUUAAUCAAGGAUGACAUCUGUUUGCUUCAAGUUUAGGUGAAAUUGACUAGUGCCAAUAGUAUGUGUAUAGACCUGAAACCAUCUGCCUCUUGUUUGGUUGGUCCAUACAAGAGUACGCAACAUGAAAAGAAGACUUGUUUUAUUUUUAUAAAAUGUAUUGUAGGAUUUAAGUUUUACUUGGUUGUGGUAUUAGUUGUUAGGUUAGGUAUGAUAGGCUGGUGUGUGCAACUUUUUUCUGUUAUUUCAUUAAUGGAGUUUUUGCUGUAAUUUUCAAGCAUUCCAACAAAUUCAUUUCAUCUUGGUGUGAUACUUCCAUACUCUAGUUAGUAGCAGAAGUGGAGAAUGGGCGUGUUUUAGUUUAACAAUCUCUAGCAUCGACUUUGUUGAACUUUAAAACCUGUUGAAGUAAUUCAUUCAUCUGUGCUUGCAUUUUUGCCAAGUCGCUUUGCGCUCUGGAUGGGUUGUGUGCCUUUUCAUACCUGCAGUUGUUACUAGAGUGUAAUCUGACAAUUUAUCCUUGAUUGUCUGCAGCGAGUCUACCACUGCCAGCACUCUGGUGGCUUAGGAGGGCUCUUCAUCUGGUGUGCUCUUACCGGCUUCAGGAUGGUCUUGUUCUACAUAUUAUCAAUUUCAUGUAACGCUUUUGAGUUUGGAGCGAUUUAGAUGAACAAGAGACCAAAUUUUCUAUGUUUACUUGGAGAAUCCCAUAAACCAUUUUUGGUUUUGCAAUUCUGUCUGGUUCUGUUUAGCGUCUAUCUACAAUUCAUCAGUUAAAAUUAGACAUUGUGAUAUUCGUGUUGUCUGAUCUGAGCGAGUGUAAUCGCUGCUUUCAGUGCACUCAAGCUCGGACAGUUUGACUAUAUGGUUAUUGCACAUCCACCCACAUCUUUUAUAUCCUUAUUGGGAUGUAAAAAACUGUCACUAAAAGCUUCCUGUCAGCGGAACCAACGUAUAAUGUGUGCUAUUUUGCAACCAGCCUAAUAUAACAAUUGUUUAUAUAUCAAUAUAGAUGCAAUCUUUUGGUCGCUAGACAAUGUUGUGACGAUUAUGCAGAAACAUACAGAUCUGGCCUUCCAGAUCGAUUGAGAGUAUAACUUAACUUAUGUGCUGGAGACACGUGACGAUCAAGAGGGAUGCCUCGGUUCGAGGAGAGAGGCGUCGGUUGCGGUAGCAACCUCACGAUCGUUCGGGCAAUUACAUAUAGUAAUUAAUUCUAACACUCCCCCUAAUCUACACUUGACCAUAUAGAGUCAUCUUCACGAUUAUCCGGGAAGUUCCCUCAAAAAGGUUUCUCCUCCGAAAGUUCUUCAUAACAUAUUUGAUGAGAUCCUGAAAUAUAAACUCACAAAGGGAUAGCAUAACGUGAUGUCUUUAAACAAGAAUAUCUCAAGAAGAGACUCCCCCUGAUUCUUGCAUAUCUGGAACAUAGAAGUUGGUAGAGACCUGGUGAACAAAUCAGUCGCAUGAUUUGACUUGCAAGAUAUGCAAUAUAGUGAUAUUGCUUAUUAUGUAACCUGUUUUCAUCCGGGCAACACAAGAAACAUUAUCGUUGAGAUAAUGGUUGAUGGAUGUAGUCAUGAGGUCUGUUUCGAAGACUCUUCAUGAGAAGGUUACCACACCUAGUAGGAACACUAAGUUUGUUUACGAUCUGACAUAGUGGGGAUCUGCUCGAUGUAUCCAAUGAUAUCGGAGGUCACAUUUCUGUGAAACUAAAAAACCAGGACAAGAUGUUUGAUGGCUUGGAGAUAUCGAAAGAUAUUCUCGAGUACCAACCAAUCGUGUUUGGUAGAUCCAAUGGUGAAAGUGCUAGUUAUCGACUAGAGGAGGGGGGGGGGGAUGAAUAGGCGAUUUUUAUGAAAGUCUUCAAAACAUGGGAGUUUCGAAGACAAAUAAUAGAAAUGAACCUAUUGACAUGCAGCGGAAGGUGGACUACACUAGACAAGCCAUAGUCAAGUAUUCAAUGAAGUGAAAGCACGAAGACUAUUAGCAGCUAAGUUGUAAGGAUUAGGAUGGAAGAUAGUAUGAAGCCAAACAAUGAUAGUCGUCACACAGUGAAGUCAAUCAGAUCAAGCAAGCAGGCAAUGACUUCAUGAAGACAAACAGUAAGUAAAGAGAGGGAGAAGAUAUAACCACUUGCUUGGUGAGGACAAAGAUUUGUUGGACCAGUUCCAGUUGCUGUGACAACUGUACGUCUGGUUAGGGAGGCUGAGAUUCAACUCAGAAGACCGCGUCUUCACCUUAUUCCCUUUGAGCUAAGGACAUUUAGUCCUCACCCAAUCACUCUGGUAAGUCUUCAAGGUAGACUUCCAAACCUUCACAGACUCCGUUCACCGGCAAUCCACAAUGACUCUUGGAUACUCAGAACGCGACGCCUAACCGGCUGGAGGAUUCACAGUCCUCAAGUGUAACAAGUCUUCAGAUCACGCGGACAGAAAGACUUCAGUGAUGCCAAACACUCUUUGGGCUCUGGGUGUUUUGGGCGUUGUCCUCGCAAGGAUCUCUCUCUCAAAGGCUUCGAGGUGGGUUGCUCUCAAACAAAAAAGCCGUGCACUAACUCUGAGCAGCCACCAAUUUAUGGUGUAGGGGGUGGGCUAUUUAUAGCCAGUAGGCAACCCGACCUGAUUUGUCCGAAAUGACCCUAGGUCACUAAGGAACUGACACAUGUCCAACGGUCAGAUUUCAAACACACGCGACAGCUUGAUUUGGGCUACCAGUAAAGCUGACUCAUCCAGCUCUGGAUAAGAUUUGCUCUCAUUGUCUUCGCUCGAAGACAUAGGAUUUGGUUGAGCAUCACUUCAGUCACUCUAAUUUUGUUCACUUGGACCCCACUUAACAGUACGGUGGUUCCUAUGACUCAACAAAGAAGAAAAGGAAACUACAAAACAACUAUGUCUUUGCACUCCAUAGUCUUCACAUGAAUGUCUUCUCGAGUCAUAAUCUUCGUUGUGAAUAUCUUCACAUACCACCAUUGUCUUCAAUGUCUUCUAACAUUUUUAGGGGUCAUCUCCGGUAGUUAAACCGAAUCAAUGAGGGACUACUACCUGUGUUAUCCUGUAAUUCUCACAAACACAUUAGUCCCUCAACCAGGUUUGUCGUCAAUACUCCAAAACCAACUAGGGGUGGCACUAGAUGCACUUACAAUCUCCCCCUUUUUGGUGAUUGAUGACAAACUAGUUGAAGUUUUCAAUGGGGAUAAAAGUAUUUGAAAUUGUAAGGGUAAAGAUAUUGUCUUCAUAAGUAGCAAAAGGCUCCCCCUAAAGAUGUGCAUAUAAGUAUUUUGCUUUUGAAUGCAAAUGCACAUGGCAGGUUGUACUUGUGGAGAUCCUCUUCAACUUAAGAAGACAAUUCAUCAUGCAUGAAAAGAUAUAACGAAGAUAAUGACAAGCAUAAUGAAAAAUGGACGUCUGCGAAAUGACUUCGUGCGGAAUUUAUCGUCGCACAUGCGGAAUUUAUCAUCGCAUCACAUAGUUGAUAGAAAAGGUAGCAGACGACCAUCAAGUUUAAGUGUUACAACUCAAAGAACCAAAUGUAUCAAAAGCGAGAGUUGUAAGCACUUGGCAAAAGGUAUAGCAACCACCCAUAAGGACCCGCUUGAAUACUAUCAACUCAUAUGCUUCUCCCCCUUUUGUCAGUAAGGACCAAAAAGGUUUGAAGACAUAGAGCUUCUACUUGUUCCCAUGAGGUGCAGGGUCGACGUUGGAGUCCGGUGGUGCAGAAGAACUUGGCGCAGUGUUGAUACGAGGCGAAGUUGUAGUUGGUGAAGUGGCAUCGUCUUCGUCAUCAAUGACUCUGGCAUUGACAGUUGCCGCUGAGGAGGAGUACUCAGAGUCUUCGAGUGAGGGAGUCCUACGCAAGACAGCGUUCCUGGGAGGAGUGGAAUCAAAUUUGAAUCUCUCUGUGAAGCCAUCUUGUUGAAGAUCAUCUUCAGAACUGAGUAAUGUCAGACUCUUCCACGACCGCCGACAGGUUUCAUGAGUGACAAAUGCAUUCUUGGUGGCUAGAUUGCGAAUGCGAUUAACAUCCACCAAGAGACUCUGCAUCUGACGCUUCAGCCAGUAAUGAUGCUUAUCCUGUUUCUGAUGUAGUGCCACAAGAAGCUCUCGGUCAUUGAGAACGCGAGAUCGCUUUCGAGGCCUUUGAGCAAUGGUGCUCUCAGUGGCUUCAGUAUGGGCACGAUGAGGUGCACGUGUAUUUCCAGCCAAAGGAUAAACACGAGUUGCAGCAAGAACUCCUUCAAUAGGUUGAGUGAAACUUUGACGAUCGAUGUUGUGAAGAUAAAUUGGCUCCUUGGCAGGCUCUGGGUUUAACAAUGAAAUCAUGCGCUACCAUACUCUUAUAACCUAAAUAAGCAGUGGGCAGCAAUUUUUCUUCUUUUUCAUAGUGCCUAAUAGGUAUGUUAUAAUGUGUAGCAAGGUGUGAAGCAUAAAUACCUCCAAAGAUGGGGCCCUUUGUACGGUUCAGACUUAACCGUUUAGCAAUAAUUCCGCCCAUACUAACAGUGUUAUCGCGGAAUAAACCAUGGAACAAAAUGAUAAUAUCAGGAACACUAAGGUUUCCACAGUUUCCACGACCAAUUAAGCAACGACUAGCAAAUAUGGCAGUAGCGUAAAACAGGAAAAUGUAUGCUAGUGAUUCUUGCAUCGGAAACCUUCCUGGUUUCCCCCACAAUAAUGGUGUCAAUAAACCCGUCCACAUCUUUACGAUGUGGUUCAUCUAAGGUACCCUCAAAGGGUAUUUUGCAAACCUUGUAAAAUUCAUCUAGUGGCAUCUUCUUAACAACAUCAUAUAAAUGAAACUGUACUGAAGGAGGUGAUUCCUUAGGAUAAUAGUAGAAGUUUUGCACAAAAGUAUUGGUGAGUAAGAGAUACUGUUGACGUUGGUCGCGGAGGAAGUCGGUGAGGCCAGCAUUCUCAGCCAAUGAAUAGAAAUCAUCAUAAAUCCCGGCUUCCCUCAAGAAAUCAUCGGAAGGCCAUUCACAUGGCUGGACCUCCGCGGUGCGAGGCAAAUUAUAUUUGGGCCUAUGUGCUUCUUCAUUUUGCUUUUCCUUCGAGCUUCGGCUCGAUGAGCCCCUCAAAAAUCUCUUCAUUAUUUUCUGAAAAAUUCUGAAAUUUUUAGUAACUUCAAACAAAGGUGAACCAAGCUCAACAAAAUUGAUAGCAACUACUCCUACAAGUGCCUAGAGCCUAUAACAUGCAUUAGAACUACUUGGAACCAUAUAAAUUUGACAUGCAAGCUCAAGAACAUGGUCACCUAGGCAGCACAAAUUUGCAAUGAAUAGAGCACUAGAACAAAAACUAAUUGGACCAAUGGAGGAGUCACAUAGCAAGGAACAAUCUCCCCAAGCAGUUUUGUGAGAGGUGCUUUGAGCAAGGAGAUCGAAAAUCGCAGCAAAAUGAGCUAGAACUCGUGCUUGAGCUGGAUAUUGGUGUUUGUGGGAGGAAGAAGGAGUGUGUGGGUGCAGUAAUAAGUGGAGGGGGGCCACCGUGGGCCCACGAGGCAGGGGGGCGCGCCCUCCACCCUCGUGGCCAGGUGCUUGCCCUCCUGCUGUGUUCUCAGUGCCAGAUAUUCUCAAAUAUUCCAGAAAAAAUCAUAUUCCAUUUUCAGGGCAUUUGGAGAACUUUUAUUUUUGGGGUAUUUUUAUAUUGCACGGAUAAAUCAGAAAACAGACAGAAAAAUACUAUUUUUACUUUAUUUCAACUAAAUAACAGAAAGUAGGAGGGUACAGAAGAUUGUGUCUUCUAGUUUCAUCCAUCUCAUGCUAUCAAACGGAAUCCACUAACAAGGUUGAUCAGGUCUUGUUAACAAACUCAUUCCGAAUAACAUGGAACCGGAGAAAUUUCGAAUAACACUAUGUUUCCUCAACGGGGAUAUGCACAUCCCCAAUAAUAAGAAUAUCAUAUUUCUUCUUGACAGUAGGAAGAGGAAAUUCAAAACCUCCAAAUAUAAUCGAUGGAAUUUUUCCAAUAGAAUUGAUACUAUGAACUUGAGGUUGUUUCCUCGGAAAGUGUACCGUAUGCUCAUUACCAUUAACAUGAAAAGUGACAUUGCCUUUGUUGCAAUCAAUAACAGCCCCUGCAGUAUUCAAAAAGGGUCUUCCAAGAAUAAUAGACAUACUAUCGUCCUCGGGAAUAUCAAGAAUAACAAAGUCCGUUAAAAUAGUAGCGUUUGCAACUACAACAGGCACAUCCUCACAAAUACCGACAGGUAUAGCAGUUGAUUUAUCAGCCGUUUGCAAAGAUAUUUCAGUAGGUGUCAACUUAUUCAAAUCAAGAUUACAUAUAAAGAGAGAGAGGCAUAACACUAACACCGGCUCCAAGAUCACAUAAAGCAGUUUUAACAUAGUUUCUUUUAAUGGAGCAUGGUAUAGUGGAUACUCCUGGAUCUCCAAGUUUCUUUGGUAUUCCACCCUUAAAAGUAUAAUUAGCAAGCAUGGUGGAAAUUUCAGCUUCCGGUAUCUUUCUUUUAUUAGUAACAAUAUCUUUCAUAUACUUAGCAUAAGGAUUCAUUUUGAGCAUAUCAGUCAAUCGCAUAUGCAAGAAGAUAGGUCUAAUCAUUUCAGCAAAGCGCUCAAAAUCCUCAUCAUCCUUUUUCUUGGAUGGUUUGGGAGGAAAAGGCAUGGGUUUUUGAACCCAUGGUUCUCUUUCUUUACCAUGGUUCCUAGCAACAAAGUCUCUCUUAUCAUAACGUUGAUUCUUUGAUUGUGGGUUAUCAAGAUCAACAACACGUUCAAUUUCUACAUCAUUGUCAUUACUAGGUUGAGCAUCAUCAUGAACAUCAUCAUUAGCAUUUUCAUUAGGUUCAUGUUCAUUACCAGAUUGUGUUUCAGCAUCAGAAAUAGAAAUAUCAUUUGGAUUCUCAGGUGGUUCAGCAAUAGGUUCACUAGAAACAUGCAAAGUCCUAUCAUUUUUCUUUUUCUUCUUUUUAGAAGGACUAGGUGCAUCAAUAUUAUUUCUCUGAGAAUCUUGCUCAAUUCUCUUAGGGUGGUCUUCAGGAUACAAAGGUUCCUGAGUCAUUCUACCAGUUCUAGUAGCCACUCUAACAACAUAAUCAUUUUUCUUACUAUUCAUUUCAUUGAGCAAAUCAUUUUGAGCUUUAAGUACUUGUUCUACUUGAGUGGUAACCAUAGAAGCAUGUUUACUAAUGAGUUUAAGUUCACCUUUAACUCUAGACAUAUAAUCACCCAAGUGUACAAGCGUAUCGGAAUUGUAUUUCAAUUGUCUACCAAAAUAAGCAUUGAAGUUUUCUUGUUUGACAAUAAAAUUAUCAAACUCUUCUAAGCAUUGUCUAGCAGACUUAUAGUGAGGAAUAUCACCUUCAUCAAAUCUAUAGAGAGAAUUUACCUUUACUACCUGUGUCGGGUUAUCAAGACCAUGAGGUUCUUCAAUAGGUAAUGGAUUAGGAUCAUAUAUUUCUUCAACAGGCGGUAAAUUAAGACCAUUUAUUUCUUCAAUAGGAGGUAAAUUCUUAACAUCUUCAGCUUUAAUACCCUUUUUCUUUCAUAGAUUUCUUUGCCUCUUGCAUAUCUUCAGGACUGAGAAAUAGAACACCUCUCUUCUUCGGAGUUGGUUUAGGAAUAGGCUCAGGAGCUGGCUCAGGAGCUAGCUCAAGAAGUGUCCAAUUAUUUUCAUUUGUCAACAUAUUAUUCAAUAGAAUUUCAGCUUCAUCCGGUGUUCUUUCCCUGAAAACAGAACCAGCACAACUAUCCAGGUAAUCUCUGGAAGCAUCGGUUAGUCCAUUAUAAAAGCAAGUAUUUCAUUUUUCUUAAGAGGAUGAUCAGGCAAAGCAUUAAGUAACUUGAGAAGCCUCCCCCAAGCUUGUGGGAGACUCUCUUCUUCAAUUUGCACAAAGUUGUAUAUUUCCCUUAAAGCAGCUUGUUUCUUAUGAGCAGGGAAAUAUUUAGCAGAGAAGUAAUAAAUCAUAUCCUGGGGACUACGCACACAAUCAGGAUCAAGAGAAUUAAACCAUAUCUUAGCAUCACCCUUUAAUGAGAACGGAAAUAUUUUAAGGAUAUAAAGAUAGCGAGAUCUCUCAUCAUUAGUGAACAGGGUGGCUAUAUCAUUUAAUUUAGUAAGAUGUGCCACAACAGUUUCAGAUUCAUAGCCAUGAAAAGGAUAAGAUUCAACCAAAGUAAUUAUAUCAGGAUCAACAGAGAAUUCAUAAUCCUUAUCAGUAACACAGAUAGGUGAAGUAGCAAAAGCAGGGUCAGGUUUCAUUCUAGCAUUAAGAGGGUGCUGCCUCCAUUUAGCUAAUAACCUCUUGAGUUCAUAUCUAUCUUUGCAAGCUAAAAUAGCUAAAGCAGCUUCUUUUUCAAAAACAUAACCCUCAGGAAUAACAGGCGAGUCUUCAUCAUCACUUUCAUCAAUAUAAUCAGUUUCAAUAAUUUCUUUCUCUCUAACCCUAGCAAUUUGUUCAUCAAGAAAUUCACUAAGUGGCACAGUAGUAUCACGCAUAGAAGUAGUUUCAUCAUAAGUAUCAUGCAUAGCAGAAGUGGCAUCAUCAAUAACAUGCGACAUAUCAGAACGAAUAGCAGAAGCAGGUUUAGGUGUCGCAAGCUUACUCAAAACAGAAGGUGAAUCAAGUGCAGAGCUAGAUGGCAGUUCCUUACCUCCCCUCGUAGUUGAGGGAUAAAUUGUUGUCUUAGCGUCUUUCAAGUUCUUCAUAGUGACCAGCAGAUAUAAAUCCCAAGUGACUCAAAGAAUAGAGCUAUGCUCCCCGGCAACGGCGCCAGAAAAUAGUCUUGAUAACCCACAAGUAUAGGGGAUCGCAACAGUUUUCGAGGGUAGAGUAUUCAACCCAAAUUUAUUGAUUCGACACAAGGAGAGCCAAAGAAUAUUCUCAAGUAUUAGCAGUUGAGUUGUCAAUUCAACCAGACCUGGAUAACUUAAUAUCUGCAACAAAGUAUUUAGUAGAAAAGUAGUAUGAUAGUAGUGGUAAUGGUAACAAAAGUAACGGUAGCAAAAGUAAUAUUUUUGGUGUUUUGUAGUGAUUGUAACAGUAGCAACGGAAAAGUAAAUAAGCGGAGAACAAUAUAGGAAAAGCUCGUAGGCAUUGGAUCGGUGAUGGAGAAUUAUGCCGGAUGCGGUUCAUCAUGUAACAAUCAUAACAUAGGGUGACACAGAAAUAGCUCCAAUUCAUCAAUGUAAUGUAGGCAUGUAUUCCGAAUAUAGUCAUACAUGCUUAUGGAAAAGAACUUGCAUGACAUCUUUUGUCCUACCCUCCCGUGGCAGCGGGGUCCUAAUGGAAACUAAGGGAUAUUAAGGCCUCCUUUUAAUAGAGUACCGGAACAAAGCAUUAGCACAUAGUGAAUACAUGAACUCCUCAAACUAUGGUCAUCACCGGGAGUGGUCCCGAUUAUUGUCACUUCGGGGUUGCCGGAUCAUAACACAUAGUAGGUGACUAUAGACUUGCAAGAUAGGAUCAAGAACUCACAUAUAUUCAUGAAAACAUAAUAGGUUCAGAUCUGAAAUCAUGGCACUCGGGCCCUAGUGACAAGCAUUAAGCAUAGCAAAGUCAUAGCAACAUCAAUCUUAGAACAUAGUGGAUACUAGGGAUCAAACCCUAACAAAACUAACUCGAUUACAUAAUAGAUCUCAUCCAACCCAUCACCGUCCAGCAAGCCUACGAUGGAAUUACUCACGCACGGCGGUGAGCAUCAUGAAAUUGGUGAUGGAGGAUGGUUGAUGAUGACGAUGGCGACGAAUCCCCCUCUCCGGAGCCCCGAACGGACUCUAGAUCAGCCCUCCCGAGAGGUUUUAGGGCUUGGCGGCUCCGUAUCGUAAAACGCGAUGAAUCCUUCUCUCUGAUUGUUUUCUCCCUGAAAGUGAAUAUAUGGAGUAGGAGUUGAGGUCGGUGGAGCGUCAGGGGGCCCACGAGGUAGGGGGCACGCCCUAGGGGGGUAGGCGCGCCCCCACCCUCGUGGGCAGGGUGUGGGCCCCCUGACGUGGAUUUUUCUUCCAGUAUUUCUCUUAUUUUCCAAAUAGAUGUUCUGUGGAGUUUCAGGUCAUUCCGAGAACUUUUGUUUCUGCACAUAAAUAACACCAUGGAAAGUCUGCUGAAAACAGCGUCAGUGCGGGUUAGUUCCAUUCAAAUCAUGCAAGUUAGAGUCCAAAACAAGGGCAAAAGUGUUUGGAAAAGUAGAUACGACGGAGACGUAUCAGCUGGCAUGGCAGGUUCGUUCAAGACCAUUCUUAACUCAACUAACGACAUCAUUACAAAGAACCCAAGGGUCCAUGAGAGAUUUUAUCUCCCCUAUCUUCUUCGCCACGACCCUGCUCGCUGGCGCGCGGACGACGGAAGCCUAGCCUUGUGCAAGUUGAUGCUGCUUGAUAAUGAUACAUGUGAUGUUAAGAUGCCAUCGCUUAAGGGUAAGGCCUGGGCAGGUGCAAAUGGAGAUUGGGUUGUUUAUAUUGGGUACAACUGCGAGUGGGAACUUGUGAAUGUGUACACUCGUCAGCGGAUUCCACUUCCAAAAAUCUCAGAUUGCCCUGAGGUUGAGCACACAGAUGAUAUACGCAUGUUCAAAUACGAUCAUGGUGAAUGUCGUCUACGGAAGAUAGCAAUCUGUCGAGUUCCCAACCGCUCUUGGAAUUACAGGAACUGUCAUGUUGUUGCUAUCUUCGACAAGCUUGUUGCCAUCCUUACUUCCACGCCUCGAUGGAUAUUGCUCAAAAAUCAAUUUAUGUACAUGGAUGAGUACUGUGAUGCAAUUCAAUACGAGCUUCUUGUGUUUGCUGCCACCACUCAUGGCACUGUUUUUGCAUGGAAUCCUUAUGGUUUAGGUACAUUUGUCUUCCACCGUAAUUAUAAUUGUUUCAUCCACAUGCAUGCGGGUUAGCUAGUUUCCCGUUACUAAUUAACCUUCUUGUGUUUCCAAGGUCCUGUGAACAUUCCACCACCUAUACUUGAAAUUUUUUAUAACCAAGGGGGAGAUGACGAUGGUGAUGAUCACGAGCAUGAGGACGAGUAGGACCUAUCACUACAAAAAAAAGACACAUCCGUGACAUUUUGGGCCGAACGAAUUUUUUCUGUCAUACAUAUGACACUUCUAUGACGAUAAUUGUGACAAAACCCGGUAUCAUCAUAGAUGUGGUGGGCUCCUACUUAUAUGACAAAAAAUCAUGACAGAAAAUGGGCUUUUCGUCCUGGGCGGGCCGGAGACGCAGUUGCAUGACAUUAUUUGGGCCGUCCAUGACGGAAAAAACCGUGGUAGAAGCGAGGGCGAGGAAAAUUUUGGCGAGUUCCCGGUUACGGUGGGAGGUCGGGGGCCGAGCGAUGCGCGUUUCUCUCGUACACGUACGCGCGUGUGUGCGAGGCGUUGGCUCUAACUGAACCCGAGCGAGGCGUUGGGCUCUAACUGAACCCGAGCGAUUGCACUGCAGGCUANNNNNNNNNNNNNNNNNNNNNNNNNNNNNNNNNNNNNNNNNNNNNNNNNNNNNNNNNNNNNNNNNNNNNNNNNNNNNNNNNNNNNNNNNNNNNNNNNNNNNNNNNNNNNNNNNNNNNNNNNNNNNNNNNNNNNNNNNNNNNNNNNNNNNNNNNNNNNNNNNNNNNNNNNNNNNNNNNNNNNNNNNNNNNNNNNNNNNNNNNNNNNNNNNNNNNNNNNNNNNNNNNNNNNNNNNNNNNNNNNNNNNNNNNNNNNNNNNNNNNNNNNNNNNNNNNNNNNNNNNNNNNNNNNNNNNNNNNNNNNNNNNNNNNNNNNNNNNNNNNNNNNNNNNNNNNNNNNNNNNNNNNNNNNNNNNNNNNNNNNNNNNNNNNNNNNNNNNNNNNNNNNNNNNNNNNNNNNNNNNNNNNNNNNNNNNNNNNNNNNNNNNNNNNNNNNNNNNNNNNNNNNNNNNNNNNNNNNNNNNNNNNNNNNNNNNNNNNNNNNNNNNNNNNNNNNNNNNNNNNNNNNNNNNNNNNNNNNNNNNNNNNNNNNNNNNNNNNNNNNNNNNNNNNNNNNNNNNNNNNNNNNNNNNNNNNNNNNNNNNNNNNNNNNNNNNNNNNNNNNNNNNNNNNNNNNNNNNNNNNNNNNNNNNNNNNNNNNNNNNNNNNNNNNNNNNNNNNNNNNNNNNNNNNNNNNNNNNNNNNNNNNNNNNNNNNNNNNNNNNNNNNNNNNNNNNNNNNNNNNNNNNNNNNNNNNNNNNNNNNNNNNNNNNNNNNNNNNNNNNNNNNNNNNNNNNNNNNNNNNNNNNNNNNNNNNNNNNNNNNNNNNNNNNNNNNNNNNNNNNNNNNNNNNNNNNNNNNNNNNNNNNNNNNNNNNNNNNNNNNNNNNNNNNNNNNNNNNNNNNNNNNNNNNNNNNNNNNNNNNNNNNNNNNNNNNNNNNNNNNNNNNNNNNNNNGUUUCCUCCGUUUUGCGGUACUCCACACCCCUCCCGAUCAACAGGACCCCCGUUUCGACCGUAGGAGGUCCGUUUCCUCCGUUUUGCGGUACGCCACUCCUCCCGAUCAACAGGACCCCCAUUUCGACCGUAGGAGGUCAGUUUCCUCCGUUUUGCGGUACGCCACACCCCUCCCCAUGAACACGACGCAUUCCGUUGCCUCCCCAUGAACACGACGACGAUGCUGUUUCUCCGUUCCAACCCAGCCAUGUACACGAGCCCUGGCCGUACGUAUGCGCGAGUAGGCGUUCGAGACCCCGCCCGUAUGUACACAUACGUGGCCGUAUUUUCUUUCUUGCACCCUAGCCGCUGUACGUACGUGUACAUGCUACGUGCGCGCCUCUAUUACGACACGUACGCGCCUUCUACUACGACACGUGUGCGCCUCUACAUCCACCAGUAUAUAUGUACGUACACGUUCGCGACCAGAAUGACAACGCUACGUACGCUUCAACCAGGUGGGUCCCGACUGUCAGGCACUUCCUUGCCUGCGAAGAUGUAGCUGGUGGGUCCCAUCAGUCAGGGGGCGAAUCAUUUUUUUUGCCCGGACGCACUUCCUUGCGUGCGAAGAUGUAGCUGGUGGGUCCCAGCAGUCAGGGGCAAACAUUUUUUUCCCGAAAUACGGUGGCCCGUCCGGUGGGUCCCCGCUGUCAGGUGGAGGAAUAAUUAUUUUGCACGUAAUAAGGAGGCACUUCCUUGCUGCGGCCGUGGACCAAGCUGUCAGCCUCUCCACGUAUAGUCCACGUCCGAUGGAAGCCGUUCCUUGACCACGUUGACCACGCCGCGCCGAGAGCACCAGGGCGGUGGACGACGGCGAGGCCUAGGAAGGGGACGACGCGGAGCCGGGGAAGACGCGGCAGUGGAUGCCCACGCGUAGAGGAGUACGAGGGUUCACUGGUUCGCUGCGGUGUGAGGCUGCCGUCGCCGCAGAAUAACAGGGGGUGUGGGUGAGUAGAGGGAUGGCCUGGCCGGCGGUGGGAGUAGUAGGGGGCGGUGAGGCCUCCGCCGCAUCGCAGCCGGCCACGGGAGGCAGGAGCACGAGGCACGACCGGCACUGGUUUGGGCGGCUGGAGCAAGAAGACCAGAGGUUGAAGAAGCACUACGGCCGUUGGAUGGACAUCGUACGGUCACUGGAGCUAGAAUCAUGCAUAUUGACUAAGUUGACAAAGCCCUCCGUCCCCGUCAACUUAGUAGGCCCACAAGUCAGCCUGCCACUAUACUGGGUCCCAGCUAACAGGGGGAGUAUUCAUUUUUUUUGUGCGUAAUAAGGAGGCACUUCCUUGCGUGCGAAGAUAUAGCUAGUGGGUCCGAGCUGUCAGCGGCGGUAACGUUUUUUUCGCGAAAUACAGAGGCCCUUUCGGUGGGUCCCUGAUGUCAGGUGGAGGAAUCUUUAUUUUGCGCGUAAUAAGGAGGCAUUUCCUUGCGUGCAGCCGUGGACCCAGCUGUCGGCCUCUCCACGUACAGUCCACUUCAGAUGCAUGUCGGUUGUUGACCACGUUGACCAGGCCGCGCCGAGAGCACCAGGGCAGUGGACGACGACGAGGCCUAGGAAGGGAACGACACGGAGGCAGGGAAGACUCGGCAGUUGUUUCCCACGCGGAGGGAAGUACGACUGUACAGGGUUUACUGGUUCGUCUGCCGUCGCCGGAGAAUAACAGCAGGUGUGGGUGAGUAGAGAGGGAUGGCUAGGCCAGCGAUGGGAGUACGGUGGGGCGGUGAGGCCUUCGCGGCAGCACAGCCGGCCGCGGGGAGGAGGGAGCAUGCAGUCCCGCCGGCGCUUGUUUGAGCGGCUGGAGCAGGAAGAGCAGAGAUUGAAGAAGCACGACGGCCGUUCAAUGGACAUCCAACAGUCACUGCUUGUGCGUCAACCUUUUUUAGGAAAGCCUCAAAUCUGUGGAAAACAGCAUACAACCCAUCUGCCAUUAUUUCUAAUAAUUUACAGCCCAUUUGCUAAUUCUUAAGAUUUUUUUGGAGCCCAUAUUCUUUUUGUUAGCAUUACAGCCCAUAUUGUGGCCACGGUUAAAAAAUUAUACGAAAUUUUGCAUAUUUCGGUGCGGUCUGAACUGUUUUUAAUCCCGAAAUUUCGACUCACAUUCAAACUAAUUUUAAAAAUAAAUGUAUAUCAAUAUAAAAUCCAACAAAUUCUCCACGCAUAAAAAUUAAUGUAAUUUAAAAUUUCGAAAUGAAAAAAAGAUAUUUGAAACUAAUUGCCGGUUUGAUGUGUUUUAAAAAUGUACAGCCCAUUUCUCAUUACUGAUAGGCCAUUUUCUCGGCCAGCCGAAUGAAGCUCUCCUCAUCUUGAAAGAUUUGCAGCCCAACAGGCCUGACAAAGCGACUUACUUGGCAAAUCACAAAAAAACUGGGCUGUGUCCGUGGACCCAGCUGUCAGCCUCUCCACGUACAGUACUCUUCCGAUGGAAGUCGGUCGUUGACCACAUUGACCACGCCGUGCCGAGAGCACCAAGGCGGUGGACGACGGCGAGGCCUAGGAAGGGGACGACGCGGAGCCGGGGAAGACGCGGCAGUGGAUGCCCACCCGGAGAGGAGUACGAGCGUUCACUGGUUCGGCUGCGGCGUGAGGCUGCCGUCGCCGCAGAAUAACAGGGGGUGUGGGUGAGUAGAGGGAUACCCUGGGCCAGCGGUGGGAGUAGUAGGGGGUGGUGAGGCCUCCGCGGCAUCACAGCCGGCCACGAGAGGCAGGAGCACGCGGCACGACCGGCGCUGCUUUGGGCGGCUGGAGCAAGAAGACCAGAGAUUGAAGAAGCACUAUGGCCGUUGGAUGGACAUCGUACGGUCACUGGAGCUAGAAUCGUUCAUAUUGACUAAGUUGACAAAGCCCUCCGUCCUCGUCAACUUAGUAGGCCCACAAGUCAGCCACCCACUAUGCUGGGUCCCAGCUAGCAGGGGGUAUUCAUUUUUUGGUGCGUAAUAAGGAGGCACUUCCUUGCGUGCGAAGAUAUAGCUGGUGGGUCCGACCUGUCAGCGUUGGGAACGUUUUUUUCGUGAAAUACAGAAGCCCUUCCCACGUACAGUGCACGUACAGUGCGUAAUAAGGAGGAACUUUCCUUGCGUGCGACCAUGGACCUCGUGGGUCCCAGCCGUCAGGCUCUCCACGUACAGUCCUCUUCCGAUGACUCUCGUAUGUUGACCACGCCGCGCCGAGCGCACCGAGGCGAUGGACGACGGCGAGGCCCCAGACUGGAACGACCCGAAGAUGGGGAAGACGCGGCAGUGGAGUCGCAGACGGAGAGGAGUGGGAAACUUGACUGGUUCGGGUGCGGGGUGGGCCUACACUCGGCAGAGAAUAACAAGAGGUGCGGAGUGGAGGGAUGGCCUGGCCGUCGGCGGGGUAGCGUUUCGCUGAGGAGUGCAAAACAACGCCGCUUGACGCCGAAGGCUGGAGCAGGCGGUUCCGGCAGCGCUGGGGGAAGAAGACGAGAGAUUGAAGAAGAAUGCCGGCCGUUGGAUGUAAAUCCAACGCCUUCUUAGGCUUCGACCUACUGGCCCACAUGUCAGCCAGUCCAUUUGUUUCUUAGUCCAUUUGGUGGGCUGGGUGAAGCAAUGAUGUAGCAUCUAUGCAGCCCGUUUAAAUCCCAUUUGCAUUUUUCUCGAAAUCCGUGGACUUGCUGGGCUGGGUGAAAAUAUCAUGUUGGGCUAGACGGAGAAAUGUUAUAAAAACAUAAACACAUGAUUGCACGUCAGUAAAAUCUUUGCAAGCUUAUGUACGCAAUCACUAGGAGUUAACUUGCCAAGUUAUAUAUAAACAAUUAUUAUUAUUAUUUUGUAAGAAAUUUCAACUUACGAAAUAAAAUAUCAUUUUAAUUUGAUGAGUUAAUAGUACGUGGGGUAUUAUUAUUUUUAGGCUAGACGUGGGACAGUUGAGUUGGUUCUAGGGGAAAGUACUGGGAGAAAACUCAGUUUACAUCAAAAAAGAAAGUGGGAGAAAAUUCAGAGACGUGCUGGGUCCACCUGAGGAGGGGAAUAUGUUGGGAGGAAGGAGAUUCAAAGCACGGCAGCCGAGUGAACUAGUUUUUUUUACGGACAAGUGAACUAGUUUACAUACAUAAGAAAAUAGCCACUAAAAAAAGCAAUCAGGUUAAUGGGUUCUUAAAAGAAAUAUUUCGGACAAAACAGAUAAUUAUGACACAUAGGCUAAUGCAUGAAACACUCAGAUGAUAAAGGUGCUUAUAAACAGAUAAAGUACAACAUCUAGACCUUCCUGGCACGCUUGAUCAUGAUGCUGCGGCUGUCCGUGUACUCGUCGGUUACGGGAAGCACACACACCCUCAUGUCCAAGAUCUGCCUGUACAUGUCGUAGCAUGCGUAUGCGUCCUUGGCCGCGUAGGUUAUGUAGGCUAGAUUCAGAGGUACCUCCCACGUGUUCAAGUCGUCUUCUUUCAUGUUGGCGUAUCAAGGGUCGAUGAUGGUCUCAGCGAGGUCAACCACGGAGUCCUUCUCCUGCCCGUUGCUGAUGAUCUUGUAUUGCUUCUGGAUGUCGACAAGCUUGUUGCACGAGAUGGCAGAAUCGUUGCGUUCUUCCUUCUCUCCACCGUAGCGAAGGUGCAGUCGGCGCUGCCGAUGAAACGGGCGAAUGCUCCAGAACUUGGUGCAGCCAUAGGAUUGAGGCGAGGCAGAGCUUCACCGAGUCCGUAUCGUUGGUGUACAUCACAUUCAACUUGGUGCAGCCAUAGGAUUGAACGGGGAACUCAAAGGGGAACUCCUUGUUGAAGUCCAUAUCCAACAGGCUCACCCCUCGGAUCGCCAUUGGAGUCUCUUCGAGUGAACGAGUGUGUAGGCGGCGGCAGCAGUUCAUUUUUCAGCUCUUGGGGAACUGGAUUCAACAGUAAGUUGAGUGUGUACAUGCGACAAUAGUUACUACCCCUCCCUCGUCCGCUGCACGCCCGGCAGAAGAUGCACCCUCGGCCACACGUCGGUUCACGAGCGGGUCUGUAUUGGUACUGUAAUAACAGGAGUUAGUGGUCACUUUACUUAAAUUUAAUUAGCUUUAAUAGAAAUUUAUACUUAAAACAAGCAAUGCAUUCGCUCGUUCUAUCAGUGCCACAGGAACAACAUGCACAACAAUUAGAAUUGUUAUUCUCAGGACGCACACGAUCAGCACAUUUGUCGCACUUUCACAAAGAUAAUACUACCAAGUUUGAACUGUUUGUUAUGGUUGUUGUCCUCUGCAUCAUCAUGCCGUGUUUCCCAGUUUGCAAGAUUCAGAACCAACAAAUAAGAUCCAAAUAAUAAGUACAACAAAGAUGCCUACACAUCUCAUUGAUUCCCAGCUUGCAAGAUUCAGAACCAACAAAUAAGACUCAAAUAAUAAGUACAACAAAGAUGCCUACACAUCUCACUGAUUCCCAGCUUGCAAGAUUCAGAACCAACCCAUUAGAGCCUUUUGAUAAAGUGAAUAUCGGGAUUAAAUCCAUCUUGGCUAGUUAUGUCAUACAAUCGAAGAACUUGGCAAAUGCUCUUGACCGUCACAACAUCUGUAGUUGAGUAUUCCUGUUUGCACAACACAGAUAAUAAAGAGCAUGAUUACUAUAAUACUGGCACUAUUGGAAGUCAACCUGCAGCUCCACUCGAUGAUUCAAUUCAUGCCACUUUUUCUGCAGUUCACCUAAAAUGAAGUAAAAAUUGUAUCAUUCAGCUAGCAAGAAGUACUUGCUCUUGUGAGCUGGCAGGUUCUUCUUUAGUAGUUGCACAAAAAUUGAGCAACAUUAAGGUUGGCUGUCCGGCUCAUGUAAGGUGCAACUAUAAUUUUCUUAUCCUUUUGUGCAGUUCCACUAAAAUAAAGUGCCAUUGUGGUGACAGUGACGGCUCCAUCUUGCAAAGGCUAAUAAAAUGUUGCACGAGAUUACCAGCAGAACUUGACGGAGAUUUUGGAAACUCCAAUCACCAUUUUGUGUAGUUCCACCAAAAUUGAGAGAUGUUGCCCACGUGACAUUUUAGUUGAACUGCACAGGACACUCAUUCCAAAAAAAGUGUUUUGUGUAGUUCACCAAAAGGUCACAAUAGCAACAAGGUGAAAUGGAUAUCCCUAUCUGCACAAAAAGAUAGAAAGUAAACAGUUGCUGGUCAAUAAUAAUAUACGAAACAUAUACAAAAUGAAAAGAAGCAUCUUAAUUAUGUUCAUGGCAAUCACGCAAGGACAGUAGAAAUUUUAAAACGUCAGCAAUGCUUCAUGUUACCAGAAGCAUUACGAUCAACAAUGAGAUCCCUCAAAUAUGGGAUUACUUUAAUGGUGGCAUUGCUUGUUUACCAGACACAGUAAAUCAACAGCAGCUAAAGAGUUGGUUUAAGGGCAUGGGACCGUGGGGACACCAGGACACUCAGCAGCGUAAAGGAGCAACUUACUUAUCAUACUGGGCAAAACAGCAGGAGUGCCAUUUGUAACACAGUUUAAUUGCAUCUUAUCACUGGAGGCAUUAGAUUAACAAUAACACUGGUUAGACAUGUCCCUAAGAUAACAGUGUGAUCGCUUCAUUUUACAUGCACCCUUACAUUAACAAUAGCAAAAGGUUGGUAUAAGGACAUGCGACAGUGGACGCAUCAGCAUAAUGUACCUACAAAAGGAGGCAUAAAGUGGUGAUGCCGAGUUUGUUCAUGCUAUGUGAGGGCAGCAAACCUAAUCCUAGAGACCUUGUACUAUGUGAGGGCAGCAAAUCUAAUCCUGGGGACCUUUUACUAUGUGAGGGCAGCAAAUCUAAUCCUGGAGACCUUUUACUAUGUGAGGGUAGCAAAUCUAAUCCUGGAGACCUUUUACUAUGUGAGGGCAGCAAAUCUAAUCCUGAGACCUUUUACUAUGUGAGGGCAACAAAUCUAAUCCUGAGACCUUUUACUACGUGAGGGCAGCAAAUCUAAUCCUAGAGACCUUUUACUAUGUGAUGGCAGCAAAUCUAAUCCUGGACAUACUCUGUUGACUUGUCCACCAGCUGCCACUUUCUAUCCUUUUUUCAACCAAUAAUAGAUCUGUUCCUUAUACAGCUUGUACUGCGUUUUCCCAUUAUUUCCCUUUUCAACCAAGAGACCGGUUGGGUAUCCGGUCUCUACUACUUUCACGAUAUUAUUUCCUCUUUGAAUCAAGUCCUAGAUUCAUGCUACAACUUUCCCCCCUUUCUUCGUUGUUUCAACAAAGCCCUAGAUUCGAAUGCAUGAAGUAGCUUUACCUCUAAUAAUACUAAAAGUUUAGGUGGCUUUGGAAGAGCUGAUGGGAGUAGAAAAAGAUGCACAUGCAGACACGUGGGGAGCUGGGGCAGUAUGUAACACCCCGGAUGUAACUUUCCAUAUUUGUAACUCCAACUCUUGCCAUUUUCGGCUAUGUGUUAUGAUAUUCCCUUCGUGGUCGGGUUUUGUCUUUCGUUUUGCAUUUUGUUCAUGUCAUGCAUCUCAUAUCAUGUCAUCAUGUGCAUCUCAUUUGCAUACGUCUUCGUCUCAUGCAUCCGAGCAUUUUCCCCGUUGUCCGUUUUGCAAUCCGACACUCCCACAUGCACCGGCGCACCCCUCUUGUUUCUUUCGUGAGCGGGUGUUAAACGUUCUCGGAAUGGACCGAGGUUUGCCAAGUGGCCUUGGUACACCACCGGUAGACCACCUGUCAAGUUUCGUUCCAUUUGGAGGUCGUUUGAUGCUCCAACGGUUAACCGGGUAACCGCAAAGGCCUUUUGUGUGUUGCAGCCAAACCCCCCUCCAAACAACCCAAUAACCCAUCUAAGCCCCCUCCAUGCUCUCGGUCGUUCGAUCACGAUCGUGUGGACGAAAACCGCACUCCAUUUGGAGUCUCCUAGCUCCCUCUACCUAUAAAUAUGUGCUUCCCCCCAAAAUUUUCGGGCAAAACCCUAGUCUCCCCCUUCCUCCGCGCGCCGGACACGUCCGCCCGGCGCCGGACGCNNNNNNNNNNNNNNNNNNNNNNNNNNNNNNNNNNNNNNNNNNNNNNNNNNNNNNNNNNNNNNNNNNNNNNNNNNNNNNNNNNNNNNNNNNNNNNNNNNNNNNNNNNNNNNNNNNNNNNNNNNNNNNNNNNNNNNNNNNNNNNNNNNNNNNNNNNNNNNNNNNNNNNNNNNNNNNNNNNNNNNNNNNNNNNNNNNNNNNNNNNNNNNNNNNNNNNNNNNNNNNNNNNNNNNNNNNNNNNNNNNNNNNNNNNNNNNNNNNNNNNNNNNNNNNNNNNNNNNNNNNNNNNNNNNNNNNNNNNNNNNNNNNNNNNNNNNNNNNNNNNNNNNNNNNNNNNNNNNNNNNNNNNNNNNNNNNNNNNNNNNNNNNNNNNNNNNNNNNNNNNNNNNNNNNNNNNNNNNNNNNNNNNNNNNNNNNNNNNNNNNNNNNNNNNNNNNNNNNNNNNNNNNNNNNNNNNNNNNNNNNNNNNNNNNNNNNNNNNNNNNNNNNNNNNNNNNNNNNNNNNNNNNNNNNNNNNNNNNNNNNNNNNNNNNNNNNNNNNNNNNNNNNNNNNNNNNNNNNNNNNNNNNNNNNNNNNNNNNNNNNNNNNNNNNNNNNNNNNNNNNNNNNNNNNNNNNNNNNNNNNNNNNNNNNNNNNNNNNNNNNNNNNNNNNNNNNNNNNNNNNNNNNNNNNNNNNNNNNNNNNNNNNNNNNNNNNNNNNNNNNNNNNNNNNNNNNNNNNNNNNNNNNNNNNNNNNNNNNNNNNNNNNNNNNNNNNNNNNNNNNNGCAUCACCGCCGCCCGCAUCACCGCCUACCUCGCCCGUCCCCGCCGCCUCCGCGCGCGAGGCCGCCGCCGCCCGCAUCACCGCCGUCCCCGACCGCCGGCGCCUCCUCCCUCUCCGUCCAAGCUUCGGAUCCGCCCGAUCUCCGGCGAGCCGCCGCUGCCUCGGCAUCCGUGCCUGCGAAACCCUAGAUCGAGGUUGUCCCCGUAUUUUCCUCUUAGUCCCGAAGUUAUCACAAUAUGUUGCUCUGUUCAUCAUGGCAUAUCUCAUUGCAUACUGCUCCGUUUUGCAUGAAUGUUAUAUCGAAAUGUUCAUCACGAGAUGCUUUUCAUUUUGUUCCAUUGUGCCAUGCUCGUUUGAGUCCAUCUUGAUGCCCAAAUCUCUGGUGCAAGAGUGCUAUAUGAUGUUUACUGCUGUUACUUACCAGAACUUGAUGUUUUGUUAUUUUUGUUGCAUUUGAUGUGUGCAUCUUAUGGGCAUGAGCUCUACAGGUGUUUUGAUCUAUGCGAUGCCAUAUUUACAGAGGUGUAUGCCAUGUAUUUUUGUGAUCUAUAUGGUGACUAGCACAAGCAUGUAAACUAGGCUUCGUGAUGUUUCUGUUUUCAGGGACUUAGGAUUUUGCUGUCUUUUACUUGCUGUUAUUUUGUUGCUACGUAUCCAUGUGGCUACAGUGAGAUCCAUGCUUAUUUUGAGUAUGUUCAGUAAGAAUGUUUUGUAGAUAUGGUCAUGCUCUAUCCAUCCAAGCCUCUGUUUGCAAUUAUGGAGUGCCCUAGCAUGUCUCAAGCUUGCUCUACGUUUGCUAUAAAAUGUUCCUGGCAGAAUGUUAGCAUGAUAUUCAAUUUUGCCAAGGUUGUUGUAGUUGAUACUUACAUGCUAUGAACUUGAUCUUGCCAUGGUUAGCUUCAUAAACAUGCCAUCUUGCUGUAGGUAUGCUUGUUUUGUCAUGCAUUGCUUUGUGAUGAGUGAAUCGAGCUCACAAAGAUGCCUUCAUAUUUCUGUUAAUAUCAUGCUCUGUUUCCUGCCGUCUGAAACCUGUUAACGAAACUUGCUAUGUUUACAUGGGUGCCAUCAUACCUUCUGAUCCUUUUUGGCUGAUGGUCAGUAAGGGACUUUUGUUCUAUGAAUUUAGUAUAUUCAUGCCAUGCCUUGUUUUGCUAUGAUAUGUUCUUGUAGCAUGUGUUUUUCUUGCUCUGAACAUUGCUACCCGAUGCUGUUUCAGCCAUGUUUAGUGUUUUCACCAAGUCUGUGAAGCUGAUAUCUUUUGCACUUUUGCCAUGCUUGUUUGAACCUGUUAUUUUGUGAUCUAGCCGUAGCUCAGUGUUCAUCUUUUGUCAAGCAUCUCCUGUAGAUUACUGCCAUAUUUUUUUUUGCUAUGUUGGGGUGCUGUAGCAUAGUUACUUGAUGUAUUUUAAGUGCUAUCCUGCUGUUAAUCGCAGAUUCAUGUCAUUCUUGUUUUGCUUGCCAUUUGCAAACCGUGCAUCCGUUUCCGGUGAUCUUUAUAUUGAUUUCGACCGAAAUCAUCUCAUCUUUCCAGUGGCAUACUUGGUUUGCCAAUUUGCUGCCUUUUUCAUCCUUUUUCUUCCGGAUCACGCAUACGCAUCGCAUAUCAUAUCUCGCAUAUCAUGCAUGUAUUGCAUCAUGUUGCUUGUGCAUUUUCCGUGAUUGAUUGUGGUUCCAUUGCUUGUGUUCUUGCUGUAGGUAGAGCCGGGAGACGAGUUCGUGAACGAGGAACCUGUUGAGUAUGCUUACGAGGAUCAAGCUUUCGACAACUCUGAGAACCUUGCAGGCAAGAUGACCAUACCCUCGAAAUCACUUCUAUCUUUGCUUUGCUAGUUGUUCGUUCUAUUGCUAUGCUGCACUACCUACCACUUGCUAUAUCAUGCCUCCCAUGUUGCCAUGUCAAGCCUCUAACCAUCCUUUCCUAGCAAACCGUUGUUUGGCUAAGUUACCGCUUUUGCUCAGCCCUUCUUAUAGCGUUGCUAGUUGCAGGUGAAGUUGAAGUUGGUUCCAUGUUGGAACAUGGAUAUCUUGGGAUAUCACAAUAUCUCUUAUUUAAUUAAUGCAUCUAUAUAUUUUGGUAAAGGGUGGAAGGCUCGGCCUUAUGCCUGGUGUUUUGUUCCACUCUUGCCGCCCUAGUUUCCGUCAUACCGGUGUUAUGUUCCUUGAUUUUGCGUUCCUUACGCGGUUGGGUGAUUUAUGGGACCCCCUUGACAGUUCGCCUUGAAUAAAACUCCUCCAGCAAGGCCCAACCUUGGUUUUACAUUUUCCUACCUAAGCCUUUUUCCCUUGGGUUUUCGCGAGCCCGAGGGUCAUCUUUAUUUAACCCCCCCGGGCCAGUGCUCCUUCGAGUGUUGGUCCGAACCGAGCCGCCUGCGGGGCCACCUCGGGGAAACUCGAAGUCUGGUUUUACUCGUAGCCUGUCUCAUCCGGUGUGCCCUGAGAACGAGAUAUGUGCAGCUCCUAUCGGGAUUUGUCGGCACAGUCGGGCGGUCUUGCUGGUCUUGUUUUACCAUUGUCGAAAUGUCUUGUAAACCGGGAUUCCGAGACUGAUCGGGUCUUCUCGGGAGAAGGUUUAUCCUUCGUUGACCGUGAGAGCUUAUAAUGGGCUAAGUUGGGACACCCCUGCAGGGUAUUAUCUUUCGAAAGCCGUGCCCGCGGUUAUGAGGCAGAUGGGAAUUUGUUAAUGUCCGGUUGUAGAGAACUUGACACUUGACUUAAUUAAAAUACAUCAACCGUGUGUGUAGCCGUGAUGGUCUCUUCUCGGCGGAGUCCGGGAAGUGAACACAGUUUGAGUUAUGCAUGAACGUAAGUACUUUCAGGAUCACUUCUUGAUCAUUUCUAGCUUCGCGACCGUUGCGUUGCUUCUCUUCCCGCUCUCUUUUGCGUAUGUUAGCCACCAUAUAUGCUUAGUGCUUGCUGCAGCUCCACCUCAUUACCCAUCCUUUCCUAUAAGCUUAAAUAGUCUUGAUCUCGUGGGUGUGAGAUUGCAGAGUCCUCGUGACUCACAGAUUCUACCAAAACAGUUGCAGGUGCCGACGAUACUAGUGCAGAUGACGCAACCGAGCUCAAGUGGGAGUUCGACAAGGAACGUGGUCGUUACUAUGUUUCUUUUCCGGAUGAUCAGUAGUGGAGCCCAGUUGGGACGAUCGGGGAUCUAGCAUUUGGGGUUAUCUUAUUUUCAUUUGGAUUUGACCGUAGUCGGUCUAUGUGUGGAUUUUGGAUGAUGUAUGAAUUAAUUUAUGUAUUGUGUGAAGUGGCGAUGAUAAGCCAACUCUCGUUAUCCCAUUCUUGUUCAUUACAUGGGAUUGUGUGAAGAUAACCCUUCUUGCGACAAUACCACAAUGCGGUUAUGCCUCUAAGUCGUGCCUCGACACGUGGGAGAUAUAGCCGCAUCGUGGGUGUUACACAGUAGAGCAAGGCCGCUUUCGAAGAACUUAUACCUGAGGGUCGCGGGAUGUCGGCGGCGGCAGGUCGGAUCUGCGGACAAUAUGGAAGGGAGGAAGAAGGGUCGGAGGACCUCUAGAGCCGGCGCUGUGUCGGAGAGAACGGCAUGGGCAGAGGAUCGGGCCCCUCCGGCAGCUGUGGGUUUCCUCCCUCGGCGGCGAUGACCGCGUGAACGAUGCACCUUUUAGUCCUCUACACACACUGGCCGAAGGGAUCCGGCCGGAUCUGUGACCAGCGGUGAGCAGAGAGAAAAUGUCGCUACCGCUGUCUUUUUUAUAUCUGGAGAGGAUGAGAGAAUGAAGAGAGCAACCCUAGUAAAGCAAGCGCUCAGGCCCCUGCGUCCAUAUAUAGUGGAGUGAUUAUCUUUUUUCUCUCCACAACAAGCGUUUCAAUUUGUGUACGUGGCAUUAAAGAAAAGAAGCUCUCUAUUUAAGGUGACUACUGUACGACUCCUACUUACUAGUAGUAGUACUACAGUAUUGUUCACUUGUGCUCCCCGCCCCUCCAUUCAUUGAACAACCCCACGGGUGAAUAAACAUACAGUAAGUACUGUAUUUAUAUAGAACGAACAAGCUCGAACUAUUUUCGCGUAGUUAAAAGUUGAGGGCGGGGCUUUUCCCGGGCAAUACGCGCGGCAGUUUUCAGGUAGGCGGUUUGACAGAGAGGCAAGGAGGGUGAGCGAGUGGGGUUGUGCGAUUUGACGACGCGUUACUGCUGGAAUGACUUGUGAUAUGACCACUCACUAUAGUCAUGAAUUACUGGCGCUCCGACCGGGGUGAUGCCCCCCUUCCGUUCCGCACUCUAAUCUGGUGCAUGACACGUCGACCCGGAUGCUGGCUCUCCCACAUGUCGGAGUAGUAAGAAGGAGCAAAGAAUGAUGCGGUAUAUACUAGUACUAUACUACAGUACUACUCAGGUCGGAGUAGUGCGAACCACGGCAGCCCAGUGAACCAGCAGUGCGAACCACGGUAGCCCAAUGAACCAGCAGUAGAAAACAAUGUGGUGAUAUGGCCAUAAAAACAAUGUGCUACGGUCCACACUGUAGCAUGUACAGUAACACUCCUCUUUGUUUGGAUCCCUGAGUUAGAGCUAGUUUGGGUCGAAAUAGCCUCAAAUUAUCGAAACAAGAGGGGUUAGUUUGAGCUAGUUUGCUCUAACCCAGCUAAAAAAACUAGCCUGGUGGAGAGGUUCUAAUUGGGUUAGUUAUCCUCGGGCCCACUAAAAGAGAACUAAAAAAAAUCUCCCCUGCCCGCACCAGAUCGCUCCCCCCUCUCGCACGACUCCUCUCUGUUCCCCAUAGGGCCGCUCGCCCUCUCUCUCCUCCGGCCGCCCUCUCCUUCCGGCCUCCGCCGCCCUACUCCGGCCGUCCUCUCCCUCCGGCCUUCGAAGGUCGCCCCGCUCCCCCUUCACCAGUCGUUUUUCUCCCUGUGUCGUGCGCGGCGGCGACGCAUCUACCAGGGAGGUCGCGAGAGGGGUGAGUUUGUUCGUUCCUUCUCUAUCUCACGGCCAUAUCAUUGAUCUUGCUUGCUCUAGCGCUAAUUCUGAUUUGGAAAAGUAGAUCCUGAUCAAACUUGGUAUAGAUUUGUGGUGCGCGCAUGGAAUUUUUUGAUGCUGCUUGAGGAGGUAAUAAAUCUUUCUAGAGGCCCAAAGAUUCAGGUCACCUUUCUAGGUAUUUCAAUUUCAGACUUGCAUUAUUUCUAGAGGCCCAAAGAUUCAGUUCACCUUUCUAGGUAUUUCAAUUUCAGGCUUGCAUUAUUUCUAGAGGCCCAAAGAUUCAGUUCACCUUUCUAGGUAUUUCAGUUUCAGGCUUGCAUUAUUUCUAGUGGCCCAAAUAUUCAGUUCACCUUUCUAGGUAUUUCACUUUCAGGCUUGCAUUAUUUCUAGAGGCCCAAAGAUUCAGUUCACCUUUCUAGGUAUUUCAGUUUCAGGCUUGCAUUAUUUCUAGAGGCCCAAAGAUUCAAUUCACCUUUUGUCGGGGAUAUACCCCGCGGUAUGACCUGGCCGGAAUUAUGACCCGGCCGGACUUGGCGACUCACCAGAGACCCGACUGGAGCUUGGCGACUCACUGGCGAUCCGCCCGGACAUGGCGGUUUACAUGUAACCCGCCUGGACAUUGUGACUCACUGGAGACCCGAUGGGCGGAUCAGACGGACGACAAGGCCCAAGGCCCAGCAGGCCAGCUUAUACUCUGGUGGGCCGGUUUAAGAGGAAAGACAUAAGGAAUUUUCCCUUAAGGGGGCAGACUAGGAUUACACUUGUAAUAGACUAGUCCUAAUCAUAAUAGGACACCACAUGUAACCCGCCCCUUCAACUUAUAUAAGGAGGGGCAGGGCACCCCAAGAGGGACAGGCAAGAAACAAUCUCUAGGGCUAGACACAAAGAGCCGGCUUACCGGCGACUCUCUCAUGAGCAUAAUGAGACCUAGCCACAAACAACAUGUAGGGCUAUUACCGGAUGAUGUUUCCUGGGGCCCGAAGCUGUCUAAAUCCUUGUCUUGUGUUGCAUCUCUCGAUUUCGCUCAACCCCUCUCAAGCUACCACAUAGAUGCGUUGGCCUCGCGACUAAGUCCUGACACUAAGGACAUCUGCCGUGACAAUUCCACGACAGUUGGCGCCCACCGUGGGGCUGGCGCACGGUGGUGUUGAGUUCUUGAAGGGAUCUUUCAGGGAUCGAGAAGCUCGCUAUUUUCCAGAUGAAGAAGAGUAAUCAUAGAACAAUCACGCAAGAUAACCCGUGACGGAACAGUUGCCACGCCGGCUCAAGGGAACAAUUGCCGAGCUUUUCAGAAAUUUCGCCGCCGGCUGGGUUCCUAAUUUUGCUGGUUAAUUUUGAAAAUUUGGAGGAUGAGAUUGAAGUUCGAAGGGGAUUAGGGUUUCAUCUAUGUGCGUCGCGGCGUCGCCAUCACGUCGUCUCAAUCUGCCAAGUCCGAGACGAGAUCUACACGAGGUGAUUUGUCUGCCAGGUUACUACUCCGAGACCGACGGGAUUGGAUGGAUCUGUUGUCCGUGUCUAGAUCAAGUUCGGAGUGUUACCUGUACACAUGAAGGACUAUAGCUAUACUGCUCAUCGGGAUUAAAUUAGCAAAAUACUACUUGUAUUAGUAGUGGGCGCAUGGACCAAAGUCAAUGGAUCUUCACCUCCUCACGUGAGACUAGUACUACUCCUCACUAGGAUUAAAUAGAAGAAGAAAGGCUUUGGAGUUGUUCAAAGAUUGAAGAUAUGGCUGCUGUUAGUCUGACACGGGCUCGGACACGUACAGGAAAAGGAAAGCCAGGUACCUCGUUACAGUGGAAAAAAAGCCAAGUCAAUGACGACCCAGAGAAGGAUUUUUGGUGCUACUACGGCCUGGUUUCGCUCACCUGGUCGCCUCGGGUCGACCCGCCGAGUCGCCCUGCCGCGCCAAUCUCCUCCCCGCGACCGGUUCCCACGCCGGCUGGCCAACUCGCUGGUCCCGGCCUGCUCUGAGCUCGGAUGCAUGCGUCAUCCUCGUCCAGCGCCCGGCCUCUAAACCGCUGCGAUGACCCGCCCGCGCCUUGCCGGUUUUGCCUCCGCGGUCAAGUCACCCCGCUCCGGCUCACCACUCGUCUGCCACUAUAAGCCGCGCCGUCUCUGAAACCUCCCCGCGCCCUGGGCCGCCGCACCUAGGGCCACCGGGUCAUGGCCAACUCAAGCGCCUGCACCAGCUACCACGAUGUGGCUGACUCGUCCGUCUGCGCCCGCGCGCGCUGGGCUCCAACGCCGCGCCCGCUCUCAUAAGUCGCCCGACGGACGCGCUCAAGCCGCCGCCCCUGUGGUCCACUCUACAUCAACACAAUUCGGCUGACUUACCCGUCCACGCGGUUUACCGCACCUGCGAUUGACCCACCCAUCUGCGCUAGCUUACAACGCCGCGGUCGGCUCACCCGUGAUUAAUUUCAGCUUCACUGCGGUGAUCAUCAACUCCGCGGUGGAUAACUACUGGCCUAACGUAUUAGGUGAAAUCCAUCCAAUAUGUUUUUAUAUUACAUAUUGCUUUCUUUAAAAGAACAAAUACUUUGGCUUGCAAUACUUUUUGAUGCAGGACAAUUGUUCAUUGCGAAUGAGGUGUUAUAUUGCGGGUAUGGAGCGAGCGAUGGCAAUGUUCUGCACCGGGGUUUCGUCCAUGUCAUACUGCCCGGUGAAUGAACGUGCGCAAAGUCACCAUCCUCUGUGGCCCGGUUUACAUUAACUCGCCCGUCCGCGCCGGCUGACAGCGCCGCGGCCGACUCAUCUGUUGUCCGGGCAAAUCAGGUGAUAUUCAUCCAAGUUUGUUUUAUUAACACAUAUUGUUUUUGUUAAAGAACAAGUUUAUCUUUGCCUUGGUCUGCAAUAUUGUUUAUGCAGGGCAAUUAUUUAUGACAAAGUGACAUUGUACCGCGGAGAUGGAGGCACACCAACAUCUUUUGGCACGGGUGGUCGUCGUUACUCAACGGACUCCCGCACCGGCUUACAACGCCGUGGCCGUCUCUCACGACCGCACCGGCUUACAACGCCGUGGCCGUCUCUGCGACCACGCCGGCUUACAACAAGGAGGACGACUUGCCCAUCCGCACCGGCUUACAACGCCACGGCCGGUUCAUCUGUCUGUGCCGCCUCAGAUGUUGCGGUCGUCUUUACCGUCCGUCUCUCGCGGCCUGGCCUACAUCAACACACCGGGCCGCACCUGUCUGCAUGAGCUGUUUAUUGAGUAUGAGCAAGUCACUGCUUGGGUAGCCUGGUUUUCUUCCAACAAAUUGGAGGCAAGUUAUCAUGUCUUAUCAGCCGCCGUCUGCACUGGAUGGCUCAAUGGGUAGGUGCACAAGUCGCCGCCACUACGGGUUUGGUUAACUUCAAACAGCGAGUUGGAAGGAACCGUUGGCCGAGUUGCUGACACGGCUCAUACAGGAUCAUUUAUAACCCGUCGCAGUCACCUCAACCUUCUGUGGAUUCACAUCGCGCUAUCAACACCAAUGAUAUACACCUUAUGCUAUGGUCAAUAUGGAGAAUCUCAAAGCCAACUCCUCGAGUCGUCCUGAGACUCGGGGGCUACAAUGAUAUGACUCGGCAGCAUUGGUCGGUUUCAAUGCAUUCAAGAACUCCGGUCAUUGGAGGGAAAAAUAACCCGGUCCCGGAGGCUACCGCCAUAUUGGUAAAAAGUUUAAAGGCCGUCAGAAAAUUUUCGGCUUAAAAAGAAGGAUUCCGGUUUAGAUCCGGCUCAAGAGACUUGACAUCUCCCACAAAGCACUGAAGCUCUUAAAUAUCCGGUUUAAGGGAAAUUUAUCUGCCACAAAGUUUUGAAGCUCUCAAAUCUGGUUCAAAAUCCGAUUCAAGGUAAAUUUGUUUAUCACAAAGCUUUGAAACUCUCAAUAUCCGGUUUUUCCGGAUCAAAAAGAAUUUAUCUCUCGCAAAAGUUCGAGUUCUCAGGAAAAAUUAAAGGGACCAAAAAGAGUCUGUUACAAAGCACAACCCAAACAUAGGUACCCUGCUUUAAUGACCAUUGGGAGCUGAUCGUAUUCGAAUUUAGCUUAACCCUUUAGGUGUGACCCUGAUCGUAUUCGAAUCAGAGUCGUUAAAUAUUCGCAUGAUCACUAGGGGGCUUCCUGUUCAAACAUAGGUCGUAUUCGAACCAAAGAGAACAUAGCUGUCGGUACCCUCUUGAUCGGCACACUGCCGAGCUCACUAGGGGGCUUCUUGAUCGUAUUUGAAUCAUAGCUCGACCCCUUUUGGGAACCGACGUGGAUCGUAUUCAAAUCAGCGUCGUUAAACAACUCUCAAGGUCAUUUGGGGGCUUCCUGUUCAAACAUAGGUCGUAUUCGAACCAAAGAGAACAUAGCUGUCGGUACCCUCUUGAUCGGCAACGCCAAAGCCACUGGGGGCUAUAUGAUCGUAUUCGAAUCUUAGCUUAACCCCUUUGGGAUGGUUUUCUGAUCGUAUUCGAAUCAGAAGCCUCAAAUUUUUUGAAGUCUCUUUUUGCAAACAAUUUUUGGAUUUUAUUUGAAGCUCUUUUGAUCAUAUCUAAAGUGUAUAUGAGUGGUUGCUAUUUAACCCGGUUUGACUUUGGAUGAUAAGUCGCCAUCAUAUGACAAUCAUAAACAUUUGGAAGUCUUGAUUUCUAAAGAUUGGGUUAUUACCCUUACUGCACAGGUCACAUAAACCGGCAGUGAAAAUUCAAUAUGACAGGUAUGAUAUUAUUAUUAUAGUUAUGUUUCAAAGUUAUGAUUCAUAACAGGCUUAUCUGUGACUCCUUGUUACACAUCAAUGGUUAUAUAUGAGAUAUUAUGACCCGCCCUGCGAUAAACUGCCAAGGGUUCUUGUGAUCUACUUGUGUGCAGGAUAAGACUACAUUUGGAUGGUUACCCACCCUGGCUUUUGACGUUAAGUCGCCAGGGCAUAUGUUGUUUAAGCUCUGCGCAGGAUUUACAGAGCUAUGACUUACAUAAAUGAUUAAGUUAAAGCCCAUCAUCAAAGUUUGAAAUUGGUGUCUCAAAAGGGUUAUCAAUUCUUGAUUUUCUCGAAGGCUAUAAGCCGCCGGGUUAUGAAAUUCCGGCUUACAAUGAAUGCGCAUUAAGUCGCCAUCGGCCAAGAGUCGCCGAGUAUUUGAACUUCGGAUCUACUUGUCAAUCGAUAAGAUUAUAUUAUUCAAAUCUUGAAUAGCCAACAUGGCUGGAUUUUUAUUAUGAUUAUCAAUAUUAUGAUGGAGGUCUUUAAAGUCGCUUCAGCGCAAUGGCUAUUAUUUUAUCAAGGUAUAUGAUUUAUUUUACAAUGGAGGGAAUAGUCCCGAGUCGCUGCAGGCUUACGACCCGGCACUUGGGGGCUAUAUUAUUCAAGUUGAGGUUACAUCAAAUAGGCAAGUCCCAUGUCACUGCCAGCAUGCACCAUGGCACUUGGGGGCUAAUGCAAAGUCAUUUUUUGCUCAACUUAUUGAAGACCCGACUCAUCACAUUGUAAUGAGCCGGCCCUUGGGGGCUACCAAUUGCUCCUGUCAAAAAUUCAAGGUACACAAGCAUUAAUCCAUUAUAUUGGACGGUCCACUACUCAGUUGGUAGAGUAUAAAGCUCUUAACCUUGUGGACGUGGGUUCAAGCCCCAUGGUGGAGAUUAUAUUAUAUGAUGUUAUUAUCAAUAAAUUAUAUACAAAGUCCCCAGCUUAGUAUUAUCUUACUAACCCGGCCCUUGGGGGCUACACGUUGCUGUUCAAGUUUACAUGGUUAUAUCUACAAAGUCCCUGCUCAUUAUUGCAUGAUGACCCGGCCCUUGGGGGCUACACUGGUUGAAGUUUUCAUGAGCAUAAGGCAAUUACAAGUCCCAGGUUGCUGCAAGCAUGACAACCCGACACUUGGGGGCUACAGGUGAUAUGCAUAUAAGGGAGAAAAAAAUCUUCAAAUUCUCAGUUUGGAGCAGACCAGAUUAACCCGGUGUCUGCAACAAUCAUGACCCGGCAUCAUUUAUUUAUAACCCGGCAAUUUUGGCAAUCAUAGAUCGGCAAGAUCUACAUCUUUAAGCUGGCUGAAUAUCAGUUGAAUAUUUCAAGACCAAUAUUUUUGUCAAGUCAGAGCUUUGAAGGCUGACUCAAAUGGAUUAUUUCUUAUAAGUAUCUCUCUCCAAGAGCCAAUGUCAGCAAAUUGAUUAUGAAGCUCGCCUAUUGACCCGAAUUUUUCAAAGGAAGUAUCUGGAUUUUUUGCAUUGACAAAGUUGAAACAUAUCUGUUGAGGAGAUUUGUUAUGAAUUCAUGGGCGUGUAUCAAGAAGGAAAUGACAAGGACUUAAAGAUGAUCAGGGGCCGGCUUACAAGAAUUUUUAACCCAGAGCACAACCUGUCAAAGUUGUUCUGGUGUUUAUUUUGCAGGAUCAGUUUAACAUGGAUAAAUCCAAAUUAAACUAGGGGCUAAUGUCGAGGAUAUACCCCGCGGUAUGACCCGGCCGGACUUGGCGACUCACCAGAGACCCGACUGGAGCUUGGCGACUCACUGGCGAUCCGCCCGGACAUGGCGGUUUACAUGUAACCCGCCUGGACAUUGUGACUCACUGGAGACCCGAUGGGCGGAUCAGACGGACGACAAGGCCCAAGGCCCAGCAGGCCAGCUUAUACUCUGGUGGGCCGGUUUAAGAGGAAAGAGAUAAGGAAUUUUCCCUUAAGGGGGCAGACUAGGAUUACACUUGUAAUAGACUAGUCCUAAUCCUAAUAGGACACCACAUGUAACCCGCCCCUUCAACUUAUAUAAGGAGGGGCAGGGCACCCCAAGAGGGACAGGCAAGAAACAAUCUCUAGGGCUAGACACAAAGAGCCGGCUUACCGGCGACUCUCUCAUGAGCAUAAUGAGACCUAGCCACAAACAACAUGUAGGGCUAUUACCGGAUGAUGUUUCCUAGGGCCCGAAGCUGUCUAAAUCCUUGUCUUGUGUUGCGUCUCUCGAUUCCGCUCAACGCCUCUCAAGCUACCACAUAGAUGCGUUGGCCCCGCGACUAAGUCCUGACACUAAGGACAUCUGCCAUGGCAAUUCCACGACACCUUUCUAGGUAUUUUAGUUACAGGCUUGCAUUAUUUCUAGAGGCCCAAAGAUUUAGUUCCCAGUCGGCGGCAAGCGGCCCUGCUACCCAUGCCGGUGUCGACCUCAACUCGCAAGGGCCGGCGUCGGAGGGGUUCCCAGGGCUUGGGCUCUACAGUGCCUUCCUCCAGAGCGACGAUGGCGAGCUCCUCCCUCGGUGCGUGAGGGGCUCCGGGCUCCCUCCCUAUCGUGAAUGACUUCCGUGAUGAGUUAGCUCAUUCUUUGUUUCAUGAAGUGUUUUUUUUAUUUUGUGAAGCUUGAUUGAUGACUUGUAUGUUUAAGUGGGAUAUCUCAUUUGUAUGGACAAAGUAAAAAUUAUCAUGUUUUGCAUGCUUGAUUUGUAUAGAUGGUUCAUUUAUGUCAAUUGUGAGCGGGAGGAGGCCACAGAAGAGCCGGCCACACCAAGAGGGUGCUUGGAUCCAAGGGACUUAUUUUAGUUUGACUAAAAAUAGUCUCUUUAAGAGGCUAAAGUUCCAAGCACCCCUGACUAAAGAGGGGCUAAAACUAGUCUUGAGACUAAAAAAAUUUAGUCAGGGGUACCCCUACUAAAAUGUGGAUUAGUCCUCUCUCUCCUCAUUUAACUCCUCUCCUUUAACACAGGCGAGUUCUGGAUUGGAGGGUUUGGAGGAUAAUAAAUGCUCAUUAACUUGAUUUUAGUCUCUUUAGUAUUUGGAUCCAAGCAUGGGUGAAGCUAGCAAGUUUUAGUCCCACUACUUUUAGUCAUGGAACUAAAACGUAUCCAAGCACCCUCCAAAUCCGGCAGGAAAUAGGGUCCAAAGUAGUCAAAUGAUUCAGAUAGAGCAUUUAUUGUCAAUCUAACCCUGCCAUCCAUACACCUCUUUGGUUUAGAGUUAGUUCAGGGUUAGAAUCUAACUCUAACCUCUAACUGAGUUAGAGUUCUCCUCGUCUCGGUUCAUCGCCAUCAUACUUUCCCCAUUCCUGUGUUUUCAGUAUCCUGCGAAUCAAAGAGGCCCUUUUUUGCGGGAAAAAUCAAAGAGGCCCUUAGACUGGUUUCGGUCCGGUCAUUUUUUAUAAACAUGUUAUGUCCAAAAUUUAAUGAACAUGCUCCGGUUUCCACGAAAAUAAUCCGGUUUCAUGUAGUAAUUCAUUCAUUUAUUUAUUCUUCUGCGGGGGGUUUGCAUGUAAUUCGUGAGGUCUGAAAUGUAAAGUACCCUGGCAUAUGCUCCGAGUCGUGCAUGCACUACGACCCAGAUGCUCUAUGUCCCACAUGUCGGCGAAUGGGAGCAUGUGGAAAUAGCCUAGGAGUACAUAUAGGAGGAUAAAUGCGUGAAAUAAUAUGUAUUGUGAAGCGUAGCCGCGGUUUGAAAAGGAGACCUAAAGUGAUGACAACUAUAGGUCGCACGCACCCAACUAGUGGUACUAGACAUACGACUAAUUUUUCCCUAAAAAAAAGAGGCACGAGUGCUCAGUACUCCUAUUCUAUAAACACGAGUCCCAUCUGACAACAGUGUCCGUGCUACAGCUAGCUCUCCUCCCUCGUUUCUCACUUCUAGUAAUUCUAAACUCGGCCGACGCCCGGUGGGCGGGGUGGGUUUGCUCAACUGCGGCCCCACCUCACAGUGAAAACGUUACGACUAGAAUAAAAAUGCCAUAUACUCCCUCCGUUCAUAAAUAUAAGCCUUUUUAGAUACUAUUUCAAAUGGAAUACAACAUACAGAUGUAUGUACACAUAGUUUAGAGUGUAGAUUCACUCAUUUUGCUCCGUAUGUAGUAGUCACCUGCUGGAAUCUUUAGAAAGACUUAUAUUUGGGAACGGAGGGAGUACUAUACUAAUAAAACAUUAAGGCCACGAGGCGAUGCAGUGCUGGUUACAGGAGGCAAGAAGAGAUGCAUCCAUCGACGACGUCCACCUCCUCGACUCAGGGCGCCGGCCCACCGAACGGUGCCUAAGUAGCAGCGGCUUUCGUGGCCAGGUCGACGUGCUUCUGAACAAUGGCGUCCAAAGAUUCCAGCCGCUGGAAGAAGGCCAACGUCUUUCUGUCCUCGCUUGCCUUGUAGUGGCCUAUGUAGACGAUUUCCUCGUAGACAUGGAUGUGCAGGUCGACGGUUUCUUGCAUGGCGAGGCGCUGCGCGGCGAGCGCGGCCUCGAGGUGCACAUUCUUCGUCGCGACCUCCGGCACCUGCAGGGCCACCAGGGCUUGAAAGAGUUUGUCACCAUGGAGGCCGAUGAGGGUGGCAGGCAAUGAGGAGCCAUGGCGCGCGGGCUGGAGCAGUACGGCAAGGUCGUCCGCGCGCUUCUUGACGGCGGUGAACUUGCGGAUGGAGUUGACCAUCAUGUCGUCCAUGCGAGAGGCGAAGCCGGCGUCGGUGAGGGCUACGAUGCCUGCGGUCGCCAGCACCGUCUGGAAACGCUGUGCGGUGCGGGGCGCAGGCCGGCGCCUUGGAUGAUUUGGCACAGCCGACUGCCGCUCGCGUCCAUCGCCUCCAUAGGUGCUUGUGGCUUCUAGUCACUUGGUCUUGGAUUGAAGUGAGCAGUGUUGCGCAGAGACUUGGGAGUAGAUGGAUUGGAGUGGUGGGGCGCCUUUAUUAUAUGAGAGUGAGCAGUGUUGCGCAGAGACUUGGUCCAAACUCUGUUGCAUUCAUAUCGUGCUGGCUCUAUUCUGCUUCUCCAAUUAAUUCCCUCUGCAUGUAAUUGAGGAUGCAUCAUUGACCGUUCAACGUCUCGGGAACUGCUACCCUCUCCCUCCUUGGCAUUCAAGCACCUAUGGACCCGUCGACGACGAGGUGCCUAUGGUGACUUUGUAAAUUUCAAGAUGAUAGUGCCGUGCGUGUGUGCGUUCAUAGGGGUGAGUGUAUGCGCGUGUAUAUGAGCGCUUGCGUCUGUACUGUGUAAAAAAAAUGCGUGUCAAAAAGAGGCUAGUCAGUAUACUCAAUAUUGUGCACCUCGGAGAGGAAAACGAUAGAACUAGUACGUAUUUAUUUACGGUGCAGAUUCACUCAUUUUGCUCCAUAUGUACUCCGUCUCGGUGUAGUCUAGUCACUUGUUGAAAUCUCUAGAAGGGCAAAUACUCCUUUCUGGUUUACAGGGCUAUACUAGCAAGUAGUUGUACGUACUAGUACAAUAGUGGGCUCACAUAGCAAUUUUGUCUCAUGCAAGAGCCUGGCUAUAUGCGUGCUCCAAUGUUCGCAACUGCAACGUUCGGUUUGCGCUUGGCUCUUCGCCUCUUCGAGAAGACGAACAAUGAUGUUACUACUGCUGCUUCUACAGUGUCGAAUCCACUGCUGCAUGUCCGUCCACCGCGAGCGGGACGGAUAGCUUGUUGUAGAAGUACUACUAAGCAAAAGCCUGUCCUCGUUUGCGAGCAACCGCGCGCAUGGGUGAGGGAGAAGGCGUGUAGUAAAAUCAAGCUUCUCCUCGUUGUACGAGUUGACGCGACACAUCAUAGCACUGGCCCCACAUGCUUGCCUCUAAACUUGGCUGAAAGGCCCGCAAUGUACAAUAUAUUUGCUGCAACCUCUAACAUUUACCCACCACAAAUUAAAAUAUAUGUGGCCGUAUGCAUCGUUCUGAUGCAAAGGCCGGGGAGUCCCCCCUUUUCGAAAAAAACAAAUUAAAAUAUAUAUUCCUGUCUUAACCAGAUGAGCGUGCAAACUACAAUCACCAGGGUGUCAGGUAGGGUCAGAAGACUAUUUUAAUUUUUUUUAAAAACUUCGAGACGGCCACAUAACAUGGAGCCGACCCCAACGAUUUUAAGCUUACAUGCACGGUACACGCUAUCCUACACUACUCUACACAUGAAACUGCCACACGAGCGUCCGGGCUGCGCUUGGCUCUUCGCCUCUUCGGGAAGUCGAACAAUGAUGGAGUACUACUGCACUGGAGGAGUACUACAGUACGCUUCUGGCCAUCUGACACCGAUUGAACUGCUGCAUGUCCACCGCGUGCGGGAGGGAGAGCGUGUAGCGAAAGCUUCUCCUAGUCUUGCCAGCCACCACGCUCAUGGGCGAGGGAGGGACGCUCCUGCCUUUGCGUGUAUGACAGGUGGGCCCGACAGGUGUGUGGCCAACCUGUCAUACAGCCAAAGGCAGGUGCAGUUAAGUCCGCGAGGGAGAGGAUAAUCAAACUUCUCGUUGAUGUACGAGUUGACGCGAUACAUCAAAGCACUGCACUCGAUAUAUUUCAAUAAUUUGCGUUUACCGAUGCAUUAAUUACAACGCAUGCAUGCAUGCCGUGACUCUCCUUUUGAUACUUGCAUGUGUUGAUUUAAUGCACCUUGAAGUAGUAUAAAAUAUGUGACGGUAAAGCUUUGUAAUAUCCCGGCCCAAGUCGAGAGAUGGUUGUGCACGAGGAGGGCGAGAUCAUGCAGACCGAACAUGACCCGACGAUGGAGCUCUCUAAGGUCUCGAUGGACCUCACCGUGCUCCACUACCCCUUGUGCCUCCGCCCCUUGACGCCUCCAGUGUAUGAGGUUCGAAUACACCUCGUCCGUUCGGCUGAUUGAGCAAGGUGCAGGUUUCUUGAUUGAUGUGCUGUUCGAUUGAUUUCUGCAGUGCAAGGGAGGGCAUCUGGCUUGCGCGGACUGCCGCGUCAAGCGCCCCGGGAACCAGCGGCAGUGCCAGAAGUGCGAGCGCGGCGGUGGCUUCGACGUGCGGAACAUGGCGGUGGACUCUGUCCUUUCGUCGGUGAGGGUGGAGUGCCCGCACGAAGGCUGUGGGCUCUACGUCACUUACCACAAGCUCGCCGAUCACCAGAGCGUGUGUCCGCUCGCGCCCUGCAAAUGCCCCGUGCCCAUCUGCGGCUACGAAGGCCCGCCGUCGGUGCUCUACCACCACAUCAGCACUGCGCAUCCCAUGCCCGUGCACAGGAUCCAGUACGGCAAGGUGCUCCAGCUGCAAGUGCCACUGUCGGAGCCACGACUCUUGCUGUUCGCGGAGGAGGACCGCCGCGCGUUUUUCUUGGUCGGCGGCGUGCUCGACAUCGGCGCGCCUAUCGCCGUGUCGGUCGUCUGCAUCAGAGCGGGGGCGUCCCCACUGCCGCACUACGUGGCCAAGCUGUGGGCGAACGGCUCGCCGGGGGAGCCCAAAGGCACGACCGACGCCGCCAAGGUGGAAAUGGAGGUGACAAGCAGCAAGGAUCCCGGCGACGUCGACGUGCAGGAGCUGACCUUCUUGACAGUUCCGCCCAAGCUGCUGGCCGGGGCUAAGCUUGUGUCCCUCCACAUUCAGAUUGACAAGCUCACAUCCUAAAUGUUUCUACAGUGCCUUCUGUUUAUCUUAGUAAUAUGCUAAUAUAGGGAUUACCUUGGUCUACUUUAGCUUAAUAAAUGGUGGGUUUUGGUGGUGAUGCAGCAAUUACUUCAACAUCAGAUCAAUAAUUUCCAACAGUCGAACGGAUAUUUUGUGUCUGUUGGAUAUAAAGUUCCUUUGGGUAAGAAGUACUACUUGUCAUCAAAAUGGAUAAAAGGAGAUGUAUGUAGACGUAUUUUAGUUCUAGAUACGUCCCUUUUUAUCCAUUUUGAUGACAAGCACUCCCCCAGUUCCACAAUACAUGCCUUCCAUUUGUCAAAAUAUAGAUGUAUCUAGACAUGUUUUAGUAUAUAGGUACAUCCAUGAUAGAGCCAAUCGGAUGGUUGAGAACACUACAAUUCGUAGCUACAGAUGCGCGUGUGACUCCCAGAUGCAAAGGCCGGGGGUCAUCAUCCUCCUUUUCGAGAAAAAACAGACGCGUGUGUGAGAGGACGAGUGUGUGCGUGCACCUCUUCUCUUCCUGUAUAACGUACUACUAAAAUCAGAGUACAAGUUUUUGUGGGUGGCAUGAUGGUGCGUGCGAGAAGUCCCGAGAGAUAGGUUUAAUGCGUCUGAAAAAAAGACUAGCCUAGAGCUCGCCACGCGGCUAUUCCUGUCGAACGCCCCAUUAACCGUAAGAUAUGUAUACAAUGGUGCCAGUUAUUGCACGUACACAACAGUACUCCCUCCUUUCCGGUUUAUAGGGCUUAAUUCAAAAAUCUCACCAACCAAGAUGGUGAGUGGUGGAAUAUUUUUUGUAGUUUGCAAAAGCACCCAAUUAAUGCUCUUGUUUUUCUCAAAAAAUUAUGUUUAUCAAUGCAUUAAUUGCAAUGCAUGCAUGCAUAAAGUACAUGCAUUGGUCAAUUUUCUCUUAAUACUUGCAUGCAAUGAUUUAAUGCACCUUGGAAUCUGAACAUGUGUUGGGGAACAACCAAAUUGAGCCUUAUAAAAUGGAAAAACUAAAAUUUUGAGAUAAGCCCUAUAAAACCGGAAAGGAGGGAGUAGAAAAAGAAGUACUCCAUCCGGGAAUAGUGCCGCACUUCGAAACUAGAACCGUCAAUAAAUUUUGAGCUUGCGUCUCGUCACAUUCCAAAUUACUCCAUGCUAUAUUGAAUUGCAAACCUGUUCACACCAAUCACAACCUAAACAGUUUCCCACUUAGGAGCGUAUUAGUACCAUGCUAUAUUGAAUUGCAAACCUAUUCACGCCGAUCACAACCUAAACGGUUUCCCACUUAGGACCGUAUUAGUACUCGGUUAUAAAUACUAGUAUGCCAAGAUGACUGCACAUUCCUCCUCAACUCCUCAUCCACAAAAACAAACAAGUCAUUCAGCAUCCUACCCUUGCGUCUGCCAUGGCCAGCAUGAGUUCUGGGUUGAGAGAUUGCCACCAGGGAGAGGCGAGCAUGGAAGCGGAAGCACGAGAGAUGUCCCGCCUCACUGCGAGAGCAGCCGACAUGUCCCGCCGCACGGAAGUAGUAGCACAGAGGUCCCGCCGCGCCGCUGAAGCAACACGGAGGUCCCGCCGCGCCGUCGAUGCAGCAGACUGGUCCGGCCGCGCCGCAGAAGCAGCAGAGAUAUCCUGCCGCGCCACGCAUGCAACAGAGAUGUCCCGCUGCGCCGCGGCGGCCUGGGAAAAUUUCUCGCGGGCAGGCGACGACUGUUACAGGCGCAUGCAUGCGAUCGUCCAUAGCCAGAUGGAUCAGAUCUCCGGCUGGGCGAGGUUGCAGGACGACAUGAAAGCCUCGUUUGAACAGGCUACCGGCGUCAUCCGGCAACUAAGGGAGGGCAAUGAGAGGCUCCGGGCCGAGCGCGAACUGCUGAGGGAGAAGAUCGUCCGAAGUGCAGACCAGCAAGAGGAGACCAGUGCCUUGUUGAAGAGGACCGGCGUCAUCGUCAAGAAACUUAUGGACGAGAAUGACAUGCUCCGCAACGAGCGCCAAAGGCUGGUGGAGGAAUCCGUGGAUGUUCUCAAGCAGCGUCUUGAGGACACAAAAGAGCUCAUCGCCGCUCGCCGCGGAGACUAGUUACCGCAGCCUGCAGCAACGCAUCAAGAAAGUAGAGAUCAGCGAGCCAGAUCCUUGUCUUCCUUCUUCUUUUUCCCUUGUGUAUUUCGGGCGUAGCCGCAUGUGGCUUUUUAAUUAUCUUUCUAAUUAUGUUAGACAAUUAAUCGUCCUUAUCUUUCUGUGGAAGAUCAAUGUUGCGAGGCGGGAAUGAAGAAAACUCUUGCUGUGGCGACCCUGGCGUUGCUGUUCUUCUAGUUGCUGCUGGGCUUCCUUCAGUUUCUUGGUUUCUUUUGAUGUAAUAAUCGGUUUAGGAUGUGGAUUGUGUCGUCGGUUGUGAAAUGUUGGGUUCUAGCGUGGAUGUUUGGCCUUUGUUGGCCUCUUGGGAUGUUGCGAUUUCAAUCUGGUAGCUUUUAGUCCUUCGUGUUAGGCUGGAGUUGUGCUGAACUUCUUGUGAAUUGUGGUGGUUUUCAGUAAUGAAAAUCGGAAGGGGCAAGCCCUUCUUUGAUCAAAAAAAUAAAUAAUCAUCCAUAUAUAUUCAUCAGUCUUGCUAUAAGUCGCAGUAGAUGCUAUAUAGGUCCGUCGGAUCUUACAUCAAGAUCCGUGCUUUCAGAUUUUCUUUUUUCUCUCUUAAAUCUCAGUCGAGUGAGACAUAGCCACACCAUUAAACAGAGGCUCGGGCGCCAUUAAUGGAGACCUUGGGAGAGAGGUGGACGGCAGAUGGAGGUCAAAGGGCUCUCCUCCCGAUAAACACGCGCAGGGGUCUGAUCGCACGCCUCUCGUACUCAAAUAGCUACCCUGCACGGCGCCUCCUAGCUAAUAAAAGAUGGGGACGCGUGGCGGCACGUAAAUGGUACUAGUAAGUAGAACGCCCACGGUUUCAAUAAUACUUGUGUUUCCGAUUGUAACGUGACAGCACUUGUUCCAAAAUGACUUUGUUGAUUGUUAAUGUGUGCGCCUUCGCAAAUCGGACUGCAAAUUUACCACAGCAUGUUGGUGCCAUGUCAUGGCACCAAGCCAAGUUUCAUUAUUUUCAUGCGUGUUUUGGAUUUACAGGAAUUAAAAAACUAAGUUUCUCAAUGUUUCCAACCCAGCCACGACGCCCAGAAUUUUGAAUUUCAUUCCCAUUUCUUGCAUGGAACCUAGAAAUUUACCCGAGGACACACAUGUGAUUUUUCAACCAACUUUGGUGCACUGGAACAUGUGCUUGUAUUUCAAAUUUGAAUUAUGCACACAAAGGUGACACGUUCCCUCCCAGAACCACGAGCCUUCUUGAGAGAAGCUCCGAUUUGCAAGAAGCUUAUACCAAAAUGUGUUCCUAUUCGGCCAAUUUUUUUACCACGGCAUGGUACUACCAUGACAUGACACCAUGCCAAGUUUCAUGAUUUUAAAACCAAGUUUCUCAAUAUUCUCGACCGAGCCACGAUGCCCAGAUGUUUGAAUUUUAUUCUCAUUUUUUGCAUGGGACCUACUCCCUCCUUCCAUCUAUAUAGGGCCUAAUGUGUUUUUCAAGACAGCCUUUGACUAUUGACAAGAUUAAUAGCACAUGAGAUGUAUACUAUGAAAAUUAUAUUAUUGGAAGCUCCUUUGACAUACAAAUUUGAAGGUAUGCUUUGUGUAAGUUGCAUGUCAUAUAUUAUUGCUCUAACGUUUGGUCAAAGUUAGCCUCGAAAAACGCAUUAGGACCUAUAUAGAUGGAAGGAGGGAGUAGAAAUUCACCCGAGGACACAAAUGUGAUUUUUCAACCAACUUUGGUGCACGGGAGCAUGUGCUUGUAGUUCAAAUUUGUAUUAUGCACAUUAAAUGACCAAAAACUCAAUUAAUGUGUAAAUAAGGCCAAAUGAAGCCGGAGUAAUUCCAAAAUUUAUCAGGGCACUCAUGUAGUUCUAUGUUGCCUUUGUAAAUAAACUCAAGGGGGACAACGUAUAUCGUUUCGCACUCAAAGGUGGCACGUUCCCUCUCAGAACCACGAGCCUUCUUGAGAGAAGCUUCGGUUUGCAAGAAGCUUAUACCAAAAUCUGUUCCUAUUCGGCCAAUUUUUUACCACAACAUGGUAGUACCAUGACAUGACAUCCAUGCCAAGUUUCAUGAUUUUCAGAUGUGUUUUGGAUUUACAAGAAUUUUAAAACCAAGUUUCUCAAUGUUCUCGGCUGAGCCACGAUGCCCAGAUGUUUUAAUUUUAUUCUCAUUUCUUGCAUGGGACCUAGAAAUUCACCCGAGGACACAAAUGUGAUUUUUCAACCAACUUUGGUGCACGAGAGCAUGUGCUUGUAGUUCAAAUUUGACUUAUGCACAUUAAAUGACCAGAAACUCAAUUAAUGUAUAAAAAAUGACAAACGAACCCGGAAUAAUUCCAAAAUUUAACAAGGCACUAAUGUUGUUCUAUGUUGCCUUUGUUAAGAAACUCAAGGGGGGGGCAGCGUAUAUCAUUUCACACUCAAAGGUGGCACGUUCCCUCUUAGAACCACGAGCUUCCAAAUCGGCCCAAUUUUUUACCACAACAUGUUAGUGCAUGACAUGAUACUAUGCCAAGUUUCAUGAUUUCCAAGCGAGUUUUGGAUUUACAUGAAUUUAAAAUCAAAGUUUCUUGAUGUUCUCGGCCGAGUCAUGACGCCCAGAUGUUUGAAUUUCAUUCUCAUUUCUUCCAUGGGACCUAGAAAUUCAACCAAGGACACACAUGUGAUAUUUCAACCCACUUUGGUGCACCGGAGCAUGUGCGUGCAAUUCAUAUUUGGAUUAUGCACAUUAAAAGUCCAGAAACUCAAUUAAUGUAUAAAAAGGCCAAAUGAACCCGAAAUAAUUCCAAAAUUUAACAGGGCACUCAUAUAGUUCUAUGUUGCCUCUGUAAAUAAAAUCAGGGGGAGGCAGCGUAUAUCGUUUCGCACACAAAGGUGACACGUUCCCUCUCGGAACCACGAGGCUUGUUGAGAGAAUCUCCGGUUUUGCAAGAGGCUUAUACCAAAACUUGUCCCAAUUCAGCCAAAAAUUAUACGUAUGAAAACAGGGUUUAGAUUAUCCCAAACAUCUCGCUACCUAGACCAUGAAUUCAACAUAAAACUGGAUACAAAUAUUUGAAUUGGAGAGCGUAUGGUACAUGUAGUUCAUAGUGAAAUAUGAUUACUGCUAUAUGUAUGUUUUUUGUUAUCAAGAUAAUAUUUAAAUUAUUGUAUAACUUGACAACAAUCGUAUUCAAAUAAGGAAAAUUGAUUCAAAUUUAGUCCAUAUGGUAGACGACAAUAUAUAUGUUCACAUGGUGGAGUAAAAUGUUCAUAUAUGAUGGAAGAUCAAAAUGUAUGACUACAUCAAUUAUAAACCACAAGGUCACGUAACGAUAUAUUUGAAUUCAACAUAACAUGGAUUCAAAAAUUAAAAUUCGAGAUCAUGGCAUCUGUAAUCAUAUAAAAAGGGACAUUACUCUUUCUUUGGUGGGAAUUGAUUUGUUUUUUGUUGUUGUUGAGGAAAGUGCGAAUCGAUUUGGUACUGUGCAGGGUAAUCUUGUUCUCUCGAUUUUUUUACAUUUUUCUUGUAGUUUUAUCAAUGGCAUCUAUAGCAAUAUAGUAAAAGGGGAUAUGAAUCUCUUGUGUCUUGUAUGAAUUUUUUUUACACGUUAAGUUUGUUCUGCCGAACAAGGAAUCCGCACCUUGUUAUCCCGAAAUUUUCAAGCUCGAGUAUCUUUUGUCUCACCUGCUUUGAAACUCCCGCUUCUUCAACCUGCGCCGCGCCUUGUUAUCCCAAAAUUUGGACGCGCGCGAGAACUCCCUCCUCAUCCGAAAUCGCUCCCGCAGCCCAGACACGCGAAAUCCCCCUUCUACCCCUCAGCCGGAAAUGAAGCUCCGCGCCGCGGUGUCAAAACCGGUAGGGGUACGCUGGUAACUUACCCUACAUUUCGGACAAGCGCGUCCCUAAGCUUGGCUCCCCCAUCCCCCUUCGCCCCCCCAUUCGUACAACGAGGCCGCCAAAACCCGCGAAACCCCACGCUCCUCCGUCGGCCUCCCGACCGCCGCCCAGCCGGAGACUCUUCCCCGACUACGUCGUCCACCGCAACAGCUCGCCGUCCCUCAUCCACCGCACCGGAUGAGGAUCCGUUGUCGAUCUCGUCGUCCCGCCGGAUCAGCCGCCCCGUCCUCCACCUCCCAGGAGCUACCCCGACAUUCGCCUCGUCUAUCGCGCCACCUCAAUCCCCACAGCGCCGUCUUGACCUGCCCCACCGGAACCGCAGCACCCUCACCAAUUCCUCCGAUGAAGCCAAGGCCAACUCGGCGCCACCAAGGAGGUUCUGCACUCACUGCUGCAUUUUAUCUUUUAUUCGAUCUCACGGGGCUGCCGGUGCUCGAUACCGAGCAGACAUGGCGUGUCUCCAUCGACGGCACCGUCGCCGGCCACAUCAUCCACGGUGUCUCUCCCCCAUGUCGUUGCUUCCUCGACGGCGACUUCCACAACGGCACUAGCUGCAGCUGCUCCGGCUCUCGCUCGCGCUGCGGCUCUGUUCUUGCUGUCGGUCGUGCUGCUGCACUGCUCCUGCUUUCGUUCAUGCUGCUGCUCUGCUCUUGCUCUAGCUUGCGCUGCUGCUGCUGUUGCACGACCUCCGGCAGCUACAGGAGUUGCUGCUUUAGCACUCGCUCGCGGUGCUACUGCACGACUUGCUCUCUGCUAGUGCGUUCCCUGCUCGAGCGUCUGCUGAUUUAGAUCACUGCUUCUCUGCUACUAGUGCUCGAACGCCCUAAACAUCUAUUGCAAUGCUCUGUUACUAGUUCAAUCAGUUUCGACAGUAAAAUUCAGUUUCGACUGUGAAGUUCAUUUUCUUCAGUUAAGUUCAGAGUGAACAGUACUUACAGCAUCUGUCGGAGCGGCCGUGGCGCGGCUGAUGCGUUUUACAUCUACUCCCUCCGUUCCGAAAUAUUUGUCUUUCUAACAUUUCAAAUGGACUACAACAUACGGAUGCAUGUAGACACAUUUUAGAGUGUAGAUUCACUCACUUUGCUUCGUAUGUAGUCACUUGUUGAAAUAUCUAGAAAGACAAAUAUUUAGGAAUGGAGGGAGUAGCACUUUUUGGUGAUGUAUUUUACAUCAUCUAUUGCAGAUGAUAUUAGGGUCCCACUUCAGAUUAACAUUGUCUGUCUUGUCAUGCUUCAGCCUCGUCGCCGUACACCUUAGCGGAGCUGCUCCAACGACGGAACCGUCCAUCACAGCGGAGCAGUACCCUCGGCGCCGUUUCCAGAGGCCUCGGAUCUUCUUCCCCGCCUUCGACAGUCACACCAGCAUCAUCACCAUCCUCCACGUCCAACCCAAUGAUGCUGAGGUCCACAAGGCUAUGCCAAAGAGGUUGUACACUCGUCACAUCACUUUGUUUCUCCAUUCCUCUGUUCUUCCAAUUCAUGUGAGCCAAACACCUAGGUUGACUGAAAUCCUAUGUUUCCAAAUGCUCUGUUUUGCACGUGCAUUCCUAUCCUAUUCCCGUGUUUUUCCUGUCCCUACGUUUAUAGAAUCCUCCAAUUCUAAGGAGCCCUUACAGAUUUACUUCAUUUUCAGAUAGGCGUCAAAGAAAACUCUGUGUGUUAUGUCCUGCUCCUGCCGUGCCGUCAUCCACCCCACCUGAGGUGCACCAUCGAUAGAAGCGUUCACUGCAGUAGAGAUCCUCCCUGCAGACUUCCUUUCGCCGCCUCAGAUCAUCUUCCCCGUUGCCGGCAGCCACGCCAACUGCAUUACCAUCAUCGACUGAGCAGAUGAACCUGAGGACUACACAGUUCCGGAAGAGAGGUCGCAGUCUUUCGUGUUUGCUUACGUUAUACAUCGGUUAUUACUUGCUACUUUAUCGUUCAAUAUUGAGUUUUAAAUUGCCCAUGGGUCUCAUAUCGAGCCAGCAACAAAUAGUAUCUGUCUACUAUCUGGUUCAUCUGGGGUCUUCUAUGUGGUUCAUGUUGGGUGGGCAACAAACAAUAGAUGAUCCAUUGUCUAUCUUUUUUAACUGAAGCUAUAAUCUACCUGCUAUCAUUAGUUUUGGAUCUAUCCACUCGUUUGCUACCAUCAGUCUUGAUUUUUGCAUGCACCCCUUAGGCCUUACAAAAUCUAACUAUUUUUUUAUUAUGCAUGUCAGAUAUUGUACACAAUCGUACUGAACAUGUAGAGAAAAAGAGAAGACCGUUGCGUGCGAAUAUAAUGUCAUGCAGACGCCGCUCCAUGGUGGGCGAAGUGGCCCCCCUUCCUGCAUUUCCAGAUUGUAUUCUAGAGGAAGAUAACUGUUCAGAUGGAGAUUAAGAAGGAGCCGACCACGCCUGUUUACCACCUGAGGUGUUUGCUCUAACCUGGCAUGCUGAUGUUGGUCAUAUCAUGCAUAUGGCGCCUUGCAUUGCUUACAUUAUACAUCUUAUAUGUCAUCAGCUUAGUUUAUAUUUGCUUUGUGUGAAUGCCACCUAUUUGGUUUCUAUAUCAUACUCCCACCAUUCCUAAAUAUUUGUCUUUUUAGAGAUUUCAACAAGUGACUACAUACGGAACAAAAUGAGUGAAUCUACACUCUAAAAUAUGUCUAUAUACAUCCGUAUGUGGUAGUCCAUUUGAAAUCUCUAAAAAGAGAAAUAUUUAGGAACGGAGGGAGUAUAUGGGAAUUAUGCAAUGCCAUCUUCUUUAGCCAGGCAUCAUAUACGUGAAUCAUGCAAUGCCAUCCUAUUUAGCCAGUCACCGUAUAUGUGAAUUGUAUUGUGCCAUAUUUUUUUCCAUAAUGUAUUCCAUUUGUCAACAAUGUUUACACAUUCAUCUACUCUUCCUGUGCAUCAGCCAUUUGAGUCGGUCAUGGGAAAAUCUGGAGUGAAAACAAGGUCUUCUGAGCAGUCAGUGCUACCUGUGGAUGCAGAUUUCUUGCUGGUUACAGAUAGCUCCUCAGAGGAGGAUUCAGAGAGAGAUGACCAGUCGUAUCCCCCCCCCCCCGAGGUGCAUGCUCUAACUUGGCUGGGUUAUAUUGCUCAUAUCAUGCAUAUGGUGUCUUGCAUUGCCAUGCCAUCUGCUUAGAUUAGACAUGCUUUGUGUGAAUGCCUCCUGUUUGCUUUCUAUAUCAGAUAUGUGAAUUAUGCAAUGCCAUGUUUUUCAGCCAGUUAUCAUAUAUGUGAAUUAUGCACCGCCAUGGAGCCAGGCAUCAUAUAUGUGAAUUAUCUCAUGCCAUCUUUUUUUAUUACAUAUUCCGUUUGUCGACAAUCUGUGUAUAUUGAACUACUCUUCAUGUGUAUCAGCCAUUUGAGCCGGUUAUGGAAAAAUCUGGAGUGAAAACAAGGUCUUCAGAGCAGGCAAUGGUACCUGUUGAAGCAUAUAUCUCGAUGGUUACAGGGAGCUCCUCAGAGGAGGAUUCAGAGACAAAUGACCAGUCCUAUAUCCCACCUGAGGUGUAUGCUCUAAGUUGCAAUGUUUAUAUUUCUCAUAUGAUGCAUAUGGUGUCUUGCAUUGCUUAGUUUAGACAUCAUAUGCAUAAUAUUGAAUUCUAUCUGCUUAGUUUAGAGAUCAUACAUGCGAGUGCCAGCUGCUUAGUAUAUGAAUCAAUUAUGUCAAUUAUAUCAUGCCAUCCUGUAUACUUAGACAACAUGUAUGUGAAUUAUUUCAUCCCAACCUAUUUUAGAAAGACAUCAUAUAGUUUUGUCAUGUCAUUCUGUUUAGGUACUCAUCAUAUGUUGAAUUAUGCCAUUAUAUCCUGUUAAGUUAUCCAUCAUAUAUUUGAAACUGUGUCAUGCUAUCCUGUUUAGUUAGGCAUCAUAUAUGUGAAAUUGUGUCAUGCUGUCCUGUUUGGUUAGACAACAUAUAUGUGAAUUACCACAUCUGUCUAUCAUACAAUGUCUGUACGUUCAAUUUCUUUUCUUGUUUAUCAGCCAUUUGAAUUGGAGGGGGUGAUGGCAGUAUCUAAGGGAGCAAAAACCCGUUCUUCACAAAAGACAGUGCUACCCGUCGAUGCAGAUAGAACCAUGGUUGUACUGGCCCACAAACUAGCCCCACCACACAUAAUCGAGACUCUUCCAGAUUGCACACUUACACCGUUGGGUAGAGAACCAGCUACAACCCAUCUAACCGCAACCCCAGCGGAUAGUAACCCACUUAUAGUUGACAAAGCACCAUGUCCACCACAGAGUACCCCCACACGAGCAGUUUGUAAAGCUACUGCAGUGCCCAAAGCACGAAGACCACCACAGUUAACCCAAACUCCACGUUUAAAGCAGAAGAGCAACUGUUCUCAGGUCAGAUUCCAUAGCUAUGGUCAAUACUCCUUUGCUGUUGCAUCACUAUAUUUACUCAUACCAACUACUUUCGAAUUUGAAGGAUCCGAUUGAAACUCCAAUGGCGCAACAGGUAUGUUUUAAACCUAUUUCUUUAACUGGAUUGCUGUUCUAACUUCUUGCUCUAUGUUGAUUUCAGUUUAAGUUGUAUAAAUAGUUAUGUUCUCAUGUGAUGCACAUUACAAGUGCUGCCAAUGCUGUGUAGUUUCUCACACUUAUAUUCUGUCUAUGCUGCUAUGUCUUAAAAAUAUAUGAGUUGAACUGUGUCUCUAUCUUGAUUAGGGAACAUAAACUAGAAUGAUAUGGACAAUACAGUGACCAUAGUACAUAGAUAUAUGUUUGUUUCAUGCUGUUAUCCUGUCGGUUUACCAAAAUGAGUUUCGUAUACUACAAGCUAAACCUGUGAUGUGUCUGCUUGUUUCUCUUGUAGUAUGCAAACAGAAUAUUGGAGAAGAGCACCCCACUAUGCAAUGGUAGAGAAAGUAAUGCAGAUAAGGUUCAAGAUAGUGAGACAACCCUGUUGGUCUCCAAGAAAGGUGAUAAAAAUGAUCUUGUAGACAGUGAGAAAACCCCACAGUCCUGCGUUGAUGUAGUGUUCGAGUUACUGGCCAGUACCGCUGGCACAAGCUCUUCGAACUCGCUGCCUGAAUCACUUCGGCUUCUUCAGUCUCAGCUACAAGCUGAAAGGCAUCAGUCAGCUGUGCUGCGGCAAGAAGCCCAAGGACUGAGGAAGUCCCUGCAGAAUUCAGAUGCGUACUUUGUUGUGCAACAGCAAGCGCUGGAGGAUUUAAGCGCCAAACAAGAGAAAGUUAAUAAGCUUGCUAAGCAUCUUGCCAGCAUUAUGGGUACCCAGGAUAUUGUUUCUUGAACUCUUCUGCAGUGGUUUCAGUUCUGGACUUGUUUUGCAGUGGAGUUUAUAUGCUGCUUUGUUCCCUAUAUUUGCACUGGUGACAAACUUUGAUGCCCAGUGGAUGUAAUGUGUGUAAUAGCCGUGAUAGCCUAGCAUAAGUUGCUUGCUUAUUUAUUUCCUUGUUGUCUUGUUUAUUUGUUUGCUUGUAGUCAGUGCAGUUCUUUUUCCGCGGUUUGCUAGUGGCUGCAAUAACCUAUUUUUUAAAACUAGGCCACAAUAACCAUGGGCUAAUAUUUAUUGUAGUGACACUAGGCCUCCUACGGGCCGUAGAAACAGUGGGCCUUCUACCGGCCGUAGAAACAGUAGGCCUUCUAUGGGCCGUGGAAACAAUGGGCCUUCUACGGGCCGUAGAAACAAUGGGCCUUCUACGGGCCGUAUCAUCAAUGGGCCUUAUACGGGCCGUAUGAUCGAUUGGCCAAACAUGGGCCAAUAACAGGCCGCAUUAUGGCCGUAAAUGGGCUAGUGUUGGAAUCGUCUGUUCAUGGGCCGACCAUAACGGGCCAUCGUUAAUAGGCCGUAUUUGAUGACGCUAUGAAAACGGCCCAACGUAUUAACGGACCACAAACGGGCCGACUGUAACCACGUGCUGAAUUUGGCCCACAAGCAGAAAAUGAUAGUAACGGGCCGUAAGUAAACGAAUGCUGGAAAUGAGCCCAAGAAUAAAUGGGCUCUGAGAAGGCCGAAAGAUAACAUGGGCUGGAAACGGCCCAACGAAAUAACGGGCCGUUAAUGGGUAUAAAGUGAUACACUGUUCAUUAUGGGCCAGUUUCACCACGGGCCGUUAAUGGGUGUAAAGUGAUACACUGUUCAUUACGGGCCAGUUUCACCACGGGCCGUUAAUAGGCCAAGAGUUACAUAGGGCCUCAUAUGGGCCGAAAGACGUCAUGGGCCAUACAUGGGCCAGAAGUGAAAACGGGCUGGAAUCAUAUUGGAUGGCCCAGAUGACGCUACUGGGCCUAAUUCGGAUAGGGCGUAAUAGGCCUUGGGUUAGCGGGCUGUAAAUGGGCUAUAUGCGAACAGGGCGUUAACAGGCUUUCCAUGGGCCGGCCCACCACCUUUUGACCAAGUCAAACGGGCCGGCCUUUUCACAGGAAUGGGCCUCUGUUGGGCCGUGCCACGUGUCGAUGUAUCAUAGGCGCCUUCUGUCCAAUGAGUGGAUGACAUCUGUCCCAACGAUGAGCCGACACGUGUUUCCCCCAGCCAAUGAUGAUUUUACACGUGGAAAAUCCCCAUUGGUCGGGGCUGUUAACGGGUUAUCGGAUCCAAAACCCGACCCGAUAGCUUAACGGCGUUCCGUUACGGUGGAUGCCACGUGUCGGUUACCCUUGACGAAAGCACUUCUGUGAUGUGCGAUUUAUCAUCAUGGAAGUGCACACUUCCGUUAUGAUAAUUUUGGUAAUGUCAUGGAACACUUCUACGACAGCACAGGUAUGACUAUCUUGAUUCUGUCAUAAAAUCAUCAUGGAUGUACAUGCAUGACAAAAAACGCGACCUACUGUGACAAACACGUAUCAUCACAGAAGUGAUUUUUUUGUAGUGUAUAUACUCAGUGGCGCCUGGCAACUUAUUCUGAUGGAUCACCUCUUCUUGUCUGUAUACAACGCACUACUGAUGUUACUACUAAGGAAGCAGGUGGUGUCUCCCAUGGUCGCACUCUCCGGACCUGUUCCAACAUUCGUUGCAGGGUAUUCGGGAUGGAUACUAGUGUGCUAGCACCAACACCUGCUCCCUGGUUCAGUAUUGAUAGUCUUGGAGAAAACUCGCUCUUCCUUGGACAAAACUAUCCAAUGAUGGUGAAAGGCGAUCCAGCUGCUAUUGACACAACGUUACUACCAUUUAUGAGAAGCAACUGUAUCUAUACCUCGGACAUUGCUAUGGUUCCCUACCCUGGUUAUCACAAUAUGCAUCCUGAUAUAGUCCGCUUCAGCCUGGAUGAUCAGUCCUGCGUUGGUCUCGAUAUUGACAAUAGCUAGCCCUUCCCAAAGGCUUACCUAUGGUUCAAAGCAAGCGUUUCCAACACCGAGGAUUGGUUGAGCUAAAGUUCUUUUCAUUCCUUGUUAUUUGUUGUGUGAUAAAAGCUUUAGUAUUUACUAGAAUGUUUUGUUGGAAAUAAUCUAUAAUCCAACAUGUAUCCUCGUUGUCGUUGUGUGUUGAUGACUUGGUGUAUGUAACGAAUGCUACAUUUGCAUAUGCAUGUCAUAAACUCAAUUUAUGAAUGGUUUCCGAGUCACUUCUUGGAGUGUGAGUACCAUAGUAGUAUAGCCAGCAUCCGGUUAUAUGAAGUUGUCACAUCACAUAGAGCCAACCUAAUAGUGGAGUAUGCUAGCACAAUAGAGCUAGGUGUGGUUAGUUCUAGUUAGUAGUAGUAUACCAUCAACUAGAGCUAGGUGUCGCACGAAGGCCGAGAAAUAUGGUGAUAGCAUGACUGCGUGAGGUGGGCUUGUACGUAGUAUGAUGUAGGCACAGGGCUUGCCGUGUUUCCUACUCCCCCGGUCUAAAUGUGGAGAAGAUUUGGUAGAGUUCAUCCUCCUUUUGCCGACACAAGGGACAUCCAGCAUCCAAGUCGUGUCAUGCAAGAAAAUGGAGUGCUAGUUGAAGCCAUGUGAUGUGCAUCUUGGGUUAAACUGUAAAUAGAAUCUUACUCUUGAGUAACUCCAAAAGCGGCCGCCGAAGAUCUUUAUUGGAUUUGUUUUUCAUCACCAGCACGUCGAGGUUAAAGAUGUGCAGGUUCAGUGGGUCGUCUUGCGUUUUCACUGACAUGUGGGACCGCAUGUGAGCAAACCAACGAUGGGCUCCACACGUCUGCUGGCUGGCUGAGAAGAGAGGGAGAGGAGGGCUGAGCACAGACUCCAGGAAAUUUCAUGACAAUGUGAGUAGUACUAGUGGUGUACCAUACUCCUGGAGAGAUAAUGUGUUCGCUCUACAUAACCAGCACCUCGAUAUAGUGGGGUGGCAUGGGCCAUAACUAGCAUUCACGUCUAGCAGUACGGCACAUGCCACCCACACGAGCCCCAUCUGACACCAAUUUUCUUGGAGUCCAUGCUACAACCAUCUCUUCUUCCUCCUGUUUUCUCUAACUCAGCCAUCGCACGGUGGGCGAGGUGGGGGUUUGCCGAUAGUCGGUUUUCUCGACUGCGGUUCCACUUGUAAGUGAAAAUGCAACACAACACGCAUUCCCCCUUAAGCGGCCUGCCGGACCAACCGUGUGGGGGUGCGAUGCGAACACGGCAGGCUUUUCCUUUUGAACUUGUAACUUGUAAAAUUUGGUUCUGCUCCAUGGCGCGACCGAUAGAUAGAAAUAAAGAUUUUCCCUAGAGUAAUGAGAAGUUUGGUUCUGGUGCAGUUCAUGCAUGGAGUACGUACAAACAUUAUAAAGUUGAUACGAAAGGUAAGAUAAUUACUAGUACAAUAUACUACUACAUGAAAUUGACAAAAAGAUAAAGAUACAUACGGAUCCAUCAACGACAUCCUCACACCCUAGUGCGCCGCGUCACCAACCGACGUGUGAGGAGCAGCGGCGUUGGUGGCGAGCUCAACGUGCUUCUGAACAAUGCCGUCCAAGGUUGCCCUGCGGUCCAAGAAGGCCAACGUCCUAUCGUCCUCCUCUUGCACGUAGUAGUCCUUAUGGACGAUUUGGACGUAGACAUGGGUGAUUAUGUCGAUGGUGUCUUGUUGCGCCAGGCGCUAUGCGGCGAGCGCGGCCUCGAAGUGGACAUUCUCCGGCGCGACGGCAGGCAGUUUGUGAGCUUCUUCACGAUGGUGAACUUGUCGAGGAAGCCGACAAGGACCUCGUCGAACAAGGAGACGAAGCUGUCGUCCAAGAGGCCUCUCGCCUUGGCGGCCUCAAGCACGACCUGGAGAUGUUCCUCGGUGCCGGGCCGCAGACUGGCGUCGUGGACCAUCCGGCACAGCCGGCUAAUGCUCGCGCUCAUUGCCUCCAUGCGUCUAGCUUCUAGUCAACUGAUCUUGCGAUUGGAGUGAUCACUCUUGCCCUUGGUUAGGCUGCGUAGGUGCGUAGGAUUUCGUAGAUUGAACUGGCGGGGAGCCUUUAUAUGAGAAGUGCAGACUGCGUUGCAUUCACGUGUGUGAUGGCCAUCUACUCCUUGGCCCUCCCUCCAUGCCGGUGCAGUCACUACAAAAAAGACACAUCCAUGACAUUUUGGGCCGAACGAUUUUUUUUCUGUCAUGCUUAUGACACUUCUAUGAUGAUAAUUGUGACAAAACCCGGUAUCAUCAUAGAUGUUGUGGGCUCCUACUUCUAUGACAAAAAAUCAUGACAGAAAAUUGGCUUUUCGUCCUGGGCGGGCCGGAGACGCACCUGCAUGACAUUCUUUGGGCCAUCCAUGACGGAAAAAAUGUGGUAGAAGCGAGGGCGAGGAAAAUUUCGGGGAGUUCCCGGUUACGGUGGGUGGUCAGGGCCGAGCGAUGCACGAAGGUUUGCGCAUUUCUCUCUCGUACACGUACGCGCGUGUUUGCGUGGCGUUGCGCUCUAGCUGAACCCGUGUGAGAAGUUGGGCUCUAACUGAACCCGAGCGAUUGCACUAGCUACGUUACUGAACCCCGAUCGAUCCCUUGCUGUUAACUGAACCCGAGUGAUUCCUUCGCUACUACUGCUAACUGAAGCCGAUCGAAGCCGUCUCUUGAUGAAUAGUUCCCGGUGGGGGUUGGAUGAACAGGUCCCGGUGGGGUUGGAUGAAUAGGAUCCCGUGGUAGUAGAGGUCGUUGCCACUGGAUGAACAGGACCCUGAUCGAGGAGGUGGGGGUGGAUGAAUAAUAGCCGGUGGAGGGACCCCGUGGAGGCCUGGUUGAACAGGACCCCGUGGAGGGGCUGGUUGAACAGGACCCCGUGGAGGGUUGUUCUAACUUCUUGCUCUAUGUUGAUUUCAGUUUUAGUUGUAUAAACAGUUAUGUCUCAUGUGAUGCACAUUACAAGUGUUGCUAGUGCUGUGUAGUUUCUCACACUUAUAUUCUAUCUACGCUGUUGUGUCUUAAAAAUAUAUGAUUUGAACUGUGUCUAUCUUGAUUUGGCAACAUAAACUAGAAUGAUAUGGACAAUACAGUGACCAUAGUACAUAGAUAUAUGUUUGUUUCAUGCUGUUAUCCUGUCCACCUUACUACUGAACCGGUUUACCAAAAUGAGUUUCGUAUACUACAUGCUAAACCUGUGAUGUGUCUGCUUGUUUCUCUUCUAGAAUGCAAACAGAAUAUUGGAGAAGAGCACCCCACUAUGCAAUGGUAGAGAAAGUAAUGCAGAUAAGGUUCAAGAUAGUGAGACAACCCUGUUGGUCUCCAAGAAAGGUGAUAAAAACGAUCUUGUAGAUAGUGAGACAACCCCACAGUCCAGCGUUGAUGUAGUGUUCGAGUUACUGGCCAGUACCGCUGGCACAAGCUCUUCGAACUCGCUGCCUGGAUUACUUCGGCUUCUUCAGUCUCAGCUACAAGCUGAAAGGCAUCAGUCAGCUAUGCUGCGGCAAGAAGCCAGAGGACUGAGGAAGUCCCUGCAAAAUUCAGAUGCAUACUUUCUAGUGCAACAACAAACGCUGGAGGAUUUAAGCGCCAAACAAGAGAAAGUUAAUAAGCCUGCUAAGCAUUGUCGGAGUAAUUGGCCACAGGUAGCCUCAUCGCCCCCCAUGGCGCUUCAAGACAUCGGGCCGGCCGUCCCCCUCAAGAUUCAAAGAGCCAAGGGGCGCCCUCUCGCGGCCGGCUGGUCCUGGCGGCCGGCUGCCAGGGGACGGCAAAGCCCAGCAGGCGGCCACGAGGUGGGCCGGCUCCUAGCAGGCGGCCUCCAGUGAGGCCAGCUCCUAGCAGGCGGCCCUAGGCGUCCUUGAAGUCUGCGUCCACAUAAAUGCGACGAGACCGGGCGUGGCUACAACACGCCUUGCCACCCUCGAAUCUAGGGCCAAGCGUGGCCACAGUGUGCCAUACCAAAAGGAGAUCUCCCGUCCGGCGCGUCACUGUUACCACGCUGCCCAUGACAUCACCCCUGUCAGAGGGAGCCAUGUUCCCACGACGGGAUGCUGGUACGGCCCAUUGGCAGCGGGCCCUACCUGUCCACAAGGAGCCAGAAGGCAGCGAGCCCAGACCAGUCGGCUCAUAGGGAGGCCGGCCCCUGACCAAGCGGCGUUCCUCUCCUUGGAGUUUGUGUGCCAUUAACUAGAAGAGACGGGGAGUGGAUACAGUGAACGCCCGCCAGGCGGCGGUACUGUAGCCACGCCUCCCCCAACAAAGCAUGCGUCAUUACCAACAUAGCUACAGUGCUGAGCAGCCAGCAAGACCCGCGAGCGGCGGGUGCGGCCUGUCGGCCAAGUACGAGACAGCCGGCGGGGCCCACCAGGCGGCGGGCCCCAUCUGCCGGCGGAGGAGCCGGCGACCAGAGACACUGACAGCCGGGUCCUACACCCGGCCAGAUUACCUUUGUACCCCUGGGGGGUAGGCCUAUAUAAACCCCCCAGGGCGCCCAUGCAAAGGGUUCAGACUCUAGUUCAUCCACACACCCAUAUAGAGAGAGGAAGCUAGGGCUAGCCUUGUUCUUCUUCCCCCUCUAGAGAAACAGCUCAAGGAGCAAGCUUGUAACCACCAUUGUUGCUUGAGUGAUCAUGCGGAGACCCCGCAGAGCAGGAGUAGGGGUGUUAUCUCCUAGGAGAACCCCGAACCUGGGUAAGAUUCGCCGGCGUGCAUGUCUACGCCUCAUCCCGUUUCCUGGCACCGGCGACGUAUUAUUAGCCCCCUCCAUGAUAAGCCAUCGUUUGGCAUAUGUCGCACGACACCCCGACAUUUGGCGCCCACCAUGGGGCUAGGUGCACCGUCCCCCACCACCAACUCACCGCCGACUCGAGGCGCCGGCGACGCGUCCGGCCGACUGCCUUGAGCUUCGGCAGCCGGCGUCUGCUGGGACACCCCCGUCCUCAGGAUGACAGCGUCGCCUCCCUCCUUCUCCAUGACCGCCUGGUCGUUGCCGGCUACUCCGGUCGGCACCAAGAUCCCUGGCGCCGGCGGCAUGGAGCGCAGCGGGAUGACCAGCUGUGGAGCCUGGCUACCCGCAACUCCUCCUGCUUGUGCCUUGGCGGCCGCGUCCGCCUGGGCCUUGGUCGCCUCCUCCUCCCAGGCCUUGGCCGCGGCGUCGGCCUAAGCCUUGGCCGGCGCGUCCGCCUCCUCCUGCGCCGCCUUGGCCGCGUCCGCCUUCGCCUGCUCCGCCCUGUCCUUCUCCUCGCGUGCCUCCCGCGCGUUCUUCUCCGUCGCCUCCCGGAGGUCGGCGAGCGGGUCUAUGCGGUGGGUGUUGGUGGAGCCAUCCAUUCCCCCAACAAUGGAGGCGGAAGCCGACCGCUCAAGGGAGAGCGGGGCUCUGUUCACACAAGACAAGAAGAAUUCAGAAAGGGUUUGCAAACAAGACCUAGAAAGGACAAAGGAAACACAAAGAAAGAUAUGCUCUUACGCGGACACCGUCGGCGGCUGCUUCGGGGCCCUUUGGAACCGGGCUGCCUUCGCGGCGGCCUCCUCCCACCUGGUCGCUGCGGCUGAGCCCUUGGGAUUCUUCGGCCGACCGCCUUGCAGCUGCGUGCCGGCUCGGCGCUUCGGUGCACCGCCUGGUCCGGGUGGCGCCGCUGAGGAGCUCGCCCCCGCCCUGUUGGCAACCGGCUGGCGGCGAGGCUCGGCCUCCUCCUCGUUGUCAUCUGGCCACGUCUCGAGGCCGCCUCCCCCACCGGAGCCGCCUACCCCGUCGCAACCACCUGUGGCGUCAUCUUCCAAGGCGGCCACCCCCAAGUCGGGGUCGUCCGCAUCGCUCAGCGCUCGGUCCGGCAGGUACUCCUGGCCUUGCGCCAGGGCGUCGGCUGCCGGCUAGGUCGGGAGGAGCUGCGACACGUCUGACUGAUCAGUCGGCAAAGCAGAACUCGGCAGAAGAAGAAAAGACCAAGAAAGAAAGGAUAGUCGGGAGCUUACGGCUGGAGGCGGAUGCGCGCGGGAGUAUGGCCGCUUGCCGAACCGCCACUCCGACUCCGAUAGCUUGCAGUUCGCGAUCUCGUUCACCAUGCGGGCCACCUCCAUGGUCGGCAUCUCCCGGGUAGACAGCCGGCACGGGUCUCAGUGCCUGCUCAUCUGACUGAUCAGAGGAGGCCGGCCCUGGAGAGGGAGAACCCGGCGCACCACGAAGGCGGUCAACAGGUCGGAGGCCGUGAGGCCCUCCGAAUCCGUCAUUUCCUUAAGCCUGGUGACGGCGGCGGCGGAGGAGGUUGACAGAUGCUUCGCCAUGAAGGACCAGUUGGUGCGCAGCUCGGCCAGUGGGCCAGCUUCAUAAGCCGGGAGGUUGACGAAGUCUAGCGCCGAGUUGACGUUCUUGACGUAGAAGUAUGACUUUUGCAAGAGCUUGAUCGACUGUGUCAGGGUGAUGGACGGGAAGCGGUUCCCAGCUCCCGGGCACCUCACCGCGACAAAGGCGCCGCACUGAACCGGUUCGUCUUUGGAGGAGACGCCGAGUUUUGUGUAGAAGAAUUCUCCCCACAACUCAAGAGUGGGGAGAAUGCCGAGGUAGCCCUCGCAUAGCGUGACGAAGGCCGAUAGCAGCACCACCGUGUUUGGUGUGAGCUGGUGCGGCUGGAGGUGGUAAAACUGGAGAAAGGCACGGAGGAAACCACUCGCCGGCAGGCCGAAGCCCCGGAGGAAAUGCGAGCGGAAGAUGACGUGCUCACCUUCCUCUGGUGCCGACGAGAUCUCCUUCGCCGGCGGGACGCGCGUCUGGACGUAGCCCUUGCCGGGCAGCCGCCGCGUGUUGCAGAGAUAGGAGAUGCGGCCUUCGAUGACGUUAGAGCCAUCCCAGUUGCCGGCUCGCUCUCGCGCCAUGGAAGCUCAAGCUCGACGAGGCGAUGCCGCGGCGAAGAGGCUGGGUUUGGUGACGACGGGCCGCGGCAGCACUUCGGCGAGUUGCGGGAAUGCGGUGGCGGCGGAAAGAGAGAAGAGGAAGAGCAAGGCAGAGGGACAGGAGGGCGUGCGUGCUAAUGCCGCCCCUCCUCCCCCUAUUUAUAGCCCUAGGCUGCGAAGCCGAGGGGACGGGGCAUGGGGAUCGUGGAUUAACUGUGCCCACGACCCCACGACCCCGCAUUAACCGCACAGUAACGGCGUGGAGUAAUCACGCCACAAAAUCCCAACCGUUUGGCUUGGCGACAGCGGAUCCGCGCGCGUGCCGAGGCCUGGUAGUGGUGGGCCCCGGCCUGCGGCGAUGUCCCAUCACACGCAUGGGCUGGCAGGCGGCUUGGCCGGCUAGCGACAUGUGGCGUGCAGUUGACAGGCGGCAAGACUGGCGCCAGGCUGGCGCACCACCGAGCUCCCGCCAAGACAUUUCCAAACCACCAGACGGCCUGCCUGGUCAUAUCCGACUCCUAGCAGUUGGUACACCGGAAGACGGACGGAGCAAGGUCAAAUGAAGCACUCGGAGUAGGAAGCUGCCGAGGCUCCUUCCUUUCGUCAGCCGCGGAGCCUCGUCAGCUUCGGGGACUACUGUCGGAGUAAUUGGCCACGGGUAGCCUCAUCGGCCCCCCAUGGCGCUUCAAGACAUCGGGCCGGCUGCCCCCCUCAAGAUUCAAAGAGCCAAGCGCUGCCCCCUCGCGGCCGGCUGGUCCCGGCGGCCGGCUGCCAGGGGAUGGCAAAGCCCAGCAGGCGGCCACGAGGUGGGCCGGCUCCUAGCAGGCGGCCUCCGGAGAGGCCGGCUCCUAGCAGGCGGCCCUAGGUGUCCUCGAAGUCUGCAUCCACAUAAAUGCGACGAGACCGGGCGUGGCUAUAGCACGCCUUACCACCCUCGAAUCUAUGGCCAAGCGUGGCCACAGUGCACCGUACGAGACGGAGAUCUCCUGUCCGGUGCGGCACUGUUACCACGCUGCCCAUGACAUCACCCCUGUCAGAGGGAGCCAUGCUCCCACGACGGGAUGCUGGUACGGCCCGCAGGCAGGGGGCCCUACCUGUCCACAAGGAGCCAGAAGGCGGCGAGCCCAGACCAGUCGGCUCAUAGGGAGGCUGGCCCUGACCAUGCGGCCUUCCUCUCCUUGGAGUUUGUGCGCCAUUAACCAGAAGAGACAGGGAGUGGCUACAGUGAACGCCCGCCAGGCGGCGGUACUGUAGCCACGCCUCCCCCGACAAAGCAUGCAUCAUUACCAGCACAGCUACAGUGCUGACCAGCCAGCAAGACCCGCGAGCGGCGGGCGCGGCUUGUCGGCCAAGUAUGAGACAGCCGGCGGGGCCCACCAAGCGGCGGGCCCCAUCUACCGGCGGAGGAGCCGGCGACCAGAGACACUGACAGUCGGGUCCUACACCCGGCCGGAUUACCUUUGUACCCCUGGGGGGUAGGCACCCAUGCAAAGGGUUCAGACUCUAGUUCAUCCACACACCCAUAUAGAGAGAGGAAGCUAGGGCUAGCCUUGUUCUUCUUCCCCCUCUAGAGAAACAGCUCAAGGAGCAAGCUUGUAACCACCAUUGUUGCUUGAGUGAUCAUGCGAAGACCCCGCAGACCAGGAGUAGGGGUUGUUAUCUCCUAGGAGAGCCCCGAACCUGGGUAAGAUUCGCCGGCGUGCAUGUCUACGCCUCAUCCCGUUUCCUUGCACCGGCGACAUAUUAUUAGCCCCCUCCAUGAUAAGCCAUCCUUUGGCAUAUGUCGCAUGACACCCCCGACAAGCAUCUUGCCAGCAUUAUGGGUACCCAGGAUAUUGUUUCUUGAGCUCUCCUGAAGUGGUUUCAGUUCUGGACUUGUUUUGCUACGGCGUUUAUUUGCACUGGUCGCCAACUUUGACAACUAGUGUAUGUGAUAUGCUUCUUUGUUCCCUAUAUUUGCAAUGGUGGCAAACUUUGAUGCCUAGUGGAUGUAAUAUGUGUAAUAGCCGUGAUAGCCUAGCAUAAAUUGCUUGCUUAUUUAUUUCCUUGUUGUCUUGUUUAUUUGUUUGCUUGUAGUCAGUAUAGUUCUUUUUUUGCGGUUUGCUAGUGGCCGCAAUAACCUAUUUUUUAAAACUAGGCCACAAUGACCAUGGGCUACAUAUUUACUGUAGUGACCAUGGGCCUCCUACGGGCCGUAGAAACAAUGGCCUUCUACGGGCCAUAGAAACAAUGGGCCUUCUACGGGGCAUAUCAUCAAUGGGCCUUCUAUGGGCCGUAUGAUCGAUUGUCCAAACAUGGGCCAAUAACGGACCGCAUUAUGGGCCGUAAACGAGCUAGAGUAGGAAUCGUCCGUUCAUGGGCCGACCAUAACGGGCCGUUGUUAAUCGGACGUAUUUGAUGAUGCUAUGAAAACGGCCCAACGGAUUAACAGGCCACAAAGGGGCCGACUGUAACCACGGGAUGAAUUUGGCCCACAAGCAGAAAAGGCCUGUAACGGGCCGUAAGUAACCAAAUGCUGGAAAUGAGCCCAAGAAUAAAUGGGCCCCGAGAAGGCCGAAAGAUAACACGGGAUGGAAAUGGCCCAAUAGAAUAAUGGGUUGUUAAUGGGUAUAAAGCGACACACUGUUCAUUACGGGCCAGUUUCACCACGGGCCGUUAAUGGGCCAAGAGUUACAAAGGGCCUCAUAUGGGCCGAAAGAGGUCAUGGGCCAUACAUGGGCUGGAAGUUACAACGGGCUGGAAUCAUAUUGGACAGCCCAAAUGACGCUACUGGGCCUAAUUAGGAUAGGCCAUAACGGGCCAUGAGUUAGCGGGCUGUAAAUGGGCUAUAUGCGAACAGGCUUUAAGUGGGCCGGCCCGCUACCUUUUGACCAAGUCAAAUGGGCAGCCUUUUCACAGGAAUGUGCCUCUGUUGGGUCGUGCCAUGUGUCGACGUAUCAUAGGCGCCUUCGGUCCAAUGAGUGGAUGACAUCUGUCCCAACGGUGAGCCGACACGUGGUUCCUCUGGCCAUUGAGAAUUUUACACAUGGAAUAUCCCCAUUGGUCCGGGCUGUUAACGGGUUAUCGGAUCCAAACCGGAACCCGAUAGCUUAACGGUGACCCGUUGCGGUGGAUGCCAUGUGUCGGUUACCCUUGACGAAAGCAAUUCUAUGAUGCUUGAUUUAUCGUCAUGGAAGUGGACACUUCCGUGAUGAUAAUUUUGGUAAUUUCAUGGAACACUUCUACGACAGCACAUGUAUGACUAUCUUGAUUCUUUCAUAAAAUCGUUAUGCAUGUACAUUCAUGAUAGAAAACGUGACCUACUGUGACAAACACGUAUCAUAACGGAAGUGUAUUUUUUUGUAGUGAGUAUAGUCAUCUCACCGAGACCAAGUAGGGGCAAAAUGUGAGAAAUUUGAUGUUUACUGGUUUAUUGGUCCCCUUUGUAUUUUGCGCCAAGUUUUGACCUUUGAUUUAAGUAAUAAAAUGUUAAUGCAUGUAACCAAAAAUAAUAUCAUUGGAAACUAUGUUCAAAUACGAAUCCAAUGAUACAAUUUUUGGUGACAUGCAUUAUUAUUAUUUUAGUUAAAUAUAUGGUCAAAAUUUGACACAAAAUACUAAGGGGACCAAUAAACCAGGAUGGAGGUAGGAGUAGUAUUUUGUAAUUAAUGUCAUUGCAUAAAGAGAAUUGAGCACUGCAUGUUGCGCUAAGUAGUCUCAAGUCAUUGAAUGGAUACGCACCCCACGUCUCCUAUUGGGUGAUUUCUUUUUUCAUGGAAAAAAAACAAGGAACGAGGUGGGUAGUUAAUGCACCGCGCCUAAAAGUUUUGGGAUUAUUUUGUUUUCGUAACGUGACUAUUGCACUAGUGCGGAGGGAGUACAAUAGUAGUCUUUGAUUGCAAUUUUUUGUUGGUAGCUUACCAAGCUGAGCGCUCGAUGAGUACAAUAGUAAUCUGAUUGAUGAGACUUCAGAUUUGAGCCAUCUACCGGAAGGGAGAGUGUAUAAUAUCAUCGGGAACUACGUUCAAAACCGAAUAAAACAAUACUCCAUGUAUUUAUUUACAGAGGGAGUAGUAUAUUUUUUGUGACAUGCAUUACUAGAUAUUGCUAGUCAAAUACUAAAUCCAGACGGACGUGGUAGUACUACUAAAUCCAGACGGUGGUGCUAGUACUAGUAGUAGUACUACCAAUGUAGUAGUACUGUACUACCCAUUGGUCAAAUUAUUACGUGCUGCUCCUCACAGUGAAGUGACAAGACCCUGCACCGGAGAUGACUCCUGAGUGUAGGCACCGUGUUCGGCAUACCAAAGUCAGCCUCACCGUGUGCAGUCACUAUCAUCAUGGCUGUAGAGCUAGCCUGCUUACAACUAGCCGUGUUUGGCAUAAUUUCCCGUGCGUUGCCACGAGUAUCUCUACUCUUUUCUUAUACGAGUAAGAUGCCCGUGCAUUCACUACAAAAAAAGACACAUCCGUGACAUUUUGGGCCGAACGAAAUUUUUUUCUGUCAUACUUAUGACACUUCAAUGACAAUAAUUGUGACAAAACCCGGUAUCAUCAUAGAUGUGGUGGGGUCCUACUUCUAUGACAAAAAAUCUUGACAGAAAAUGGGCUUUUCGUCCUGGGCGGGCCGGAGACGCAACUGCAUGACAUUCUCUGGGCCGUCCAUGACAGAAAAAACCGUGAUAGAAGCGAGGGCGAGGAAAAUAUUGGGGAGUUCCCGGUUACGGUGGGUGGUCGGGGGCCGAGCGAUGCGCGUUUCUCUAGUACGUACGCGCGUGUGUGCGAGGCGUUGCGCUCUAACUGAACCCGAGCGAGGCGUUGGGCUCUAACUGAACUCGAGCGAUUGCACUGCAGGCUACCCGUUACUGAACCCGAGCGAUUGAUCAAUCCCUUGCUGUUAACUAAAGCCGAGUGAUUCCUUCGCUACUACUACUAACUGAAGCCAAUCGAUGUUGCCUCUGGAUGAACAGUGAGCGUUGUUGGGGGGUUUGGAUGAAUAGUUCCUAGUGGGGGGUUCGAUGAACAUGACCCCGUGGUAGUAGAGGCCAUUGCCGCUGGAUGAACAGUACCCCGAUCUAUCAAGCCAGUGGAUGAACAGGACCCCGUGGAGGGCUGGAUGAACAGGACCCCGUGGAGGGCUGGUUGAACAGUAGCCGGUGGAGGGCUGGAUGAACAGUAGCCCGUGGAGGGGUGGUUGAACAGGACCCCGUGGAGAGGGCUGGUUGAACAGUAGCCGGUGGAGGAGCGCGCGGUGGAGGCUGGAUGAACAGGAGCCCGUGGAUGAACAGUCGCAGGUGGAGGCUGGAGGAGGUCGACGGUGGAUGAACAGUAGCCCGUGGAGGCUGGAGGAUGUCGACGGUGGAGAUGAACAGUAUCCCGUGGAGUCCCGUUUUGCGGUACGCCACACCCCUCCCGAUGAACAGGACCCCCGUUUCGACCAUAGCGCUCCAACACAAGUCCGUUUCCUCCGUUUUGCGGUACAUCACACCCCUCCCGAUCAACAGGACCUAGUUUCGACCGUAGGAGGUCCGUUUCCUCCGUUUUGCGGUACGCCAGACCCUCCCGAUGAACAGGAUCCCAUUUUGACCGUAGACGGUCGAACACAAGGCCGUUUCCUCCAUUUUGUGGUACGCCAGGCCUCGUUUCCAUCGGCUAUUCCGUCCAAGCCGGUUGGCUCCCGAUGAACACGACGACGCAUUCCGUUCCAACCCAGCCGGUUGCCUCCCCAUGAUCACGGUGACGGCGCAGCUUCUCCGUUCCGACCCAGCCAUGUACACGAGCCCUGGCCGUACGUAUGCGCAAGUAGGCGUUUGAGACCCUGCCCGUAUGUACGUACGUGGCCGUAUUUACUUUCUUGCACCCUGGCCGUUGUACGUACGUGUACAUGCUAUGUGCGCGCCUCUACUACGACACGUGCGCGCCUCUACUACGAUACGUGUGAGCCUCUACAUCGACCAGUACGUACGUACACGUUCGUGACCAGAAUGACAACGUUACGUACGCUUCGACCAGGUGGGUCCCGACUGUCAGGCACUUCCUUGCGUGCGAAGAUGUAGCUGGUGGGUCCCAGCAGUCAGGGGGGAAACAUUUUUUUUUACGAAAUACGGUGGCCCGUCCGGUGGGUCCCUGCUGUCAGGUGGAGGAAUCAUUAUUUUCCGCGUAAUAAGGAGGCACUUCCUUGCUGCGGCCGUGGACCCAGCUGUCAGCCUCUCCACGUACAGUACUCUUCCGAUGGAAGUUGUUCCUUGACCACGUUGACCACACCGCGCCGAGAGCACCAGGGCGGUGGACGACGGCGAGGACGGGGAAGACGCGACAGUGGUUGCCCACGCGGAGAGGAGUAUGAGGGUUCACUGGUUUGGCUGCGGUGUGAGGCUGCCAUCACCGCAGAAUAACAGGGGGUGUGGGUGAGUAGAGGGAUGGCCAGGCCAGCGGUGGGAGUAGUAGGGGGCGGUGAGGCCUCCGCGGCAUCACAGCCGGCCACAGAAGGCAGGAGCACGCGGCAUGACCGGCGUUGGUUUGGGCGGCUGCAGCAAGAAGACCAGAGGUUGAAGAAGCACUAGGGCCGUUGGAUGGACAUCGUACGGUCAUUGGAGCUAGAAUCGUUCAUAUUGACUAAGUUGACAAAGCCCUCCGUCCCCGUCAACUUAGUAGGCCCACAAAUCAGCCUCCCACUAUGGUAGGUCCCAGCUAGCAGGGGGUAUUCAUUUUUUGUGCGUAAUAAGGAGGCACUUCCUUGUGUGCGAAGAUAUAGCUGGUGGGUCCGACCUGUCAGUGGGGGGAACGUUUUUUCGUGAAAUACAGAGGCCCUUCCAAUGGGUCCCAGCUGUCAGGUGGAGGAAUCAUUAUUUUGCACGUAAUAAGGAGGCAUUUCCUUGCGUGCGGCCGUGAACCCAGCUGUCAGCCUCUCCAUGCACAGUCUACUUCCGAUGGAUGUCGUUCAUUGACCACGUUGACCACUCUGCGCCGAGCGCAUCCAAGGUGGUGGACGACGGCGAGGCCCCGUGAAAGGAUCGAGAAGAGGUGUCUAGAGGGGGUGAAUAGACUCUUAACAAGAAAAAGUUGCAGUUUUUAUUUUCUUCAAGUUAAGGUAGAGUUUUAGCACAAGUUUAAACAUUCACAAUACAUUUAAGCAAGCAUGUCAAGAGUAUAUGAGCAGCGGAAAGUAAAGCAUGCAAUUUGCGAGAAUGUAAAGGGAUGGGAUUGGAGUGUGCAAACGCAAUUGGAGACACGGAGAUUUUUGGCAUGGUUCCGAUAGGUGGUGCUAUCGUACAUCCACGUUGAUGGAGACUUCAACCCACGAAGGGAAACGGUUGCGCGAGUCCAUGGAGGGCUCCACCCAUGAAGGGUCCAUGAAGAAGCAACCUUGUCUAUCCCACCACGGCCAUCACCCACGAAGUACUUUCCUCACUAGGGUAGAUCUUCACGAAGUAGGCGAUCUCUUUGCCCGUACAAACUCCUUGGUUCAACUCCACAAUCUUGACGGAGGCUCCCAAGUGACACCUAACCAAUCUAGGAGACACAACUCUCCAAAAGGUAAUAGAUGGUGUGUUGAUGAUGAACUCCUUGCUCUUGUGCUUCAAAUGAUAGUCUCCCCAACACUCAACUCUCUCUCACGGAUUUGGAUUUGGUGGAAAGAUGAUUUGAGUGGAAAGCAACUGGGAGAAGGCUAGAGAUCAAGAUUCAUAUGGUUGGAAUGGAAUAUCUUGGUCUCAACACAUGAGUAGGUGGUUCUCUCUCAGAAAAUGUAUGCUGGAAGUGUAGGCAUGUUUUGAUGGCUCUCUCCACGAAUGAAGAGUGGUGGAGGGGUAUAUAUAGCCUCCACACAAAAUCUAACCGUUACACACAAUUCACCAAACUCGGUAGGACCGAAUCAGAAAACUCGGUCAGACCGAUUUAGUUCAAAAUGUGAACGUUAGGAUAUUCGGUGGGACCAACAUGUCAACUCAGUGGGACUGAUUUCAUUAGGGUUAGGGCAUAACGUAAUCUCGGUGAGACCGAUUACACAAACUUGGUGGGACCGAUUUUGGUAAUAAGCUAACAAGAGAGUUGGUCAGGCAAACUCAGUGGGACCAAUUCGCUCAUCUUGGUGAGACCGAAACAUUACGAAAGGGAAACAGAGAGUUUGCAUUGCAAACUCGGUGGGACCGAUCGCUCAUCUCGGUUGGACCGAAACGUUACGAAGGGAGAAAGAGAGUUUGCAAUCCCAUCUCGAUGAGACCGAGAUCCCUAUCGGUGAGACCGAAUUGAUUAGGGUUUCUGGCAGUGGCUAUGUCAAGUGAUCUCGGUGGCGCCGGAUAAAGUUUCGGUGGGGCCGAGUUUGACUUUUGGUUUGGGACAUAUAGAUAUGAGAAAGUGGUUGAGGGCUUUGGAGCAUAUCACUAAGCACUUUGAGCAAGCAAGCCAUUAAGCAACACCUCAUUCCCUUUUAAUAGUAUUGGCUUUCCUAUGGACUCAAUGUGAUCUUGGAUCACUAAAAUUAAGAUGUAGAGUCUUGAGCUUUAGAGCUUGAGACAAUCCUUUGACCUUAGCAUCUUGAAGGGGUUCCACAUCCUCUUGUCCACGCCACUCCAUCUGUUGAACUUGUCUAAAAUAUACUGGAUGAAAACAUUAGUCCAACAAGAGAUACGUUGACAUUAAUUACCAAAACCACCCAGGGAGCACUUGUGCUUUCAAUCUCCCCUUUUUGGUAAUUGAUGACAACAUACAUCAAAGCUUUAGGUAAAGAUAAAGAGAAUAACAAGUAAAGCUUUGGAAGGACAUGCAACAUGCAUAGGCUCCCCCUACAUGUAUGCAGUCAUGUAAAUAAGGAAUGUAAGAGCAUGUGAAUGCAUAGACAUGACAGAGCAAGCAAUGUGUUACAUGUAUCUUGGCUAUAUGCAUCAGAGCAAAUGAUAUGAAUAUGUGAAGUGUAACUUCAUGUUCAUGAUUCCUUCUUGCAAAUAAUAUGUACAUUAGCAAAAGAUCUUCAUGCACAUGAGUGUGAUGCAUAUACUUACCUUGUGGUCUUGAGCUGACUUAGGAAGAGAUGAACCUGGGUAAACAAGGUUAGAUAACACAGAUAGAACUGCUAGACAGAGCAAACAAAAGAGCCACAAGAGUACCUAGACUGGGAUGACAUGUAGAGAGUGAGUACUAGGUACUCUAGUUUGAUAUAGACAUGUCCCCAAGGGUAAAGAUGUGCAAUGAAUUUAAAGAUUUCCUUCCCUAGAAGUUUUUCUCCCCCUGAAUCUUCUAUGGGAUAAUGGGAGAAAAUAGGGAAACAAAAUUAGAGCAAACAGACCAGAUCAACAUAAACUAGCAUGUCUUUCCCCUCUUAAAGACAUGUGACUUAUCUCCUCUUGAACACCAAGCAUCUGGGGCCUUUGAUGUUAUUCCUCUCUCCCCCUUGUUGAAGUGAUUAAGCUUUGAUGUGAUCUCUUUCUCCCCCUCUGACAUCAAUUUCCAAGAAGGGAUCUUCUGGAGUGUGAGUCAAAUAGGUUUGGUCCUUGAGUCACAGAGCAAAGCAGCAUAUAGAAUGUGAUGCUGGUGGAGGACAAGAAUCAUUGAGUGGAGCUGGAACAAAUGUGCAGGAAUAAGUGGCAAAUUGUCUUCUCUGUAGUGAAAUUGGUAACACUGAGUUGUUUUACUUCGGUAGCACCGAAUUGGUUCGGUUUGACCGAAAGCAACAGACCGGUGUGACCGAGUUCUACACAGAGAGAACAUUUGUCACCUCAGCUCACUAGGCAAAUAAGAUCUCACAAAGAUUUGCAAUGAAUUAGAUGCAGGGAAUGCAGAAUAAAACAGAGAAAAUAAAAUCUAGAUGAAGUUUUUUUUGAAUGAAGAAAGGGGAACGAAUAUGCAAGGAACAAACGCAAGAACUCAGAGAAACACUAGAGAACUUCAUCUAGAAUUGGGUGGCGACAAAGUCACCUAUGUUAGAGUAUAUUGACUGAGGAGUCAAGUGAGAACACUUGAUCAUAAGUCAUACUCAUCGUUAAAGCUCAAAAUGGGGUUACCAUUUUUCGUUUAAGCCUUUGAUGUAUUCGCAUCUUGUUGAGCUGCUUUGACCCAUGACUUGGAGUCAAGCUUCUCUAAGAUGGAAUAACAUACCUUGGGUGGUGGUGUUGAACUUGAUCAUGUAGUUGAACUUGUGUGGAGUGCUCAAGGUUGAUGUAGCGCAUCAAUGGUUGGGAGCACCACUUGUAGUUUGAGUUCAUCUACCUACAUGGGUUAGUCUUGCAAGGAAGAGCACUUGUGUAUCCAAAAUGACAAUCAUGAAACUUGAUACCAAAUGAAAUUUGAUAUAUAGAAUUUGUAAGGAUAUGUUGAAGGGUUUCAUGCUUCCUUGUCUUCAACCACCAUGUUGUAGAGACUUGGUGAUGUAGAGAUUACUCAAGAUGUGAGUGAGUUGCAAUCCCAUGGAUUUAGAUUCAACCAAGUACCUACAAGGGUUAGAUAGCAUGCAAGGGUACAAAUAUAUCCGAGACACAUGAUUAUCAUCAUAAGAGAAGAAUCAAGGAUUAGUCAUAGGCUCAUGCCUUGCAUGUAUCCAAAUGGAGUUCCUACUCCAAGUUUGAAGCAUCAAUGAUGUUCAAUUCACCUCUCAAAUGGCAAAAUACUUUCUCAUCAAGUGGUUUGGUGAAUAUAUCCGCCAAUUGCUUAUUGGUACGAACAUGCUUAAGAUCAAUGUCCCCUUUAGCAACAUGAUCUCGAAUGAAAUGAUGACGAACUUCAAUAUGCUUAGUUCGAGAAUGUUGCACGGGAUUGUGAGCAAUCUUAAUAGCACUCUCAUUGUCACAUAGCAAUGGAACAUGUUUCACAUUAAUCCCAUAAUCUUUAAGAGUUUGGGUCAUCCAAAGUAAUUGAGCACAACAUGAACCGGCGGCAAUGUAUUCCACUUCGGCGGUGGAUAAGGAUACCGAGUUUUGUUUCUUGGAGGACCAAGACACAAGAGAUCUACCAAGAAAUUGACAAGUACCCGAAGUGGACUUUCUAUCAACCUUGUCACCGGCAUAGUCCGAGUUGGAGUAGCCAACAAGAUCAAAAGAAGACCUCUUAGGAUACCAAAUGCCAAAGUUUGGUGUAUGUAUUAAGUAUCUCACUAUCCUUUUCACAGCCUUAAGAUGACAUUCUUUGGGGGCUGCUUGAUAUCGUGCACACAUGAACACACUUAGCAUAAUAUCGGGAUGGGAGGCACAUAGAUAUAAUAAUGAACCAAUCAUAGAGCGGUAAACCUUUUGGUCAACCGAUUUGCCAUCCUUGAUCAAGUCAAGAUGUCCACUAGUAGGCAUGGUGUUUUCAUACGUUUGCUUUCUUGCAUGUUGAACUUCUUGAAUAAGUCCUUGGUGUACUUUGUUUGAGAAACAAAGGUGCCUUCCUUAGUUUUCUUGAUUUGCAAACCAAGAAAGAACUUGAGUUUACUCAUCAUAGACAUCUCAAACUUCUUCGACAUUAGCUUCCCAAACUUUUCACUAAAAUGAGGGUUAGUCGAACCAAAUAUGAUAUCAUCAACAUAAAUUUGGCACACAAAUAAUUCACCAUUAACCCUUUUAGUAAAAAAGUAGAAUCUAUUUUUCCAAUCUCAAAGCCUUUUUCAAUAAGGAACUUGGUCAAGCAUUUAUACCACGCUCUGGGAGCUUGUUUAAGACCAUAAAGAGCUCUGUGAAGUUUGUAAACAUGGUCGGGUUUCUUAGGAUUGAAAAAGCCGGGAGGUUACUUAACAUAAACUUCCUCCUCAAUUUCACCAUUUAGAAAAGUACUUUAAUGUCCAUUUGGUACAAGGUGAUAUCAUGGUGAUUAGCAUAGGCAAGUAACACUACAAAAAAAUACACUUCCGUGAUGAUACGUGUUUGUCACAGUAGGUCACAUUUUCUGUCAUGCAUGUACAUCCAUGACGAUUUUAUGACAGAAUCAAGAUAGUCAUACCUGUGCUGUCGUAGAAGUGUUCCAUGACAUUACCAAAAUUAUCAUCACGGAAGUGUCCACUUCCAUGACGAUAAAUCCCGCGUCUCAGAAGUGCUUUCGUCAAGGGUGACCGACACGUGGCAUCCACCGUAACGGAACGCCGUUAAGCUAUCGGGUCGGGUUUUGGAUCCGAUAACCCGUUAACAGCCCUGACCAAUGGGGAUUUUCCACGUGUAAAAUCAUCAUUGGCUGGAGGAAACACGUGUCGGCUCAUCGUUGGGACAGAUGUCAUCCACUCAUUGGACAGAAGGCGCCUAUGAUACGUCGACACAUGGCACGGCCCAACAGAGGCCCAUUCCUGUGAAGAGGCCGGCCCGUUUGACUUGGUCAAAAGGUGGCGGGCCGACCCAUGUAAAGCCUGUUAACGGCAUGUUCGCAUAUAGCCCAUUUACAGCCCGCUAAACCAAGGCUCGUUACGCCCUAUCCAAAUUAGGCCCAGUAGCGUCAUGUGGGCCACCCAAUAUGAUUCCAGCCCGUUUUCACUUCUGGCCCAUGUAUGGCCCAUGACGUCUUUCGGCCCAUAUGAGGCCCUAUGUAACUCUUGGCCUAUUAACGGCCCGUGGUGAAACUGGCCCGUAAUGAAUAGUGUAUCACUUUACACCCAUUAACGGCCCGUGGUGAAACUAGCCCGUAGUGAACAGUGUAUCACUUUAUACCCAUUAACGGCUCGUUAUUCCGUUGGGCCGUUUCCAGCCCAUGUUAUCUUUCGGCCUUCUCAGAGCCCAUUUAUUCUUGGGCUCAUUUCCAGCAUUCGUUUACUUACGGCCCGUUACUGUCAUUUUGUGCUUGUGGGCCAAAUUCAGCCCGUGGUUACAGUCGGCCUGUUUGUGGUCCGUUAAUACGUUGGGCCGUUUUCAUAGUGUCAUCAAAUAUGGCCUAUUAACGAUGGACCGUUAUGGUCGGCCCAUGAACGGACGAUUCCAACUCUAGCCCGUUUAUGGCCAUAAUGCGGCCUGUUAUUGGCCCAUGUAUGGCCAAUCGAUCAUACUGCCCGUAUAAGGCCCAUUGAUGAUACGACCCGUAGAAGGCCCAUUGUUUCUACGGCCCGUAGAAGGCCCACUGUUUCUACGGCCCGUAGAAGGCGCACUGUUUCUACGGCCCGUAGGAGGCCCAGUGUCACUACAGUAAAUAUUAGCCCAUGGUUAUUGUGGCCUAGUUUUAAAAAAUAGGUUAUUGCAGCCACUAGCAAACCGCGGAAAAAGAACUGUAAUGACUACAAGCAAACAAAUAAACAAGACAACAAGGAAAUAAAUAAUCAAGCAACUUACACUAGGCUAUCACGGCUAUCACACAUAUUACAUCCACUGGGCAUCAAAGUUCGCACCAGUGCAAAUAAACGCGCCGACAAAAGAAUAUACAAAAUUGAGAGCACUUCAGAAGGCACUAGGCCUGGCCACGUCGGGCCCCCAAACAGCUGAAGAAGCUGAGUAGACCUCAGUUGUGUCAACGAUAGAUGCAUCAACACUAGAUUUAAGGCAUGAUGGUGCACACGGCAGUCCUCUGACAUCUUCAUUGCAUCUUUGACUUCAAGUCAGAGCUGAGCUGAAGCAAGCCUUUCCGCUUUAAGUUGAGACUGAAGAAGUCGAACUGAUUGAGGCAGCGACUGCACAGAGGUUGUCUCACACCUGCUGGUGAGUAGCUUCAACUCACUGUCUUCAUCAAGACAGGACCUUGGGGUCAUCUCGCUGUCCUCAAGAUGGUUUGGCUCACUAUCUUCCCUAAAGUUCUGCCUGGCGUAAGAGAUACGAGUCUGAAAGAGAAACAAGGAGACACGUAACAGGUUUCACAAUUAUAUAAGCAAAUAAAUGGAUCUGUUCUGCAUAAGGAACAUGUUUUUACAACUACAAUUUGAAACUGGUAGUUGUUGCAAACAUCCAAUCAGAUGUAAACAGCAAAGCAAACAGCAGUGGAGGAAAUGAUGCCUAUCCAAAUCUAUACUAGAACAAAGUUUGAAGGCUUGAGAAGGAUGAACUUACAUUACAUGUUAACACGGGCUGGACAAAGCCCUUCUCCAUGUUGAUGGAAGGAUAAUUCAGUAAAUUCCCCAAAGAAAAUUCUUUAUAAGCGUUGCCAUUAUUCUACAUUUUGCAAACAGUAAAUAUAGAUCAAAUAAUAUUGGAAGAAACAAAGGAUAAUGAAGCUCAGGUGCAGACUGAUGAUACAUAAUCAAAUAGCAAUUAAUUAAGUACAGCGUUACAAGGCAAAAGGGAGAGAGGUACUGACAAGAGCAAUGCAGAGCCCAUUAUUGUUUUGAGAUCGUAUGAUCCUUUGAGCAAGGAGAUUCAUCUGAAAUUAGUUUUAAUACAAGAGAGAAGCUAAGGCACAAGCAGAAAUUUAGGAGUUCAAAUUUUGAAUUGAUAUCAUAGACAGUACCUGACGCUGGGCUCCUAGCAGUUCUAAUAGGGAUUUGGCCACUGGAGUAGGGGUAAAGUGUGGUACAGUUGGGCCUGUGUUUUCUGUGGCUGCUGAUCUAUCUGAUUUAACAUGUAUCACUACCUUUUCUAAAUACCUAGUUUGUACUCCUUGAGGAUCUGCACUCACCCUCUUCCUUUUGGACAUCUAUUGCGAAAGAACAACAUUUGAAUGGAAAAACAUAGUGUGACGACACAUGGAAUAGGUACAUAAGAUGGAUAGGUAUGGCAUAUACUCAUAUAUGAUGCUUAAACUAAGCAGAUGGUGUAACAAAGUAGAAGUAAUGCAAGAGGUCAGAUGCAAAAUAUGUGCGACCAAUACAACUUUGCAAAGUUAGAGCAAGCACCUUGAUGGGUGAAUAAGAUAGGCCAUCCUCCACCAUGCCAAGUUUGUUAGCCAGUGGGUCGUUCCGCAAUAUUCCUCUCGUGCACCCAUUCUCAUAUUCAUUUUGAUAAUGUUCAAUAUCUGACAUGCAUGAAAACAUAAAAACAAGUGAGAUUUUCUUUGUAAUGCAGAAGUGAUUCUAAUCCAAUACUGCCUCCCUGUAAACCCCUUUGUGCUAUCUCUGCAAUUCUUUUAAAAGAUGCCAUGCAUGCUGUAAUUUGUUGUGUGCAUUAAUAUAAUGUGGCCUACUACUCAAAAUAUGAGAGCUCCAGAAGUGAUGACACUUCGCAGAUGAUAGCUUCAACAUCUAGUAAAGAAGAACAAGUCAACCUGACCUGACAGAUUCAAAAUAUACUAAGGGAGAACAAUUCGACCUGACCAGUCGACCGCAAGAGAAGAGUAUCAUCUUAAAGAAGAGCAGAAGAGCAAGCAGAUUGAAGAUAUUACAAGUCUUUCAAUACAAUGUCGGUUGGCCACCCAUGAUGAACCAGAGCGCACAGAGAAAUACUAUUCUUUCAGGUCUCUCCAUAUGUGGCUCACAUGCAUUUCGAAACUAAAGUAGGAACAUUUAGCUAACCAAUUAAACAUCUCUCAGUUUUACUAAUAUCAGCAAUAAUAUCAGAUAUGAAUUUGUACAACUAAGCUUGUUUAGCUCGAUGGGUGGAGCAGUGCUAUUACGACACGAACCACGUAGGCUGAUUGUGGUCAUCAUAAAAUGGGGAAAACAUAAGCAUGAUGAGUACAGUGUUGACCGUGGCAGUGGGAUGGCAGAUCUGAAGCUGCAAACCGCGCAAAGGGUAGUUAGCAACCGAUGUUUUCUUUGAAAUAACAACUAAGAUUUGGUAUGGACAACAAAGUACGGUCAACAAGUGACAAAGAAAUGCAAUUAUGCCUUCUCUCUAUAUGUCGCGACAUGCAUUUGGAAACUCAAGUGGGACAUUUAGCUAACCAAUUAAAUGUGUCAGUUAACUAAUAUCAGUAUCAUAUCACAAUCAUAUUUGAACAACUAAGCUUUCGAAUUCUGAGUGUUGUGUUGUUUAGCUUGAAGGGUGGAGUAAUGCUAGUAUGACAGAAAGCACCUACGCAGAUCAUAGUAGAGUAGAUAAAAGGGGAAAACCCUAAGCAUCAAGAGAAAAAUCAGGAAAGUGGAACUAGCUGGACCAGUGGGUGGCGCACAUGCUUUUCGAAACGAAUAUAGGAACAUUAGGUGACCAAUUAGACGUUCUCUGUUUUAGUGAUAUGAACAUCAUAUCAGAUUCGUAUUUCAACACGUAAGCUUUGGGUUGAGGUCUUGAGGAGCAGUGCUAGCACGACACGAAGCACCUACGAUGAUGGUAGUGAAUAUAAAUGGGGAAACCAUAAGCUUUAUGACUAUAGUGCCCAUGCCAUGGCGGAUCUGAAGGUGCAAACCGGACAAAGCUACUUCGCAACCAAUGUUUGCUUUCAACUAGCCACUACAAUUUGGUACGGACAAGAAAAGUACAGUAAACAAAUUACGAUCUAUUUUCCGGGUGAGAUCAAUAACUUAAGCACAUAUGGAAGAGUACCACCUCUCUUGCGACGCCGUGUAGGCCUAUGCUGAUACGUUGAGGGUGUUGCGCGUGCGAUGGCUGUCGGCAGCGGGGAAGAAGACUUUAGACGGCAGACGGCCGGGUCGGGGGAUAUAUCCUGUUGCCGUGGACGAGGCGGUCGUAGGAGCGGCAACGGCAAGGUGGACGACGACACCGAUGAAGUGAGAGGAGGCGAUGAAAGGAUCCUGGUCCAGCGCCGUGGAUGAGAGACGUCCAUCUCUUGCAGUGGACGACGGGGUAGGGGUAGCGCCUCCGGCAAGGUGGAGGAUGGGGUGGCGGACGGAGGAGGCUGGCCGCAGUGCGGAGGUUGUCGUGCCGCCGACGGUGUAUGAAUGGGGAAAUGGAGGGGAGGGGGGGAUCUCAAACUUUGGGACGCGCUUCUCUGAAAUGGGGGAAAGUUACGAACUUAUCCCCCGUUUAAAAUUUUGGACAUCACGUCGGUUGGGGAUAGGACGGUAAUCUCGCAUCUCCCAAAUAUUUGCCGGUAACUAUUUCGGGCGAGGAGAGGGUGUUUUGCCGCCCACGGUUGGUGCCCACGGUGUAUGAACGGGGCUAACAGGUAGGGCGGUUGUGUCACGUCUGAUGGAAGUUACACAUCUGCCCCUAUUUAAAAUAUUAGCCUACAUCGAUUUCGGACGAGGAGAGUUUGUUUUGCCGCCCACCGUGUAUGAAUGGGGAAAUGGAGGAAGAGACACAUGUCUUUCAGACGAGCUUGAAUCAAAUGUGUUUUGCCGCCCACGUUUGGCGCCCACCAUGUCUGAAUGGGCUCAGAGGCCGUCGUGUCACGUCUGAUUGAAGUUACUAGUCUACCCCUAUCGACAGCAGUGUAAAUCCGGUCGAUAAGGAUGACAAGUGUGAGGGGUAGAAAGUAAUUUCCAUCUCGCAAACACUUGCUUCGGGCAGCCCACAAAUUAUAGUGGGUGUUUAGCCGCUUCGUUCAAAACUUGGGAGAAUUAGCAUUCACAUUUGCCCUGGGACCUGGCAAACUAAAUUCAAAUCCAAUUUGUAUUCGAUUACGAAUAUCCACAGAUAAUUAUACGUUUUGUUAUUUAUUUCUUCGAAACCACAACAAAGAUUUAUUCCACCUUUAUAUAUGAUUAUGAUUUAGAAAUGCCGUGAUCUUCGAAUUCAGUAGGUUGGAUACACUCUGAGUCAAACAUUUAUUUCAUCCAAUACAAUAUGCUCACACGAAAAACAGUUCACCUUAUGUCAAUCAUACAAGUACUGAGGAUUACCUCGCCUAAAAAAUUCGGAUCAUUACAACACAUGGACAACAUAGGGGGUCUUGCAACAUAAUCCAUUCAGAGACAUGACACAACAUGCAAGUACAAUAAUCUAAUGACAAUUUCAACUGGUAUCUAAAGAAGAACCGGGAUUACCUUGGGCUUCAGAUAGCAGAAACAGCAGGACCUCCUCCGUCUUCAAAUGCAACAUUCUUACUUCCUCCAAUUCUUGGGUUGCUUGCAUAAUGCGUGCCUCUAAUUCCGUAAUUUCCAGCCUCAAGAUAAAGAUUACCUCAUUCAUGGCAGCCACACCAUCUCUUUCUGCCUCUAGUAGAGCCUCAAGCACUAUAAUAUCUGUGCUCAGACUGCUCUCCGGCGGUGUUGCCUCUGAACUGCUACCAUCUGGUAAUAUGGAUGGCGCACUGCUUCCACAAAUAGAUUCUGGGGUUGUACAUUGUGUCCUAGUGUGAACGGCAUCCUGAAAGGUUUCCGCUGGACAUCAGUAAGAGAUAGUUAUCGUAUGAUCCAGGCAGUAAGCUUACAUGGUAAACGACGGACGAAUUAUUGCCGAGCAUGGCAAACUAUAUUUAAAUGGUUCGAAGCAGCAUCAGCCGAAAAGAAAUUAAAAUGGUAAGAUGAAACUAGGGAUGUAAGUGGCAAAUAAACGACAUUCGCCAGUCCCAUCUAGUUAGUUUUUGCUACCUCCCUAGUUCAUUUUCCUCAAAAAAAACAAAAACUCUUUUGAACUAUCAUACCACUAGUGAACUUUAAUCGGGAUUAAACAGGACCCAGUUGACAUCCCUAGUUGAAAGGGAGUGUACAACCGCUAUAUUUAAGUUGCCAAGGCAUCUAAGCAGUUGAAAUAAUCUGAGAAAGCACUUAACAGUGUGGCCUCAUAUAAACUACGAAGACAGUCUUGUGAUGAAGUUGAGAGGAAAAGUUAAGGACUCAAAUGAAAUAGGCAUGCAUUUCUUUACGAUAGUACAGCAGGCACUGCUGACAUAUUGGCCAACUCAGGUAUAGCGUAACAACAAAUAAGCAUUCGAAUCAAGCAAUACAGCAAAGCAGACAACUGAACUAUUUGUAAUUCGGUAGGAUUACACGUUGAGGGCACAAGCCAAGAAAGCAGCCCACUCGCAUUACAUUUCACAUGUACUAAAACACACUGGCUUACCAUAUGUUGCUGUGAAGCCUAGCUGCUGUUGCAAUGUUCUUUGAAGAUAUCAUCAGCAUCCCGUGGUUGCAAAUCUAGUUGUUGUAGUUUAUUCUGCACCAUCUAUUUAGGUGAAAUUAAUUUUAAUCGCAUGCACUUGUCCGAAUUGAUCAUCAAUGGUUCAUCUAAACUAAUGAAAGAAGGGUGUGUGCAUACACGACAAUAUAUCUGCUUCCCUCUAUUUUUAUGCUUGUUCGAGGUGCCAGCCCCAAAAGAACAAAUAUUUUGCUUGAUGGGGUUGGCAGCUCCAUAAUUAAUAGAAGCAUAAAAUUAGUCAUGCAACUUGGGAAGAUCAAGAACACACAAACAAGUAAUGAACAGAGGCUCGGAGCAGUGAUGUAAUAGCUAGCAUCAGAAAAUGUAGGGUAAAACGAACAAAAAGCAGCAGAACCACAUGCUAGUUUGCUGAUGAGUAAUUAAGCAUAGAGAACAUUAAGCAGUCUGAUGGAACCAACAGGUGGCAUUAGAACAAAACUAAAGCAUAUUAACGUGCACUGGUAUGUAAUUUAGCACAUGUAACAUGUUCACUGCCAGAAGUAUGGCCCUACAGGUGCAAGCAGAAUAACGCGUCUCAUGGAAAACUGAAUGAUGCCCUGAAGAAAUUCAAAGGUGCGGUGCUUAUGCUAGGAAAGUGAAUGUAGGCGCCGGCCGUUGGAUAAUAGUACCUGAUUCUCGGCAGCGUAUGGGUAUCGUUGUCAUACUUGAUAGCUAAGGAUCGUCGAUGGUGCUCGUGUUGCGGUUGAGUUUGGGCCGGCUGUCACCGUCGCUGAAGCGGCUCCGGUGCUACGGUUGUGGCGCCUGUCGACAUACAAGAAAGCUCAUCUGUGGUAAGUGAACAGUUGCACGAUAAAGAGAAAAACCGAAGGAGUACAAAUCGAAAUAACCUGAUGAGGCUGUAGUGUCGGUAAAGCAGGGCCGGUGGAGUUCAAUAUGGCAUCCGUGGAGCGGGUCCGGUGCAGUGGAUGAAGGCUUCGGCGGGCGCGUUGUAUAGUGCUUUCGGUGAGGCGGAUCUGUUGCGGCGGACGAGGGCUUGUAUGAAGGGCCAGCGAAGGGGCGGAUGAGGGAGUCAGUGAAGGGCCUACGCUGUGGUGGACGAGGGCGCCGGUUAAGCAGAUCCGGUGCGAUGGACCAUGAUGGCGGUCAAGGAGAUCUGGAGCGGUGGACAAGCCAGUCGCUGAAGCGGCUCCGGUGAAGUGGUGAGUUGGCAGUUGGGGGUUCCAAGGUGCGGAAGGUAGAUCCGGCGGGGUGUGAGGUCCACUGCUGCGGCGGAGGACUAGAUUCGGCGGCUUGCCAUGGUUGGGGGGGUCGGGGAGGGGAAGGGGAUGGGCUCUCGGGAAGAAUGUUGGGGGCAAAGAGGGGAAAACAAUGGAGUUACCAAAGCAGCCCUUUUUCGUUCAUGUGGCAGGGGUAAAACAGGAAUAUCGCAGGGCUAAACUUUCGGGCGCGUGAUAUUUCGAUGUGAGCGGGAAGUUUGAAAGCUUUUGGCGCCUAAAAUUAUAAGUAUUCUGCUCUCGUACGACCGACCAUGAUAUCAUGGCUGACAAUUUGUUUGUUUUGCACGCAAAAAAAUGUGCAAGUUUUGAAAAUCAAUGUCUCCAACUCGAAACUUAGAUUGUCCAUUCAAUUCAAAUAUGGAUCAUUGAGCUACUACAAGCAAAUACCAUCAUACGGUCCAAUUCAAAUGAAAUUCCAAAUGUGUUUAUCCUAAAUAUGAUGACAAAAGCAAAAAUGUGUAUGUGUAUGAAUAAAGUGGAUGAUUAUAAAGUUUGACAUGCUCGUAUGUGUAUAUCUCUAGGUUUGAUAUAUGAAUUUGAAAUCACGAAAUCCUGGCUUAAAAAAUGUACCUCCAUUUAAAUGAAUUACAAAAGCUAAUGAUGGAGUCGAAUUCCAAAAUUCCAAUCUUAGGUUUGUAAUUCUGGUACAUCAAGGUAUAUCACGCAUGUUCAAAAGUAUCGCUAUCUCAUAGUACAAACUGUGAAACAAAUUGAUCAACCAUGAGUGCACAAUAUCUCAAUUACGCUAAAGUCCCUCAAAUAUAGACACCUCACUAUUUAUCUCAAGUCAACCCCCCCACCACCACCACACACACACACACAGAGAAGUCAUUCUCUCCCCCAAACACCAACACACGAGCACAUUAACACCCCUCUCUCUUGUAAAGUCCGGACCCCAACAUAGGUCUCUAUCACUUUGUCUCUCGGAGUCUCGGGCAUGCACACAUCUCUUCCCUCACUCUCUAGGUCUCCCGCUAUCUCUCUUACCCAAGCACACGCACUACGUAGAGUGUAUAUUUCCCAUACACACAAAACGUCGCCCCCAAACGUCUAUCUCCCUAGUUAUGUGGUUCUCGCGCACUCACCUCACACACCACCCCCACUACAAACAAGCACACUUUGUCUCCUUGUGCACCACUCUCCUCUUUCUAUCUCUCCCACAUGCGGACCCGCCCCAGCUCCUUCCCUGUAUACAUAUAUGUCGUGACUCUUUGCAUAGCUCCCUAAUGUAUAAUCGUUCUCGAUUUCGCACAUUGUUCUCUACACCAUCUAUUCUAGAUAUCUCAUGAAGUCCCUAUCACACACACGAUGACUCGCUUACCUUGCGUCUUCGUUCAUAGGCCAAUUUCGGACAACAUCAACAUUGUCUCCCUAUCUAUACGCCAUUUAUGGACACAAAUGACCCCUCUCGCNNNNNNNNNNNNNNNNNNNNNNNNNNNNNNNNNNNNNNNNNNNNNNNNNNNNNNNNNNNNNNNNNNNNNNNNNNNNNNNNNNNNNNNNNNNNNNNNNNNNNNNNNNNNNNNNNNNNNNNNNNNNNNNNNNNNNNNNNNNNNNNNNNNNNNNNNNNNNNNNNNNNNNNNNNNNNNNNNNNNNNNNNNNNNNNNNNNNNNNNNNNNNNNNNNNNNNNNNNNNNNNNNNNNNNNNNNNNNNNNNNNNNNNNNNNNNNNNNNNNNNNNNNNNNNNNNNNNNNNNNNNNNNNNNNNNNNNNNNNNNNNNNNNNNNNNNNNNNNNNNNNNNCACACACACUUGAUGUCUCUUCCAAAUAGUCUGCUCCCCCCGCCCGCACCCGUGCUAUCUCACUACUACACAUGUCACACCAUUCCCCCUUCCCUUGUACUAGGUUUACAUCAUCAGUGGUCUCUCUACUCCACAUACACUCUCUCCCUCUCACACACAAAUGCGUGCACAAACACACACAGACACGCACAAACACCCAUUUAUCUGGAUCCUCAUCUCUCCUCAUGUCCGCAUGUGUAUCUCACACACUCACUCUCUAAUUAUGUACAUGUGUCUCCACGUUACACAAGACAAAGCCCCAUGUACAUGUCUCUCUCUCUAUCCUCCACACACAUAGACACAAAGAAUCUGUUAUCAUUGCCUUAGUCUCUAACAUAUCACACAUGCACACUGUCUCUCUCUCUCGCAAACAUGCUCAACAAGGGUUUCCCCGUGAAUAACUUACCGUCUAUUCAUCAACAGUCGUGGCAGUACGGCGAACACGAGACGUGAAAAAGAAUAAAUCUACACGUGCUUAGACCACCUAGUAUGACUACUAGGACUAGAGCAAGCCAAAAAGCGCGCCGCCGUCACCCCCUCCUUGUCGGCGAUGGGAAAAUCUUUGUUUUACACAGUCGAGAAGUCAUUGUGCUAAGGCCCCACAUGCCGAGGCGUUGAAUAAAAUGUAGAUGCUAGUUUACGGAAGCAAGUAUCGAUAAUACGUUUGUAUCUCCAUACUUAUAUUUCUUCUCUUAUAAAAAACCGAGUUGGUGAUGAUGGUACGUGUGCCAUCUUGCAAUAUAGACCGUCCGAUCUAUAUCUGACGGAUGGAAAUUAAACUAAAAGAUACCCGCACCCCUCUCCACAUUUGCAGACAAGGCCUUCCCUCGUUCAUCCUUAUCUCCAACAAACCUCAUUGUUGAGCAAUUAAGAAAGGAAGCCUCCGGAACAAACUGGCCUGGUGGCCGCUGCCGGCGUCGUCAAUCCCCAUGCCUCCGCUCAGUCUGACCACCAACCACCACCACACCCCACUCCUGUUCACCUUAUCUCAUAUUUCUCAAGAUAUCAUUAGUUUUAACACAUGGGAUUACUCCCGCAAGGGUCAAUCACAACAAGUGUUUUAUAAAAAUAUGCAUCUUGAUGUUCCGUGCAAUGCACGGAUCUUGCUAGUACUCCUACACAAGACUAAGUUGGUGAUGCUGGUGUGUCUGCCAUCCGUCGUUUCUGACCAUUAGAUCUACAUCUAACGAUUGUGAGGUAAGUUGUUGCUUUUUUUCACCAACAUCCCACUUGUCUACCAAUUUGCAGAAAAACCCAUAAUUAGUAUCUUAAAACCAACCACAUCCCUCCCUGACCUCACCAAAACAGCCCAAGGAAUAUAUUCUAAUUGAAACAUAAUAUAUCUCUAGUGACAUAUGUAUAUCAAAAUUAGAGUGUUUUGUACCAAGUUUGUGAAUGAGUAUUAUUCUAAUUAUGAUUUGUUGCAACGGACAUGAACAUUGCUAGUAUUUCCAACCAUGCAUUUUUUUCCUAGUAUUCCAUAGUUUCGAGUUUUCAUCAAGAUAUUAGUCACUCAUGGUUGAUAUUUACUUUCAAUCAUGUACACAUAUGCACUAUGUAACUAGCCUUGCUUAUUGGCUUCCAAAGCUUAACUUUCACUCCUACUUACAAUAUGUAGAGUAUUUAACAAAAAACUACCAAUUUCAACCAGCCCUAGGAAGAAUCUAUUGUACAAAAAAUAGCAAAAACAUACCCAAAAUUUCUUAAUCCACGCCAAAAACUACCUAGUACUCCUACCGAUUAGGUUCGUUUAAACCCAUUUAUGACAGGGUUGGCCCACACGUCCGUGCUGACGAGGCAGCUUAAACCAACACAUUUUGUUUGACCGUUGACACGAGGGACCCACAUCUGACCUUCUAUCCUGUUAUUCCCCCUCAAAUCAUUAUUUUUCCUGAACAUUACUUCAAACAGUAUUGAUGCAUGUUCGUUGGUGGCGCCGGUGAUGAGCGAGUUGGCCGCCGCUCCGCCGGACGGGCCGGACGCCGCGCUGGCCUCCGCACGGGUUGGCAGGCUGGCCCGAGCGAGAAAGCCGCCGUGCUGGCCUUCGCUCAAGCCAGAUGGCUGGCCUUAGCGCGGCACGCGCGAGCAAGCCGCCGCGCUGCCGUGCCAAUCUAGCUAGCAAACCUUGCAGACAAGCAGCUGGACGGAGCUAUCUUAGCUAGCUAGCGGCCGCGAGCGCCGGACGGAGCUGGCAUCCGGGCUGCCGCAACAUGGGCUUCGCACCGCCAGCGGUUUUGACCUAGCCUUCUGCCGGCGGCGGUAGCUGCGUCCCAUGGCCGAGGAUGACUAGGUGGACGGGCCGGAGGUAGGAGGUCACUCGAGGAUUUCUGUUGGUAAGAGCAUGUACAAUGGUUGAUAAGGUAGUCUUAUCUUAAGUCUGCCACAUAUGCAAGUGGUAGUAGUUUCUUGGCAUUUUAGUGGUUUCUUGCAUUAUUAGAGCAAGUACAAUAGAGCUGAGUCAGCAGGCUAUAAGAAAUAAACUAGUAUAUUUCUGCUUAGUUGGAUGAAAGAGAAGAGGAGAGAGAAGGUAAGCGGGCUCUUCGUGAAGAGCCAGCUCUAGCACGUGCUCCUAGGCACUUUGUGAGAAUGAGAAGUGGGCCACAUAAUAAAAAAGUAGUACACUCUUUUGAUCUAUUAUUGUACAUGUUGGCUAUAAGAGGGGCUGUAGAUGACAUGGCACUGGCUUAUAGCUAGCAGCUGGCUAUACUAUUAACCAUGCUCUUAGGGGUUUCUUGUAAGGAACAAUGUACAUACUACUAGCGACAAAAGGCGAUUCUAGGUUGCGUUGUACUCCAACGAGUACUACUAGUGGUCGCGGGAGUGUAUACCUCGUUUUGUGGGUUCGAUCCCGGCCGAACACACAGCGGCCUUUAAAAAAAAAUAGUACUACUACACUUUGCUGCGAGCCAAUAUUUUACACGGGUAGUUUGAGUUUUGAAGUCAAAUAGACGUGCGGCCCCACAAUCUGGGUGCACUGGACAGCCUAGCCACGUGAACGGGUUUUCCUUCCCAGCAUCCCGUGGCUCGCGUGCUCGCCCUAGCCGCACCUUGCUUGCAGCUUCUAGCUAGUAGCAUAUUUAAACUAGCGCCUCCCAAUUAAGCCCGAGGAGCCGGAAAAGCCUGGCGGGGCAUUGGGAACUGUGCAAUAUGGCUCUGUACGUAAAGUGCUCUACUACUACUCUGUAGCUUGUGGUGUUGCACGCAUGGACUUCACUCCAUUAUCGGCUCUACUAUAAAAGAAAUUCCUCUUGACGUGUUUUUUUUGAAAUGGAGGCAAAAGCUUUGCUUCAUCUCAUUCAUAAAGAAGGAACUACUAACAAAGUUCGACGAGAUCCAUUACACCUCCACAAAUGGAAGCGAAAAGCCUAGUCUCGUUGUAUCAAAUAACUCAAAUGUUCUGCCCCCGCAGUAACCGUCGCUGAUAAACAGGCUGCUAGUGUGUGCGUGAGAGGAGCGGCUGAGUAGGCCAGCUAUGUGAGAGGAGCGGCUGAAUAGAGCACCGAGAGUACCCACUAGGCCACUACGCAGGUGUACUUCCCCUGCAUUGAUAGUACAGCGAUGGUUCUAGAGAACAGUAGUACCCUCCGCUUCCAACUGUAGCUCCUUGGCCCUGAGAUUCAAGAGUUCAAAACUGGUGCACUAUACUAGACUAGACUAGAACUACAGUACAUCGCACUACUAGUUGAGAAAAUUAGUACUAGUACUGCUACAGUACGAGUACGUACUCCUCCGUCACAUAAUGUAAGACGUUUUUUGACACUAGUUGGCGUGUACAAAAAAUGGCAAAAACAUACCCAAAAUUUCUUAAUCCACGCCAAAAACUACUACCUAAUGCCAAAAAUUUCUUACUAGUGCUAUUAUUUACAGUAUAAUGCAAUCCCAUAACAUUCCAUAAUGCUAGUACUAGUAGUAAAUAAUAGCCUCACCCCUUUGCUGAGGAACGAUCUACAAUUGGAAGGGACGAGGCCCUGCGGUUACUACGCUCUUAUCUCCUCCUCGCCAGUUCCCCUCCCCCCGAAGAGAAGGCAGUUCGUCGCUGCUCCCAUGGAUUCGCCAGGCGGUUCUCCUCCUCGUCGGGGCUGGGAGACGUUGGACGAUGAUCCUCUGGGAGAAAUCGCACGCCGCUUCGACGUCCUCACUGCCGCAAGACUCGGUGCUUCCUGCACCAACUUUUUCAAGACGCUGCUUAAACAGGCUUGGGAAAAGGCCAUGCUUGUUGGUCUUCCAUGCGUCCUCGAGGAGAAGGUUCUUCUAUGGGACAAUCCUUCGAACAGUCCACCGCUCCCUGGCCAUGGUUGCACGUUGACUCCGCUAGAGUUGCCGACAUUGAGAGGUAGUCGGAUUUUGUCCGAUGAGCAGGUCAGUAAUGGAGUUUGAUCAUGUAGUACUUAGUUAUUCCAUUUCCAUCCCGUAAUGUCUCCCCUGCCCACCGUCUUAUAUAUAGGUCUGGGUCGGUGCCAACGAAGAUUGGCUUGCAUACCUCCGGCCGGAUACCACCAUCAUUUUGCACAACAUCCACAGCAGUGCGGCCGUUCCGGUAGACCCCUUCUCCACCAUUGGGAUCGGCCUUCCGGACUGGCUGGGCUUGAAUACGUAUGAUGAUGCCUACAUGAGAUUGAAGAAGAUAGCAAUUGCGGACCCGCCAACAAAGCGACGCGGCUACGAUGAUUACUAUCUCAUCGCGGUGUUCGACAUAAGGAUUGCCAUCAAUGCAAGAGGCAGUAACGGCAGAGGCUGGCGCAUGUUGGCGGCGGUAGAUUUGUACCCCUACACGUUCGAAGACGCCGUGCGCCAUCUAGGCCGCAUCUUCGCGGUGACAAGCCAGGGGACUUGUUUCAUCUGGUUGCCAUCCUACGGUACGGGAGAUUACAAACGGAAUGCACAAACCAUCAUUUGCAUCCCUAACGGUACUCCAUUAAUUUGCAGGGACCAGUCAUCCCUCGAUCAAAAUAAGAUCGCCGAUCCUGGAUGUGCAUUUGCAUCCGCGAUUCGGUCUAACCUGGAACCUUGUAGCUGACUUUGGCAUAUUGGGAUCUACUAUCUUAGCAGUCGUUACCCAUGGUACCACUGAUGUGCAACAUGGUCACACAAUCUACCAUGAUCGGACCGUCACCAUCUACCCAGGUAUUCCAUUUUUUAACCCUCUCGCCUUCUCUUUCAUUGUUGUACUAGUAGUAUACUUUGUAGUACUAGUAGGAGUACUUUUUACCUUGGAGGACGCGUAUAGCUAGCUAGGCCCUUGAAGACUUGAACCCACUAGCUGCCACCAUUUUUGUUUUUCCAUGUCUUACUAUCUCAUCCAUGUAGCCAAGAGUGGCUAUAUAUAAUAAGCCGGUUAUUUUACUUCCUCUAUACCGGAGUAGUACUAUUUGCUGCACAGUAUUACUGACCGCCAUAUUUGAGCACAACAUUAUUAUGCAUGGACCUUGACUAUGUACGUCACCAUGUGUCCAGAUCUGGGAUGCCGCGUGUACCAGAUGAACGGCGCCGAGUUCGACCCCCGUGAUGCUACGUGGGUGCCGAGGAACACUCUUGGAGAGUACUCGCUUUUCAUCGGGGACAGCUACCCCAUUGUGAAGCGGAUGCCACCUUUCGUGCACGACACGGAAGGCCUGCCGUUCAUGAAGCAUGGUUGUGUCUUCAGUGCGCACCGCCGGAUGAACGACAUGCUGGGACACGCUAUCCCUGAUUUAUGCCACUUCAGCUUGGAUGAGUCUCCAUCGUGUGGAACCGGACUAGAAAGCUGCGACAAUGAUUCCUGUUGCCCACCGCUAUGGAUCGUGCCAUCCAUGAAGAACACCUGGGACUGGAACCUGGAGGAGGACAUGUAGCCCAUCUAUAACGUGUAAGUGGAGUACGGUAAUUGUGAACGGUAGCGCUGUGAAUAUAUGUAGACUAGUCGGGCACAAAUUUAUCACAUGAAUUGGAGAUGAACUUGUGUGGCAUACUGGCAUUUGUCCUUUAGAAUUUAUUACUAGUAAAUGUGUUAUGUGUGCGUGCAACUUGUGUGGUUGUUGCACGGGCUCCAACACGCUCUUUGAGAAAAAAAGGUGGCACAGCUUUGGAUAUACGUGACGUGCCGGCAUCAUACAGUAGCAUCGUUCGCUAUAGUUGUAGUACACUCCUACUAGGACGACAACUCCUAUAAAACCUUGCGCUUGGCUCUUUGCCUCUUCGGGAGGUUCAACAGUUCGUACUCGUGUGAACCUUGCACUUGGCUCUUCGCCUCUUCGGAAGGUCCAACAAUGAUGAUACUACAGUACAAUAUGCUUCUGGCAAUCUGACACCGAUUGAACUGCUGCACAUCCACCGCGAGGGCGAGGGAGAGGGAGAGGGAGAGGGAGAGGGAGACGGCGCUGUAGUCAAAACCCUCUCCUCGUCCUGCGAACCACCGCGCGCGUGGGCGAGGGAGAGGUGUAGUAAGCAAGCUUCUCCUCGUUCGGCAAGUUGACGGGACACAUCAAAGCAGUACUAGUACUAGUAGUAGUAGUCCAUACUGCGUCCUUUCCGAUUAAUAUGGCUUAAUUUGAAACGAGAAAAAUACACUGGCGGUCAACGUAUGUAACAAUACGCUCUUUACGGUCACUAUAUAUAGUUUUGCGGCGAUUAUACGAUCACUAGCUCAUCGUAGAGCACCGUAUUGCACCCUACUAACCGGCCACAUAGUCGACGUGGCAUUUUGUUGACUGGUUAAAUUGUCACCUGGUUUCUGGGUCCCACCUGUCAGUUGGCAGAGCAAAGAAAUCAGUUAAACAAAACUUUACGCAGGAGCGACACGAGUCCAACCCUUGCGCGCGAACCGCCCUGGCUAUGUAUGUGAGUGCAUGCACGUGUCCUCCCUCGGUCUUCCAACAAAGAGCGUACAUCGGCUAUAAAACAAAGAGUGUAGUACAUGAUGUACAUCUACACUUCCAAUGCAUUUAGCCUUUAAUCUAAAUCGAUAUUGAUUGACUAAUGCACCAACUUGUGCUGUAGGUAUAGGCUACAUGUCUAUCCUUAAUUACAGCAUGCAACGUCCUUCAUUUAAUCUUCUUAUCUCAAUGGUCGCAUGCACACAUAAGUCUGCUACUUUUGGGCGUUAAUUAUGCCCUGGUCAAUGUGUAAAUGUCUAAAUGUACAGUCUUUCACGGACAUAGGGAGUAGGUUGAGCACUUGAGCGUGAGCGUGUGUGUUGCGUCAUGUGCUGUGUGCCGCAUGGGUGCGUGAGUGUUGCGUGCGUCCAUGUGUACGUGUGAGUGUUGCAUGUUGCAUGCAUGCAUGCAUGGGGCUUACUCCCUCCCAUUGACAUGUUCAUAUUUCAAGCUUCCUCUGUUCCCUCCAUAUGGUGAUACUCCCUCUGUUCCCAAAUAGUACGGAGUAAAAGCCUCCCUCUGUUCCCAAAUACGGAGUAUUUGUCUUUCUACAGAUUUCAACAAGUGACUAGGUACGGAGCAAAAUGAGUGAAGUGAGCGUAGAGGCAUAGGGAUACUGUAGAAAGGAAGUCCUCGCGAUCCAUUAUUCCCCAUCUCGGUCAGAGAGAACUAUUCAACUAGUCUUCGCAGUGAAGUGACAAUACACGCUACAGCACAUGGGACACAUAAUUAAUAAGCUGAACCAGCGUGUUGGUGUUACUAAAUCAGCCUUACCCAGUACUGCCAUCAUGUUUGCCAGUAGAGCACGCUUCCGCAAAUACGCCUACGCACCUCUGUCCUCCAUUAACUGACAUAUGGGCCCUGUUGUGGUAGACCCACAUGUCAUUGGUGUAACUAUUUACACUCCGAAGGACGGUAUAUCCUGGUAGUAGUACUAGUAGAAUUGAGAUUGAAUGCACUUUCUUCCCCGUCUUCCACUCUUCUUCCUCCUCUCUUCCCCAUCAUCGGCCGCACACCAUUUACCCCCGCUCACUGCUCGCCCGCCCGCGCCAUCUUCCUUGGUAGCUCGCGCGUACCAUAUCCCCCCGCUCACUGCUCGGCCACACAAGGAGAAGCUUCUUCACUCGCCCGCCCGAAUCCACUUCCCCGCUGGCUCGCAGGCACCGAAAACCCCAAUGGCAGAACCGACUGACACGCAGAGCCGCGAUUGGAAUUCCCUCCCCGAUGUUCUCUUGGAGCAGAUCUGUAGUCGUAUGGACCUACUCAGCACCGUCCGUCUGGCCGCAUGCUCGGUGUCUUUGUACCAUCUACUCGUCUGCAACCGGCCGGCUCUUUUCAAGACACCCUGCUUGUUGAUGCCCGAUCCUCGCAGGUGGCCCAGACACCGACUUGACGAUCCUACAGAGGUUGCCGUGGUGCCCCUAGACAUGCUACCACUACCCCUCCACCUGUCCUUCAUGCGCGACCACUACUGGGCGGGCAUGAAGGCCAACUGGAUCGUCCUCAUCCACCACACCGGUAGUCCGUGGCGUCUCGUGGAUAUCUACACCCAGUGAGAGAUCACCCUUCCAUCGUUGGAUACCGCCGCCAUCGAGCCUCGUGGCCCGCCAGACACUCCUGCCUACUACGCACGAGACGCGUCAAGCUUUUGGCUCGACCUCUGUUUGCAGAAAGUUGUAAUCUGCGAAGUGCCCACACCAUCAGAAGACUACAUGGAUUACAAGCUCAUUGCCUUGUUCAACAUGGGAUUAGUCUAUCUGGAAUCCGGUCGCCAUACAUGGUUAUGGCUCAUCAUCAAUCCUGUUGAGGCAACAUUUCUGUCUGAUGCUAUAGUGCACGAUGGCAUCGUUUACGCGGUCGACGCACAGAUUGGCUGCCUAUACUGGUGGAAUCUAUCGUCGUGUAAUUGUUCUAUCUCAUCUCAUCUUUACCUUAUGAAUACGACUGCUUGUUCAUUUGUUACAAAUUUAGAAUGCAUAGCAUGUCUAUAACCACAUCGUUGCUAUAUGUUCCUCUCAUUUCUAGAUUUUUAUGACCACACAUGUUAUUGUUAGAGUUGAUAUGAGAACAAUUGGCAUCUAAUGAUUGUUAGAAUACAUAUUAUGAGCAUAACAUCAUGAUUGCUAUAUGUUACUCUCGUUUACAAGAUUUGUAUAACAACGCAUGUUAUUGCUUAGAGUUGAUAUGAGAACAGUACUAGUAAGUGCUAUGGUAGAAUAUGAGUAGGCGCUGUCAUAGUUGUUUUCCUCUCAUUGUUACAUGAUGUUUGAACCACGACAUAUUGCUAGAAUAUGAAAGCCAUUGGCUUAUUUUUUUUACUUGGGGUAUGAUUAUGACCACGACAUUGCAAUUCUCUGUCUAUGAUAUGUGUCACUGUUAUAAUAAUCUUAAUUCCACACAUACUUUGAACAUGAUUGUUUAUUUUUGUCCUUUUGCUCUCCAAUUUGAAUUGUUGCAGCAGACACAAAUGCGCCGGCCUUCAUGAUUCGAGGACCUGGAAUCAUACCAGCCGAUGGGUGGUGGUUUAUCGCUCGUUCAGCUGACGGCGGUCAUUUGAUGCUCAUUCGCACGUACCAAAUUAACCAAACCAUUACAUCAAACCACAUGCAGUACAAUGCAUGGGGCGUUCGUGACAUUGAUGGCUAUGGCUGCUUCGUGUUCGAGAAAGAUCCCAGCUCCGUUGGGCCAGGCGUAUUCAACUGGAGGCGGGUUUACAGCCUCGACAACCACUCCUUGUUCCUCAGGCUCAAUUAUCCGAUCAUCCAACCAAUCAUCGAUCAUAUCAGCGGCGAUGAUUACUGUGCUAUACAACUUCCAUUCGCGAGGGGGGGGGGGGCUGUGUUUACACAUCAUACCAUGGGUUUCAUGAAUCACCAUAUCCAGAGAUUCGUCGACACAACUUCCAGGUAAGACACCGAUCGGCCGUCUACUUGCACAAACAUAUUCCUUUGUUUAUAGCCCUAUUUUUCUUUUUAGACGCAGACCUGGUGAAGCAAUUACAAUUUGACAGUUAAUAAAAAGUGAAACAAGUGACUGCAACAUGCCAAAGAUGUUAUGAAAAUGCCAACUAGGUACACUAAAACCUGUAUUCCACAAUACUGCAGGUAUCACACUGAGUGGCCUAAGGAAGCAUCUUCCAGUGGAAUUCCAGGGCGUUCAAAAGGGGCACGUGGACGCGUCGCAAGAUACAGUCGGAGUGCGGCAUGCACGCGAUGUGGCACAAGACCGGCAAUACCUUGCCAGUGAUGGUCAACGGCCGGCAGACGGGCAGCAAAAAAGGUUCUGGUGCUGCACACCAACAAGAAGUUCGACCAGCAGAGGACCAACUGGGUGAUGCACCAGUACCACCUCGGGGACCUGGAGCAAGAGAAGGAGCGGGAGCUGGUCCUCUGCAAGAUUUUCUACCAGACGAACACUAGGGCCAGGAGUAAAAAGAUUAUAAGUUAGUUUGGUAUUGGUAGUUGUACUACCUUGUCGUCCGCAAGUUGAUAUUGUUGUUAACGAUCUUUUGGUAUGAACUUGCAUUUGCUUCCAACCAUCAUGCCGAGGGUCGACGUGGAUAUAAAGCUGAAUCAUUUGUUUCGAAACGAAUUUUCAGGCACCUGAUUUUUAUUUGAUGGGUAGCAUAAGCACCCGCCGUUCGAAUUCCCAGUUCUCCAAUUUUUUCGAAACAAGUGCAUGAACUUAUUAUCAUGAUAAAAAAACAAUAUCCGUGUUGCAUCCCAGUUAUCAGUCUGUACUUGCAGAAUUCUCUCGUUUAUUGAGCACGUAUAUUGUUUUUUCAGGUCGAGCAAGUUUCAACUGGGUUGUAGACUGCCCAGGGUUGGUUUUGUUUUUAACAGGCCCAGCCCAUGAUGACAACGGGGCACAAAGAUCCAGCAGGUAUCUACUGGCCUCUGGCCCGCCAGCGUUAGUUAUAUUUUGUCUUACAACAUCCGCAGGCAGUUUUUUUACUGAAUCAAACACACAGCCCAGUUCUAUUUUCCUCUUGAAACGCAUGUCCUACAUCCGUUUUCUAAUCUCUACCUAUAGUUUUACUAGUUCAUAUACACGUAUCAUUAUAUUGAAAACACAUAAAAUUCCCUUUUCAUAUUUACAUCCUUAUUUUUGUUGUUUUUUCCCACCCAACGCUGAUUUUUUUACCACUGGUUUUCCCUUAAACCAACUCAAUUGUCCCACGUCUUAUUUGCUUACAAAAACAAAACGAUUUUUUGGCAAACCAAUAAGUUCUUAAAAAUGUUUAUCAUUUCGGGAUUACAACAGUUCGGACUCCACCGAAAUAUGCAAAAUAAGGUUGAACUUUUUGACCGUGGUCCUGGGCAGAAAAUGGGCUGUAAUAAAUUACUUAAGAAUUAUCAAAUGGGCUGCAAAUUAUAAAAAAUAGCAAAUGGGCCUACUAAGUUAAUGCGUACACAAGGUUUGGAGGCUGACUCCCACCGCUGGCCCAGGGUAUCCCUCUACUCACCCACACCCCCUGUUAUUCUGCGGCGACGGCAGCCUCACGCCGCAGCCGAACCAGUGAACCCUCGUACUCCUCUCCGCGUGGGCAUCCACUGCCGCAUCUUCCCCGGCUCCACGUCGUCCCCUUCCUAGGCCUCGCCGUCGUCCACCGCCCUGGUGCUCUCGGCGUGGCGUGGUCAACAAUGUCCAUCCAACGGCCGUAGUGCUUCUUCAACCUCUGGCCUUCUUGCCCCAGCCGCCCAAAGCAGCGCCGGUCGUGCCGCAUGCUCCUGCCUCCCGUGGCCGGCUGUGCUGCCGCGGAGGCCUCACCGUCCCCAUACUACUCCCACCGUUGGCCAGGCCAUCCCUCCACUCACCCACUCCCCCUGUUAUUCAGCGGCGACGGCGGCCUCACACCGCAGCCGAACCAGUGAACCCUCGUACUCCUCUCCGCGUGGGCAUCCACUGCCGCGUCUUCCCCGGCUCCGCGUCGUCCCCUUCCUAGGCCUCACCGUCGUCCACCGCCGUGGUGCUCUCGGCGCGGCGUGGUCAAUAUGGUCAACGACCGACUUAUAUCAGAAGAGUACUGUACGUGGAGAGGCUGACAGCUGGGUCCACGGCUGCCGCAAGGAAGUGCCUCCUUAUUACGCACAAAAUAAUUAUUCCUCCACCUGACAGCAGGGACCCACCAGACGGGCCACCAGUAUUUCGCGGAAAAAACAUUUCCCCCCUGACUGCUGGGACCCACCGGACGGGCCACCAUAUUUCGCAAAAAAAACGUUUGCCCCUGACUCCUGGGACCCACCGGACGGACCACCGUAUUUCACGAAAAAAACGUUCCCCCCGCUGUCAGCUCGGACCCACCGGAAGUGCCUCCUUAUUACGCACAGAAAAAUGAAUACUCCCCGUGCUAGCUGGGACCCACCAUGGUGGGAGGCUGACUUGUGGGCCUACUAAGUUGACGGGGACGGAGGGCUUUGUCAACUUAGUCAACAUGAACGAUUCUAACUCCAGUGACCGUACGAUGUCCAUCCAACGGCCGUCGUGCUUCUUCAAUCUCUGCUCUUCCUGCUCCAGCCGCUCAAACAAGCGCCGGCGGGACUGCCUGCUCCCUCCUCCCCGCGGCCGGCUCUGCUGCCACGCAGGCCUCACCGCCCCACCGUACUCCCAUCGCUGGCCUAGCCAUCCCUCUACUCACCCACACAUGCUGUUAUUCUCCGGCGACGGCAGACGAACCAGUAAACCCUCGUACAGUCGUACUCCCCUCCGCGUGGGAAACAACUGCCGAGUCUUCCCUGGCUCCGUGUCGUUCCCUUCCUAGGCCUCGCUGUCGUCCACCGCCCUGGUGCUCUUGGCGCAGCCUGGUCAACGUGGUCAACGACCGACAUGCAUCUGAAGUGGACUAUACGUGGAGAGGCCGAUAGCUGGGUCCACGGCCGCACGCAAGGAAAUGCCUCCUUAUUACGCGCAAAAUAAUGAUUCCGCCACCUGACAUCAGGGACCCACCGAAAGGGCCUCUGUAUUUUGCGAAAAAAACGUUACCAUCGCUAACAGCUCGAACCCACCAGCUAUAUCUUCGCACGCAAGGAAGUGCCUCCUUAUUACGCACACAAAAAUGAAUACUCCCCCUGUUAGCUAGGACCCAGUAUAGUGGCAGGCUGACUUGUGGGCCUACUAAGUUGACGGGGACGGAGGGCUUUGUCAACUUAGUCAAUAUGCACGAUUCUAGCUCCAGUGAUUGUACGAUGUCCAUCCAACGGCCGUAGUGCUUCUUCAACCUCUGGUCUUCUUCCUCCAGCCGCCCAAACUAGCGCCGGUCGUGCCUCGUGCUCCUGCCUCCCGUGGCCGGCUGUGAUGCGGCGGAGGCCUCACCGCCCCUACUACUCCCACCGCUGGCCAGGCCAUCCCUCUAUUCACCCACACCCCCUGUUAUUCUACGGCGACAACAGCCUCCCACCGCAGCGAACCAGUGAACCCUCGUACUCCUCUACGCGUGGGCAUCCACUGCCGUGUCUUCCCCGGCUCCGCGUCGUCCCCUUCCUAGGCCUUGCCGUCGUCCACCGCCCUGGUGCUCUCGGCGCGGCGUGGUCAACGUGGUCAAGGAACGGCUUCCAUCGGACGUGGACUGUACGUGGAGAGGCUGACAGCUGGGUCCACGGCCGCAGCAAGGAAGUGCCUCCUUAUUACAUGCAAAAUAAUUAUUCCUCCACCUGACAGCGGGGACCCACCGGACGGGCCAUCGUAUUUCGUGAAAAAAACGUUUCCCCCCCCCCUGACUGCUGGGACCCACCAGCUAUACCUUCGCACGCAAGGAAGUGCGUCCGGGCGAAAACAAAAACAAAACGAUUCGCUCCCCUGACUGCUGGGACCCACCAGCUACAUCUUCGCAUGCAAGGAAGUGCCUGACAGUCGGGACCCACCUGGUCGAAGCGUACGUAGCGUUGUCAUUCUGGUCGCGAACGUGUACGUACAUAUAUACUGGUGGAUGUAGAGGCGCGCACAUGUCGUAGUAGAGGCGCGUACGUGUCGUAGUAGAGGUGUGCACGUAGCUUGUACACAUACGUACAGCGGCCAGGGUGCAAGAAAUAAAAUACGGCCACGUAUGUGUAAAUACGGGCGGGGUCUCGAACGCCUACUCGCGCAUACAUACGGCCAGUGCUCGUGUAAAUGGUUGGGUCGGAACGGAGAAACAGCGUCGUCGUCGUGUUCAUGGGGAGGCAACGGAAUGUGUCGUGUUCAUGGGGAGGCAACGGAAUGCGUCGUGUUCAUGGGGAGGCAACGGAAUGCGUCGUGUUCAUCGGGAGGCAACGGAACGCGUGGGAGCCAACCGGCUGGGUCGGAACGGAAUGCGUGGUCGUGUUCAUCGGGAGGGCUUGGACGGAACAGGCGAUGGAAACGAGGCCUGGCGUACCGCNNNNNNNNNNNNNNNNNNNNNNNNNNNNNNNNNNNNNNNNNNNNNNNNNNNNNNNNNNNNNNNNNNNNNNNNNNNNNNNNNNNNNNNNNNNNNNNNNNNNNNNNNNNNNNNNNNNNNNNNNNNNNNNNNNNNNNNNNNNNNNNNNNNNNNNNNNNNNNNNNNNNNNNNNNNNNNNNNNNNNNNNNNNNNNNNNNNNNNNNNNNNNNNNNNNNNNNNNNNNNNNNNNNNNNNNNNNNNNNNNNNNNNNNNNNNNNNNNNNNNNNNNNNNNNNNNNNNNNNNNNNNNNNNNNNNNNNNNNNNNNNNNNNNNNNNNNNNNNNNNNNNNNNNNNNNNNNNNNNNNNNNNNNNNNNNNNNNNNNNNNNNNNNNNNNNNNNNNNNNNNNNNNNNNNNNNNNNNNNNNNNNNNNNNNNNNNNNNNNNNNNNNNNNNNNNNNNNNNNNNNNNNNNNNNNNNNNNNNNNNNNNNNNNNNNNNNNNNNNNNNNNNNNNNNNNNNNNNNNNNNNNNNNNNNNNNNNNNNNNNNNNNNNCUGUUCAUCCCAGAGGCACCAUCGAUCGGCUUCAGUUAGCAGCAGUAGCGAAGGAAUUGCUUGAUCGGGUUCAGUUAACAGCCAUCGAUCGAUCGCUCGGGUUCAGUAACGCAUAGCCUGCAGUGCAAUCGCUCGGGUUCAGUUAGAGCCCAACGCCUCGCUCGGGUUCAGUUAGAGCCAACGCCUCGCACACACGCGCGUACGUGUACGAGAGAAACGUGCAUCUCUCGGCCCCCGACCUCCCACCGUAACCGGGAACUCCCCGAAAUUUUCCUCGCCCUCGCUUCUACCACGGUUUUUUCCGUCAUGGACGGCCCAAAGAAUGUCAUGCAGCUACGUCUCCGGCCCGCCCAGAACGAAAAGCCCAUUUUCUGUCUUGAUUUUUUGUCAUAGAAGUAAAAGCCCACCACAUCUAUGAUGAUACCGGGUUUUGUCACAAUUAUCGUCAUAGAAGUGUCAUAUGUAUGACAGAAAAAAAUUCGUUCGGCCCAAAAUGUCACGGAUGUGUCUUUUUUUGUAGUGUAAGAUGCGGAUGGACUCAAGUCUAGCAACGGGGGCAUAUGUCUCACCGUAGUCCAUACCUUUGACUUGAGUGUAUCCUUGGGCGACGAGACGUGCUUUGUUGCGGACGACUUGACCAUCUUCGUCUUGCUUGUUGCGAAACACCCAUUUGGUACCAAUGAUGUUGUGGUUGUUGUCGGGCUUCUCGACCAAUGUCCACACUUGAUUUCUCUCAAAGUUGUGUAGCUCUUCGUGCAUGGCAUUUAUCCAAUCCGGAUCUUCCAAUGCUUCUUCAACCUUCAUAGGCUCAAUGCUAUAGAUGAAUGAAUAAUGUUCACAAAAGUUAGCCAAUCGAGUUUUAGAGCAAGUGAUUCUCCCGGUUUGAAUAUCAUUGAAGAUUUGUUCGAUGGGAUGGUCUCUUGAGACUCUUGCUCGAACUCGUGAGAGCUUUUGCUUGUGUCGGGGUGGAACAUAUUCUUCAUCAUAUUGUCCUUCUUUUUAGCCUUCUUCAUUGCUGACAUUGUCGUUCUCUCGUCGUGGUGGAGAAGGAGGUUGAUGGGGUUCAUCUUGAUGCAUUUCCUCGUUUUCUCCAUCUUGAUGUGUCCCGCUUGUAGAUGCUUCCAUGUAAACUCUUGGUUCACCUUGUCGUGAGGUAGAAGCUUCCACUUGGACGGGUGAAGUACUCUCCUUCACCUCUGUUGGACGAAUCUUGCCAAUAGACAAGUCUUGGAUUGCUUCCGAAGGGUCUUUGUCUCCUACAUCAAUUGGCAAUUGCUCUACUUGCGAGCCGUUAGAUUCAUCAAACUUCACAUCUACCGUCUCUUCAACCUUUUGGGUGAAAUUAUUGUAGACAUGGUAAGUGUGAGAGUUUGAGCCAUAACCAAGUAGGAAACCCUCAUGAGAUUUAGGAGCAAAUUUAGAACAACAAUGCUUAUCAAGAAUGUAGCACUUUGAGCCAAAUACUCGAAAGUACCAACUUGGGGUUUGUUACCGGUGAGGAGCUCGUAUGUCUUCUUGCCGAGUAGCUUGUGAAGAUACAAGCGAUUUGUUGCAUGACACACCGUCUCAACCGCUUCCGGCCUAAAGUGUUUUGGAGUCUUGUACUCAUCAAGCAUCGUUCUCGCCAUCUCAAUAAGAGUUCGGUUCUUCCUCUCAACAACUCCAUUUUGUUGAGGUGUGUACGUAGUCAAGAACUCGUGUGAAAUCCCUUCUUCGUCAAGAAAGGUAUCCACAUUUGUGUUCUUGAACUCCGUUCCAUUGUCGCUGCGAACCUUCUUGAUCUUCACUUCAAAUUGAUUUUGGGCCUUCCUAGCAAAAUUCCUGAAGAUCUUUUGGACCUGCGAUUUAUCAUCAAGAAAGAACACCCACGUAAAUCUUGAAAAAUCAACGACUAUAACUAGACCAAAUGAGUUUCCACCGAGACUCUUGUAGGCAUUGGGACCAAAGAGAUCCAUAUGAAGUAGCUCGAGCGGUCUUCUUGUGGUCAUGAUGUUCUUCACGGGGUGACUUCCUCCAACUUGUUUUCCUGCUUGACAAGCACUGCACAAUUUAUCCUUGUCAAAUAUAACAUCGUUAACUCCAAGGAUAUGAUCACCUUUAAUAAGCUUAUCAAGAUUUCGCAUGCCCACAUGACCUAACCUUCUAUGCCACAACGAGCCUUUCGAAGAUUUAGCAAUUAAGCAAGUUCUAGGUUGAGCCUUUUUAGUGAAGUCAACAUUGUAAAGAUCACCUCUACGUAUACCGGUAAAGACCAUUUUAUGAUUAUCUCUAUGAAACACUUGGCAAUCUACUUCCGGAAAUAGGACAUUGAAACCAAAGUCAGCAAGUCUAAAUACAGAAAGUAAAUUGUAGCCAAGAGAUACAACAAGAAUAACAUUUCGUAUGGAGCUAUCAUGUGAGAUGGCCACCUUACCAAGGCCAACCACCUUACCCUUUGAGUUAUCACCAAAAGUGACAUACUUCCGAGGGCCGUCGUUUUCAGCAAGCUCACCAAAUAUAUCCUUGUCUCCGGUCAUAUGAUCAGUACAUCCACUAUCAAGGACCCAUUCCUUUCCUCCAGCCAUGUAGCCGCGAAGAUUAGCCAUGAGACCAAAGUGUCUCAUAGACUCAUCGAGAUUGAAGUCACUAUCAUCAUCCUCAUAAUAGUAUCCAUGUUCAACAUCAUCUUGUAAUUGAUCAUUUCCUAGAGAAGGUGAUUCAUUAGAAGUAUGACCGUAAUAAUGUUCAUCUCUAUGGAUUCUAAUGACUUCGGAAAUGAUAUUGCUAAUAAUUCCAACAUCUCCUUUAGCACGCAUGAGAUCACGAAGCUCAAACAGGCAAUCAUCAAACUUAGGAUCACUAGUACUCAUCCUAUUCAAGGCAAUAGACUUAUGGAGAAUCUCAUCUGGGUUUUUCAAGGAAUAAUUUGGGAAUCAUUCCUCAAGAAAUCUCCAUAUGGUGUAAGCACAAUCAAGAGCAGGUAAGCUAGCAAUCAAAUUUUUAGGCAAUCCUCUAAUGAUAAGAUUGAUAGUUCUAAGAUUGAGAAUCAUGUCAAGAUCCUCAUCGGGAGUGGGAUGCAAAGGAUCACUAGGGGGAAUGCAAGGACUAGUAAUGUACUUGUUCAAGUGAUAUUCAUUGAAAAUCUCAAGCAUCUCAUUUUUUCACUCAUGAAAGUACUCUCCAUCAAGUAUAGGCACUCUACGUCUAAGACUCCCCAACGUAGACUCAUCCAUCUUCCUCCAAAGGUGUUUAAACCAAAGCAAUGGAGACCAAAGCUCUGAUACCAAUUGAAAGGAUUGAGAAGAGGUGUCUAGAGGGGGGUGAAUAGAAUCUUAACAAGAAAAAGUUGCAGUUUUUAUUUUCUUCAAGUUAAGGUAGAGUUUUAGCACAAGUUUAAACAUUCACAAUACAUUCAAGCAAGCAUGUCAAGAGUAUAUGAGCAGCGGAAAGUAAAGCAUGCAAUUUGCGAGAAUGUAAAGGGAUGGGAUUAGAGUGUGCAAACGCAAUUGGAGACACGGAGAUUUUUGGCGUGGUUCCGAUAGGUGGUGCUAUCGUACAUCCACGUUGAUGGAGACUUCAACCCACGAAGGGCAACGGUUGCGCGAGUCCACAGAGGGCUCCACCCACGAAGGGUCCAUGAAGAAGCAACCUUGUCUAUCCCACCAUGGCCAUCGCCCACAAAGGACUUGCCUCACUAGGGUAGAUCUUCACGAAGUAGGCGAUCUCUUUGCCCGUACAAACUCCUUGGUUCAACUCCACAAUCCUGAUGGAUGCUCCCAAGUGACACCUAACCAAUCUAGGAGACACCACUCUCCAAAAGGUAAUAGAUGGUGUGUUGAUGAUGAACUCCUUGCUCUUAUGCUUCAAAUGAUAGUCUCCCCAACACUCAACUCUCUCACACAGAUUUGGAUUUGGUGGAAAGAUGAUUUGAGUGGAAAGCAACUUCGAGAAGGCUAGAGAUCAAGAUUCAUAUGGUUGGAAUGGAAUAUCUUGGUCUCAACACAUGAGUAGGUGGUUCUCUCUCAGAAAAUGUAUGCUGGAAGUGUAGGCAUGUUCUGAUGGCUCUAUCCAUGAAUGAAGAGUGGGUGGAGGGGUAUAUAUAGCCUCCACACAAAAUCUAACCGUUACACACAAUUCACCAAACUCGGUAGGACCGAAUUAGAAAACCCAAUCAGACCGAUUUAGUUCAAAAUGUGAACGUUAGGAUAUUCGGUGGGUCCAACAUGUCACCUCGGUGGGACCGAUUUCAUUAGGGUUAGGGCAUAACGUAAUCUCGGUGAGACCGAUUACACAAACUCGGUGGGACCGAUUUUGGUAAUAAGCUAACCAGAGAGUUGGUCAGGCAAACUCAGUGGGACCGAUUCGCUCAUCUUGGUGAGACCGAAACAUUACGAAAGGGGAAUAGAGAGUUUGCAUUGCGAACUCGGUGGGACCGAUCGCUCAUCUCGGUUGGACCAAAACGUUACGAAGGGAGGCAAAGAGUUUGCAAUCCCAUCUCGGUGAGACCGAGAUCCCUAUCGGUGAGACCGAAUUGAUUAGGGUUUCUAGCAGUGCCUAUGUCAAGUGAACUCGGUGGCGCCGGAUAGAAAGUUUCGGUGGGGCCGAGUUUGACUUUUGGUUUGGGACAUAUGUGGAUAUGAGAAAGUGGUUGAGGGCUUUGGAGCAUAUCACUAAGCACUUUGAGCAAGCAAGCCAUUAAGCAACACCUCAUCCCCUUUUAAUAGUAUUGGCUUUCCUAUGGACUCAAUGUGAUCUUGGAUCACUAAAAGUAAGAUGUAGAGUCUUGAGCUUUAGAGCUUGAGCCAAUCCUUUGUCCUUAGCAUCUUGAAGAGGUUCCACAUCCUCUUGUCCACGCCACUCCAUCUGUUGAACUUGUCUGAAAUAUACUGGAUGAAAACAUUAGUCCAACAAGAGACAUGUUGACAUUAAUUACCAAAACCACCUAGGGAGCACUUGUGCUUUCACCCCGGACAGCAACGAGCCAGAGAUGGGAAGACGCGGGAGUAGAGUCGCAGAUGGAGAGGUGUACGAGGGCUAACUGGUUCUGGUGCGGUGUGGUUCGGCAGUCGGUGCAGAAGAAUAGGAGGGGUGGAGGGGUGGAGGGAUGGCAUGGCCAACGGUGGGGUAGCGCUUCAUAGCGAAGCGUGCUAAGCAGAGCUGCUAGCAGGAGGAGGCGGGAGCAGGUGGUCCCGGCGGCGCUGGAGGAAGAAGACGAGAGAUUGAAGAUGGAUGCCGGUCGUUGGAUGUAAAUCCAACGGCUCACGAUGUCAGAAUCAUUUGUUGACUAAGUUGACAACGACUUGCGUUGGCUUCGACCCAUUGGCCCACAUUUCAGCCUCCAAAAAUGUGGCACGUAUUCAACCCAUUUUUUAAGAAUUUACAGUCAAUUUGAUCUUUUUUUAGAAUUACAGUCCAUUUGCUGGGCUGGGUGAACAAAUAAUGUAGCUUCCAUGCGGCCCAUUUAUUUAUUUCCUAAAAAAUUACAUGUCAUUUGCACUUUCUCAAAAUACACGAUUUUGCUGGGCUGAUUCUAAUUAUAAUGUUGGGUUGGGCGCAGCAAUGUUAUCAAAAAAUAAACAAGGGCUGAGCAUUUUUUUAUAAAUAUAUUUAAAUAAUAAGUGAUUUAUUAUUACAUUGGUCCUUAAAUCUUACCAAGCUUUUGUACACAAUCACCAGGAUUUUCGUUGCCAAAAAAAUCCAGGAUUUUAUUGUUAAGAAAUUAUUUUUAUAAGUUAAUAAGAUGUGGGAUAUUGUUUCUUACAUAUGUAAGUUUCUGUUAAAUAUAUGAUGACAAUAACAAUAAUAUAUAAUAACAUAUAAAAUAAUUUAAAUAUAUAUAAUAUAGUUAGUAGGGAAACAUAAGUUGGACCAGGCAUUCAUAUUCUUAUAUGGAAAAAUAGAACAGACCUCUGCGUUUUCUUCAAGAAAAUACAUAAAUUGGGCUGCCGAUGUUUCAGGAAAAAUGAAACCUCGGAUGGGAGGUCCAUAGGCCAGUCGAUACAUGACGGCCCUCAAAAAAAUACAAACCGGCAUGUCGUGGGCUGCGCAUGUUAAAAAAGAAAGCCUAGACGGGGCAGCCCAAAACCCAGCUGAUACUUGUUGCCCCAGUGAUAAUAAAUGAUACUUGCCAGCUCCCCGGUUUCGUUGUGAAUUUAUCUCCUAUAGUAACUACGUUGAAGCACCUAAAAAAUGUAACUAUGUUGACAAACCCGUGGGCCCCAACGUCAGUAUAGCAUUAGGAGGAAGUAUUUUUUCGAUGAGGCACUUGCUUGCGUACGGCCAUAGACCUGGUGGGUCCCGACUGUCCGCCUCUCCACGUACAGUCCUCUCCAGAUUCCUCUCGUUUGUUCAGCAUGUUCACAACGGCAGACAGCGGCGCUGCAGCGAGCGCACAAAGGCGCAGGAGGAGAUCGGACCACCUGAGGCAGUGCCUUAUUUGUAACAGAAGUACUGAACUAGCCCAGUGGCCAAGUGACACUGCCCGACAGCUGUUCUGCCCGAGUUCGAUUCCACCUGAUGCAGGGAAAAUAUCUCCAAAUUUUUCCUCUGCCAUUAUUGUCAUGUGGGUCCCCAUUGUCAUCUAGACACACCACAUCCAACACUUGCCAAAACUUCGUCCCUCAUUUUCUCUAUUUUUCGCACACUCGACAUUGUGUGGGCAUUUUGAAAAUAGCAUACCUUUUUGACUAUGCAUCAUAUGAAGAUGUGCUAUGCAUGAAUGUUGACCAGCAUGAUGUUAACUGGCUGGUAGUUCCAUUUUUGACCAUGAAUAAAACUUCCAACAUGAUGUUAACCCUGUUUGAAAAGGCCGUGUUAGUAUAAAUGCUCUGCCUCUAAAAGUUGCAGUUUCUUAUCUGAAACUGAACUUGCAGUUUCUCAUCUGAAACUGAAACUUGCAGUUUCUUCUCUGAGAAUCACAUUGUCUGCACUAUUAUACUCCUAUGAAACUACAUUUUUUUAAGUGCUAAAAAUAGAUCUCUAGAAUUCAUAAAAUACUUCAUAUGCUCAAUACUGCAAAUCUAAAAUUCAAAAGACAUUCAUAUCUGAAAGUACUCUCAAAAUACACAACACAAAACACAAUUCACAACCUGCAAAUACUGACAACCGUAAGCUCCUCCUGACAAUUCACAACCUACCCGACUAUUGGGCUGGGGGGCGGUCCCCUCCUAUUCCUCGGCGGCAGACAGCCGCCCCGUGACACGAUGUGAACGGCGAGGGAGAGGAUGGCGGGGAAGCGUCGUCGGGCCAAUUGUUUUUCUCCUCUUCAGUUGGGUUCAGUCGACGAAGACUCCACCGGCUCGCUCUAGCACGACACCCUCACAAAUGGCACCCUGUAGAUGCUCGAUCCUUCAAUCUCUGGUGGAUGCUCCAUCUGGGAUCGAUACUCCCACCACCGCUUCCUCACGAUCGGAUUCGGUGAAUCUGUUUGCUCCAUGGCCCAGAGGAGCAGCUCUAUGUACUCCCACGCGACUCCCUUCGGGAGUAUCGCCGCCUUUUCGCUCUGUUGCAGAUAUUUGGCCAUGGAUGUCGCCGUCGCCGCUAGUUGGUCCUUGUUGUCAAACCAAGACUGUAUCUCCAACAUCCUAGCUAGCUUCACAGGGUCGCCGUCUGUGAUCCACACGUAUCGGUUUUACUCCUCCAUCGAUCUACUUAUCCACAGCACCUUCACUCGUCGGCAGGGGUUUUUGAAUGGAAGAGGAGAGGAGCAUCGCUGGUUUUGGAUCAGAACGGGAGAGGAGCGACGCUGGUUUUGGAUUGGAACAGGAGAGGAGGGGCGGUGGUUUUGAAAUGGAAGAGGAGAGGAGCGGCGGUGGAUUUAGAUUGGAACAGGAGAGGAGUGGCGCUGGUUUAAGAGGAGAGGAGCGGCGCUGGUCUUGGAAGUAUUUUUUUGUUUUGCGUAUUUUGGGUCAAAGUUUGACCAUGUACUGUAUUUGACAAGCAAAAUGUGAAUGCAUGUCACCAAAAAUUGUAUCGUUUGGUUCAUAUCUGAAUCUUUUAAAUUAUAUUAUUUUUGCAACGUAUAACAUAUAUUUUAUUUGUGAAAGUCAUGGUCAAUUAUGACCCAAAAUAAAAGGGACACUAGUUAAUGUGGGGUCGCUUUCUUAAUUGAAGGGUAAAUUGAUUUUGAUUUUGAUCCAGUCACAGCGUGCCGGCCCUCUCGUCCAAUCCUAAAUCGCUGCCGCACGCUCCUCUCCCUCUUCUCCAUUGCAAAACCACCUCCUCUCCAUCAUCUCCAUUCCAAAACCACCGCCUCGCCUCUCCCUCUUCUCCAUUGCAAAACCACCUCCUCUCUCCUUAGACGAGGAUCCCCUGACGUAGCCCAUCCUGCCAUUGAGACACUGACACAUGGGUCCCACCAAGUGCGGGGCCCACCUGUCAGCGACCGAAAGGCAGGGAAACCUCUCCUCUCCAUCAUCUCCAUUCCAAAACCACCGUCUCGCCUCUCCCUCUUCUCCAUUGCAAAACCACCCCCUCUCCUCUCCAUCAUCUCCAUUCCAAAACCACUGUCUCGACUCUCCCUCUUCUCUAUUGCAAGACCACCGUCUCUCCUCCCAUCUUCCAAAGCUAGCACCGGACCACUCAGAAGGACAUCUAUGGAGAGGAUGCAGCAGCGAAUCAGGCAGAUCGCCGGUGGCGACCAGGCAAAGUUAGCCAGGUUGAAGGAGAUCCUUACUUGGUUUGACAAUGAGUGGGAGAUUUCAAGGACGAUGAGGGCCAUGUGGCAAUUUAUGCAAAAGAGCGAGACGGCGGCGAUGAGGGCGGCGAUGUACUCCUCGGCGGCAGUCACGCCGUAGUCCUUUGAGUUCACCGAGUAUCUCCUCUGGGCGAUGGAGCAGACAGAUUCGCCUGAGGCGUAAGUCAGGCGGAGGUGGUGGGCGUACAGGUCGAAAGUCGAGCACCCAGAGGAUAACGAAUCGAUCGAGUACGGUGUGCCGUUUGUGAGGGUGCAGAGCCAGCCGGAGCCACAUGAGUAUUCGUUCUACCACCGCAAGAGGAGGCCGGAUGGCGCGACGUUGCUUCCCCGCCGUUCUCCACGGUUCCCUCGACGCUCGCCUCGUUUCAACGGCGUCGGUAGGGUUUAAGGUAAGCUUCGCACUAACCUAAUCUUCCAUCUGCUCAUGCUUACAAUCAGUGUGACAGCUAAUAAAAAUCAUGCUUACAAUCAGUCUCCGAGUACUACGCCAAUCACCCUAAAAUAGCUCUGGACCUUUGGGUCAGAGUUGUGACACUGUGUACAAAUAAAGAAAAAUAGAUUGAUGGUUCUUUCAGAAAUGAGUACUCCCUGGAAAACUGCCAAUAUAAGCUACUAGUAUUUUUUUUGAAGUCUAAGCUACUAGUAUUUGGUUAGAGGAUUUGCCGCCGAGAAAGAUCCGUCCACAGUGAGCGCCACACAUGCCACUGGUGGUGGUGGAUGCCAAUGCUUAGAUGGAGCAGGGUUGGUGUCGGUAAUUUUUACUUGGCACCUCGCACUCUACAUAUAUGCCGGUUCCAUCCGUACAUUUGUGCAGUUCCACCAAAAUGCAGCUGAAUAACCCUGUUUGCACAGAUAAUGAAAAAUUGUGAUUACAUUAUAGUGGCACUAGUUGAUGAAACAUACACUAAUAAAUAGAAGAAAAUAUUGCGAUAGUAUCAUAGUAUGCCAUGCUGCGAGGGCGAGAUGGGCCCUGCGACGCCUCAUACGGUACGCCUCAUACUGGAAAUCGACCCAAGUCUCCCCGAUACACCUUCUGCCAGUGAUGAACAUCAAUGUACAGCGGUAGUACAAGGAGGGGCCUUGAGACAUUCCAAUCUCUAUUUUUGUGCAGAUCGACUAAAAUUAAGCACCACAGUUUGCAAAAACGCUUAAACAUUAACAAUGGGACUAGUUGAUGAAACAUAUACUAACAAAGAGAAGCACAUUCUUUAUCUACAUUGGAAAUGAAAUGAUAGAGAGGACACUCGCUCUAUUUUAACUGUAUUAUUACUUCAUUUUACUAGUGGCGCUAGGGUCGAGCAGGUGGCAAACGAGGUGUACCGUGCGUCGCAAGGAUGGAGGCCGAGGGUGCAUAGACUGGGAUGCUGAAGCUGGCUCUAUCUUCCCCCUGAUGUUUCUGUGGUAGCAUUUGGGUUGUAAUCCAAACUUGGUCGAGCUGGUGCUACGUCCCCUACCUGCCUAGCUUAUGUGGCGAACUUGUCUCCUGCUAGUACUCAGUCCGGUCUAGUAGUAGUUGUAUAACUGCCCGUUUACACUAAGAUGUUGUCGGAUAAUGGUUCUCUAUGGUAGGGUUUCUUUAAUGAAAUUGGAGGAACCCCCCUCUUUCGAUAUAUAAAAAAUCUGUGGCACUAGCGGUGCCAAAACAUUGCCUCAAAUUAAUAGUGCCACUAGAUUAAGGUGCAAAAUAAUAACAUUACUACUUUAUCAUGGCAGUGCCAAAACAGUAGCACAAGAGCAGACUCAACAUGCAGGAUCUUUGGCAAACGGUCGGACCAAAAAUCCACAUACCUCGUGAUGGGAACCAUAUCUGCAGUCAAUGCCAUCAUAGAAGGGAUGACACCAGUCACCAACAUGGAUGAUUCAAUUCAUGGGACCUUUUGGUGCAGUUCACCUAAAAUGAAGCAAUGUCCCAUGAGCUAGCAGCUUCUUCUUCAUUUUUUAAGAAAAGGGCUUUAGCCCCGGUUCCAUUUCCAUCAGAAAACAAAACCCACAGAGCUUCUUCUUCAUUAGUUGCAAUAAAAUUGAGCAACGUCAAGGUUGGUUGUGAAGCUCCUGGAACGUUCAACUAUAAUUUGGAUAUCAUUUGUGCACUUCAACUAAGAUCAAGCGUGAAAUGUAUGUCUCUAUUUGCACAAAAAAAGGUGGAAAGGAGGGUGACAAACAAGUGAUGAAACAUACAUCAAAUGAAAAGAAGCAUGUUCCUUAUCUGAAUGGCAAUCCUACAAGGACAGUAGCAAUUUCUAAAGCAGCAGCAUUGCUAGAUAUUAGUGUGAGCAUUAGGAUUAACUAUGACAACCAUUAAAUACAACAUUACUUUAAUGGUGUCAUUGUUUCAUUUUACCAGCAACAUUACAUUAACAACUGCUACAGAGUCGGUAUUUGGGCACGGGAGAGUAGGCGGACCAAGACAGUUGCAUUUCUAACGAAAAGAAGCAACUUAUCUUAAUGGGAAAUUUAGCAGGACAUGAAAAAAAGUGCCAUUGAUUCAUAUUACUGGAGGCAUUACAUUGAAAACAACAUUGGUUUAAUGUGUCCUUACUUUUAACAGUGUGACUGCUACAUUUUACCAGUGGCAUUACAUAAGAGUUGCUCAGGGCAACAAACAUCAGAAUAGGAUAUCUGGGUUGGUCCCAUUUUUGUUCGGUAUAGCCACCUUAUACUGUGUGAGGGCUAGCAAAUCUAGUGCUGGACUUACUCUGUUGAAUUGUCCCCUAGUCCCCACUUUCUUUCCUUUUUCAACCAAUAGAUCAGGUUUAUAUUGAGUUUGUACUGCGUUUCCCUUUAUUUCCCUAUUAGACCAAGAGACCAGUUGGAUAGCCAGUCUGCUACUUUUCGCCCCCAUUAUUUCCUCUUUUGACCAAGUCCUAGAUUCAGGUAACAGAUCUUCCCCCACCCCCACCCCGUUUCUUCCUUGUUUGAACCAAGUAGUACUAGAUUCGAGUGCAUGAACUACUUUUACCUCUUAACAGUCAAAAUUUAGGUGGCUUUCGAACAACCGUUCGAUCCUAUCUACGAGGGGGCCUGGGAAAUAGUAAAAGAUACAAAUGCAGCGACAUCAGGAGCUCGGGAAGUAGAGCAAGGCCGGUUUCGAAGGAAGUUAUACCUGAGGGUCGCCGGGAUGUUGCUAGGUGGGCGGCGAGAGGCCGGAUCUGCCCACACUACGGCAGCGAGGAAUAAGGAGUCGAAGGCCCUCCCUAGCCAGCAGUGCUUGGGAGAGAACGGCAAGGCAUGCUGAUCGGGACGCGCCGGCAGUGGGUAAGAGCCGUCGCCGAGGACGACCGUGUGAACGUUGCACCUUCUCACCUUCCCCGGCGGAGAGGAUCCGACUGGAUCUGUGACCAGCUAGCGGUGAGCAGAGAGAGAGAGUGUGGCCACCGCUGUCGUGUUUAGAUCUGGAGAGGACGAGAUAGUGUGAAGAGAGCAACACUAGCAAGCAAGCGCGGAGGCUCCUGCCUAUAUAGUCGAGUACUAGUUUUCUUUUGUCUACCGGAGCCGGCUUGACCUCGUCAAUGACUGUCGAGAAGUCUUCAUGCACGUGCCCCGGAGGCGCAGUUGUCGUCAUUUUGAUCUAAAGCACCGGAUUAUAACAUAUAACACAAAAAAAUGCCACAUGACAAGAAACCAUAACCUCAUUGCCCAAAGGAGACAACAUGAAUCCCGAUGGACAAACUAGACGAGUAUCAAAGCUCAAAUUAAAGAUAAACUCGUAGAAAAGGGGUCCGUCGAUAGAUGUCCUAAUUAACAUAGCCGGCUUGACCUAGAUGGCAGCCGAGUAGUCUUCGUGCAUAUGCCCCCAAUGACCAGCGCCUUGGAGGAACUCAGUUGUCGCUGUUUAACCCUCGCAGUGAUCCGAAGCACAUGACACCUAAUAUUGCGAGAUGACAAGAAACCUUUUUUUUAGAAUUCUCAUCAGAACUACAGCCCUGUACAACACAGCCUGCACAAUAUGUAGACGAUAGCCAAUCUAGGCGUGUCUGCUAGAGUCUGGUCACAUGCAUGGACGAACUGAUCUUCCGUGUCAUGCAGGGAUCGUCCAGGCACCAACGUCUGUACAACACUUCUCUAGUACUACUAUCGCUCGUCUCUCUCUUCUAUUAACUCACCCGACUUGCGGGGCCAGGGAGUGUGCCUAUGGUCGGUUCUCGAUUGCGGUCCCACAUGUGUGUGCAAACGCAAUAUGAUGCGCGUUCCAUUCGGAGAGCGGAGUGCCAGACCGACCGACCGUCUGGGGUGCCACGCAAACGUGACGGGCGUGCUAUAUACUCUGUACAUGUGUACCGCCGUUUUCUUGAGGCUUUGCUCCAUGGCGCAAUCCAUGGAUAAAAUAUUAGUAUACUAUACUAUUUAAAAGUCAAGGGCGGGGCUUUUUCCGCAUGGUAGGCGGGGCAGUUCCGCCUAGUCGGUUCGACAGAGACGCGAGAAGAUGAGGGAGUAGGCGUCUGCAAACAUAGGGCUAUGUGAUUUGACAACGAGUUACUGCUGGACAGGUGGGGCCCCGUUAUUUGACUUGCCAUUUUAUCAUUUUAACUGCGGCGCUACAACCGGCGUGAGUCUCCCGAUUCCUGACCACCUCCAUGGUAUACAGGUGCCUCUCCCAAUGCUCCACCAUGUAGAGGCUGGCUCUUGCAUGAGAGCCCACUCCUCCACUUUUUUCUUGCCUCUUUCCUCCACAUAUGCAAAAAUGCCAUGUAAGCGGGAUCAUAGCCCACUAUUGCACUUGCUCGUACAGGUGCUAAGCCUGCCACAUAGGCAUAAAGUUUGAUGUGGCAAGUUAAUUACUCCCUCCGUCUAGGUGUGCAAGUCAUCUUACGAAAACGAAAUAAUCCCAAAACACUUAGGCGCAGUGCAUACAUCGUUUCUUGUUUCUUGACAUAUCAACCAAUAAGAUAUGUGGGGUGUGCAUGCUUUUAAUGACUUGAGACUACCAUUUCAUUGGAAGAGGUCACUCCUUGGCAAAUGCAAUAAAUACAACGAAGAAAGAGAUAGAGAGAAGUAAAAAAAUACUCUUAUAGCCAACCUUAUAGCUAACCUUGUUGUAUGAGUGACUAAGUGAUGAUUAUGUAUGACAUGCCAACAUCUGAUAGCCUAAUGCACCGUGUUAGAUCUCCAAGGGCACGACCGCACGAGCGAGGCAACGGUUGUGGAAGGCGCAACCAUGAUACGGGCUGCUGGCAGCCCUUGGAUCUGAGAUCGAACGGUCGCAUGCUAAGUUGCUGAAAAUUUGCAGAAUAACCCUCCAGGAUAGGAUAUUCACCCAUAGGUCUAUAAUCACGCCAUGCAACUGUUCGAUCUCAGAUCCAAGGGCUCUCGGAAGCCCAUAUCAUGGGAGAAUGGAAAGCUUCGUAUCACCUGUAAUUUUCCCGACGCUUAACAUGACAUCGAAAGCCAUUUAAUUGGGCGUCGAGUAGACAUGACAUCUAAUUGGGCCCCCAUAGCACUGUGCAUGAAUCCAUUUAUCCACCAGGCAAUCCACUACCCUGUCGUUCGCAUGCCCCACUCAGCAUUUUUACAAAAACCGUUGGCAGUUCGCUCCUACUCAUCCCCGGACGUCCUUUAAUAUUACGGCAGUUCGCUCCUAGUCGUCCCGUCCUUUCACAUUACGGCAGUUCCACUAAUCCUAACCUUCCUCCCAAAUCCAUGGCGUCCCAAAUCUCCAUGAUCGGCGGUGAGUACAAGGUUAGAACCAUCACCGGCGAUGAGUUCGACGUCAUCUACACCCGUUCUUCCGCGACGGUGAAAGGAUAACUUGCUCGCUUCAGACGCAUGUUCGAAAACUCAAAGGAUGAGUGGGUCGCUGGGCUAGAUGUUGAGUACACCACGGUCCUGCAAAGCAAGAAGACUCUAAAGGAGGCAGAGAAGAAGAAGCCCGCUGUGAUCCAGGUUUGCGUGCAUGACUUAUGCUUGGUCUAUCACAUAUGCCAUGCCGACGUUGAGUGCCAGGAUUUUAAGAACUUCCUCAAGGGCGGCCGAGUGAAAUUCGUUACUGUAGACUUUAGGAACGACAAGGAUGUCCUGCAUCGGAUAGGCCUCGUUGUUGGCAACCCCUUCGACCUCCAGAAGAAAGGGCCGGUGCCCUCCCGUGAUCAGCCUUCAAUGCUGACCCUGGCAGGAGCCAUGGUUCAUCCUUCGUACGGUACACUGAAUAAACCUCCAUUCAAGUUUCAUCAUGCAUGGGAGUGGAAUGUACUAGAUAUAGACCACAUCCACUACACUACAAUGGAUGGCUACCUUUGUUUCAAUAUCUACAAGGGUUGGAUGAAGAGCAAGAGCCAAGUGUGCGGUUCAAGCAAAGAAGUAUCGCCCAAGAGGAAGAGGGACAAGGACGAAGUCGAGCAUGUGGACGAGGAGUCUGAGUAAGGUGGCAGUGUCGUUGCUCAUGGUGGUUCUAAUGCAGUGUCCACCGGAUUAGUUGCUUAGUUUAAUUUCAGGUGUGCUUAGUUUUAUUUGAGGGGUGUGUUGUGCUGAGCCCCCAGCUGAACUAUCUUAUGUUCCUUCUCGUUACUUUAACUCUUCAGUACGUACAUACUAGUAUUUCUUACAGUUCAUCUUUUAGUUGGGAUAGUACUACCACUCGUUUCUUCACAUUAUAUACGUAUAAUAUAUAUGGCCAAUAUCAUAUAGCCAGCAGUUUAGUUGUCAAAGAAUUUCAGGGUGCUUAGUUUUAUUUGAGGGGUGUGUUGUGCUAGACACCAUUAUUGUGACUCAAAUCUCUUUGGCCAUUUUAUAAUGACAUAACUACCAAUGGACCAACAUGCCAGCUCUCCCUCUAUCUCACUACAGUAAAAUAAAGUGUGGGGCCUACUUGAUCCCAACAACAUUCUUAUUUUCCUGUAAAAUUAUUCGCUUGGUUAGUCCUGACAAGCGGGGCCACACUUAUCAUUGUGAGAAUCGGCUUAUUUUUGUCAUAUAACAUGGUUAACGGGUUUGACGUGAAAAUAACAAUGUCUAAUGCCAUUUUGAGUAAACAUCUAACUUAACGAUGGCAUUUUUGAGAUACUAAUUGCAUUUUUGAGCAGGCAUCUCACGGAUCGAUGGCAUUUUUGAGUUGUUAUAACUUCUAAUGGCAAAACUGAGUAGUGAUACACAACUAGUGGCAUAAAUAAUAAGAACCCAAGAAUUAAAUAGGUAUGCUAAUUUCUUUAAUAUAAUUUAGCACCCCAUUUAAGCACGUACUAGCUUUUUUAAUAGUACUAUAUGCAUAAUUUGGCGACGAGCGCUCUCUAUAUGUACCACCUUUUUUCUUUAAUUUCAUCUUGUUAGUUUUGCUCCAUGGCGCAAUCCAUCAAUACUACUACUGUACAAAAGUAUACAUUUUUUAAAAGGCUAGAGGGCGGGGCAGUCUAGCUUGGUCGGUUUCAAGAGAGGCGAGGGCCUUCGUGAUUUGACGGCUCAUUACUGCUAGAAGGCGGGGCCUUGUGAUUUGACUGCUUGUAUAAAUGUGCCGACGACCUGAGGAGGAGCAAAGAACCGUGCGGUAUACUUAAGUUUUCCACUGGAGUAGUACGACGGAGGAGCACGAAACACAGUAGCCUAGUGCCAUAUAGCAAUAAAAAUGAUCUAAUUUGCUAGUCAUCUCAUUGUUAGCAUUGUUCUAUUCAUGCCUCGCAGAGAACGUGACACGUGCGGCGAAACACCCGAAGCAAAAGAAGAAACACAGGAGCAAAAGAAGAACGAAGAUUACCACCCCAAAAAUAGAAGGAAGACGCACACACAAGUCUGGGGCGCUGCUCUCUACUACAUGAAGGGUUGCUGGCCACGGAGUCAUAACUGCUUCUUCAUCGCCUCCACGACCUCCAUCUCCUUCCGCGUCUCCUCCGCCAUCUUCUUCAUUCUGUCCAUGACGCAGGAUUCUCGAUGCGAUCCUUCAUCAUCUGUUCCACGGCCACAUUACAUACCUUGACAGCAGUCGGGUGCUCGAUGCGGAGCUUCGCCAACUCCUCCUUAUGUUCCAUGACGAGGGCCCGCAUCAUCUUCAUCGAGGAACUACUAUUCUCAUGCAGCUUCUUCCAGCCGGCGUUCUCCUCCUUCAGCAGGUCGAGCUCGUGGCAGAGCUUCGCCUUGUCCUCCUGAAGUUGCAGGAUUUCACCGGUCACCUUCUUCUCCGAGGCAAUGCUCUUCUUCAACAGCAUCACCAAGCCGGCGGUCAACUCCCCUGCUCAUUGAGCUCAGCGGGCAUGUCGUCGAGGCUCUCCUUCAGCAGCUCACCAAGCCGUGGAUGAACUCCUUCUGUUUAUUGAGGUGCUUAUUGAGCUGAUCGAGCAUGCCGUCGAGGGACAACGACUCCAGCGCCGCCAGCUCGGCAUGUUUGCCUCCGCGGCUAGGGACGCUCCUGGGAGCCAUCGCCUACCCGUGAGAGAUCUUUUGAGGUCUCUGCGUGGCGGCGAGCCUUCUCUUUUUUUCUGCAGCCUUGGUUGCCGCUCCCUUGUUACGAGUAGUUCUCGACCUAGAGCUCUGCAUACCGGCCAUGGCAAGGACAGAUGAAGAAGAAGGACUUAUGAGGAGGAAGGUGGAGUAAUUUUCGGUUAGGUAGUUCCCCUUUCUAUAACCUAAGUACUAGUACUAAAACCUGCAUAGUGGGAACACAUUCAGGUUUGGUACGUACUAGUAGGUGUGAGCAGGCUUGCACUUAAUUGUAGCACUAGUACUUUGGAAUGUGAUGGGAACAAGGUAAAAUUAAUUGAUGGUUUUGGUUUCGAGGCUCGAAACGGCUCCCAAUAAGUUUAGUGGAACAUAAAUUUCAAGUACUCCCUCCAUCUCAGUUUACAAGGCUUGCACGUGUAUCUAGGUCGUCAAUGUAACUUAUAUAAAAUAAAUUGUUUAACAUAAAAAAUAUAUCAUUAAAAAAAUAAUAUUUGAAGUUUGUAAUGAUAUAUUUUUCGUAAUGUAUGCCUCUUAUUAAGUUGGUCAAAUUAACGACCUAGGUACACGUGCAAGACUUGUAAACUGAGAUAGAGGGAGUACUACACUGCUCAAAUGCGGUCGCACAAGUCAGUGAUGUAACUGGUCGUACAUGUCAGACCAAGCCGAUGCGUGUCCCUUUGGUGAGACGCGGGUCCGACCGACAGUCUGUUGGUGCGACCGACCGUAAAGUAUUACGCGAUGGAGACUUUUGGUUGUGGCUUCGGUUGAUUGUCACGACCAAGCAUUCUAAAACUAGUGAUAAAUCAAUUACCAUCUUUUUCCAAACGACCAAGUAUUUUCACAGGAAUACAAUACAUAUAGAUGGAGUGAUUGUCAAGAUUGCAAACCGACAUGCCGUUGCAAGUUCACUGUAGCAGCAACCGACUAGGUCACUGCAUCGCUGGCGGGGAAGGAGGGCAGCUCACCUCGCCUACGAUGCAUGCCCAGCGGCGCCGCCGCAACUGGUCCCGGGAUUUGGCUUGUCCUACCGCCCAUUUGAACAGUUGCACCGGCUGCUCAUGCCAUUGCGCAGGCAUGCGCGUUCUUUCCUCCACAGUCGACUUCGUGAAUAUGAUCUCUGCCAUUAGCCCUAGCUCGAAAUCAAUGCGACGCUGCCAGAUGCUGACAUCCCUCAGCAUCUCUCCCCUGAGAUCGACUUGCACCUCCACCUUGUGCUGCGCCAGGCGCAGCUCCUUGGAACUUCUCUCCAAUCGAUGCGACGCUUCCUCGAUCCGAUUUGCCCUUGCUACCCACCACCUGAAAUGCAGCCCUGGCAUGUCCUCCGGUGCCACCGAUCUGUGAUUCCAGAGCAACGGAUCCCCUCUAAAACACAUGUGGGUUUCGCCCAAAGGCGGCAGUGCUGCGGGCCGCAGCGAGAGGGCAGCUCGCGGGAUCUUGGGAUCUAAGGGAUCCUCCAUGGCAGGAUCCGGUCGGCGAGGCGGGGAGGCGAGCCUAGGCGCUGGGAGAGCCCUACGAGGCUAAGAUAAAGAUAGUACUACUCCACUCCGUCCAUAUUAAAAUACAAAGGCCACCAACAGUAGCCUUGGCAAAAAUUGAUCAUGCUGCCUGCGUCCUGGUUUAUUGGCCCCCUUUUUUUGUGUCACUUUUUAUGACAUGCAUAAAUAUUACUACUCCAUUUUUAUAUACAAGUCCACAAACUCAAGUUACAUGUACCAAGGUAAAAUUUAAUGCAUAGUUUACAGGUCAAACUUUUCUUUUCGUUUACUGGGAUCAUUAAUACGCAACAUGCAUGCAAGAAAACUGAGUGGAGGAAGUAGCUAGUGUUAUUAUGAUAGCAUGCAUGCAAGUAUUAAACAGGUUACUACUAAGAGAAAAUAUCAUUAAUUUUUUCCUCGAUUACUAUUGGUGGCCUUGUAUUGAUGUAAAACGUAUAUUCCAUAGUGGCCUUCUAUAAGUAAAUGGAGGGAGUAUGUUACUUACAAAUAUGGUCCAAAAUUGGCACAAAAUACGACGGAGACCAAUGGAAGUACUAGCAACCCAUGAUUUAACUACUCGCAUGCGCUCAGUGGAGUAGUAAUGUCUUUCUUCCGCCCUCACAUCCACUCAAUUUGCAUGUGCUGUAUUAAUUGACCAUCAAUGAAGUGAAGGACUUUACACGCGUCAAAUUAUCACAUGGGGUAGAUCUUCGUACAAAAAUGUGUCCCCCCCGUGUGCGUGCGAGGGAAUGAGUGUGUGCGUGCACAUCUUCGCUUCAUGCAUGUACCGCCAGUGUGGCUCAGAGAGGACGAGUACAUUCUUCUGGAACAAGGAGCAUGUCACUGUGAUCAAUCCACACAAGAAGGCCGCGACAACGCCUCCAGAUGUGCCACGUGGCUUCAUGAAUUGUAAGAGAGACACUGUGUAGCGUGCCAUUGGAAUUCUAAUUUACGUGUUUUGCACAUACUCGAAGUACUAGUAAGGUACACGUGCAUUGCACGCAUCAGAUUUGGCAACCAAAUUAUGAAUAAAUACCACACUAUAGCAUGUAAGCUCUAAGUCAUAUAUGCCUGAUGUAGACCUUCAUUUAAUUCUUAUAGUUCAUCUCAUUCAAAAUAAAUUAGUUUUUAUAAAAAAAAAGCUAGGGCCUCUUUGAUUCGUAGGAUUUCCAAAACGCGGGAAUAGGAAAAACAUGGGAUUAGAGUGUAAUGUCGUCUUGAAUCCUACAGGAUUGUACGAGUGUUUGAUUGUGCAUAGAAAAAACACAGGAUUCUUUCAAAGAGGUUUGAGUGGAUGAUAUGUUUCCUAUGAAAUCUAGUGCAAAUGAAUCCUAUGGAAAAUUCCUAUGGUUUACAAUCCUACGAAUCAAACAACCAAGAUAGGAAAAAUUCCUAAGGAUUAGAAUCCUCCAAAAUUCCUUUGAGAAUCCUUUGAAUCAAAGAAGCCCUUAAUCUAUUUUAUGAUUCGUGGAAUUGUGCGUUGUAAAGCAUAAAGUAAAAACAAAUAAUGGCAAUUCAAGUAGAAAAAAAGUUUGGGCAGUUAUGAUACGGAACAUUCUAGAACAAAGGAGAAACACUUGUGUUUUGAGGUUUGUGCAUUAUGCUUAAGUUCAACCAUGGAGUGUGCUAGAUUGUACUUGUGGCAAAAUCCGGUGGGGGGUAGUAGAUGGUGCGAGGGGCCAAGUGGAGGGAGACUAUGAAGGAGUGCAGAAGUGCGAGAUCGAUAUUUAAAGAGAGGGGGCGAGAACGUGCGCCGUUGCGCGCAGUGGUGGAGCCAUGAAAAAUAAAUGAGCUAGGGGGCCAAGCAUUGCUAAUCCUUUACGAGGAGGGCCAAUUCAUCAACUUAAACCAUUUUACCAGCAAUUGUCUAAUGAUCACAUUCAUAUUAGCCUCGAUAUAUAGUGAUGUUGGGGGGGCAGGGCCCUUGCUACCCCCUAUCUUCGCCACUAUGCGCGCGUCUGAGAGAUGAAGCGGAAGACAUGGAUGAUGAGAGGGGGAUGUUGGAUAUAUAAUUAAUGUGUGUGUAUUAGCUAUGUAAUCCUAUAUAGAGAGGUAUAGAUUGAUCGAUGUGGACGUGGGAAAGAGGGUGAGACCUCACUAGAUAUAUAGAUUGAUCGAUUUGUGUGGGAAACUGUGAAAGACCUAGCUAUAUAUAUACACACAUAGAGGAACAUCGAUCGUUGCGCAUGCACGUGAGAGAUCAAGAAUGCUCGAUAUGAUGGAGAGGGGGAGGUGUGUGUGUGUGUGUGUGCAUCCAUGGGAGACCGACCUGAAGAAAAAGAUUGCAUGUGUGCGAUGGAUAAUGCUGACUGGUACUGUGUGUGCACGCAUGCACGGGAGAAAGUUAGUGGUAAAUUUAUAAAAGAGAAGACGACUGUGUGGGUGUAAAAGACUAGGUGAGGUCAUAAUCAAUGUAAAGUUGAAUUCAAAUAUUUGAAUAAGAGAUCAUGAUGUUUGAAACCCAUGCAUGCAUGAAUAUAACUGAGAUAUGUGCGGUGUGGUUUGGAAACAAGCAUGUUGUACUGUAUACACAUUGAACAAGGUCAGACUGAUUUGAAUUUGAGAUAUCGAUGGCAGACAUCUUUUGGCCACAUUGCAUCUGUGCAUGGACACACUAUUCUAAUUGGAGAUGAUGGGUGGCUUUCGCAUCACAUAUCUAUAUCUAUACCCCUAUAUAUAUUAUAUUUUUUAUUUUUUAUGGUGUGUGUGGAUAACUUUAACUUUGAAAGAUGGUCGUUGGAUGAGGCCAAUCCGAUGGUGCAGAGAUGGCAAAUUUGAGCACUACUGGCCGUUGGAUAUAAUCUAGAUUCCACCAGAUUUUGCCACAUGUACAAUCUAGAAGACUCCAUGGUUGAACUUAAGCAUAAUGCACAAACCUCAAAACAUAAGCACUUCUUCUUUGUUCUAGAAUCUUCCGUAUCAGAAUUGCCCAAAUGUUUUUCUACAUGAGUUGCCAUUAUUUGUUUUUACUUUAUGCCUUACAACACACAAUUCCAUGAAUCUUAAAAUAGAUUAGCUUUCUUAUAAAAACUAGAUGAUUUUGAAUGAAAUGAACUAUAAGAAUUAAACGAACAUCUACAUCAUGCAUAUAUGACUCAAAGCUUACAUGCUAUAAUGUGGUAUUUAUUCAUAAUUUGGUUUCCAUAUCUCAUGCGUGCAAUGCACGUGUACCUUACUAGUCUAAAUUGUGUUUGUGUGUGUGUUGUGCUUGUUAAACACAUUGUACGUAGUAUAUCAUACAUGGUUUAGAUUCCGAACAUCUAGCUAGAGCAUACAUGUACUAUGAUUUGAAUUCAACAUAAAAUGGAUACAUAUAUUUGAAUUUGAGAUCGUAUGUACAUGUAGUUCGUAUUUAUAUAGGAAUUUACUUCUCCUAUAUUCAUGUCAUGUGUUGUAAAGAUAAUAUUUAGAUGGUUGUAUAACUAACCCGAGUACAAUCCCAUUCAAACAGGGAAAAUGUACUCAAAUUUAGUCCAUAUGCUAGAUAACACACAUUUUUUUUAUUGUUGAGGGAAGUGCAAAUUGUUUUGGUACUGUACACGUUAUGUUUGUUGUCCUGAUUUUUUAAGUUUUUUUUGUUGCAUUUGAAUGCAUUUCUAGUAAUAUAGUAAAACGGGACAUGGCUCUCUCUAGUGAUGAGGUGCGAUUUGUCUUUCUUUUGGGUACACGUUAAGCUUGUUCUCCCGAAAUUUCAAGCCGCGCCGUGUUAUGCCGAAAUUUCAAGCUAGCGUCUCUGUCUAUCGUGCUGCGCGCCUUGUUACCCCGAAAUAUUUAAGAUAUAUCUUUGUCCCGUUGUGCUCCGACAACUCCCUCCAUCUCAACCCGCGCCUUGCUAUUCCAAAAUUACAACGCGUGCGAAAACUCCCACCUCCUGUGAAAUCCCGACACGCGAAAUGCCCGUGAUACCCCUGAACCGAAAGAACAGCCUAGGUCAAAUCGGUGGGGGUACUUUCAUAACUUACCCCACAUUUCGGACAAGCGCGUCCCUAAGCCAUGGUUCCCCACUCCCAUCCCAUCCGCCCACCCAUUCGUACACCGAGGCCGCGAAAACCCGCGAAGCCCCACACCCUCCUCCGUCCGCCACCCAGCCGGAGCCUCUUCCCCGAUGACGUCGUCCACAGCAACACCUUGACGUCCCUCAUCCACCGUACCGGAUGAGGAUCCGUCGUCGAUCUCGUCAUCUUGCCGGUUCAGCCACCCCGUCCUCCACCUCCAAGGAGCUGCCCCGACGUUCCCCUCGUCUUUCGCGCCACCUCCAUUCCCACACCGCCGUCUUCACCUGCACCACCAAAAGAGCAUCAUCAUCACCAUUUCCUCGAAUGAAGCUGAGGCCUAAUCUGCGCCACCAAAGAGGUUGUACACUAAUUGCCGCAUUUUCUUCUUGAUUCGAUCUCACGGUGCUGCCGGCGCUCGGUCCCAAGCCGACACGGCGCGGCUCCAUCCACGACGGCGUCGCCGGCCACUUCCUCCACGGCGUCGCUCCCUCGGCGGCGACGUCCACAUCCGUAGGAGCUACUGCUGCUUUAGCUCUCGCUCGCGCUGCUGCUCUGCUCUUGCUCUCGGUCCCCUGCUUGGUCUGCUCUUGCUAUUGCUCUUGCUCUUGCCCGCGCUGCUGCUCUCGCUCUUGCUCUUGCUUGCGAUGCUGCUCCGAUUUAGCUACACUUUAGUCGACUGAAUCGGCUUUGGGGUUAGUCAAUUUUCAGGGGGUGGGGGGCUCGCCGGACUUAAGGAAGAACCAGCCGCAGCGGGAGGGGGCUCGCCGAAGAGGUACCCCACUAUCUAUCUUAGGGUUCAGGGUGGGGGCGAUGGUCGGCGGUGGUGGUGGGGCGGUGGCGUGGCGAUCGCCGGAGAAAAAGCUCGACACGGGGGGCCUAGAGGGAUGGCUGGGGCGGCGGCGGACCGGCAGUGGGGAGUGGUUUCGGGGCGGGCGGGGUGGCGCACCGCCGGCCACGGGCGGCGGGGGCGGCUCUUUGGCCGGUGGUGGCUAGCUGCUCAGGGGGGUCGAGGUUGAAGAUGAACUGCAGGCCCUUGAUUUCGUAUCCAACGGCUAGAAAAUCGACUGACCAGAGAUGAAAAAGUCAGUCGACUGACGUGUAGCCUCACCUGAUGCUGCUACAUGACCAGCUGCCCCGGCUCUCGCACGCGCUGCUACUGCUACUGCUUUUCUGCUACUAGUGCGUUCAGUUUCGACAGUAAAAUUCAAUUUCGACAGCAAAAUUCAGUUUCAACAGUUAAGUUCAGUUUUGACAGUUAAAUUCAGUUUUGACAGUUAAGUUCAGAGAUGAGCGGCUGAUGUAUUUUACAUCUAGCACUUUGUGGUUAUGUAUUUUACGUCAUCUAUUGGAGAUGCUAUUAGAAUUACACUCAGGUUAACGUUGUCUCUCUUGUCCUGCUUCAGCCUCGGCGUCGUACAACUCACCGGAGCUGCUCCAAUGAUGAAACCCUCCAUCACAGCGGAGCAGUACCCCGGGUUCCAUCUCCAGACGCCUAAGAUCUUCUUCCCCUCCUUCGAUAGCCAAGUCAGCCGGAGCAUCCUCACCGACCAACCCAAUCACGUUGAGAUCGACAUGGCUUCGCCAAAGAGGUUGUACACUUGUGGUUUGACUUAAUCUCACCAUGCUUCUUUGCAUCCUGUGAUCUUCCAAUUCUUGUGAAUCAAACACCCAGAUUGGCAGAAAUCCUGUGUUUUUAAAUUCUCUGUUUUGCACGUGCAUUCCUAUCCUAUUCCUAUCUAUUUCCUAUCCAUGCAUUGUUAGAAUCCUCAAAUUCAAACAAGCCCUUACACAAUUACUUCUGUUACAGAUAUGUGUCAAAGAAAACCUUGUGUGGUUUGUCCUGCUCCUGCUGCGACGUGUUCCACCCCAGCUCAGCUGCUCCAACGAUGGAAGGGUUCACCACAGCAAGGAUCCGCUCUCCAGACUUUCUUUCGCCGCCUCAGAUCUUCUUCCCCACUGCCGGCAGCCACGACAACUGCAUUACCAUCAUCAACUGAGCAGAUGACCUUGAGGACUACACGGGUCCACAAGAGAGGUCGCACUCUUUCGUGUCUGCUUACGUUAUGCAUCGCUUAAUAUGAUGACAUGCUACUUUAUCGUCGUGUUCACCUAUUGGACUCCGAGUCAGGUCCAAACUAAUGCUGAAACUUGAGUUUUUAAAUGGUUGUGGGGUACAUAUCGGGGCAGCAAUCAGUAUUAUUUGUCUACUAUCUGGUUAAUCUCGGGUGUCUAGUAUGAGUUUCAUGUUGGGUGCAAACAAACAUUAAAGGAGCCAUUAUCUGUAUUUUUUAACUAAAGCUAUUAUCUGCCUGCUAUCAUUGGUUUUGGGUCUAUCCACAGUUUGCUACCAUCACUCUGGAUUUGUGCAUGCACUCCUUACAUAAUCUCACUACGUUUUAUUCCUAUGCAUGUCAGUUAUUGUACACAAUGGAACUGAACAUGUAGAGCAAAAGGGACGAGCCUUGCGUGGCAAUAAAAUUUCAUGCAGACAUCACUCCAUGGUGGGCGCAAAGGCAGCCCCCCCUCCACCCAUUUCGGAUCGUAAUUAAGAGGAAGAUAACUAUUCUGAGGGGGAUUCAGAAGGAGAAGACCACUCCUAUUUACCCCCUGUGGUCUUCGCUCUAACUUGGCAUGCUGAUGUUGGUAAUAUCAUGCAUAUGGUGCCUUGCAUUGCUUACUGUAUACAUCAAAUAUGUCAUCUGCUUAGUUUAGACAUGCUUUGUGUCAAUGCCAUCUGUUUAGUUUCUUUAUCAUAUAUGUGAAUCAUGCAAUGCCAUCUUGUUUAGCCAGGCAUCAUAUAUGUGAAUUUUGCAAUGCCACCCUGGUUAGCCAGUCAUCUUAUAUGUGAAUUAUAUCAUGCCAUCAUUUUUUAUUACGUGUUAAAUUUGUCAACAAUUUUAGUACAUUCAAUUACUCUUCCUGUGCAUCAGCCAUUUGGUGCGGUCAUGGAAAAUCUGAAGUGGAAACAAGGUCUUUAGAGUAGACAUUGCUAUCUGACGAAGCGCAUGUCUUGCUGGUUACGAAUUGCUCCUCGGAGGAGGAUUCAGAGACAGAUGACCAGUCCUAUCCCCCCCCCCGAGGUGCAUGCUCUAACUUGGUAGGGUUGUGUUGCUCAUAUCGUGCGUAUGGUAUCUUGCAUUGCUAUGUCAUUUGCUUAGUUUAGACAUGCUUUGUGUGAAUGAGACCUAUUUAGUGUCUAAUUACCAUAUAUUUGAAUUAUGCGAUGCCAUCUUGUUGCAAGACAUUAUAUAUGUGAAUUAUGCAAUGCUAUCUUGUUGCAAGGCAUUAUAUAUGUGAAUUAUGCAAUGCCAUGUUGUUUAGCCAAGCGUCAUAUAUGUGAAUUAUAUCAUGCCGUCCUUUUUUUGUAUUUCUCGUUGCAUUUGUCGACAAUGUUUGUAUAUUCAACUGCUCUUCCUGUGCAUCAGCCAUUUGAAUUGGUGACAGAGAAAUCUGGAGUGACAACAAGGUCUUCAGAGCAGACAAUGCUACCUGCUGAAGCAGAUAUCUUGCUGGUUACAGAUAGCUCUUCAAAGGAGGAUUCAGAGGCAGAUGACCAGUCCUAUUAUCCCCCUGAGGUGUAUGCUCAAACUUGGCAGGGUUAUAUUGUGUAUAUGCACAUGUUGUAUUGCAAUGCUUAGUUUUUACAUCAUAUACACAAUAUUGAAUGCCAUCUCCUUAGUUGACACAUCAUAUAUGCGAUUGCCCUCUGAUCACUUGCUUAGUAUAUAAAUCAUAUAUUUGAAUUAUAUCAUGCCAAGAUGUUUACAUAGACAGCAUGUAUCUGAAUUAUGGCAUGCCAACCCAUUUUCUAAAGACAUAAUAUAGUUAUAUCAUCUCAUCCUGUUUACAUAGUCAUCAUAUUUUGAAUUAUGUCAUUCUAUCCGUGAAUUAUAUCAUGCCAUCAUGUUUCCAUCGACGACAUGUUUGUGAUUUAUGGCAUGCCAACCACUUUAAUAGACACAUCGUAUAGUUAUAUCAUGUCAUCAUGUUUACAUAGUCAUCAUAUUUUGAAGUAUGUCAUUCUAUCCUAUUUAGUUAGCCAUCAUACAUGUGAAAUUGUGUCAUGCUAUCCUGUUUAAUUAGCCAUCAUAUAUGUGAAAUUAUGUCCUGCUAUUCUGUUUGGUUAGACAACAUAAAUGUGAAUUAUUUCAUGCCCUGUUUUCUUCCCUACUAUCCAUUGCACCUGUCUAUCUUACAAUGUCUGUACAUUCAAUUACUUUUCUUGUUUAUCAGCCAUUUCAAUUGGAGGGGGUGAUGGCAGUAUCUGUGGGAGUAAAAACACGGUCUUCAGAAAAGGUCGUGCUACCUGUCGAUGCAGAUAGAACUACGGUUGUACUUGCCCAAGAACCAGCCCCACCACACAUAACCCAGACUCACGCAGAUUGUACCCCUACCCAGUUGGAUAGAGAACCAGCUACACCCCUUCUAACCCCAACCCCAGCAGAUAGUAACCCAGUUCCAGUUGACACAGCACCGUCUCCACCACAGAGCACCCGAACACGAGCAGUUAGUAAGGCAACUGCAGUGCCCAAAGCACGAGGACCACCACUCCGAACCCCAAGUCAACACUUAAAGCAGAAGAAGAAUUGUUCUCAGGUCAGGUUCCGUAGCUAUGGUUCAUACUACUUUGCUCUUGCAUCACUGUAUUUACUCAUACCAACUAAUUUCAAAUUUGAAGGAUGCAAUUGAAACUCCAAUGGCGCAACACGUAUGUUUUAAACCUGUUUCUUUAACGUGUUUGCUGUUGUAACUUGCUCGAUGUUGAUUUCAGUUUCAAUUGAAUAAAUAGUUAUGUUCUCAUGCCAUGCACAUUACAGGUGUUGUUAUUGUUGUGUAGUUUCCCACACUUAUAUUCUGUCUAUGCUGCUUUGUCGUAAAUAUAUAUGAUUCGAACUGUAUCUAUCUUGAUUUGGCAACAUAAACUAGAAUGAUAUAGACCAUACAGUGACCAUACUACAUAGAUAUAUGUUUGUUUUAUGCUGUUAUCCUAUCCACCUUACUACUGAACUGGUUUACCAAAAUGAGUUUCAUAUACUACAUUGUAAACCUGUGAUGUGUUUGUUUGUUUCUCUUUUAGAACGCGGAUAAAAUAUUGGAGAAGAGUACCCCCGUUAUGCAAUGGUAAAGGAAGUAAUUUAGAUAAGGUUCAAGAUAGUGAGACAUCCCUGUUGGUCUCCAAGAAAGUCGAUAAGAACUAUAUUGAAGACACUGAGACAACCCCAAAGUCCUGUCUUGAUGUAGUGUUCGAGUUACUGGCUACUACUGCUGGCACCAGCUCUUCGAACUCGCUGCCUGAAUCAAUUCGGCUUCUUGAUCUCAACUUCAAGUUGAAAGACAUCGAUCAGAUGUUAUGCGACAGGAAGUCGAAGGACUGAGGAAGUCCCUGCAGAAUUCAGAUGCAUACUUUCUGGUGCAACAGCAAGUGCUGGAGGAUUUAAGCGCCAAACAAGAGAAAGUUAAUAAGCUUGCUAAGCAUCUUGCCAGCAUUAUGGGUACCCAGGAUAUUGUUUCUUGAGCUCUUCUGAAGUGGUUUCAGUUCUGGACUUGUUUUGCUGCGGCGUUUAUUUGCACUGGUCGCCAACUUUGACAACCAGUGUAUAUGAUAUGCUGCUUUGUUCCCUAUAUUUGCACUGGUGGAGAACUUUGAUGCCCAGUGGAUGUAAUAUGUGUAAUAGUCGUGAUACCCUAGCAUAAGUUGCUUGCUUAUUUAUUUCCUUGUUGUCUUCUUUAUUUGUUUGCUUGUAGUCAGUGCAGUUCUUUUUCCGCGGUUUGCUAGUGGCUGCAAUAACCUAUUUUUUAAAACCAGGCCACAAUAACCAUGGGCUACAUAUUUAUUGUAGUUACCAUGGGCCUCCUACGGGACGUAGAAACAAUGGGCCUUCUAUGGGCCGUAGCAUCAAUGGGCCUUCUACGUGCCGUAUGAUCGAUAGGCCAAACAUGGGCCAAUAACAGACCGCAUUAUAGGUCGUAAAUGGGCUAGAUUUGGAAUCAUCCGUUCAUGGGCUGACAAUUACGGGUCGUCGUUAAUCGGCCGUAUUUGAUGACGCUAUGAAAAUGGCCUAACGGAUUAACAGGCCGCAAACGAGCCGAUUGUAACCGCGGGCUGAAUUUGGCCCACAAGCAGAAAAGGCCAAUAACGGGCCGUAAGUAAUCGAAUGCUGGAAAUGAGCCCAAGAAUAAAUGGGCCCUGAGAAGGCCGAAAGAUAACACGGGUUGGAAACGGCCCAAUGGAAUAAUGGGCCGUUAAUGGGUAUAAAGGGGUACACUGUUCAUUGCGGGCCAUAUUCACCAUGGGUCGUUAAUGGGCCAAGAGUUACAAAUGGCCUCGUAUGGGCCGAAAGACAUCAUGGGCCAUACAUGGGCCAAAAGUUACAACGGGCUGGAAUCAUAUUGGACGGCCCAGAUGAAGCUACUGGGCUUAAUUUCGAUAGGCCGUAACGGGCCGUGAGUUAGCGGGCCGUAAAUGGGCUAUAUACUAACAGGCCGUUAACAGGCUUUCCGUGGGCCGGCCCGUUACCUUUUGACCAAGUCAAAUGGGCCGGCCUUUUCACCGGAAUGGGCCUAUGUUGGGCCAUGCCACGUGUCGACGUAUCAUAGGUGCCUCCUGUCCAAUGAAUGGAUGACAUCUGUCCCAACUGUGAGCCAACACGUGUUUCCUCCGGCCAAUGAGAAUUUUACACGUGGAAAAUCCUCAUUGGUCUGGGCUGUUAGCGGGUUAUCAUAUCCAAAACCAGACCCGAUAGCUUAACGGCGACCCGUUACGGUGGAUGCCAUGUGUCAGUCACCCUUGACGAAAGCACUUCCAUGACGCGUGAUUUAUCAUCAUGGAAGUGGACACUUCCGUGAUGAUAAUUUUGGUAAUGUCAUGGAACACUUCUACGACAGCACAGGUAUGACUAUCUUGAUUCUGUCAUAAAAUCGUCAUGGAUGUACAUGCAUGACAGAAAACGUGAACUACUAUGACAAACACGUAUCAUCACGGAAGUGUCUUUUUUUGUAGUGAUUGCACGGAACACCAAGAUUGGGGGUGGACGGCGCCGGCAGCGGCCAUCACGCCAGAUUGUUCCAUGGCCUUCUAGAUGUGGUGGGGAAGAGAUAAGGCUGAUUGUGAGGGACACGGGGUUGUUUGUAAAUAGGGAACAACUGCAGGCAUCUUUUUGCAAAACUGCAGCAAUUUGCUUUGUAUGCGUCAGAUCUAGAUCCGACGGCUAUUGGUGAAAGAUGGCAGGCACACCAUCAUCACCAACUCAAAGGUUUUUAUAGGAGUAGUAUAGAGAAAUAGAGAAACUCUUAUUAAAAACCGAGUUGGUGAUGAUGGUGUGCCUGCCAUCCUGCAAUAUAGACCGUCCGAUCUAUAUCUGACGGAUAGAAAGCAAACUAUGGCAAUUUUGCAAAAAGAUACCCGCACCCCUCUCCACAUUUGCAGAUAAGGCCUUCCCUCGUUCAUCUUUGUCUCCCACAAGAUAAACAGCUCAUAUAAAUGCAUCUUGAUGUUCUGUGCAACGCAUGGGCCUCUUGCUGGUAAUAAUAAAUAUUGUACUCGAGUAAUGGGUAUAUCGUUGCCGCACCUAUCCACGCGAACAUUUAUCGUAACAUAGUACCUCGUGCUGGAUAGUCGUACUAUUACAAGUUUCAAACUGAUAUUACAAAUGCUAGGAGUAAUGCUGCACCUACGAAGAGGGAAUUAUUAGGAAGUUUACGUAAGAACUUUUGUUACUUUAGGUGGAUGCAACAUUAUCAUACAAACUAAAAUCCACUGCCCUGACAAGUCACUAAUGGGCAAAUAAAUUUUUUAGUCUCUGGCGACUUGAUGUUUAAAAAACAAAUUUAGCUUCUAGAGAGACUUUGUCAUUUAGGCUUAGACACUUGCGGUGAUCAGCACACCAUUCAUUGUUGCACCAGAGAACGCCAAACCUCAUUACCUUGAGCACACUUGCCUCCAGAACAAAGAACCUAGCCAAUUUAAUCUCAGAUGUGCUACCUCGGUAGUCGAUCAAAUCAAUUUCUGUAAGAUGGAGAUCAAGGUAUUCGAUGAGAUUGUUAUAGUGCAGCACAUUUUUCACUUUCGCGUCUUUUUUAUCUGCAAAAGAAGAGAACAUAUUAGAGCACCUGGUUGUAUAAGAUUGUUGUGUCAUCAAGAGGUACCAAUAUCAUUCGCUCAUACGAUAGGUUGGCUAUAGGGUUGGCUCUAAGGCUAGUGAUAUUUUUCACUCUCUCUCUCUCUCUUUCUCUUUCCUCUCAUUUACCUAGGAGCACGUGAAGAGCUUGGGCAUUUGUUGCCUUCCACUAUGUGGCCAAUGGCAUAUUUCUCAAAAGUAUGCCACAUAAUACGCAUCGAUGUCAAAUCAAAAGAUUUUGGCACCACUCUAGCGAUGUGAGAGAGUUGGCACCGCUGUGCACACAGACCCACAUGUAUAAACAAAUCAAUCAAACCAACUACACCAGCCUCUCCCUCUCCCAAACAAGUGUUUUUUAUUGCCUCAGUCCUCUCCCUCUCCCACGCAGGUGUUUUUUCAUUGCGUGAGUUAAUUUGGCACCGGAGAAAAGUAGGUGAUCCAGAUUGGGGCACCAGGUGAGCAAUGGAGGGGCAUCGAUGCCAAAUGCAUCAGAAGUGAAUUUGGCACGUGUUUUGGCCCACUUUUGUACUACCUUGUAUUUAGUGUAAAAUUUUGACCAUAGAUUUACCUAAGAAAAUGCCAAUGCAUGUCACCAAAAAUUAUACCAUUUGAAAUUAUGUUCAAAUACGAAUCCAACGAUAUAAUUUUUAGUGACAUGCAUUAACAUUUUGUCAGUUAAAUCUAUGGUCAAAUUUUGAUACUACAAAAUACGAAGAGUAAACCAGGACGGAGGUACUACUUGCUCUUAUGCUAAACAUGGAGUUACUAGUCUAAGUUACUUGCCACUAUGCCUAGCCUAGACUACUAGUAGUACAACAACAACAACAACAACAACAACAACAACAACAACAACAACAACAACAACAACAACAACAACAAAAGCCAUGCGGGUGAUCAUGUGAGAAAAAAUACUAAAAACAUUUCUUUCGGUGCAGUGCGUAGAUGCAGUUUUGAACACUACACUUGUCAUCGUAAUAUGGAAAAAUUGCGAAAGAAUUGAGCUACGUUGUGAUUACCGUUUACUAAUAGGAAAGAAGUUUCACCUCGAUGAGUAGCUUCCCCGUGCAUGGAAAGCAUGUAAGGAAUCGAACAACUUGAUCUAGAUUGGGCCGAUAGAUUUUAUUGCCAAGAUCUUCACUGUGUGCACAGACUGGGUCAAGCUUGUGGGAAUCAUUUUCUGGAUGACAGUCGUAAAUACAUCAAGAAGAAAUUAAAAAAUGUGAAUUUCAAGAAGACGGAGAAGAAGAUGAGUGUUGUACCUGAACGAUUACGGAUCCAAUAAAGAGUUCAGAGAAUUUGGUAGACGAAUACACCAACACUGUCAAUUUUGGCGCGUCAAUGACCCUGAUUUUUGUUGGACCUUCUAGAUUAGAUACAAGCAAUCUCUCAAGUCGCAUUCUCAAUGACCAUAACAUGGAACAGCUGGAGUGAUCUCUUCCCAGUUGAUGUCCUGUUGCGGGGCCAGCAAGACACACAAAUACAUCGGAGAUUCGUCGAGGCGAUGUGGAGGCUAAUGAACCCGUGGAUCUACUGAAGACGAAGGUACUCGAGCGCAGUACAGCUGCAUGAUACGUCUCCAACGUAUCUAUAAUUUUUUAUUGUUCCAUGCUAUAUUAUCUUCUGUUUUGGACAUUAUUUGGCUUUAUUAUACACUUUUAUAUUAUUUUUGGGACUAACCUAUUAACCGGAGGCCCAGCCCAGAAUUGUUGUUUUUUGCCUAUUUCAGAGUUUCGCAGAAAAAGAAUAUCAAAUGGAGUCCAAACGGAAUGAAACCUUCGGGAACGUGAUUUUCGGAACGAACGUGAUCCAGAGGACUUGGACCCUACGUCAAGACAUCAACCAGGAGGGCACGAGGUAGGGGGCGCGCCUACCCCCACCCCCCAGGCGCGCCCUCCACCCUCGUGGGCCCCCUGUUGCUCCACCGACGUACUCCUUCCUCCUAUAUAUACCUACGUACCCCCAAACUACCAGAUACAUAGCCAAAAACCUAAUUCCACCGCCGCAACCUUCUGUACCCAUGAGAUUCCAUCUUGGGGCCUGUUCCGGACCUCCGCCGGUGGGGGCAUCGAUCACGGAGGGCUUCUACAUCAACACCGUAGCCUCUCCGAUGAUGUGUGAGUAGUUUACCUCAGACCUUCGGGUCCAUAGUUAUUAGCUAGAUGGCUUCUUCUCUCUUUUUGGAUCUCAAUACAAUGUUCUCCCCCUCUCUCGAGGAGAUCUAUUUGAUGUAAUCUUCUUUUGCGGUGUGUUUGUUGAGACCGAUGAAUUGUGGGUCUAUGAUCAAGUUUAUCUAUGAACAAUAUUUGAAUCUUCUGAAAUCUUUUAUGUAUGAUUGGUUAUCUUUACAAGUCUCUUCGAAUUAUCAGUUUGGUUUGGCCUACUAGAUUGAUCUUUCUUGCAAUAGGAGAAGUGCUUAGCUUUGGGUUCAAUCUUGCGGUGUCCUUUCCCAGUGACAGUAGGGGCAGCAAGGCACGUAUUGUAUUGUUGCCAUCGAGGAUAACAAGAUGGGGUUUAUAUCAUGUUGCAUGAGUUUAUCCCUCUACAUCAUGUCAUCUUGCUUAAAGCAUUACUCUGUUCUUAUGAACUUAAUACUCUAGAUGCAUGCUGGAUAACGGUCGAUGUGUGGAGUAAUAGUAGUAGAUGCAGGCAGGAGUCGGUCUACUUGUCUCGGACGUGAUGCCUAUAUACAUGAUCAUACCUAGAUAUUCUCAUAACUAUGCUCAAUUCUGUCAAUUGCUCAACAGUAAUUUGUUCACCCACCGUAAAUACUUAUGCUCUUGAGAGAAGCCACUAGUGAAACCUAUGGCCCCCGGGUCUAUUUUCCAUCAUAUUAAUCUCCCGACAACAAGCUAUUUCUGGCGCCGUUUUUAUUUUACUUUCUUUACUUUGCAUCUUUAUCAUAAAAAUACCAAAAAUAUUAUAUUAUCAUAUCUAUCAGAUCUCACUCUCGUAAGUGACCGUGUAGGGAUUGACAACCCCUUAUCGUGUUGGUUGCGAGGAUUUAUUUGUUUGUGUAGGUGCGAGGGACUCGUGCAUGGCCUCCUACUGGAUUGAUACCUUGGUUCUCAAAAACUAAGGGAAAUACUUACGCUACUUUGCUGCAUCACCCUUUCCUCUUCAAGGGAAAACCAACGCAGUGCUCAAGAGGUAGCAAGAAGGAUUUCUGGCGCCGUUUCCGGGGAGUCUACGCAAAAGUCAACAUACCAAGUACCCAUCACAAACCCUUAUCUCCCGCAUUACAUUAUUUGCCAUUUGCCUCUCGUUUUCCUCUCCCCCACUUCACCCUUGCCGUUUUAUUCGCCCUCCUUUUUCCGUUCGCCUCUUUUUCCGCUUGCUUCUUGUUUGCUCGUGUGUUGGAUUGCUUGCUUGUCACGAUGGCUCAAGAUAAUACCAAAUUAUGUGACUUUACCAAUACCAACAACAAUGAUUUCCUUAGCACUCCGAUUGCUCCUCUUACCGAUACUGAGUCUUGUGAAAUUAAUACAGCUUUAUUGAAUCUUGUCAUGAAAGAUCAAUUCGCCGGCCUUCCUAGUGAAGAUGCCGCUACUCAUCUAAAUAGCUUCAUUGAUUUGUGUGAUAUGCAAAAGAAGAAAGAUGUAGACAAUGAUAUUGUUAAAUUGAAGCUAUUUCCUUUUUCGCUUAGAGAUCGUGCUAAAGCUUGGUUUUCAUCUUUGCCUAAAAAUAGUAUUGAUUCUUGGAAUAAGUGCAAAGAUGCUUUUAUCUCUAAGUAUUUUCCUCCCGCUAAGAUUAUCUCUCUUAGAAACGAUAUUAUGAAUUUUAAGCAACUUGAUCAUGAACAUGUUGCACAAGCUUGGGAGAGGAUGAAAUUAAUGAUACGUAAUUGCCCUACGCAUGGUUUGAAUUUGUGGAUGAUUAUACAAAAAAAUUAUGCUGGAUUGAAUUUUGCUUCUAGAAAUCUUUUAGAAUCGGCCGCGGGAGGCACUUUUAUGGAAAUCACUUUAGGAGAAGCUACUAAACUCCUAGAUAAUAUUAUGGUUAAUUAUUCUCAAUGGCACACAGAAAGAUCUACUAAUAAAAAGGUGCAUGCGAUAGAAGAAAUUAAUGUUUUGAGUGGAAAGAUGGAUGAACUUAUGAAAUUAUUUUCUACUAAGAGUGUUUCUUCUGAUCCUAAUGAUAUGCCUUUGUCUACUUUGAUGAGAAUAAUAAUGAACCUAUGGAUGUGAAUGUUGUUGGUAGGAAUAAUUUUGGUAACAAUGCGUAUAGAGGAAAUUUUAAUCCUAGGCCUUAUCCUAGUAAUUCCUCUAAUAAUUAUGGUAACUCCUACAACAAUUAUUAUGGAAAUUUUAAUAAGAUGCCCUCUGAAUUUGAGACUAGUGUUAAGGAAUUUAUGAAUUCGCAAAAGAAUUUCAAUGCUUUGCUUGAAGAGAAAUUGCUUAAAGUUGAUGAAUUGGCUAGGAACGUUGAUAGAAUUUCUCUUGAUGUUGAUUUUUUAAAACUUAGAUCUAUUCCUCCUAAGCAUGAUAUCAAUGAGUCUCUCAAAGCCAUGAGAAUUUCCAUUGAUGAGUGCAAAGAAAGAACCGCUAGGAUGCGUGCUAAGAAAGAUUGCUUUAUGAAAGCGUCUUCUUCUAGUUUCUAUGAAAAUAGAGAUGAAGAUCUAAAGGUUAUUGAUGUGUCCCCUAUUAAAUCUUUGUUUUGCAAUAUGAAUCUUGAUAAUGAUGGGACUGAAUAUGAUCCACCUUUACCUAGAAGGUGUUCCAGAAAUUCGGAGUUUUUAGAUCUUGAUGCUAAAAUUGAUAAAAGUGGGAUUGAAGAGAUCAAAACUAUAGAUAUUAAUGAACCCGCUAUUUUGGAUUUCAAGGAAUUUAAUUAUGAUAAUUGCUCUUUGAUAGAUUGUAUUUCCUUGUUGCAAUCCUUCAUGUCCUAUUAUUCUUGGUAGACCUUUCCUUAGAACGAUUGGUGCAAUUAUUGAUAUGAAGGAAGGGAACAUUAGAUUCCAAUUUCCAUUAAAGAAAGGCAUGGAACACUUCCCUAGAAAGAAAGUAAAAUUAUGAAUCUAUUAUGAGAGCCACUUAUGGAUUGCCUACCAAAGAUGGCAAUACCUAGAUCUAUCCUUGCUCUUAUGCCUAGCUAGGGGCGUUAAACGAUAGCGCUUGUUGGGAGGCAACCCAAUUUUAUUUUUAGUUUUUUGCUUUUUGCUUCUGUUUAGGAAUAAAUCUUUGUUAUAUCCUCUGCUAAGAUGUGUUUUUAUGUUUUAAUUAGUGUUUAUGCCAAGUUAAACCUAUAGGAUCUUUUUGGAUGAUAGUUAUUUGAUCUUGCUGUAAAUUCCAGAAACUUUCUGUUCACGAAAAUAAUUGUUAAAAUCACCAGAACGUGAUAAAAUAUUGAUUCCAAUUGCUGCUGAUCAAUAAACAAAUUUUCUAGGUCUUCCUAUUUUGGCUGAUUUUUUGGAGUUCCAGAAGUUUGCGUUAGUUACAGAUUACUACAGACUAUUCUGUUUUUGACAAAUUCUGUUUUUCGUGUGUUGUUUGCUUAUUUUGAUGAAUCUAUGGCUAGUAAAAUAGUUUAUAAACCAUAGAGAAGUUGGAAUAAAUUAGGUUUAACACCCAUAUAAAUAAAGAAUGAGUUCAUUACAGUACCUUGAAGUGGUGUUUUGUUUUCUUUCGCUAACGGAGCUCACAAGAUUUUCUAUUAAGUUUUGUGUUGUGAAGUUUUCAAGUUUUGGGUGAAAGAUUUGAUGGAUUAUGGAACAAGGAGUGGCAAGAGCCUAAGCUUGGGGAUGCCCAUGGCACCCCAAAGAUAAUCUAAGGACACCCAAAAGCCAAAGCUUGGGGAUGCCCCGGAAGGCAUCCCCUCUUUUGUCUACUUCCAUCGGUAACUUUACUUGGAGCUAUAUUUUUAUUCACCACGUGAUAUGUGUUUUGCUUGGAGCGUCUUGUAUGAUUUGAGUCUUUAUUUUUUAGUUUACCACAAUCAUCUUUGCUGUACACACCUUUUGAGAGAGACACACAUGAUUCGGAAAUUAUUAGAAUACUCUAUGUGCUUCACUUAUAUCUUUUGAGUUAUAUAAUUUUUGCUCUAGUACUUCACUUAUAUCUUUUAGAGCACGGUGGUAAAUUUUGUUUUAUAGAAACUAUUAUUCUCUCAUGCUUCACUUAGAUUAUUUUGAGAGUCUUAAAUAGUUUGGUAAUUUGCUUAAAUAAUCCUAAUAUGCUAGGUAUUCAAGAUUAGUAAAAACUUUCUUAUGAGUGUGUUGAAUACUAAGAGAAGUUUGAUGCUUGAUGAUUGUUUUGAGACAUGGAGGUAGUGAUAUCAAAGUUGUGCUAGUUCAGUAGUUGUGAAUUUGAGAAAUACUUGUGUUGAAGUUUGCAAGUCCCGUAGCAUGCACGUAUGGUAAACGUUAUGUAACAAAUUUGAAACAUGAGGUGUUCUUUGAGUGUCCUCCUUAUGAGUGGCGGUCGGGGACGAGCGAUGGUCUUUUCCUACCAAUCUAUCCCCCUAGGAGCAUGCGCGUAGUGCUUGGUUUUUGAUGACUUCUAGAUUUUUGCAAUAAGUAUGUGAGUUCUUUAUGACUAAUGUUGAGUCCAUGGAUUAUACGCACUCUCACCUUUCCAUCAUUGCUAGCCUCUUCGGUACCGUGCAUUGCCCUUUCUCACAUUGAGAGUUGGUGCAAACUUCGCCGGUGCAUCCAAACCCCGUGAUAUGAUACGCUCUUUCACACAUAAACCUCCUUAUAUCUUCCUCAAAACAGCCACCAUACCUACCUAUUAUGGCAUUUCCAUAGCCAUUCCGAGAUAUACUGCCAUACAACUUUCCACUGUUCCGUUUAUCAUGACAUGUUCAUCAUUGUCAUAUUGCUUUGCAUGAUCAUGUAGUUGACAUAGUAUUUGUGGCAAAGCCACCAUUCAUAAUUCUUUCAUACAUGUCACUCUUGGUUCAUUGCAUAUCCCGGUACACCACCGGAGGCAUUCAUAUAGAGUCAUACUUUGUUCUAGUAUCGAGUUGUAAUCAUUGAGUUGUAAAUAAAUAGAAGUGUGAUGAUCAUCAUUUUCUAGAGCAUUGUCCCAAGUGAGGUAAAAAAAGAGAAAGGCCAUAAAAAAGAGAAGGCCCAAAAAAAUGAGAGAAAAAGAGAGAAGGGACAAUGUUACUAUCCUUUUUUCCACACUUGUGAUUCAAAGUAGCACCAUAAUUUUCAUGAUAGAGAGCCUCUUGUUUUGUCACUUUCAUAUGCUAGUGGGAACUUUUCAUUAUAGAACUUGGCUUGUAUAUUCCAACAAUGGGCUUCCUCAAAUGCCCCAGAUCUUCGUGAGCAAGCAAGUUGGAUGCACACCCACUUAGUUUCUUUUGUUGAGCUUUCAUAUAUUUAUAGCUCUAGUGCAUCCAUUGCAUGGCAAUCCCUACUCCUUGCAUUAACAUCAAUCGAUGGGCAUCUCCAUAGCUCAUUGAUUAGCCUUGUUGAUGUGAGACUUUCUCUUUUUUGUCUUCACCACAUAACCCCCAUCAUUAUACUCUAUUCCACCCAUAGUGCUAUAUCCAUGGCUCACGCACAUGUAUUACGUGAAGGUUGAAAAAGUUUGAGAUUACUGAAGUAUGAAACAAUUGCUUGGCUUGUCAUCGGGGUUGUGCAUGAUGAGAGCAUUCUUGUGUGACGAAAAUGGAGCAUGACUAAACUAUAUGAUUUUGUAGGGAUGAACAUUCUUUGGCCAUGUUAUUUUGAGAAAACAUAAUUGCUUAGUUAGUAUGUUUGAAGUAUUAUUAUUUUAUGUCAAUAUUGAACUUUUAUCUUGAAUCUUUCGGAUCUGAAUAUUCAUACCACAAUUAAGAAGAAUUACAUUGAAAUUAUGCCAAGUAGCAUUCCACAUCAAAUAUUCUAUUUUUAUCAUUUACCUACUCGAGGACGAGCAAAAAUUAAGCUUGGGGAUGCUUGAUACGUCUCCAACGUAUCUAUAAUUUUUGAUUGUUCCAUGCUAUAUUAUCUUCUGUUUUGGACAUUAUUGGGCUUUAUUAUACAGUUUUAUAUUAUUUUUGGGACUAACCUAUUAACCGGAGGCCCAGCCCAGAAUUGCUGUUUUUUGCCUAUUUCAGAGUUUCGCAGAAAAAGAAUAUCAAACGGUGUCCAAACGGAAUGAAAUCUUCGGGAACGUGAUUUUCGGAAUGAACGUGAUCCAGAGGACUUGGACCCUACGUCAAGACAUCAACCAGGAGGGCACGNNNNNNNNNNNNNNNNNNNNNNNNNNNNNNNNNNNNNNNNNNNNNNNNNNNNNNNNNNNNNNNNNNNNNNNNNNNNNNNNNNNNNNNNNNNNNNNNNNNNNNNNNNNNNNNNNNNNNNNNNNNNNNNNNNNNNNNNNNNNNNNNNNNNNNNNNNNNNNNNNNNNNNNNNNNNNNNNNNNNNNNNNNNNNNNNNNNNNNNNNNNNNNNNNNGUUGCUCCACUAACGUACUCCUUCCUCCUAUAUAUACCUACGUACCCCCAAACUACCAGAUACGGAGCCAAAAACCUAAUUCCACUGCCGCAACCUUCUGUACCCGUGAGAUCCCAUCUUCGGGCCUAUUCCGGAGCUCCGCCGAAGGGGCAUCGAUCACGGAGGGCUUCUACAUCAACACCAUCGCUUCUCCGAUGAUGUGUGAGUAGUUUACCUCAGACCUUCGGGUCCAUAGUUAUUAGCUAGAUGGAUUCUUCUCUCUUUUUGGAUCUCAAUACAAUGUUCUCCCCCUCUCUCGUGGAUAUCUAUUCGAUAUAAUCUUCUUUUGCGGUGUGUUUGUUGAGACCGAUGAAUUGUGGGUUUAUGAUCAAGUUUAUCUAUGAACAAUAUUUGAAUCUUCUGAAUUCUUUUAUGUAUGAUUGGUUAUCUUUGCAAGUCUCUUCAAAUUAUCAGUUUGGUUUGGCCUACUAGAUUGAUCUUUCUUGCAAUAGGAGAAGUGCUUAGCUUUGGGUUCAAUCUUGCGGUGUCCUUUCCCAGUGACAGUAGGGGCAGCAAGGCACGUAUUGUAUUGUUGCCAUCGAGGAUAACAAGAUGGGGUUUAUAUCAUGUAACAUGAGUUUAUCCCUCUACAUCAUGUCAUCUUGCUUAAAGCAUUACUCUGUUCUUAUGAACUUAAUACUCUAGAUGCAUGCUGGAUAGUGGUCGAUGUGUGGAGUAAUAGUAGUAGAUGCAGGCAGGAGUCGGUCUACUUGUCUCGGACGUGAUGCCUAUAUACAUGAUCAUACCUAGAUAUUCUCAUAACUAUGCUCAAUUCUGUCAAUUGCUCAACAGUAAUUUGUUCACCCACCGUAAAUACUUAUGCUCUUGAGAGAAGCCACUAGUGAAACCUAUGGCCCCGGGGUCUAUUUUCCAUCAUAUUAAUCUCCCUACAACAAGCUAUUUCUGGCGCCGUUUUUAUUUUACUUUCUUUACUUUGCAUCUUUAUCAUAAAAAUACCAAAAAUAUUAUAUUAUCAUAUCUAUCAGAUCUCACUCUCGUAAGUGGCGUGUAGGGAUUGACAACCCCUUAUCGCAUUGGUUGUGAGGAUUUAUUUGUUUGUGUAGGUGCGAGGGACUCGUGCGUGGCCUCCUACUGGAUUGAUACCUUGGUUCUCAAAAACUGAGGGAAAUACUUACGCUACUUUGCUGCAUCACCCUUUCCUCUUCAAGGGAAACCCAACGCGGUGCUCAAGAGGUAGCACUGCAGAGCAGGUGCUCCAUAGCCUUCUUUGAGAUGCCAACGUCGACGAGGUCGAGCUGUUUGAUUUGAGGGAGAAGAAGGGCGGGCGCGACAUUAAUCUGGGGGAAAAUAUCAGGAGCUGAAGCUGGCGCGGCACGGUGUUGGCGUGAGGCGGAGCGCGAACGACGGCAGAGAGCGACAUCGUCCAGCUUCAAACCUGAGCUCCUCGAGCUGAUCUAGGGCGGGGGAUAAGAACCACUCGUCAAACUUGGCUUGGACCUUGCAUUUGGUACUAAACAUGCGGAUGUCAAGGCGUCUGGCUGGCCCAGGGUGCGAUGAAAGGAUCUUGGAGACUGCGGCCAUGCGUUUGGAAUCCCCGUCGCAGAGGCAGCUGUCGAUGGUGAGGUUGAGGGGGACGCGGUGCUAGAGGGGGCGCCACCACCGGGAGAGCAGGGUGGUCCGCACAGCAGAUUUGGUGGGGAGGAGGCCGAUGAUGACGAGCAACAUGUCAUCGGGGAGGCUGCUGAUGAAGUCCAGGCUCGCCGGAUGCGGUUUUGGCUCGAGCCGCCUAUGCUUGUUGGCUGCCUUGUCGUCCAUCUCAGCCGGCGGCAACGCCGGCGUACACGUGUGCUUGGUGUGUAUUGUGUGCUGGGUGUGUGCGAGUGCGUCCUUGUGUGCAUGCCGCCGCGCAGUGGUGAAGUGUGCGUGAGUGCGUCCUUCACGUGGAAAAAGUGUGCCCUCAAUUUACUAGCGUGCGGGGUGCUACCGCGAGUGUUUUCAACUUUUGUUACUUCACCGCGUGUCAGAUGGGCCUCUAGUUUACUUAUUUUCACCCACUUCCACAUGGGCCAGCACACGAAUAUAGAGAACACGAGCUGACAAGGUAGCAUGUGGAAUGGUUGACCGGUCAACUAAACAAUAUACGGAGCUAUAUGCUGACACAGUGACCAUAUAAUCCCUCGGUAUAGAGAGAUCGAGUGAGAGGGGAGGCCCGUGAGAGAUAGUAGAGAGAGAGAAAAGAGCUACUUCCUCUGUUCGAUAAUGUAGUGCAUGUAUUUUUUUAAGUCAAACUUUUGAAACUUUGACCAAGUCUAUAAAGAAAUUACUUAUAUCUACAAUACCAAAGAUAAAUGAUAGUAUGAAGUAAGUACAUGUUGUGAUGAAUCUAAUGAUCAUUCCAGAUGUAAAUGUUUUUCUCCACAUAUACCUGGUCAAACUUUUCUGAGGUUUGACUUUUCAAAACAUCCAUAUGUUUAUGGACGUGAGAGAGUACCUAACUAGAGAUAGAGAGAGUGAAAUAGAAAGAGUGAGUGAAAAAUGUGUGUGUGUGUGUGUGUGUGAAAGAGACAUGGAAAACACACGAUAAAGUAUAGAAAAAGUGUGUGUGUCUUAUGCAAACAUAUCACACAUGCAUCUUCGACAGCGGAAGCGAGGUGAGGAGAUAGUGUGUGGUUGUUUGCAACCGAGAGAAAAGGACCCCUAGCACGUGGCCAAGAGAGGUAUGACAAACAAGGGAGAGAGGUCGAGAGAGAUGUGUGGAGAAAAUGCAGACAUGGGGAGGAGAGAGAGUGUAUGUUUGUGACAGAGAGAUCCCCUGGAGAUCGUGAUGGGACUACAUGGGUGGGAGAUCGAGUGACAGGGUGUGUGCACGAUAGAAGAUACCCCGAGAGAUAUCGAGGUAGAGUUAUGGAUGGAAGGAGACAAUACAUGUGUUCCUGAUGGCUAGUGAGAGAUAGUUAUACUUAGGGGGGAGUGCGUGUACCUAUGAUGGAGUGAGGGAUUAUGGUACUUAAGGGGGGUGUCACAUAGAGAGAACAAGGGCGGGGAGUGAGGGAGUCCUGGAUUAGGGGGUCCUCGGGCAGCCGGACUAUAUCCUUUGGCCGGACUGUUGGACUAUGAAGAUACAAGAUUGAAGACUUCGUCUCAUGUCCGGGUGGGACUCUCCUUUGCGUGGAAGGCAAGCUUGGCAAUUCGGAUAUGUAGAUCUCCUCCCUUGUAACCGACUCUGUGUAACCCUAGCCCCCUCCGGUGUCUAUAUAAACCGGAGGGUUUAGUCCGUAGGACGAGAACAAUCAUAAUCAUAGGCUAGCUUUUAGGGUUUAGCCUCAACGAUCUCGUGGUAGAUCAACUCUUGUAAUACUCAUAUCAUCAAGAUCAAUCAAGCAGGAAGUAGGGUAUUACCUCCAUCGAGAGGGCCCGAACCUGGGUAAACAUUGUGUCCCCCGUCUCCUGUUACCAUCCGCCUUAGACGCACAGUUCGGGACCCCCUACCCGAGAUCCGCCAGUUUUGACACCGACAUUGGUGCUUUCAUUGAGAGUUCCACUGUGCCGUCACCAUAAGGCUUGAUGGCUCCUUCGAUCAUCGGCAACGAUGCGAUCCAGGGUGAGGUUUUUUCCUCCGGACAGAUCUUUGUAUUUGGCGGCUUCGCACUGCGGGCCAACUCGCUUGGCCAUCUGGAGCAGAUCGAGAGCUACGCCCCUGGCCGUCAGGUCAGGUUUGGAAACUUAAAUUAUACCGCCGACAUCCGCGGAGACUUGGUCUUUGACGGAUUCGAGCUCAUGUCAGGUGCGCCGCACAGUCACGACGAGCAUGACUUAGCUCUGCCGUCGGACGGUGUUCGGGAGAUCACACUUGUGGCUACUCCGGCCCUCAAUCUAGAGCAGAUUGCGCCGCCCGUGGACGGGUGGAUGGACCCCGCCAGGAGGCCGCACGCCCGGCGGCGAUAGAGCCGAAUGCUGACUUUACCUCAUACGAGACCUGUGUUGCUGGAUCCUUGGAUUCGUCCCCGGCCACGGGCUCCGAACCGCCUGCGUCCGUGCCUAUCGAAUCUGAUUGGGCACCGAUCAUGGAGUUUUCAUCCGCGGAUAUCUUUCAGCACUCGCCCUUGGGCGAUGUGCUAAAUUCAUUAAGGUCUCUCUCCUUGUCAGGAGGCCCUUGGCCGAACUAUGUCCGGCUCGAGUGGGAAGCGGACGACGAAGAAAUUCGUUCCCCAUCCACUACCCACUUAAUAGCCACUAUCGACGACUUAACCGACAUGCUCGAUUUCGACUCCGAAGACAUCGACGGUAUGGACGACGAUGCAGGAGAAGAACAGGAACCACCGCCCACAGGGCGCUGGACAGCCACUUCAUCGCACGAUAUAUAUAUAUAUAUGGUGGAUACACCCAAAGAAAACAAUGACGAGGAACGGAAGGAUGCAGCAAAGGAUAGUUCCCUCGAGAAGCAACCAAAGCGACGGCGUAGGCGCCGCUCCAAACCCCGCCUCGGUAAAAACAGCGAUAACAACGCAAGAAAGAAUAAUACCCCGGUCGACUCCAAAGGAAACGACGACCACAUGGACCCAGCGACAGAGCAGGAUGAACCAGCGGACGGCGAACAUAGUACGGAGCCACUAUCCGAUCACGGCAACAUCGAGGGUAAAGCUAAUCAACCUAUCUCUAGAGAGGAGAACAGUCCGGACGACGAUGCACACAUCAUCCCGGAAAGGCACUUGGAGCAAGAGAACCUCCAUAGAAGGCUUAUUGCCACUGCGAGGAGUCUAAAGAAGCAGAAGCUAAGGCUUAAGGCCGCGCAAAAUACACUCAACAGCAGAUGGAACAAAGUGCUCGACACUGAAGAAAAGUACGGUGGCAGUCGCCACACAAAGAGCUAUCCAAAGCGCAAGCUGCUGCCUGAAUUCGAUGACGAGGCUUUAGAGCCUAUACAGCCAAAAAAUAAAAUGACCGAUCAGCCGGAUCGACCACCCCGUGGCCGCGAUAGGGCGGCUAACGAUGUCGCACAUAAGUCAGCACACGAGGACUUGCACCACAAAGCCGGUAUGACCAGGUCCAUCUAUGGAUGUAGGAAGCACGCUCCGGCACAGAAUCAAAACCGAACACUACAACCGUCAGAACACCAUGACACAUCCAAAUACAGGGGUGCCGCGCACCCCCUAUGCUUCACCGAUGAGGUGCUGGAUCACGAAUUUCCCGAGGGAUUCAAACCCGUGAACAUAGAGGCAUACGACGGAACGACAGACCCUGGGGUCUGGAUUGAGGACUUUAUCCUUCAUAUCCACAUGGCUCAUGGAGAUGACCUCCACGCCAUCAAAUACUUGCCCCUCAAGUUGAAAGGACCAGCUCGGCACUGGCUGAAGAGCCUCCCCGAAAACUCAAUUGGAAGUUAGGAAGAGCUAGAGGAUACUUUUCGGGCUAAUUUUCAAGGGACCUAUGUCCGACCUCCGGAUGCAGACGAUUUAAGUCAUAUAAUUCAACAGCCCGGAGAGUCAGCCCGAAAGCUUUGGAAUAGAUUCCUCACUAAGAAGAAUCAAAUUGUCGAAUGCCCGGACGCCGAAGCCUUAGCGGCUUUCAAACACAGUAUCCGGGAUGAAUGGCUCGCCAGACACCUCGGCCAGGAAAAACCGAGGACAAUGGCAGCCCUAACAAGCCUUAUGACCCGCUUUUGCGCGGGCGAAGAUAGUUGGCUGGCCCAUAGUGGCACCAGCGACCCAGGCACAUUCGAAGUCAGGGAUGGCAAUAGAAAACCACGACGCAAUAAAAGUAAGCAUCGAAACAAUCAAGAUAGCCCAGACAACACGGCGGUAAACGCCGGAUUCAGGGGCUCUCGACCCGGUCAACGGAAAAAGCCAUUUAAAGGCAGCAGAGAUGGACCAUCCAGCCUAAACAAGAUUCUAGACAGAUUAUGUCAGAUUCAUGGCACCUCCAACAAACCUGCAAAUCACACCAACAGAGAAUGCUGGGUCUUCAAGCAGGCCGUCAAGCUAAACGCCGAACAUAAGGGGAGGGAGACACCAAGUGAGGACGAAGAUGAGCCUCGCCAGCAAAACACUGGGGGACAGAAAAAAUUCCCACCAGAGGUCAAAAUAGUGAACAUGAUUCACGUAACGAAGAGGAGGAGCAAAUGCGCACUCCGAGACGUAUGCGCCAUGGAGCCCGUCACCCCCAAGUUCAACCCUUGGUCGGCCUGCCCGAUCACUUUUGAUCGCAUGGAUCACCCGACUAGUAUCCGAGACGGAGGAUCGGCUGUCUUGGUACUAGACCCAAUAAUUAACGGAUACCAUCUCACCCGAGUCCUUAUGGACGGCGGCAGUAGUCUUAAUCUGAUAUAUCAGGACACAGCCCGCAAAAUGGGGAUAGACCCAGCAAGAAUCAGCCAAAUCAAUACUACCUUUAAAGGAGUAAUACCAGGCCCAGAGGCCCGCUGCACGGGCUCUCUAGUACUAGAGGUUGUAUUCGGUUCUCCCGACAACUUCCGAAGUGAAAAGUUAACCUUCGGCAUCGCUCCAUUCCGAAGCGGCUAUCAAGCACUACUCGGAACAACGGCCUUCGCUCGUUUUAAUGCAGUACCGCAUUACGCUUAUCCUAAGCUUAAGAUGCCCGGUCCACGUGGCAUCAUCAUAGUUAGCGGAAACACAGAGCGUUCCUUACGUGCGGAAGAACGUGUGGCGGCUUUAGCAGCCGAACACUGAACGGCCUCUCCAACCAGAAUAAACGAUCGGUCGUCAAGACCGCGGACACGGCUAGACGAGUCCGGCGCACCACUAGCUAUAACAGCUCAGAUAAAACCUGAGAUUGGGUCGAUGGAUAUACCCCCAUAGGUGGUGCUAGGGGCUUCCCGCGUGUAAAAAGGGCUACAGUUCGGCUUGACCUUAUUUAGAUUGAAUUUUAAUGGUUUAUUAAGAACAACCAAUUUUUCGCACGAAGACUUUCACCUGGGUUUUUCUCUUUACAGAUGAUAAUCGUGCUACACCCUUCCAGGAUACGGCAUAACGGAGACACAGGCGCAGACGUGCAGCAGGGCCCCGCUCAAAGGUUUCUUUUUAGAUUAAGACCAUGUGUAAACCUUUUUUACUGUCUCUUGUUGCUUCACACCCUUCGGAUACUCAACAUAACCAAAGAGGGAUGCUGGCGUUAGUGGCAUUUCGUCACGUCAGACUAAUGCAUGUACCUGGAAAUUCAGGGCUUAUUAUCGAGGGCGUAACUCAGCCCAGUAUACGUUGUAAAGACCGAAUACCUUAGGGAGUGUUCGGCGUUGCGAGUUUGGCCUUAUAUGCAUCAGCUCCGAAUCAUGUCUUUGGUCAAUAGUUGGGUUUGCCCGGCUCCCGUGUUUUGCUACCUUACGUUCCGCUCUAUCGGCUAAGGUGGCACCAGGAGAACUACUGCGAUUGUGCCCUGGUUCAUCUGGACGAGCACCUCAGUAGAGAAAGCCGAAAACUGACUGUCAUGAUAAAGCGCGAGACUGGUCAACCACUCGAUGACUCAGCGGAAUCCUCGCGAUUCCUCCACAUUAACGAAGGGCUGGUUUUCCGGUCAUGUAUGCACGUGCCCCGUAUUUGGAUGAGCGCGGAAGUACCAGGGGCUAUAUAGUAGCCCCACCGUCAAACUCCAAUGGCUAAGUGAAAGUGUUAAAGCUAUAUAGUCUGAUUGCCUUGUUCGCCGCGCCAUCACCUCCUUAAUGGACCAAGACGUUGGAUCAAGUGUGAACACGCGCUUUUCUGAACACCCCUGCAUUAUAUGCGUGGGGGCUGAAGCCGACGACUGCAAACUUUCAGGUUAUAUACAUACAUAAACGGCCGCACAGGAGUCAUCAUAAUACUUUCAGGCAAAAGUAUAAACAUAGCCUUUAUAAUCCAAAUAGCAUUGUUUUUACAAUUGGGAUACAUGUCACUCGAACAUGAUACUCUUCGAGCACUGAGCCUCUAUCAAACGAGCACCUCUAGGACUUCUUCAAAAUAGUGCUCGGCCGAGACCUGUCCUACGGCCGGACCCCGGGUUGCAAUAGUGGUGGCCUCCAUCUCGGCCCAGUAUGUCUUAACACAGGCAAGAGCCAUCCGCGCACCCUCUAUGCACGUCGACCUCUUUACAACGUCGAUAUGCGGCACAGCACCAAGGAAUCGUUGCACUAAACCAAAAUAACUAUUCGGCCUUGGUCCUUCCGGCCAAAGAUGAUCCACGACAGACCUCAUGGCAAGCCCGGACAACAUGUGGAGCUCAGCCCACUCAGCCAUUUGCUCAUUUAACAGCAGCGGGCGCGUUGGAGCACUGAACUGCGACCAGAACAACUUUUCCACUUCGUGAUCUUUUUGAUCUUUGAAAAACUCCGUCGCAUCAGCAGCACUCGCUGCUAAGUCCAAGUACGCGUCUGCAGCACUCCAUAAUUGAUCCAGAGGGGUAUACUUCGAAUCUCUGAAUUUCGUCCGCAACAAAAAGGGCUUCCCAGCCGUGAUAUCUCCGGCUUGACGAAGCUCCUCCUUCACCGCUCUGAUUUUAGAGCGGGUUUCCUUGGCUGCUACCAUGGCUUUCUUCAGGUCCGCCGCUUUCGCUUGGCUUUCCUUUUCAAGAAGCUCAUACCGGUCGGCGGCAUCCUUCAGGUCAACAGCCAUCUUGGCUAUUUUAUCUUCGCUCUGGCGAUGAGCAGACUGUUCGUCCCUUAACUCUUCGGCCGCCUUUAGGGCGUCCGCACCGCUUCUCCUGGCUUGUUCCUUGGCUCGGGCAAGCUCCGCCCGAAGGGUCUCCACGGCGGCAGCUCCAUCUGCAGUCACAGCAUAAUACAAAUACUAGCAUCAUGCUCCUCUUAUCUGUUGACCACCGGAGAAUACAUACCCUGUGCCUCGUCAAGCCGCUUGUUUACAAGCACGAUGUCGGCAUCUGCCGCAUCAAGUUGCCGCCUCAGUUCGGCAAACUCACCAGUCCGGCCAGCCACCGGACCCUCAGCCGCCUGCACAUGAUAGCAGCAUGAUCAUUACCUGGGACUAUGAUCCUCUGUUUGCCGCCUUUGGACAGCAACCAGAGUCUCAGGGGCUACUAUCUGCAUAGGGCUCACCUAGUGUGUGCGGUACCGUCAAAAAAUAUAUAUAUUACUUUACGUACCUCAAAGCCUCUUAGCAUGCUUAUAAAAGCUUCAUGCAACCCGCUUUCAGCGGACGAAAUCCUCUCAACCACCGCACCCAUUAAAGUAUGAUGCGCCUCUGAGAUGGCCGCUUGCUCUAGAAGACCCAUCAGUGCGUCCGGUCGUGCACCGGACAGUCCCGGACUCUUUCUGUUGCUCUCCUUAGGAGCCGAAUACUUCGGACUUCGGGUGGCCGAAGGGUUACCUUCCGGCCUUGGCAGAUCAGGAGAAAUUCUCCGUGACGACACCUCAGGGUCGCCCGCCUCAUGAGGUGGGGAGACAGGGGGAGGCGUUUCGCUCUCCAUCAUCUCCGGAAGAAGAUCCCCCGAAGACGAACUCUGUCGAGAAGGGCUACGAUCCGAACUGCAAGACAUACGUCUCGGUUAUUGUCCUCGGAGAUGAAGCAGGAUAUAUUAAUCAAAAGUACUCUUGUUCACUUACAGCUCAGUGGAGGGCUGACCCCCUUGCGGGCACUGUGCGGUAAGAAUGCCCUCCGGGGCAGGGCCCCCUGGUGAAGUUUUCUUCCCUCGUUUGGAAACCCUUGUUUCCAAGUCUUCAGAGGCGGUCCUUUUCCUUCCUUGGGGAGAGGGGAUUUCAGAUUCUUCUCCCCGAUUAUCCUCCUUCGCGGAGACGCUAAUUUCCCCGGUUUGGGUGAGUAAUGCGUGGGGCCCGCUUUCGGCUUCUUUAUUCCUCCCUUUAUCUUCCCCUGAUGGCGCUUGAUAAGGUGCGAGCUCAAGCAUCCUGGCUAGUAGAGGAUCCGGUGAGCCCUCGGGAAGGGGGGCCGAACACCUGAUCAUCUUCGCCUUUUUUAUCCAGUCCUGGCCAAGAGCAAUUUUUCCAGAAUGAUGUUAGGACAAAUGAAAAGACAGCAUGUUCGGCCGCAAAAUUACUUACGUGGGUAUCUGGACGAUUGCAGUAUAGACCCGCAUCCUCGUGGUGUCCGGACACUUUAUUCGUGAUCCGAAGAACAAUCCAUACAUCCCUUUGAGUGUCACGCCGAAGAAUUGCUGAAUAGUUCGCGGUCCUUCCGGGUUGAACUCCCACAUACGGAGAGGUCGACGCUGACAUGGCAGGACCCGACGAACCAGCAUGACUUGCAUUACCUUGACAAGACUGACAUCUCUCUUGAGGAGAUCUCGGAUGCGACUCUGCAAUGUCGGCAUGUCGUUAACCGGCCCCCAGUCCAGCCCCUUGUUGACCCAUGAUGCCAGUUGUGGCGGGGGGCCCGAACGAAAGGCGGGGGCAGCUACCCACUUGGUACUUCAGGGAGUUGUGAUAUAAAACCACUCCCACUGCUAUAAGUCGGACAUCUCUAGGAAGGAACCCUUUGGCCAUGGAGCAUCGGCGCCUUUGCUUAUUAUGGCACCUCCGCAUUCUGCGUGUCGCCCAUCGAUCAUCUUCGACUUCACAUUGAAGGUCUUGAGCCAUAAGCCGAAGUGUGGGGUGAUGUGGAGGAAGGCCUCACACACGACGAUGAACGACGAGAUGUGAAGGAUGGAAUCCGGAGCCAGAUCAUGGAAAUCGAUCCCGUAGUAGAACAUAAGCCCUCUAACAAAGGGAUCAAGGCUCAAGACUAGCCCUCGGAGGAAGUGGGAAACGAAUACCACACUCUCGUUGGGUUCGGGAGUGGGGAUGACCUGCCCUUGAGCAGGCAGCCUGUGCGAGAUUUCGGCGGUUAGAUACCUGGCUUCUCUUAGCUUCUUGAUGUCCUCCUCUGUGACAGAGGAGGCCAUCCAUCGGCCUUGAAGGUUGGAUCCGGACAUGAUUGAAGGUCCUGAGCCUUGGGUGUUGGAAUUCGAGGGGGGGGGGAGGAUCGAGCGCGAGAAGAAAAGGACAGGCCUUGGCCCCUUUAUAAAGAGGGUGAAUAUCAAGCGUCCUCCGCGUGGCCGUUUGGAACUCGCCUAAAAUCGAGGAGUCAUACCAGCAUGCACAAUUGGAUUACCCAUACCCGUAUUGAUGAGAAUCCCGUGAUAAGGGGAACACGAUCUCUGCUUCGACGAGACAUGCCAAUAAAACCGCCUCGCAACACGUGAAGUGGCAGGCUGGGAAAAACGGUUCAUAAUGACCGGACCACGGCAGGACGUCACGUUAUGAAAAGUUGUCAGUAGAUUAGAUUUGUGGAAAUGUUAUACUCUCUACGGUGGUAUGUGGAAUUUGUUUUGCAGAGCUGGACACUAUCCUUGUGUUCGAAAUCUUCUAUGGAGUAUUCGGAGGAAGAACCCGCCUUGGAAUGCCGAAGACAAUCUGCGCGCCGGACUCAUCGUCAUUGAAGCCUGGUUUAGGGGCUACUGAGGGAGUCCUGGAUUAGGGGGUCCUCGGAUAGCCGGACUAUAUCCUUUGGCCGGACUGUUGGACUAUGAAGAUACAAGAUUGAAGACUUCAUCCCGUGUCCGGGUGGGACUCUCCUUUGCGUGGAAGACAAGCUUGGCAAUUCGGAUAUGUAGAUCUCCUCCCUUGUAACCGACUCUGUGUAACCUAGCCCCCUGCGGUGUCUAUAUAAACCAGAGGGUUUAGUCCGUAGGACGAGAACAAUCAUAAUCAUAGGCUAGCUUUUAGGGUUUAGCCUCAACGAUCUUGUGGUAGAUCAACUCUUGUAAUACUCAUAUCAUCAAGAUCAAUCAAGCAGGAAGUAGGGUAUUACCUCACACGAGAGGGCCCGAACUUGGGUAAACAUUGUGUCCCCCGCCUCCUGUUACCAUCUGCCUUAGACGCACAGUUCGGGACCCCCUACCCGAGAUCCCCCUGUUUUGACACCGACAGGGAGUGUUAGACGGGUCUAUGUAGCGCGAGCGAGAUAUGUGUAUGUGUGAACCAGGGAGAUAUAAAGUUUAAGAGAUAUAGAGGAGCCCCAAUACGGUUGAGUGGUGCGUCAGACAGCUGAGAGGGGCAAAGAUAUACUCCAUCUGUUCGAUAAUGCAGUGCAUAUAAAUUUUUUAGAAGUCAAACUUUCGAAACUUUGACCAGGUUUACGCAAAUAUUAUUUAUAUCUACAAUACCAAAGAUACAUCAUACGAAACUACAUCUCAUGAUGAAUCUAAUGAUAUAUGUUUGCUGUUAUAGAUGUAAAUGUUUUUCUCCACGUACAUGGUCAAACUUUGUGAUGUUUGACUUUUAAUUAAAUCUAUAUGCUAUGGACCAAAGAGAGUGCCUAAGUCGAGAGAGAUCAAGUGCGUGUGAAGGAGAAUGAGUGAGUGUGCAAAAAGAGAGAGAGAGAGAGAGAGAGAGAGAGAGUGUGUGUGUGUGUGUGAAAGAGAGAGGGACAACAAACGAUAAAAUAGAGAGUGUGUGUGUUCGUUUCUUAUGCAAACAUAUCACACAUGCAUCUCCGAGACAGAAAAGCGAGGUGAGGAGAUACACUAAGAUAGCUAGCGCGUGAUUGUUUGCAAUGGAGAGAGACAACCCUAUAGCACAUGUCCAAUAGAGGUCUGGCCAACAAGGGACAAAGGUCGAGAGGGAUGCAUGGAGAAGAUGGACACAUGGGGAGGGAGAGAGGGUGUGUUUGUGAUAGAGAGAUCCCCUCGAGAUUGUGAGGGGACUAUAUGGGUGGGAGAUCGAGGGAGAGGUGUGUGUGCGAUAGAAAGAUGCCCCGAGAGAAAUCGAGAUAGACCAAGUGAGGGAAACAGAUAAUGCACAUGUUUGUGAUGCAGACUAAGUAUUAAACAUGUUUGUGAAUGGGAGAACAUGUUGUCUGCAAUCCACACAUGAACGGAGAUAUGUGUAUCAAACAAGUUCAUUAAUUUGACUUUUAACAUGUUCAUGGAGUACUAUAAUACAGUACAACAUGCUACUCAAUUGAGGUGUUCAAUUUUGGAUUUAGUUCACUAUUUUGACCUGGUGCAUGAGCUAUUUCAUUGAAUCAAGAUAUUUCAUUUUGGGUUUGAUUCCCGUUUUUGAGUGGUCAACUAUUUGUCAUAUAGUAAAUCGUUAGCUGUCGGCGUUCUGGGAACGGGGGUCCCCACACUUGCCUGCCUGCGGCCCACGGCAUGGCUCCACUAGCGGCCCCGUACGGCCCAUCUUCGCCAGCAAACCCUCAAGACCCUCGCGAGGGGCCAAGCCUCGCGAGGCGGACAACGCAAGACCUCCUUGGGGGCAGCCUCGUCAGGCUGGCUCGCGAGGGGCAGAGAGAUCAAGUCAAGGGGAACCUCGCGAGGUUCCUAUGACGUAAGCCAUGACGACCAAGCCAGGCGGGCACCAGCGCGCACAGUGUCCUUGUUUCCUCUUUGGUGCUAAAGAGGCAAGCGCGGGCGAGGAGUCCCGAGGCACCAAGCAAAGGUUUCCAUAUCGGUGCAACGAGUCCAAGACCAGCAGGACGGCAGGAUGGAGGUCACCGUGGAGCCCAAGGCGGUAUCACCACCACAGCCUUUGGCAGGCGAAGACCACCUUUAGUCAGGAUAGCUUGUACUAGCUGUCCCCCUUCAAACUGGCCGUUGUGGCAUCCCUUCCCGCUCAAUAUUUGGGAAGAGGACCAAGGCCUCUAUAAAUAGGACUAGCCACCACCGUAGCAAGGGACGGAUCAUUGAGACCAUCCUCAUCCACAGAAACUCACCAAGCACAAGAACACCUCUCCUCAGGAGGCUGUUCUUCCCUUGUACUGUUCAUCCUCAGCCUAAGAGGCAAUCCACCACACCACACUGGAGUAGGGAAUUACACCACAACGGUGGCCCGAACAAGUAUAAAUCUUGUGUCCCCUUGUUCUUUGGGUCCACCGAGCUAGGCCAUGAGAUCAUGAUGCGCGCGAGCUAGAGGGAGGAGAGAUCUUCGUGCGCACCCCAGUGUUCUAACCUCAAGGGUUUUGCCGGAACCCGAAAUCCGACAUUUGGCGCGCCAGGUAGGGGUGUGCUGAAGCUUUCCUCUCGUCGAUCCGCGUUUCGCCACUCCACCAAGUUCAUGGCCGACGCUCGUUGGGCCCGCGCUGAGCGCCGGGCCGCUCUCGCCACCCGUGUCGCUCAGACAGCCCCUGUCGGCGGGCCUCCCCAUCGUUCUCCGUCACCCGCCGCCAACGCCGCUACUAGUCCGGCGGAAAACGAGCAGCAAGCGUCCUCUCUGCACCCCUCCGUCCGACGGGAUGGCCGCACCGCCACUCCGUCAUUGACCCCAGCCGGCUCGUCGUCUCACGCUUGUUGCGCUCCCACGGACGCAUAGGCCACGCUGCUCAUGGCACGCGAGCUCCUGCGCUACCACCCAGUCGACGACCUCUACGAGGACUGGUUGGACCGCAUCGCUGAGCACAUCAGCGCUGAUGGGGGCUCCCCCGCACCGUCCCUCUCGCUGCCUCGCCCUCUCCAGCUGCAGGCGACAUAGCUCACGGAGCACCUCCGCCGCCUCUGCCCCAAGACGACGCUCUGGCACCAAGACGCGCGGCCCCUCGGCACGACCCGCCGCGCCGGGCGCCCGCGCGGGAAGAAGGAAGCUGCCAAGAAGUUUCCCAACCGCAAGAAAAUGUUCCACCGCUCCCAGCACCUCCACGUCAGGAUCGCUUGCCGCGGCAGGGCCAUGCGCCACUUGCCGUGGCGGCGCGGGGACGCCAAGAUCAAGCUCCGCCUCCACGACGGGCCCCGGUGGCCAUGGCCGGCUGCCGCGCCUUCACUCCUGAGCUGCGUGGCUGCUACCUCUUGAGCACUGGGUUGGUUUUCCCUUGAAGAGGAAAGGGUGAUGCAGCAAAGUAGCGUAAGUACUUCCCUCAGUUUUUGAGAACCAAGGUAUCAAUCCAGUAGGAGGCCACGCACGAGUCCCUCGCACCUACACAAACAAAUAAAUCCUCGCAACCAACGCGAUAAGGGGUUGUCAAUCCCUACACGGUCACUUACGAGAGUGAGAUCUGAUAGAUAUGAUAGGAUAAUAUUUUUGGUAUUUUAUGAUAAAGAUGCAAAGUAAAAUAAAAGGCAAUGAAAAUAACUAAGUGUUGGAGGAUUAAUAUGAUGGAAAAUAGACCCGGGGGCCAUAGGUUUCACUAGUAGCUUCUCUCAAGAGCAUAAGUAUUACGAUGGGUGAACAAAUUACUGUUGAGCAAUUGACAGAAUUGAGCAUAGUUAUGAGAAUAGGACGACCUAGACAAUUUGUUUAUUGAUCAGCAACAAUUGGAAUAAAUAUUUUAUCACGUUCUGGUGAUUUUUAACAAUUAUUUUCGUGAACAGAAAGUUUCUAGAAUUUUCUGCAAGAUCAAAUAACUAUCAUCCAAGAAGAUCCUAUAGGUUUAACUUGGCACAAACACUAAUUAAAACAUAAAAACACAUCUAACCAGAGGCUAGAUCAAAGAUUUAUUCCUAAACAGAAGCAAAAAGCAAAAAACUAAAAAUAAAAUUGGGUUGCCUCCCAACAAGCGCUAUCGUUUAACGCCCCAAGCUAGGCAUAAAAGCAAGGAUAGAUCUAGGUAUUGCCAUCUUUGGUUUUCAAUUUUUUAGCGGAAUCAAGCUCGAAUCCGGGAGGUUCUUUACGUUUCCCUUCAUAUUCGGAAAUUUUUAGAUCUAAAGAAUCCAACCGCUUAUUGGAAAGGGUAAUCAACAUAUUCAUGCGGUGAAUAUUUCCGCUAACGCUCUUAAGAGGUUCAAGAGACUUUUGUAAAAUCUUAGUUACUUCGCAAUUUUUUUCAAAAACUUGUGUUUCUUCCUGGGUAUGUUGUGGCCCCUUUUGUUGAGGUAGUGUUCCCACUACCCCCUCUAUGAUUUCAUGCGCAACACUGGGAUCAAUUUCAAUAAAAAUUCCUUUGGCAACACAAUCCAAGAGUUGUCUAUGGGACAUAUUUAGUCCAACGUAAAAACUGCGAAGCAAAAUUCUGAAAGUCACCUCUAAGGUGCAAUUACGAUAAGAUUCCAUCAUCCUAUACCAAGCAUCUUUUAAAUUUUCUCCUUGUCUUUGUUUGAAGUGAAGAACUUCAAACUCAGGGGACAAAGGAACAGAUAGGCGACUAGCCAUAACGACCAAGCAAGAGAAAAAGAGGCGAACGGAAAAGAGAGGGCGAAUAAAACGGCAAGGGUGAAGUGGGGGAGAGGAAAACGAGAGGCGAAUGGCAAAUAAUGUAAUGCGGGAGAUAAGGGUUUGUGAUGGGUACUUGGUAUGUUGACUUUUGCGUAGACUCCCCCGCAACGGCGCCAGAGAUCCUUCUUGCUACCUCUUGAGCACUGCGUUGGUUUUCCCUUGAAGAGGAAAGGGUGAUGCAGCAAAGUAGCGUAAGUAUUUCCCCUCAGUUUUUGAGAACCAAGGUAUCAAUCCAGUAGGAGGCCACGCACGAGUCCCUCGCACCUACACAAACAAAUAAAUCCUUGCAACCAACGCGAUAAGGGGUUGUCAAUCCCUACACGGUCACUUACGAGAGUGAGAUCUGAUAGAUAUGAUAGGAUAAUAUUUUUGGUAUUUUAUGAUAAAGAUGCAAAGUAAAAUAAAAGGCAAUGAAAAUAACUAAGUGUUGGAGGAUUAAUAUGAUGGAAAAUAGACCCGGGGGCCAUAGGUUUCACUAGUGGCUUCUCUUAAGAGCAUAAGUAUUACGGUGGGUGAACAAAUUACUGUUGAGCAAUUGACAAAAUUGAGCAUAGUUAUGAGAAUAUCUAGGUAUGAUCAUGUAUAUAGGCAUCACGUCCGAGACAAGUAGACCGACUCCUGCCUGCAUCUACUACUAUUACUCCACACAUCGACCGCUAUCCAGCAUGCAUCUAGAGUAUUAAUUUCAUAAGAACAGAGUAACGCUUUAAGCAAGAUGACAUGAUGUAGAGGGAUAAAUUCAUGCAAUAUGAUAUAAACCCCAUCUUGUUAUCCUUGAUGGCAACAAUACAAUAUGUGCCUUGCUGCCCCUACUGUCACUAGGAAAGGACACCGCAAGAUUGAACCCAAAGCUAAGAACUUCUCCUAUUGCAAGAAAGAUCAAUCUAGUAGGCCAAACCAAACUGAUAAUUCGAAGAGACUUGCAAAGAUAACCAAUCACACAUAAAAGAAUUCAGAGAAGAUUCAAAUAUUGUUCAUAGAUAAACGUGAUCAUAAACCCACAAUUCAUCGGUCUCAACAAACACACCGCAAAAGAAGAUUACAUCGAAUAGAUCUCCACGAGAGAGGGGGGACAUUGUAUUGAGAUCCAAAAAGAGAGAAGAAGCCAUCUAGCUAAUAACUAUGGACCCGAAGGUCUGAGGUAAACUACUCACACAUCAUCGGAGAGGCUAUGGUGUUGAUGUAGAAGCCCUCCAUGAUCGAUGCCCCCUCCGGCGUAGCUCCAAAACAGGCCCCAAGAUGGGAUCUCACGGGUACAGAAGGUUGCGGCGGUGGAAUUAGGUUUUUGGCUCCGUAUCUGGUAGUUUGGGGGUACGUAGGUAUAUAUAGGAGGAAGAAGUACGUCGAUGGAGCAACGUGGGGCCCACGAGGGUUGAGGGCGCGCCCGGGGGGGUAGGCACGCCCCCCUACCUCAUGGCUUCCUGGUUGAUGUCUUGACGUAGGGUCCAAGUCCUCUGGAUCACGUUCGUUUCGAAAAUCACGUUCCCGAAGGUUUAUUCCGUUUGGACUCCGUUUGAUAUUCUUUUUCUGCGAAACUCUGAAAUAGGCAAAAAAACAACAAUUCUGGGCUGGGCCUCCGGUUAAUAGGUUAGUCCCAAAAAUAAUAUAAAAGUGUAUAAUAAAGCCCAUUAAUGUCCAAAACAGAAUAUAAGAUGGAGCAAUAAAAAAUUAUAGAUACGUUGGAGAUGUAUCAAGCAUCCCCAAGCUUAAUUCCUGCUCGUCCUCGAGUAGGUAAAUGAUAAAAACAGAAUUUUUGAUGUGGAAUGCUACUUGGCAUAAUUUCAAUGUAAUUCUUCUUAAUUGUGGUAUGAAUAUUCAGAUCCGAAAGAUUCAAGAUAAAACUUCAAUAUUGACAUAAAAAUAAUAAUACGUCAAGCAUACUAACUAAGCAAUUAUGUCCUCUCAAAAUAACAUGGCCAAAGAAAGUUCAUCCCUACAAAAUCAUAUAGUUUAGUCAUGCUCCAUUUUCGUCACACAAGAAUGCCCUCAUCAUGCACAACCCCGAUGACAAGCCAAGCAAUUGUUUCAUACUUUAGUAAUCUCAAACUUUUUCAACCUUCACGCAAUACAUGAGCGUGAGCCAUGGAUAUAGCACUAUGGGUGGAAUAGAAUAUAAUGAUGGGGGUUAUGUGGAGAAGACAAAAAGAGAGAAAGUCUCACAUCAACAAGGCUAAUCAAUGAGCUAUGGAGAUGCCCAUCGAUUGAUGUUAAUGCAAGGAGUAGGGAUUUCCAUGCAACGGAUGCACUAGGGCUAUAAAUAUAUGAAAGCUCAACAAAAGAAACUAAGUGGGUGUGCAUCCAACUUGCUUGCUCACGAAGACCUAGGGCAUUUGAGGAAGCCCAUUGUUGGAAUAUACAAGCCAAGUUCUAUAAUGAAAAGUUCCCACUAGUAUAUGAAAGUGACAAAACAAAAGACUCUCUAUCAUGAAGAUUAUGGUGCUAUUUUGAAGCACAAGUGUGGUAAAAAGGAUAGUAACAUUGUCCCUUCUCUCUUUUUUCUCUCAUUUUUUUUGGGCCUUCUCUUUUUUAUGGCCUUUCUCUUUUUUUGACCUCACUUGGGACAAUGCUCUAGAAAAUGAUGAUCAUCACAUUUCUAUUUAUUUACAACUCAAUGAUAACAACUCGAUACCAGAACAAAGUAUGACUCUAUAUGAGUGCCUCCGGCGGUGUACCGGGGUAUGCAAUGAACCAAGAGUGACAUGUAUGAAAGAAUUAUGAAUGGUGGCUUUGCCACAAAUACUAUGUCAACUACAUGAUCAUGCAAAGAAUUAUGACAAUGAUGAACGUGUCAUGAUAAACGGAACGGUGGAAAGUUGCAUGGCAAUAUAUCUCGGAAUGGCUAUGGAAAUGCCAUAAUAGGUAGGUAUGGUGGCUGUUUUGAGGAAGAUAUAAAGAGGUUUAUGUGUGAAAGAGCGUAACAUAUCACGGGGUUUGGAUGCACCGGCGAAGUUUGCACCAACUCUCAAUGUGAGAAAGGGCAAUGCACGGUACCGAAGAGGCUAGCAAUGAUGGAAAGGUGAGAGUGCGUAUAAUCCAUGGACUCAACAUUAGUCAUAAAGAACUCACAUACUUAUUGCAAAAAUCUACAAGUCAUCAAAAACCAAGCACUACGCGCAUGCUCCUAGGGGGAUAGAUUGGUAGGAAAAGACCAUCGCUCGUCCCCGACCGCCACUCAUAAGGAGGACAAUCAAAGAACACCUCAUGUUUCAAAUUUGUUACAUAACGUUUACCAACGUGCAUGCUACGGGACUUGCAAACUUCAACACAAGUAUUUCUCAAAUUCACAACUACUCAACUAGCACAACUUUAAUAUCACUACCUCCAUAUCUCAAAACAAUCAUCAAGCAUCAAACUUCUCUUAGUAUUCAACACACUCAUAAGAAAGUUUUUACUAGUCUUGAAUACCUAGCAUAUUAGGAUUAUUUAAGCAAAUUACCAUGCUAUUUAAGACUCUCGAAAUAAUCUAAGUGAAGCAUGAGAGAAUAAUAGUUUCUAUAAAACAAAAGUUACCACCGUGCUCUAAAAUAUAUUAGUGAAGUACUAGAGCAAAAACUAUAUAGCUCAAAAGAUAUAAGUGAAGCACAUAGAGUAUUCUAAUAAUUUCCAAAUCAUGUGUGUCUCUCUCAAAAGGUGUGUACAGCAAGGAUGAUUGUGGUAAACUAAAAAGCAAAGACUCAAAUCAUACAAGACACUGCAAGCAAAACACAUAUCAUGUGGUGAAUAAAAAUAUAGCUCCAAGUAAAGUUACCGAUGGAAGUAGACGAAAGAGGGGAUGCCUUCCGGGGCAUCCCCAAGCUUUGGGUUUUUGGUGUCCUUAGAUUAUCUUGGGGUGCCAUGGGCAUCCCCAAGCUUAGGCUCUUGCCACUCCUUGUUCUAUAAUCCAUCAAAUCUUUCACCCAAAACUUGAAAACUUCACAACACAAAACUUAAUAGAAAAUCUCGUGAGCUCCGUUAGCGAAGGAAAACAAAACACCACUUCAAGGUACUGUAAUGAACUCAUUCUUUAUUUAUAUUGGUGUUAAACCUACUGUAUUCCAACUUCUCUAUGGUUUAUAAACUAUUUUACUAGCCAUAGAUUCAUCAAAAUAAGCAAACAACACACGGAAAACAGAAUCUGUCAAAAACAGAACAGUCUGUAGUAAUCUGUAACUAACGCAAACUUCUGGAACUCCAAAAAUUCAGAAAAAAUAGGACGACCUAGACAAUUUGUUUAUUGAUCAGAAGCAAUUGGAAUAAAUAUUUUAUCACGUUCUGGUGAUUUUUAACAAUUAUUUUCGUGAACAGAAAGUUUCUGGAAUUUUCUGCAAGAUCAAAUAACUAUCAUCCAAGAAGAUCCUGUAGGUUUAACUUGGCACAAACACUAAUUAAAACAUAAAAACACAUCUAACCAGAGGCUAGAUCAAAGAUUUAUUCCUAAACAGAAGCAAAAAGCAAAAAAAAUAAAAAUAAAAUUGGGUUGCCUCCCAACAAGCGCUAUCGUUUAACGCCCCUAGCUAGGCAUAAAAGCAAGGAUAGAUCUAGGUAUUGCCAUCUUUGGUUUUCAAUUUUUUAGCGGAAUCAAGCUCAAAUCCGGGAGGUUCUUUACGUUUCCUUUCAUAUUCGGAAAUUUUUAGAUCUAAAGAAUCCAACCGCUUAUUGGAAAGGGUAAUCAACAUAUUCAUGCGGUGAAUAUUUCCGCUAACGCUCUUAAGAGGUUCAAGAGACUUUUGUAAAAUCUUAGUUACUUCGCAAAUUUUUUCAAAUACUUGUGUUUCUUCCUGGGUAUGUUGUGGCCCCUUUUGUUGAGGUAGUGUUCCCACUACCCCCUCUAUGAUUUCAUGCGCAACACUGGGAUCAAUUUCAAUAAAAAAUCCUUUGGCAACACAAUCCAAGAGUUGUCUAUGGGACAUAUUUAGUCCAACGUAAAAACUGCGAAGCAAAAUUCUGAAACUCACCUCUAAGGUGCAAUUACGAUAAGAUUCCAGCAUCCUAUACCAAGCAUCUUUUAAAUUUUCUCCUUGUCUUUGUUUGAAGUGAAGAACUUCAAACUUAGGGGACAAAGGAACAGAUAGGGGACUAGCCAUAACGACCAAGCAAGCGAAAAAGAGGCGAACAAAAAAGAGAGGGCGAAUAAAACGGCAAGGGUGAAGUGGGGGAGAGGAAAACGAGAGGCGAAUGGCAAAUAAUGUAAUGCGGGAGAUAAGGGUUUGUGAUGGGUACUUGGUAUGUUGACUUUUGCGUAGACUCCCCGGCAACGGCGCCAGAGAUCCUUCUUGCUACCUCUUGAGCACUGCGUUGGUUUUCCCUUGAAGAGGAAAGGGUGAUGUAGCAAAGUAGUGUAAGUAUUUCCCUCAGUUUUUGAGAACCAAGGUAUCAAUCCAGUAGGAGGCCACGCACGAGUCCCUCGCACCUACACAAACAAAUAAAUCCUCGCAACCAACGCGAUAAGGGGUUGUCAAUCCCUACACGGUCACUUACGAGAGUGAGAUCUGAUAGAUAUGAUAGGAUAAUAUUUUUGGUAUUUUAUGAUAAAGAUGCAAAGUAAAAUAAAAGGCAAUGAAAAUAACUAAGUGUUGGAGGAUUAAUAUGAUGGAAAAUAGACCUGGGGGCCAUAGGUUUCACUAGUGGCUUCUCUCAAGAGCAUAAGUAUUACGGUGGGUGAACAAAUUACUGUUGAGCAAUUGACAAAAUUGAGCAUAGUUAUGAGAAUAUCUAGGUAUGAUCAUGUAUAUAGGCAUCACGUCCGAGACAAGUAGACCGACUCAUGCCUGCAUCUACUACUAUUACUCCACACAUCGACCGCUAUCCAACAUGCAUCUAGAGUAUUAAGUUCAUAAGAACAGAGUAACGCUUUAAGCAAGAUGACAUGAUGUAGAGGGAUAAAUUCAUGCAAUAUGAUAUAAACCCCAUCUUGUUAUCCUUGAUGGCAAAUAUACAAUACGUGCCUUGUUGCCCCUACUGUCACUAGGAAAGAACACCGCAAGAUUGAACCCAAAGCUAAGAACUUCUCCCAUUGCAAGAAAGAUCAAUCUAGUAGGCCAAACCAAACUGAUAAUUCGAAGAGACUUGCAAAGAUAACCAAUCAUACAUAAAAGAAUUCAGAGAAGAUUCAAAUAUUGUUCAUAGAUAAACUUGAUCAUAAACCCACAAUUCAUCGGUCUCAACAAACACACCGCAAAAGAAGAUUACAUCGAAUAGAUCUCCACGAGAGAGGGGGAGAACAUUGUAUUGAGAUCCAAAAAGAGAGAAGAAGCCAUCUAGCUAAUAACUAUGGACCCGAAGGUCUGAGGUAAACUACUCACACAUCAUCGGAGAGGCUAUGGUGUUGAUGUAGAAGCCCUCCGUGAUCGAUGCCCCCUCCGGCGGAGCUCCGGAACAGACCCCAAGAUGGGAUCUCACGGGUACAGAAGGUUGCGGCGAUGGAAUUAGGUUUUUGGCUCCGUAUCUGGUAGUUUGGGGUACGUAGGUAUAUAUAGGAGGAAGAAGUACGUCGGUGGAGCAACAUGGGGCCCACGAGGGUGGAGGGUGCGCCCAGGGGGUAGGCGUGCCCCCUACCUCGUGGCUUUCUAGUUGAUGUCUUGACGUAGGGUCCAAGUCCUCUGGAUCACGUUCGUUCCGAAAAUCACGUUCCCGAAGGUUUCAUUCCGUUUGGACUCCGUUUGAUAUUCUUUUUCUGCGAAACUCUAAAAUAGGCAAAAAAACAGCAAUUAUGGGCUGGGCGUCCGGUUAAUAGGUUAGUCCCAAAAAUAAUAUAAAAGUGUAUAAUAAAGCCCAUUAAUGUCCAAAACAGAAUAUAAUAUAGCAUGGAGCAAUAAAAAAUUAUAGAUACGUUGGAGACGUAUCAGUGGCGUCGCCUGGCCGGCAAGUUCAAGCCGGAUCUGCCUCCUCACUACGACGGCACCCCCGGCCCUGCGGAGUUCUUGCAGCUCUACGAGCUGAGCAUCAAGGCGGCCAACGGCGACGAAAAGGUCAUGGCGAACUAGUUCCCCAUGGCUCUCAAGGACGGCGCCCGCUCAUGGCUCCUGAACCUCCCCGGGCUCGAUCUCCUCCUGGGAUGAGAUGCGCGACCGCUUCGUCGCCAACUUCCAGGGCACUCGCGACCGCCCUCCAGCCGCGGGUGACCUGUGCCAUAUCAAGCAAUAGCCAGGAGAGACCUUGCAGAAGUACAUUCAGCGCUUCAACAACGUUCGUCUCAAGAUCCCCAAGGUGACGGAUGAGGCCAUCAUUUCGGCGUUUUCUGAUGGCGUCCGUGACAUCAAGGUGAAGGAGGAGCUCGCCAUCCACGAGGAGCUAUGCACGGCUUUGGAGCUGUUCAACCUGGCGACCAAGUGCGCAAGAGCUGAGGAAGGGUGCCUUUCCCUCCUCGAGCUCCCUGCUACCGACCCAGAGGAGAAGAAAGCCAAGGCCAAAGACGUGAAGCGCAAGGGAGUGGCCGUACUCGCGGCGGAGCCUGACACGAAGCGCGGACUGGACCAUCCCGAGUCAUCCAAGAGCAGCCGACCGUUCUGCGCCUUCCACAACGUACACAACCACAACACCAACGACUAUCAGGAGCUCAGGGCCAUUCGAGAUGGACGCUUCGGUCGACGCCCCGAGCGCAACGACCGGGGCUACGGCCGAGGCGGAGGUCGCUGGGACGAUCGCGGCCCAUGCCAGGAGUGGCGCGACCGGCCUCGCGAGGACCGCUGGCAUGAUCAGCCUCGUGAGGAAGCCUGGAGGGAUCAGCCUCGCGAGGACCGCCCUCAGGGAAAUGCUGGUCUCCCUCCGCUGCCGCCACCACCCAGAAGGAACGACGACCACCAUCGGGACGAAGGAGCUGGGGGCUUCCAGGAACCGCGCGCUAUCGCCUGCAUCUUGGGCGGAGCUCAGGCCCCAGUGUCUCAGCGUAUCUUCAAGUAGUUUGUUCGCGAGGUGAACGUGGCUCUUCCCAAGCUCGAGGCCGCACGCCCGCUCAGGUGAUCCAAGUACGCCAUCACUUUCAGCUCGGCGGACCAGCUCAAGUGCGCCGCAGCCACCGGUGCUCUCCCAAUGCUCUACUUUCCAGUCAUCAGCAACGUCCAAGUCACCAAGACCCUCAUCGAUGGCGGUGCGGGGCUUAACGUCCUGCCCGUCGACACGUUCGGUUGCCUUCAAGUACCCUAUGAUCAACUGCAGCCGACCAAGCCCUUCUCAGGAAUGACCGAUGGUUCCACCACCCCAAUCGGGCAGGUCCGCCUCCCUGUCACCUUCGGUGGGCGCGACAACUACCACACCGAGCUCAUCGACUUCGACGUCGCCCACAUUCGUCUGCCAUACAACGCAAUCCUCAGGUACCCAGCGUUGGCCAAGUUCAUGGCAGUGACCCACCACGGCUACAACGUCCUCAAGAUGCCAGGGACUGGUGGUGUCAUCACAGUCGCCUGUGAGGAGAAAGAUGCAGUGUGCUCCCUUGAGCGCACCUUCCAGGCCGCAGCAAUAGAAGACCCCGACAACGAAGGAAUCCUACACCCUCCUGAGGCUAUCCCCAAGAAGAAGAAGCAGCUGCACCGUACAGGGCCUCAGGAGAGCGGCAUCACCAGCAGCACCACCUCAAGAAUUGCGCCCUCAGAUGGGGCGCCUCCCUCCCGCGCAUAGGAAGGCGCGCCCAGUGCCCUCCUUGGGCAGGGCUCGGGGGCUCUCUUCUGGAGGGCCUCAGACCUAGCCAACAUCAUGAGGGAGGCACUCGGGCACCACAUGGAGGCGUGCUUUGCGGCACGUUUCCCUCGGGAGGGCACCAGGCGAGGAGCGCCUGGCGCUCAAGAGUUCAUCACCCAGACUACCCAAGAGCUUCAAGAAGCAAGAGCCAUGCGCGGCGACCGACACCCACCUGGCGCAGCUCCCCAUCCAGGCGAGGAUGGCGGGCUGCACGUCUGCAUCGACAUCCCAGGGCUCAACUGGGCCGCAUCUUAGGGGCUCUUCUGACCUUCACGCGUGGGAUGUUGCGAGGGCCCACCUCACAACUAUGUUCGCAUGCCCUUCGGCCUGCCGAGCAUGGUGGCUGCCUAUCAGCGCAACCUGCGGAGCGUCCUGGCGGCUCAGGAGGCCAGGCAUCACGCAGUCCUGGAGGAGAUGGAGACGGUCCUCAAGGAACCGCCAGGGCCCCCAGAGCCUCCCGAGGCUCAAGGCCCCGGUGGCUCGUGAGGAGCAACUCCAUCGCCAUGUGUCUUCAGCCACCCCAACACCCCUUCGACAAUGGAACCAGGUGACAUUUUCCAAGUUUAUUAGCUGGGAGCGCCCUCUAGUCCGGAUCAUUCCCAGGCCGCAUGGGUCCGUCCCUGUGGCAUGUAUCCCUUUUUAUGUCUUUAGCUUACUCUGCUGGGGGCGCCCCUCGAGCUGCAUCAUUGCCGAGCCGCUCGGGUCUGACCCAGUGGCAUGUAUCGUUCUUGCAUUUACCUAAGCUAGUUUGCUUUCCAUGCGCAAUUUAUCUAUGGUUAUCACCUGCUUGAUUGUCACCCACCUCGGGCGCUACUCACGAUGGCACGGCGCUUGUGCUCGGGUCCGUCCCUGCAAUGCCGACAAAUCUGAGAGGUCGAGCUCUGACUCGCGGCAUGCCCGCCGCACGUCACCUCACCAGGCCCUCAGUGUCUUCAUCCUCUUGCGGAGCAACUUGUGGCAGGCCGGCAAUCAUAGUGGCAAUCAAUGUCCCUCCUCGCGCUAACCUGCAGGGACCUCCUGAGGACAACAGCAGGUGGUACCAUGGCUCCCUCUUCUCCCAUGUGAUCCGCUUGCGUGUUAAAAGGGGGGCUCCUGAGCAUCGUGACUCAGGAGCUCUUACUGGCUCUCCAGCCCUCACCCCUGGCCUUGCCACAGCACCGCGACCUGGCAUACCAGUGGCGGCUGAGCUAGCUCGAGGGUCGGGACCUGAGGACGCAGAGCACAUAGGAGAGCAUGGAGAAGAGGGGGAGGCUCGCACAUGCCUGACCUGGCUGCACUACGACCACCGAUGAACGAGUCUGGCGCAUCACAAGGAACCGACUCUGGACUGCCAAGAUAAGUUUCGCGCCCGGUCAACCUAUCGCUACGACGUAGGAUUCUCACUCGCUGCAGCCCUGUUGCGGCAACGUCGCCUCCCUUUCUUACCUCUCGGUGGCCGCUUGCGCACUAAAGGGGACCUCCUGAGCAUCGCGCCUCAGGAGCUCUUACUGGACCUCGGGCCGCUCACCUCCUGGCCUUGACCACAGCAUCGCGACCUGGCAUACCAGCGACGGCCAUAGCCUGCCUGGGCACCGGGACCUGUCAGCGUAGAGCACCAAGCCGUUGCGGGAAAGGGGGGACUGAGCCGAAACAGGACAUGCGCUCGCAAAUUUUCAUAAUGAGGACAAUAUCAACAAAAGACAUUACAAACCUUUUACACGCCUCGCGGGGUUCGUCUCGAUUCCUCGCAGGGAACAAAAGGAGGGAGCUUCUAGGGGUCCUAUCUACACGCACUGGCGCGGCCGACGCCAUCAUCAAAAGUGGGCCUCAGGAGGCCGGUGCCAACCCCAUCCAGAUCAGCGACGGCGGCAGCCGGAUGCUGCGGCCUUGCUCCGGGCACGGCGAGAGCUCGGGGGCACAUAGCUGUCGUCGCUCGUCUCCGGAGUCUCGUAGGGCUCGGGAGAGUCGCUGGACUCCCAAGUGACACCACUGCUGCUGGAUGAGCCGCUGGCGAGGCAGGCGGCAGGCCCGGCUCCUGCCGCGGCGCCAUCCAGGCGGCCCUCUCCGGGGCAGCACUCCAAGCGACGGCCUUCCGCGUCGAAGACCUUGAAGAACAUCAUGGAGGCGCCGUCAUACUCUAAGUGGAUCGCGAGGGCACCCCCACCCUAGCCGUGGGUCAUGAAGAUCUUGCCCGGGGAGACAACUUCAACCUCCGCUCCAGUCGCCGGCGCGUCACAUUCGGCGUGCUGCAGCCAAAGCUCGAGGGGCCCCCUCGGCGGCAUUCGGCGGAGAAGAAUUGCGGGAAGCGGAUCCAGGUGCGCGGAGGCAUCGCCGCCCACAUCACGAGUUCGCGUGAGGAGUCUGCGGCAUGGGCUCCUGGGGCGACGGCAUGUGUCCCCAUGACGCAUCGACCAUGGCUGCGGCAUGGGCGGCGCCGACCACCGCCUCUUCCUCCAGAGCCCUCGGCUUGGGCGUAUAGAGGCAGCGGAUACCCGAGAGGUGGCCGCUCGCACCAAGGCCUUGUCACCUCCAGCCCCCCGACUGCGUCACAGCGGUGGACCGGCCUCUUCUUUGGUGGAAGUGGCUUGGGCUCAUCGCGAGGGGUUUUUCCCUUCUCCGCAGCCGAGAACCUUCGAAUCGGCGCCAUGGGAGUCACUACUAGCAAUGGAGCAAGGGAGAAGGAGCAAGCGGAACGGGAAGAGAUGGGCGACGGGGGCUCCGCCCCCCUCCUCAUUUGUAGCAGGAGAAGACCAACCAGCGAUCCCCAUGAUCAAAGGUAAUGAUGGUUUUUCCUUGCAUGCAGCAGGGACUCGUUAAGUCAGACAGUUGCCGAGGCAGCGUGGGGAAGCGGAGGCGCCCACGUCCAAUCAAUCGCCACGCGUCGACCAAGGCCAUAGGCUGUUGGGGCCCGCGGCGCUCCGCACUUGCCCUUUGGCUUCACCUCGAAGCCAAGUCCGAGCGCGCCUUGGGCCCGGGGCUACUGUCGGUGUUCUGGGAACGGGGGUCCCCAGACUUGCCUGCCUGCGGCCCACGGCGUGGCUCCACUAGCGGCCCCGUAUGGCCCAUCUUCACCAGCAAACCCUCAAGACCCUCGCGAGGGGCCAAGCCUCGCGAGGCAGACAACGCAAGACCUCCUCGGGGGCAGCCUCGUCGGGCUGGCUCGCGAGGGGCGGAGAGAUUAAGGCAAGGGGAACCUCGCGAGGUUCUUAUGACGUAAGCCAUGAUGACCAAGGCUAGGCGGGCGCCACCGCGAGCAGUGUCCUUGUUUCCUCUUUGGUGCUAAAGAGGCAAGCGCAAGCGAGGAGUCCCGAGGCAUCAGGCAAAGGUUUCCAUAUCAGUGCAACGAGACCAAGACCAGUAGGACGGCAGGACGGAGGUCACCGUGGAGCCGAAGGCGGCAUCACCACCAAAGCCUUUGGCAGGCGAAGACCACCUUUCGUCAGGAUAGCUUGUACUAGUUGUCCCCCUUCAAACUGGCCGUUGUGGCAUCCCUUCCCGCUCAAUAUUUGGGAAGAGGACCAAGGCCUCUAUAAAUAGGACUAGCCACCACCAUAGCAAGGGACGGAUCAUUGAGACCAUCCUCACCCACACAAACUCACCAAGCACAAGAACACCUCUCCUCAGGAGGCUGUUCUUCCCUUGUACUGUUCAUCCUCGGCCUAAGAGGCAAUCCACCACACCACACUGGAGUAGGGUAUUACACCACAACGGUGGCCCGAACCAGUAUAAAUCUUGUGUCCCCUUGUUCUUUGGGUCCGCCGAGCUAGGCCGUGAGAUCAUGAUGCGCGCGAGCUAGAGGGAGGAGAGAUCUUCGUGCGCACCCCAGUGUUCGAACCUCAAGGUUUUUGCCGGAACCCAAAAUCCGACAUUAGCAAUGAGCAUGUAAAAACACAUUAGUCCCGAGCAUCAUCUCACCAUCUAAAAAAGAAGUGGCAAGCUAAUAUUUCAAAAUUUGAUUCGAAUCGACUUGGUAAGGUAGACGUGGAUUCUCGUUCUCCCAAAAUUUGAAUGAACCGCUAAACACACUCUGCUCGGUGGAAUUCGCCCGAGCAAACAAAUGGGAGGCACAAAAUUACCAGCCUAUGUGGGACACACAUCAAUUGGCCCGUUGUACAUCGAGGGUAGGUUCGUAACUUCAUCUAAGCGCGCCUUCUCCUCGGCCGAAAUGACAAGUGCCGAAUAAUUCAUAAACCAUGGGCGGCAAAACACCCUCUCCUCGUCCGAAAUCGCUUGCGCGGACUAUUUCAAAACACGCCUUCCUAGCCCGAAAUCGCUCGCGCCCACUAUUUGGGAGAAGCAAAGUUACUCUACUAUCCCCGACCCUUAGUACACAGACCCAAGCCCAGAAGCCUAANNNNNNNNNNNNNNNNNNNNNNNNNNNNNNNNNNNNNNNNNNNNNNNNNNNNNNNNNNNNNNNNNNNNNNNNNNNNNNNNNNNNNNNNNNNNNNNNNNNNNNNNNNNNNNNNNNNNNNNNNNNNNNNNNNNNNNNNNNNNNNNNNNNNNNNNNNNNNNNNNNNNNNNNNNNNNNNNNNNNNNNNNNNNNNNNNNNNNNNNNNNNNNNNNNNNNNNNNNNNNNNNNNNNNNNNNNNNNNNNNNNNNNNNNNNNNNNNNNNNNNNNNNNNNNNNNNNNNNNNNNNNNNNNNNNNNNNNNNNNNNNNNNNNNNNNNNNNNNNNNNNNNNNNNNNNNNNNNNNNNNNNNNNNNNNNNNNNNNNNNNNNNNNNNNNNNNNNNNNNNNNNNNNNNNNNNNNNNNNNNNNNNNNNNNNNCGUCCGUAAGAUAUGGUUCCCCCUCCCAAUUCCUCAUACAUACAUUGUGGGCGCCAAAUCACCUUCUCCCUGAAAGCUCCCUUCUCCCCAGCUGUGAAACCUCAGCCCCUCCUCCAUGGCGCCCCCCACCGCACAAAAUUCAUCGUUGCCCUCCUCCGCAAUGCCGGAGACGUUGUCCGUUUGUCGUCGUGCACUGGGCCAUGUGCCUCUUACUUUGUGCUGCCGGAGCUGCCUCGACGACGGCCACGUGAACCGUCCCGGAGCCGAUUCACUCCCGCCGUUGUGCACGGUGCAGGAGCGGCUCCAACUUCAGAAGCGUCCAGGGCCCCGGCGCUGCUUCCCCGUAGCCGUCGACCGUCCCGACAUCUCUGCUCUCCUGCCACCGGUAGCCACUCCAAUCGCGCCGGCCUCACUGACUCGGCAGCUGGAGUUGCCCACUUCACCGGGCCGCAAGAUAGGUCGUACACUCAUCUUAAAUCACUUUAUUUAGGCGUCAGUUUGAAUUUUUAUUCUGGGCCAAUCAAUUCCCGAUGGGAAGCAGCACCCCUCGAGGCGACGGAGCUCCUAGGCUGCUGGUUGGCUGGUGUCUAAUGUAAGGGUGCGGGGGCGCAAGUUCACCACGAAAGCAGCGCUUAGGUGGCUAUCUUAGAGUUGUGUGGGUUGAAGGUACUGUCACCGCCGGAUCUGGAUGACGGCGAGUCUUUGUGGAUUAGCUGGGGGCGGCGCAACCACGGCAGUGCGGUGGGGCGGGGAGUGGGGAUUUGGUCGGAGCUCUCGCGGCCAGGGACGGCGGAGGCAGGCUGCUCUGCUAGUGGUCACUAGCUCUUCUGGGAAGAUUCUGAACAGUGUCAGCCGAGAGGCACAAGACGGCCAUCAAGCCAUCCGGCGUAGAUCGGACAGUACCAAAAUAAAAUAAAAUUGUGUGACCCCAAUUUAGUUUUCAGUCAACAGACGUGUGACCACUCUCGUACCUUAUUGUUGAUCUCUUAGGGUAUUUCUUCAGAUCAGAGAUGUGCGUCGUUCUUAACAUUUUGCGUUUUCUGCAUCUUCAGCCACACUGUCUUCCUUCUCACCACAGCUGCUCCAACAAGGGAAGAAUACACCAGAAGGGAGCUAUAGUCCCCACUCAACAGUUCCCUGCAUCGAAUGUGCAUGCCCGACAUGGAUCGCCACAACAAUUGUAGGGCCAUCGACAAGUCAGCACAUGAUGCUCACACCUAUGGAUGGCGGCCAGAUAGGUUGUACCCUCAUCUUACUUGUGUGCAACAUUUAUGGCUUUGUUAUUCAUCUAAGCAUGAAAAAUAGAUUAUCACAUUUCACUGUAUAUUCAUGCUGAUCUCUUAAGAGUCUUGUUCAAGAGUUAACCGUGUUCCAUAGUUCAUAUAAGAGACUUGUUCUUUAGGUAACGUUGUUCCAUAGUUAUCAUCCAUCAGCCAAUGUUAUCCCACAGGCUGGUGAUUAUACCACUUCUAGUAUUACCUAUGUUGUUCUUUAAUACUUUUUUGUGCCAUCUAGUUAAUCUCAAGUACAAACGAUACAUAUUCUGUAGCUUUCAUCUGUGUUCUCCCUUUAGUUUUUGAGACAUGUUGCUGAUAGUUAAGCCUAGUCCUACUAUUUAUGUCGUCUCCUACAGGCACUCAUUACAUAAAUCUAACUACUAUUUGUCUUCCAUGCAUGUCAGAUAUAAUUGCACACACUAAUAUAUCCAGAAGAACCUCACGGAGCAAUGUAACGGCCAACAAACUUGAUGUCGAUGAUACCCACUAUGAUGGAACAUGUAAAGGCAGUUCUUCAGAAGACUUGCAGAAAGAUGCCGAAUCCUAUUCACCCCAACAAACUGUAUGUAUUCCGCUAUCAUACGGUUUUAUAUUCAACUAGUGUUUUUUUACUCUGUUGUCCUGUCGUAUCCCUAGCUCUUACAUCAUACUCCCUCCGGCCGGAUUACAUGUCGCAAAUGGAUAAAAAUGGAUGUAUCUAGAACUGAAAUACGCCUAGACACAUCCAUUUAUUUCCAGAUGGAGGGAAUACAUGUCAAUAUGUCAUGCCUUUCUAUUCUUCAGUACCUAUUCCAUCUCUCUGUCGUAGCAUGUUUUAUAACUGAAGCACCAUUCUUCUAUAUAAGGCAUGCAAGGGGAAGACGGCUAUGUUAGAAUCUGAAGGGUUACAAACAAGGUCUUUGCAAAAGAUCAAAAUGCCAGGAGAUAGUAAACCAACUCCAGUGUUCAUAGAUACUUCUCCAGCACAAAGAAACCCAACUCCUACUGAUAAUAAGCAGAUUCAAGUGACCAAAGAACUAGUCCACUCCAGUCCAGCAAAUAUAUGUCAACUCCAUUCUAAAAAGCAUGUGCAUAUCCUCACAUCAUGAGAUUUUAUAACAUUCAGAUCAUAUUUUCUACAUGUUUCUUACCCAUCUCUCUUUUAGAAAAUAAGAUUAAAUGGUAGAAGACUUUCUAAGCUGGGAUCGUGUUCGGGGAAAGUAUCUUGCGAGAAUUCUCUGUGCUCCAAUUCUGAUGUAAGUAUUUGUUGUAUAUCACUAAAUUUUUACACCAGCAUGUAUUUUGUUAAUUGGCGUGAAUCCAACCUUUAUCUGAUCUAAAUUUACUUGUAGCAAAAUGUAUAAUUAAAGGCGACAAUGUUGAUUUUUGUAAGGAAAACUGCCUGGUAGUUUUGCAUACUGAGCUGCAUGAAUGUACUAUCUCAUAUCAUGCACAUUACUAAAUUGUAGUGUUGUUCUGGUUACCCAAUCAUUCAUUGUGUCAAUGUUGCUUUCCUAUUACCUUACCUGGCUAAUGGUAGCUGUGCCAUAUUGUGUUAAUUUGGUGUAGGCUGGUGUGGUCUAGUUGCCCAAACGUUCGUUGUGUCAAUGUUGCUUUCCUAUUAUCUGACCUGGCCAAUGAUAGCAAUGCUAGCGUGUUAAUUUGGUGCAGGCUGCUGAAGAUAAGAAGACAAACUCUGAAAACAUCAAGGCAACCCCAUUGUUUCUUUCCAACAAAUCUAUGCCAGGUAAUAUGGCAAUAACUCUUGAUUAAUCUGUUCGGUUCCCCUCCUAAUUUAUGUUAUGAUGCAGUGGUCGAGACACUCUCCACUAUCAAUAAUACAAGCCUGCCAAAAUCGCCAUCUGAAUCUGUUGAGUUUCCUCUGUCUCGAAUCCAAGUGAAAAAAUGUAUGUUUGUGAACGAAUUACUGGCUGAAGCAAUCAUGCAAAUUGUAGAGGAAUCAGAGGUGCACAUUCUUGCGCAACAACAACUGAUCAAUGAUUUCGGAGACAGUGUAGCAAAGAAGGAAGAACUUGCUCACAUGCUUAUGGGCGUCAUGAGCGCUGAGGUUGCAGAUUGUGAGGUUGUAGAUCGUUAAGUUCUGCUCAUUUAUUUGCACUGGCAUCAAUCUUUGAUUGCCCAGUGGAUGUAAUUUCAUGUAAUAUAUGCUGGAUGUGCAACGUUUUUCCUUGUAUGCCGUAUGUUUGCUUAGCGUGCCUCGCAUUCUAGCUAACUCAUCGCUAGGAAGGCAAAAAAGCAAUGAAAUUAUUAGUUAGCACGAACAGCCAUGGGCCCUAUACAAAUGAAGCGGCCCACUGCCCGUAAUGGGCUUCCCUAAUGGGCUCGCAUGGGCCAAAAUUCUCAUAGGCCUUUGAUUGAUCGAUUUUUGUCCUGUCCAUAAUUGCUCGUCGUAAUGGGCUAAAAUUAUAGCUGGGCCGGAAUCGACAUUAUCUAAUUGGGCCACCUGACAUGUUCGAACUUUAGCGGGCCCAUUAAGUUAAUGGGCCGUAACCAAGCCGAAAGAACUAUUGGGCCGCUACAAUUGAAAUGAGCCAACAAUUAAUGCUUGGUCAUGUUACCUCCCGGGUCGUUAACAGGCCGACAUCGAAGCAGGUAAUAAGUGGGCCCAUUCGACUUCAAGGGCCAUUAACAGGCUGAUACUAAGGUUGGGCUAUUUAUGGCCCAACUGUAUUUUGGGCCUUUAUCAGGCCGAAAGAGACAACGGGCUCGUACUAGACCAUGAAGAGCAUGGGCCGCUAAGAGGCCGAAAGUGAGGUCGGACUUUAUAUGGCCCAACUGUUUUGUGGGCCUUUAGCAGGCCGAAAGAGAAACUGGGCUGGUAUUGGUCAUGAAGAGCAUGGGCCGUUAAGAGACCAAAACUCAGGUCCAACUGCAAAUGGCCCAACUCAUUUAUGGGCCGUUAAUGGGCUGAAAGACACACCGGGCUGGAAAUUGGCCCAACACUUAAAUGGGUCGCUAAAAGGCCGAUAGACGUACAUCCUGAAAAUUGGCCCAUCCCUUGAAUGGGCCGUUAACAGGUCGAAACCACAUGGGGCCGAUAUUGAGCCCAAAUAUAUAGCGGGCUAUUAACGGGCUCGAACGGACGAUGGGCUGCAAUGGUGUCAAAUAGUUAACGGGUCGUUGAUGGGCCGAAUUGGCACAUCUCGUAUGGGCCGUGGGCUUAAAUGGACCAGACACGAGUAGGCCCUAUAUGGGUCGGCCUGCUAAUUUUGACUGGGCCGGCCUCUUUCACCUAAAUGGGCCACUUUUGGGCCUUGCCACGUGCCAACGUAUCAUAGGUGCCUCCCGUGCAAUGAGUGGAUGACAUCUGUCCCAAUGCUGAGCCGACACGUGGAUCCUCCGGCGAAUGAGAAUUUUACACAUGGAAAAUCCCCAUUGGUUGGGGCUGUUAACGGGUUAUCAGAUCCAAACCGGAACCCGAUAGCUUAAUGGCGACCCGUUACGGUGGAUGCCACAUGUCGGUUACCCUUGACAAAAACACUUCCAUGACGCGCCAUUUAUCGUCAUGGAAGUGGACACUUCCGUGAUGAUAAUUUUGGUAAUGUCAUGGAACACUUCUACAACAGCACAGGUAUGACUAUCUUGAUUCUGUCAUAAAAUCGUCAUGGAUGUACAUGCAUGACAGAAAACGUGACUACUGUGACAAACACGUAUCAUCAUGGAAGUGUUUUUUUGUAGUGCCUUCUCUCUUUUCUCUCUUUUUUUGUUUUUUUGUUUGGGCUUCUUUGGCCUCUUUUAUUUUUUGUAAAGUCCGGAGACUCAUCCCAACUUGUGAGGGAAUCAUAGCUUCCAUCAUCCUUUCCUCACAUGGGACAAUGCUCUAAUAAUGAUGAUCAUCACACUUUUAUUUACUUACAACUCAAGAAUUACAACUCGAUACUAGAACAAAAUAUGACUAUAUGAAUGCCUCUGGCGGUGUACCGGGAUGUGCAAUGAUCAAGAGUGACAUGUAUGAAAAAUAUGAAUGGUGGCCUUGAAUACUAUGCCAACUACAUGAUCAUGCAAAGCAAUAUCACAAUGAUGAUGCGUGUCAUAAUAAACGGAACGGUGGAAGUUGCAUGGCAAUAUAUCUCGGAAUGGCUAUGGAAAUGCCAUAAUAGGUAGGUAUGGUUGCUGUUUUGAGGAAGGUAUAUGGUGGGUUUAAUGCACCAGCGAGAAUUGCAUGGUACUAGAGAGGCUAGCAAAGGUGGAAGGGUGAGAAUGCGUAUAAUCCAUGGACUCAACAUUAGUCAUAAAGAACUCACAUGCUUAUUGCAAAAAAUUAGUAGUUAUCGAAACAAAGUACUAAACGCAUGCUCCUAGGGGGGUAGAUUGGUAGGAAAAGACCAUCGCUCGUCCCCGACCGCCGCUCAUAAGGAAGACAAUAAAUAAAUAAAUCAUGCUCCGACUUCAUCACAUAACGGUUCACCAUACGUGCAUGCUACGGGAAUCACAAACUUUAACACAAGUAUUUCUACCAAUCCACAAUUAUUCACUAGCAUGACUUUAAUAUAACCAUAUUUAUAUCUCAAAACAAAUGCAAGGAAUCAAACGUCUCAUAGUAUUCAAUGCUCUUUAUAUGAAAGUUUUUAUUAUAUCCCUCUUGGAUGCCCAUCAUAUUAGGACUAAAUUCAUAAACUAAACAAAUUACCAUGCUGUUUAGAGGCUCUCAAAAUAAUAUAAGUGAAGCAUUAUAGUUCAACAAUUUCUAUAAAAUAAAGCCACCGUUGUGCUCUAAAAAUAUAUAAGUGAACUACUAGAGCAAAUUGCCUAGCUCAAAAGAUAUAAGUGAAGCACAUAGAGUAUUCUAAUAAAUUCACGAUUAAUGUGUGUCCCUCUCAAAAGGUGUGUACAGAAAGGAUGAUUGUGGCAAACUAAAAAGCAAAUACUCAUAUCAUACAAGACGCUCCAAGCAAAACACAUAUCAUGUGGUGAAUAAAAAUAUAGCCUCAAGUAAAUUUACCGAUGGAUUGAAGACGAAAGAGGGCAUGCAAUUCGGGGCAUCCCCAAGCUUUGAUGCUUGGUUGUCAUUGAAUAUUACCUUGGGGUGCCUUGGGCAUUGCCAAGCUUAGGCUCUUCCCACUCAUUAUUCCAUGGUCCAUCAAAUCUUUACCCAAAACUUGAAAACUUCACAACACAAAACUUAACAGAAAACUCAUGAGAUCCGUUAGUAUAAGAAAAUAAAUCACCACUUUUUGGUACUGUUUUGAACUCAUUCUUUAUUUGUAUCGGUGUAAUAUCUACUGUAUUCCAACUUUCCAUGGUUCAUACCCCCCAAUACUACCCAUAGAUUCAUUAAAAUAAGCAAACAACACAUAGAAAACAGAAUCUGUCAAAAACAGGACAGUCUGUAGCAAUCUGUAAACUUUGUAUACUUAUUUAACUCCAAAAAUAGGACAACAUAGGCUAUUCAUAUAUCAAUCUUGUGUAAAAAAUUCAGGAUUUUAUCACGCUUCAGUGAUUUUUAACAAUUCUGGCAAUGAGCGCAAAUUUUUUUGUUUUUCAGCAAGAUCAAAUCAACGAUAUAUCAAAGUAUCCCAAAGGCUUUACUUGGCUCACACACUAAUUAAAAACACCAAAACACAAUUACUACAGUGGUAAUAAUGUGUAUUCACAUAAAAACAGAAAAGAAAACUAUUGGGUUGUCUCCCAAUCCCAACAAGCACUUUUCUUUAAAGCCUUUUAGCUAGGCGUUGAUAAUUUUAAUGAUGCUCACAUGAAAGAUAACAAUAAAAACAUGAAGAGAGCAUCAUGUAGCAUGUGAAAAACAAGUUUUAGUCUAAAAUAUUUCCUAUGCAAAGGCAUUUUAUAGGGCAAAGAUUUAUCAAGACAAGCAAAAACUAGCAUAUGCAAGGAAGAAGAAAGAACAAUACUAAUCUCAACAUAAUGAGAGGUAAUAUAGUAACAUGAAAAUUUCUACAACCAUAUUUCCCUCUCUCAUAAUAAUUACAUGUGGGAUCAUAUUCAAAUUCAACAAUAUGUCUAUCACAUAACAUAUUUUCUACAUGGUCCACAUGCAUGCAAAGUUGACACUCUUCCAAUAUAGUGGGAUUAUCAUCAAAUAAAGUCAUGACCUCUCCAAGCCCACUUUUAUCAAAAAAAUCAUGAGCUUGAUCAUUCUCUAAAGUAGUGGGAUCAUUAUUACCUAGAGUUGAAACUCUUGCAAACCCACUUUCAAUAUUAUCACAAACAUAUUCGUCAUGAGGCUUAAAUAAAUUUUCAAGAUCAUAAGAAGCAUUAUCACCCCAAUCAUGAUCAUUACAACAAGUAGUGGACAAAUUAGCAUCCCCAAGCUUGGGGUUUUGCAUAUUAUUAGAACAAUUGACAUUAAUAGAAUUUAUAAUAACACCAUUGCAAUCAUGCUUUUCAUUCAAGGAGCUAUCGUGAAUCACUUCAUAAAUUUCUUCUUUUAGCACUUCAUCACAAUUUUCAGAUUCACGAAUUUCAAGCAAAACUCCAUAAAGAUAAUAUAGUGCACUCAACUCACUAGCAGUUGGUUCAUCAUAGUUGGAUCUUUUAAAAAGAUUAGCAAAUGGAUGAGGAUCCAUAAACUCUUUGCUUACUGAUUUUGAAUAAAUACACAAUUAUGCCAAGCAAACAAGCAAACAAACCAAGUAAGACAUAAGGGCAAACGAAAAGACGAACGAAAGAAGGGAGAAUAAGAAGGCAAAAAAAUUUGUAUUUUUUUGAAAAUGUUUUAGAAGUGUGGAAGAGGAAAACAAGAGGCAAAUGGCAAAUAAUGUAGGGAAAAUUUUGUUUUUGCCACUCUAGAUUUUGCCAAUUUUUCUUAUGCCACUCUAGAUUUUGACAUUUCACUUUUGCAACUCUUAGAUUUUGAGAAUUAUCACAAUUGCCAUUCUAUGGCAAAAGCAAAAUAAUUUUAUUUUAUAUUUGCCACUCUCAAUUUUUGACAAUUAUCACAAUUGCCAUUCUAUGGCAAAAGCAAAAUAAUUUUAUUUUAUAUUUGCCACUCUUAGUUUUUGACAAUUAUCACAAUUGGCACUCUGAAAAUUUUGCUUUUGCCAUGGGAAUGGCAAUUAUGAUAAUUGUCAAAAACUAAGAGUGGCAAAAGUGAAAUGUCAAAAUCUAGAGUGGCAUAAGGAAAAUUAGCAAAAUCUAGAGUGGCAAAAACAAAAUUUUCCCAAUAAUGUAAUGCAAGAGAUGAGAGUUUAUGGUGGGUGAGGGAGUCCUGGACUAAGGGAUCCUCGGGCGUCCGGCCUGUUAUCCAUGGGCCAGACUGAUGGGCUGUGAAGAUACGAAGGCCGAAGACAAUACCCGUGUCCGGAUUGGACUCUACUUGGCAUGGAAGGCAAGCUAGGAGACCUAUUAUGAAGAUUCUCUCCUAUGUAACCAACCUCAUGUAACCCUAGAUCUCUCCGGUGUCUAUAUAAACCGGAGAGCAUAGUCCGGAUAGGACAAAUUCAUUACCAUAUAUUCAUAGGCUAGACUUCUAGGGUUUAGCCAUUACGAUCUCAUGGUAGAUCAACUCUUGUAACACUCAUAUUCAUCAAGAUCAAUCAAGCAGGAAGUAGGGUAUUACCUCCAUAGAGAGGGCCCGAACCUGGGUAAACAUUGUGUCCCCCGUCUCCUGUUACCAUCGAUCCUAGACGCACAGUUCGGGACCCCCUACCCGAGAUCCGCCGGUUUUGACACCGACAUUGGUGCUUUCAUUGAGAGUUCCACUGUGCCGUCACCAAGAGGGUUGAUGGCUCGCCUUGUUGUCAAGGAUAAUAUCAUCUCCGGAGGAGUCCUGACCCCAGGCCAGACCCUCCGGCUCGGCAGCUUCGUUAUGACCGCCGGCUCGGCCCUUAAGCCGACGAUGACCUCUCAAGUCAUCGAAAAUCGCCUCCGCAUUGAUCCCGAAUACUCCGCCUGCAUGGAUCCAAUGGAGUUAUCCUCGUUGAACGAACUCCUAGAUCGCAUGGCCGCCUUGGGGGUCGCUACAGACUACGAUCGGGUUGGGCUUAAACCCGACCAGAGAGAAAUUAAAACUCCACCGACCACUCAUCAGAUAGCGGUAGUCGAGGAGCGGAGCAACUCUUCCACUAUAUUGAAGACGAACUAUGUUCGGAUCACCGAUCUCGAAGAGCCGGAUAAUGUCCGGCAGAAAAGUAUGUCUCUUCUUCCGAACAUAGAGUCGGAUGACGAGCCUAAAAAAUCAGUAGAUAUCCCGGGGCCCGAACUGUCCGGCACAGUAGACAUCCAAAUUUCACCCACCCACCCGGACAUAGAUACUCUGAGGAGCAUCAAACAAUAGCCUCAGGAAACAGUCCACCACUUCUAGGCCAGAUUCCUCCUUGUUAAAAGUAAGGUAAAAGACUGCCACGACGAAGACGCGAUAGCAGCAUUCUCCAACAACUGCGCGGACGAAGGUAUCCUUAACGCCAUCAAUCGCCGCCGCAUACCAAAGUUCGCUGACCUAGCGACUAUCGUACAAAAGUACAGCGCGAUGGAAAGCGCCUGGAAAGCUCAGGCGGCUUGCUGGGAACCAUCCCGGCUCCCCCUACAGGCAAAAAGGACGCGCCCCCGUGGCACGCCCAGCCGAACAGUCAAAAAACAUAAACCUAUUACGUUGCAUGGCACCGUUCUGGAGGGAUGGCUCAGUGGCCCAUGCAAAAUACACACGAGGCCGGAUACCGUGGCAACCCACAGCCAUAGAGCAUGUUGGAUACUCCGGCAGGUAGCCAAGAGCGGCGAGGACAUCCUUAUCAAGGACACCCCAGAACAACACCCUCCAGCAAAUGACGAUAAUAGAGUAUUGGCAGUCUUCGAGACAUUCGCUUCAAACAACAAGCAUAAAAGGGCCCUGCGCGAUCUCACCGAAGUUUGCCAGGUCGCUGCAAUUGACCCCUGGAAUGACACGGCCAUAACCUUCAACGCCAAUGACGAACCUAAAUACAGAACAGUCCGAGCGCCAGCUACCCUAGUCCUCAGUCCCAUCGUGGACGGCUUUCGACUUACAAAAGUCCUCAUGGACGGCGGCAACGGAUUAAACCUCAUUUACGAGGACACGCUCCACAAGAUGGAAAUAGACAGGAGCCGCAUCGAGAAAAGCAGCACAACCUUUCGAGGUAUCAUUCCCAGCCGAGAAGCUCGGUGUGCAGGAAAAAUUACACUUGAUGUGGUAUUCGGCAUGCCGGAGAAUUAUCGGUCCGAAGAAAUAACCUUCCAGGUGGCCCCUUUCAACAGUGGGCACCACGCCCUAUUAGGGCGAGAGGCCUUCAUGCGCUUUCAAGCCAUACCUCAUUAUGGGUAUAUGAAGCUAAAAAUGCCCGGGCCUAAUGGAAUAAUCACCCUCGUUAGCAAUCCGGACAUAGCCCUCCACGCCGAGAAUAAAACCGCAUCCUUGGCCCUCGAGGCAUUGUCUGAGGCCCUUGCGGCCGAAGAACUAACCGCACUACGCUCCACCAUGGAUAAGGACGAUGUGAUCCUGGACAAACGACCCAAAUCCACUUCCUUCAAGCCAGUAGAAGAAAUAGUCAAAUUUCAGGUCCAUCCAACAGACCCGAAGAAGACAGCGUCCAUCGGAGCGCAACUCAGCCCCGCAGUCGACGCCGCACUACGAGACUUCCUGCGCGAAAACUAGGAUAUAUUCGCCUGGCAUCCUUCUGAUAUGCCAGGAAUCCCGCGCAAGUUGGCCGAACAUAGCCUCAACAUACUAAAGGGAUAUAAGCCGGUCAAGCAAACUCUGCGGCGCUUUUCUGAACCCAAACAACAAGCUAUGGGGGAGGAGCUAGCCAAACUCAUCGAGGCCGGAUUCAUCAAAGAUAUCAAACAUCCGGACUGGCUGGCAAACUUGGUAAUGGUACCAAAGAAGGAUAAAUCCUGGUGCCUAUGCGUCGAUUUCAAAGACCUUAACAAGGCUUGCCUUAAGGAUCCCUUCCCUCUUCCCCGCAUCGAUCAAAUCAUUGACGCUACCACAGGUCACGACUCGCUGUGCUUCCUUGAUGCAUAUUCCGGAUACCAUCAAAUCAAAAUGAAGGAGUUCGAUCAAGCCGCAACAGCAUUUAUCACGCCAUACGGGCCGUUCUGCUUCAACACCAUGCCUUCCGGGCUCAAGAACGCCGGCGCCACCUACCAGCGCAUGAUCCAAACAUGCCUCGAGAAACAGAUCGGCAAAACAGUGGAGGCCUACGUGGACGACAUCGUCAUCAAAACUAGACACGUCGAAACACUAAUAGACGACUUGCGUCUCACAUUCAACAACCUCCGCACAUACGACAUCAAGCUUAACCCGGAAAAGUGCGUCUUCGGCGUCCCCGCCGGUAAGCUGUUGGGCUUCAUCGUUUCCAAUAGAGGAAUUGAAGCAAAUCCAGCCAAAAUCCGAGCUCUGUCACAACUGGCUACGCCAACCGAACUCAAGCAGGUCCAAAAACUCGCUGGGUGCGUGGCAGCUUUAAGCCGCUUUAUCUCCAGGUUGGGAGAAAAGGCGCUGCCGUUCUAUCGCCUUCUACGGCGCACCGAUAACUUCGAGUGGACAGAUGCGGCGACGGCCGGACUGGAAGAAAUAAAAUCCCUUCUGGCAAGCAACCCAAUCCUGGCCGCGCCAAACGCCGGCGAACCAAUGCUCUUAUACAUAUCAGCAACACACCAGGUGGUGAGCGCCGUACUCGUCGUUGAACGAGAACAGGACGGACACAAAUUCCCGCUCCAGAAGCCGGUAUACUACGUAUCCACUGUCCUCACACCAUGCAAAUCCCAGUACCCUCAUUAUCGAAAAAAGCAUAUGCAGUCUUCAUGGCAUCCCGAAAAUUGCGACACUACUUUCAGGAGUGCUCUAUCACGGUGGCCUCCGAAGUGCCCCUCAAUGAUAUAAUUAACAACAGGGAUGCAACGGGCCGGAUUACCAAAUGGGCUAUUGAGCUCCUGCCAUUCGACAUCACGUACAAACCACGUAGAGCCAUCGAAUCCCAGGUACUGGCCGACUUCGUCACCGAAUGGACAGAAGCCGAACUCCCUAAAGAGUACGGCGCGUAUUCCAACUGGGUGAUGCAUUUUGACGGCUCCAAGAUGUUGGCAGGGCUAGGGACGGGCAUCGUAUUAACGUCCUCCACAGGAGAUAUUGUCCAGUACGUACUCCAAAUAUUAUACACAGACUCCAACAACGCAGCCGAAUACGAGGCCUUGCUACAUGGCCUUCGGAUGGCCGUAUCAAUGGGCAUACAACGCCUGGAGGUGCGCGGGGACUCAAACCUCGCAAUAUCCCAAAUUAAUGGAGACUUUGACGCCAAAGAUCCAAAGAUGGCAGCUUAUCGCAAUGCCGUUUUGAAGAUGUCGGCUUGGUUCGAGGGACUCGAAUUUCAUCACAUCGCCCGCGAAAGCAACCAGGUGGCAGACGUCCUUGCUCGCAUCGGCGCUAAGCGCGACCCCGUCCCACCUAACAUCUUCCUUGAAAGACUCUUUAAGCCAUCCGUGGUAUGGCAAGGGGGAGAUAGCAACGACAGUCCCGUUCCGAACACAAACACAGAUAACGAACACGCCGAUAGCGUCGGAGGCUCAACCACCGAAGUAACACCGUCGGCCCACCUCAUUAUGGCAGUAAUUGCCCCGUGGACCGAACCUUUCUUGGCCUACUUUCAUAGGAAGGAGCUCCCAGAAGAUCAGAACGAGGCUCGCCGCAUAGUCCGGCGUUCGAAGGCCUAUAAAGUCCACGAAGGAGAGCUCUACAAGAAAAGCACUACCGGAGUCCUUCAAAGGUGUAUCUCCGAGGAGGAGGGGCGGCAAAUCUUGGCAGAAAUUCACGCCGGUCUUGGUGGGCACCACGCCGCACCACGGGCACUUGUCAGCAAGGCCUUCCGUACAGGAUUUUACUGGCCUACGGCCCGGGCAGACGCACAGGACCUCGUCCACCGCUGUGUCGGAUGCCAACUCUUCGCCAACCAAAGCCAUAUGCCCCCAACCGCUCUACAAACAAUCCCCAUUACAUGGCCCUUUGCGGUCUGGGGCUUGGACAUGGUCGGACCCCUUAAAGGGGGAAGCCAUAAGAAAAAAUAUCUGCUGGUCAUGGUGGACAAAUUCACCAAGUGGAUAGAGGCUAGACCAGUUAAAAUGGCUGAGUCCGGACCGGUGAUCGCAUUUAUAUCCGACGUGGUACACCGUUAUGGUGUACCGCACAGCAUCAUCACCGAUAACGGUUCGAAUUUCAUAGCUGAUGAGGUGAAAAACUGGUGUGCUAAUCUGGGCAUUAAGCUCGAUUACGCCUGUCUACCACCCGCAAACAAACGGUCAAGUCGAGCGAGCUAAUGGUCUUAUUAUGAGCGGCAUCAAACCCAGACUAGUGUGGUCUUUGAAAGAAUCAGACAAACACUGGGUCGAGGAGCUCGACUCCAUACUCUGGGGGCUGCGGACCACGCCCAACCGCACUACCGAAUACACACCUUUCUUCAUGGUGUACGACGCAGAGGCUGUAUUGCCCUGCGAUAUUAUACAUGACUCACCUCGAGUGCGCAUGUAUGAAGAGAAAGAGGCCGAGUUGGAUCGGCAGGACAGCCUAGACGCCCUGGAGGAGGAGCGUGACGUCGCCAAAGCUCUUUCAGCAUUUUAUCAGCAGCAGGCUCGAAGAUAUCAAAGUAGAGAAGUACGGGCCAAGACUUACAACGUCGGCGAAUUCGUUUUACGCUUGCCGGAGAAGAAAAAGGACAAACUCAAGCCCAAAUGGGAGGGUCCCUUCAUAAUUGACGAAGUUCUUACCGGAGGAGCCUACCGUCUUCGCGACGCAUCAGACAAUCGCCUAGAGCCAAACCCCUGGAACGCGGCCAGACUCCGAAGGUUCUAUGCCUAGCGCCGAACCCUUUGUUAGUCUCCUUCUCCCUUGUAGUUUCCAUAACUCUUUCCCCCUUUUUACACAAUUUUUUCGCUUUAAAGCUCUCAUUCGGCUCGACCGAACAGUGCUGACGUACACUUUUUUACAUACGUACGCCCAUUAUACCUGGGGGCUUCUUUCACAGAAGUUUGUUAAUAUUACUUUCCGAAGCAUCAAGCUUAUCAUACAUACGCGUUUUUCCCGUACGUCUUUUUCUUCACCAUUAUAUGCAUCGAUAUGACUUAAGUUUUGGCCAAGCUAGGUUGCCUAGCUCCUAUGCUUACCCCUACGUUCCCGAUUGUUCGGCUAGGUGGUAAAGGGAGCACCUCUACGAUUGUUACUGUCGGGUCAUCCGGAUGUGUACCUCAGACUGGGUGAAGCCGAAAGCUAGCGUUCUUAAGGGAAUAUUCGGUCGGUGGAUGAAAAAUAUUUUUUCAAAUCACUCCAUUGUGAACCCCCAGACGCUAUACACACUGUGAUUUUCACAUCACAAUCCAGACAUGUCUACUAAUGCAUGCGCACCCAGGGAAAGGAACCUUUAACGGAACUAUUCUCCCCGGAAGAUGUUUCUUACAAUCUCAAUGUAAUAUAACAUACCUAGCCGGAUACAACUUGUCUGUUCAAGCAACUAUGACCCCUACGCUUAGUUUUCCACGCAUACCCUGGCCUAUUCGACCGUGACGGUAUUCGGAAACACUCCGCACCUUCGGAUCCGGAGGUUGAAGCGAAAAGGUCUGCCAUGACAAAUGAUAUACAAUUCGGCUAGAAAUUCCACAUAGAGAGGAAAGUACAUAGUCACUUGGACUCACAGACUUCUGCCUCUAUACCAUCUAACAGGCAAUCUAAUUUACAAUCCUGCUGGGAAUAUCUGGCGGUCACCUCUACUUGGUCAUAUACUAAACUAACGGGAAUUUCUUCCCCAUUCGACCCUACCAGUCCGACACGCGCCAUGUGAUUAGGGUCAAGCUUGGUAUACCGAGUUUUCACCAUGGCCCAAGCCUCUCGCGCACCCUCUCGGCAGGCAGAUAUCUUCCAUAGCCGGAUACGUCGCCGCGCUCCUUUAAACAGCUCUACAAGCUCCUCCAUACUUCCUGGAGGGGAGGCGGAUGGCCAUAGAGCCUUGGCAACACUCCGCAUCGCCAGCCGCGCCUGUUCGUGCACCUGCGACAGCUUUUGCAGCAGAUCACUCGAUGAUCCGGACACCUCCUCUUCAGGACGGCCCGUUAAUAUACCUGCAGUCAUAGCUACAUCAGUUUCUCCCAUCUCUGAACUACUUUCAAAAUAGCUCAGAUACAUACUGAAUAUACCGCCUCGCAGCUUCUUGUUUUCCUUCACGGAAUCGGCUAGCUGGGCCCGCACAUCUUUCAGCUUUUCGCCUAGCUGGGUCUUGCAAUCCUGGAGCUGUUUUUUCUCAAUAAUGGCCUGCUUCAGCACACGAUCGCUUGUAGCUUGUAGCCUUUUGGCUUCUUGCUCAUUCGCUUGCGCAAUCUCCAACGCCUCUUUGAGUCCCCCUGACCAUUAUGUCAUGGUAUAAGCAAGACUGUCAAUAUUCUGGGCAUAUAAGUAUAUUUUCUCGUUGGAGGGGAAUAUUACCAGGUGACGCCUUCUUGAACUCUUUUAGUUCGGCGGUAGCAGCAUUUAGAUGCGUCCGACAUUGUUCCAGCUCUUGGGAUAGCAGGUUGUUCUUCUCUGUAAGAACCUGGUCAUACAACGGUCCAUAAAUCAGUUGUACCAACUGCUUUCAGUCCUGGGGGCUACUGGCAUAGGCUAUCCUUUUUGACAAAGUAACCUUACCUGCACAUCUGUUAGAUAUUGCCUCGUGGCUUUCCUAAGCCCGUCUCGAGCAGCUCGGAUGUAUGCGUCGCCCGAGCUAAAGGCAUUAAAUGCCUUGUCCGAGAACGUCGAGUCUCGUAAAGCAGCCCUGCAGCACCGAUGAUUCAUGGCGCUCUCUACUUCCGAGUUGGUAACGGACAUAUUGUCCGAACCCUCGGCCGAAGGGCAGUCCGGCUUUGUUUCUACAUCGGCCACCGUCUCCCCGACCGGAUCUAAAUCUUGGUGGUUGGGAACGCGGCCGGCCGGACCCCCGGACACAGUUCGGCGAACCUUUUUCCUGUAAUCGAACAGGCGCAUAAGUCACGAGGUCCCGGCGGUGCUUUCAUCGGCCCUCCUCUUCGAAGGCCUGCCCGGUGCAGGAACCGAUUUUCUCGGUAUCGUCAAACGCCUCCCCUGUAAAACGCGCGACAAUGCGGUGGGUGAAGCAGAGUAAGAACACCCUUUCAGAAAAGGUGUUUCUUGAUUACUUACCCGUGAAGCAGGAAGAAGACCAGGAUAAUCGGCGAUGAUGGCUACUUUCGUGCCAUCAUAGCUCGUCUGGUAAAACAACCCCUCCGCGAGCACCACAAAUAUAUCCGGAUCCUCUUCGAACCCGGGAUCAAGCUCCCGGUUGUGGUCCUCCGGCUGUGGGGCGGGGCUAUGGAAUCCCUCGGUGACCUUUCGCCAGUGCUGUCGUAAGCAAACAAACUAGAAAUUUAUCAAAGGCAAUUCGGAGAUGGAGGGAGUAAAAACAGAGGGAUCGGACCUUACCCAACUGGGAGGGUUAUACAUAGAGUACCCGUCUCUGAGCUUGAUGCGAAGAAAUUCCUUUUCCUCCCCUUUGAACAGUUCGGCUAAUAUCUUAGCCAAAGCGGCAGGGGUAUCCGGACCUUUCCGGCCACAGCGAGAGGCGUCAUCCUCCCCAUUGUAGUCCCACAUGGGAAGCCCUCUGUAUUGGAGCGGCUGAACCCCUCGCGCUAUGGAGAUCACCAUCACCUUGAUUACUGUGGGCCCGGACUGAGCGAGUUCUUUUAUCUUGCUCAUUAGCUGACGAACCUCCGCGUCGUCUCCUUCUUCAAGACUCCGGGGACGCCAACUGUGGCGUUUCUUCAGCGGGACGACCGCAAAUUCGGGAAGGCCCUUUCGAACCGGAUCAGGAAGCGGAACGUCCUCGAUAUAGAACCAUUAGGAGGGCCAGCCAUCGGGUGCCUUCCUUGAUGUGCCGGAUGGAUAUCCGGUAUCGGCGACGCGCCAUACUUCGGCUCUGCCCACUUCAAAAAUAGACCCUUCGUGAUUGCGCGGGACGAGGCAGAACAACUUCCUCCACAACUCGAAAUGAGCCUCGACGCCCAGGAAUAAUUCACACAAAGCGAUGUAACCCACAAUGUGGAGAAUGGAGGCUGGAGUGAAAUUGUGCAGUUGGAGGCCGUACUACUCCAGAAGCCCUCGGAGGAACGGAUGGAUUGGAAAUCCAACACCUCUUAGCAGGUAGGGGACGAAACACACUCGCUCUCCCCCAGACGGAUUGGGGAAGUCCUCUGCCUGAGCCCCCUCAUUGAAGGAAGCUAGCCCCGUCCGAACAGGGACUAGAUCUGCAGGGGGAAGGAAUCCCUGCAUUUGCAACUUCGUCAACUGGCUAUGGGGCACAGAACACCUCUCUCACUCGCCUUUCUCUGGGCUGAGAUGAGCGGAGGAGCUAGGAACGCUGGCCAUGCUGGAAUGGUCUCUCCUAAGCGGUCUCUAGAGAUUUCUUCUGCGUGGCGCUGAAUGGAUCUAGAUCUAAUCCCUUUAAAUAGGCGCCCUUCCUUACGUAGAGGGGGUGUUAUUCGCAGAAAUGCCCUGACUUUCCACAUUCGCUUGACACGUGGAGGAUGAAGAUUAUUUAAAAUGCAUGGAAGCCGAGGAGGCGACAUUGGAUCAAUGGCCGAAUACAUUACUUGGAGAUCAUCGAAGGAGGAACCCGCCUUGCAAUGCCGAAGACCAUGAGCGUGCCGAGCACCUCGCUAUUGAAGACUGGUUCGGGGGCUACUGAGGGAGUCCUGGACUAAGGGGUCCUCGGGCGUCCGGCCUGUUAUCCAUGGGCCGGACUGAUGGGCUGUGAAGAUACGAAGGCCGAAGACAAUACCCGUGUCCGGAUUGGACUCUACUUGGCGUGGAAGGCAAGCUAGGCGACCUAUUAUGAAGAUUCUCUCCUAUGUAACCGACCUCAUGUAACCCUAGAUCUCUCCGGUGUCUAUAUAAACCGGAGAGCAUAGUCCGGAUAGGACAGAUUCAUUACCAUAUACUCAUAGGCUAGACUUCUAGGGUUUAGCCAUUACGAUCUCGUGGUAGAUCAACUCUUGUAACACUCAUAUUCAUCAAGAUCAAUCAAGCAGGAAGUAGGGUAUUACCUCCAUAGGGAGGGCCUGAACCUGGGUAAACAUUGUGUCCCCCGUCUCCUGUUACCAUCGAUCCUAGAUGCACAGUUCGGGACCCCGUACCCGAGAUCCGCCGGUUUUGACACCGACAGUGGGUACUUGGUAGGCUUGAUGUAGAACCUCCCCAGCAACGGCGCCAGAAAUUCUUCCUGCUACUUCUUGAGCUUGCGUUGGUUUUUCCCUUGAAGAGGAAAGGGUGAUGCAGCAAAGUAGAGACAAGUAUUUCCCUCAGUUUGAGAAUCAAGGUAUCAAUCCAGUAGGAGGUACACGCAAGUCUCCAAUCUAUGCACCUGCACAAACAAUCAAACACUUGCACCCAACGCGAUAAAGGGGUUGUCAAUCCCUUCACAGUCACUUGCAAAGGUGAGAUCUGAUAGAGAUAGAUAUAAAAGAUUACUAAAACGUAAACCAAAAUAAAAGUAAAUAAAUUGCAGCAAGGUAUUUUUGGGUUUUUUGGUUUAUAGAUCUGAAAAUAUAUGAUGGAAAAUAGACCCGGGGGCCAGAGGUUUCACUAGAGGCUUCUCUCUUGAAACAAAAUAAUACGGUGGGUGAAAAAAUUACUGUCGGGCAACUGAUAGAAAAGCGCAAAGUUAUGACGAUAUCCAAGGCAAUGAUUAUGAAUAUAGGCAUCACGUCUGUGUCAAGUAGACCGAAACGAUUAUGCAUCUACUACUAUUACUCCACACAUCGACCGCUAUCCAGCAUGGAUCUAGAGUAUUAAGUUCAUAAGAACGGAGUAACGCCUUAAGUAAGAUGACAUGAUGUAAGAUGACAUGAUGUAGAGGGAUAAACUCAAGCAAUAUGAUGAAAACCCCAUCUUUUUACCCUUGAUGGCAAUAAUACAAAUACGUGUCUCGCUACCACUACUUUGUCACUAGGUGAGGAGAACGCAAGAUUGAACCCAAAACUAAGCACCUCUCCCAUUGCAAGAAGAACCAAUCUAGUUGGCCAAACCAAACCGAUAAUUCAAAGAGAAAUACAAAGAUAUCAAAUCAUGCAUAUAAGAAUUCAGAGAAGAUUCAAAUCAUAUUCAUAGAUAAACUGAUCAUAAAUCCACAAUUCAACGGAUCUCGACAAACACAUCGCAAAAGAAUAUUACAUCAGAUAGAUCUCCAAGAACAUCGAGGAGAACAUUGUAUUAAGGAUCAAAGAGAGAGAAGAAGCCAUCUAUCUACUAGUUAUGGACCCGUAGGUCUGUGGUAAUGACUCACCCUUCAUCGGAAGGGCGAUAGAGUUGAUGUAGAAGCCCUCCGUGAUCGAAUCCCCCUCCGACAGGGUGCCGGAAAAGGCCCCAAGAUGGGAUCUCAUGGGUACAGAAGGUUAUGGCAGCAGAAAAGUAUUUUGGUGGACGCUUCUGGUUGUUUGGGAAUAUUUGGGAAUUUAUAGAGCAAAAAUUAGGGUUGGGGUGUCCCAUGGGGCCCACAAGCCAGGGGCGCACCCUGAGGGCUUGUGGAGCCCUCGGGACUCUUCUGGCCCCCUCUCCAAGUUUGCUGGGUGUCUUCUGGUCCAAGAAAAAUCAUCGCGAAAGUUCAUUCCAUUUGGACUCCGUUUGAUAUUUCUUUUUUGUAAAACUCAAAAACAAGGAAAAAAACAGAAACUGGCACUAGGCUCUGGGUUAAUAAGUUAGUCCCAAAAUUAAUAUAAAAUAGCAUAUUAAUGCAUAUAAAACAUCCAAUACAAAUAAUAUAAUAGCAUGGAACAAUAAAAAUUUAUAGAUACAUUGGAGACGUAUCACUUCUCCACUACCAAAUGCUCCUUGAGCUCCUGGCUAUAUUGCGUGCACCAUGGCCUAGGGCGGUGAUUAUUUGGAGGAUGGGUCGGUGAUUUGGGUGCAAGGUGUCGUGCUGACGGUCGAGGCAUGUGGGAUGGAGAAGGAGGAGGAGGAUGGGGCUUGAGUGUGGAUUACCUGACUAGAUCGACGAGGCCGAGCAGUAGGAAGGAGCGUCACCGGUAAGGAGGCACCGCUGCAAGCAAGCGGUGAAGGUUUUAACUUGGAAAGGAAGGCGGAAACAGGGGAAAUGUGGCUUUUGGUGAGGAGGAGGGGGUACGUAUUUCCGUGAAUGCUGAAAUUUUUCGUUCGGUGUAGCGAAAAAUUGGUGCGCAAAGUGUCAUCAGACACGGCCCUUUAUUCAACACUGUGUACGAUAUCUGAACAUCACAAACGAUUAAUAUGGCUUACCCUGUGUGUGAUGAGUUUGAAUGAGCAAAUUUUGGUUCGAAUUUCCCUUGUUACAGUGGUCAUCCACGUCAUUGCAUAAUUUGGGUACACAAAAGAGCCUACAACACACCCACACUUCUUAAUCGAGCAAGUUUAGCAAUUAAACAGAGCUAGCUGACCUAAAAAUUACUCUAACAAAAUACCGGCACUCUAAACAAAGACUACUACUCCGCCUGGCGCUCAUCGAUCACCGUCGCCUCCUCCGUGUCUAGCUCGUUCUCGACGAUCUCCUCGGGAAGGGGCAAAAUGGCAUCCAUCCUAACAUACUCAAGCAUCUCGCCAUCUGAUGACCCACAAGUAUAGGGGAUCAAUCGUAGUCCUUUCUAUAAGUAAGAGUGUUGAACCCAACGAGGAGCACAAGGAAAUGACAAGUGGUUUUCAGCAAGCUGAUCUCUGCAAGUACUGAAAGUAGUGGUAACAAAUAGUUUUGUAGCAAGGUUAUUUAUAACAAGUAACAAUAGUAACCAAGGGGCAGCAAGGUGGCCCAAUCCUCUUUAUAGCAAAGGACAAGCCAAAAAGUUCUCUUAUAGUAAGCAAAGCAUUCUCGAGGACACAUGGGAAUUCUCGUCUAGUCACGUUCAUCAUGUUUAGUUGAUUCACGUUUGUUACUUUGAUAAUUUGAUAUGUGGGUGAACCGGUGCUAGUGUUGUUCAUACUUGAACAAGCAAACCUCUUAUCAUUACCCCCCCUCGCAAGCAUCCGCAACUAUGAAAGAAGAAUUAAGAUAAAUCUAACCAUAACAUGAAACAUAUGGAUCCAAAUCAACCCCUUACGGAAUAACGCAUAAAUUAGGAUUUAAGCUUAUGUCACUCUCGCAACCCAUAUCUACUUAUUACUCUCCAAUGCCCUCCCUUAGGCCCAAGUAUGGUGAAGUGUCAUGUAGUCUACGUUCACAUGACACCACUAAAGGAAGAAUGAUAUGUCUCCGUCGUAUCUACUUUUCCAAACACUUUUGCCCUUGUUUUGGACUCUAACUUGCAUGAUUUGAAUGGAACUAACCCGGACUGACGCUGUUUUCAGCAGACUUUCCAUGGUGUUAUUUAUGUGCAGAAACAAAAGUUCUCGGAAUGACCUGAAACUCCAUGGAACAUCUAUUUGGAAAAUAAGAAAAAUACCGGAAGAAAAAUCCACGUCAGGGGGCCCACACCCUGCCCACGAGGGUGGGGGGCGCGCCUGCCCCCUAGGGCGCGCCCCCCUACCUCGUGGGCCCCCUGACGCUCCACCGACCUCAACUCCAAUCAGAGAGAAGGAUUCAUCGCAUUUUACGAUACGGAGCCGCCGCCAAGCCCUAAAACCUCUCGGGAGGGCUGAUCUGGAGUCCGUUCGGGGCUCCGGAGAGGGGGAUUCGUCGCCGUCCUCAUCAUCAACCAUCCCCCAUCACCAAUUUCAUGAUGCUCACUGCCGUGCGUGAGUAAUUCCAUCGUAGGCUUGCUGGACGGUGAUGGGUUGGAUGAGAUCUAUCAUGUAAUCGAGUUAGUUUUGUUAGGGUUUGAUCCCUAGUAUCCACUAUGUUCUGAGAUUGAUGUUGCUAUGACUUUGCUAUGCUUAAUGCUUGUCACUAGGGCCCGAGUGCCAUGAUUUCAGAUCUGAACCUAUUGUGUUUUCAUGAAUAUAUGUGUGUUCUUGAUCCUAUCUUGCAUAGUCACCUACUAUGUGUUAUGAUCCGGCAACCCCAAAGUGACAAUAAUCGGGACCACUCCCGGUGAUGACCAUAGUUUGAGGAGUUCAUGUAUUCACUAUGUGCUAAUGCUUUGUUCCGGUACUCUAUUAAAAGGAGGCCUUAAUAUCCCUUAGUUUCUGCUAGGACCCCGCUGCCACGGGAGGGUAGGACAAAAGAUGUCAUGCAAGUUCUUUUCCAUAAGCAUGUAUGACUAUAUUCGGAAUACAUGCCUACCUUACAUUGAUGAAUUGGAGCUAGUUCUGUGUCACCCUAUGUUAUGAUUGUUACAUGAUGAAUCGCAUCCGGCAUAAUUCUCCAUCACCGAUCCAAUGCCUACGAGCUUUUCAUAUAUUGUUCUUCGCUUAUUUACUUUUCCGUUGCUGUUGUUACAAUCACUACAAAACACCAAAAAUAUUACUUUUGCUACCGUUACCACUACUAUCAUAUUACUUUGCUACUAAAUACUUUGCUGCAGAUACUAAGUUAUCCAGGUGUGGUUGAAUUGACAACUCAACUGCUAAUACUUGAGAAUAUUCUUUGGCUCCCCUUGUGUCGGAUCAAUAAAUUUGGGUUGAAUACUCUACCCUCGAAAACUGUUGCGAUCCCCUAUACUUGUGGGUUAUCAAAGAACAAUAUACAUAUCAUUAGAAUAUCGAACGAAGAGCAACUUCACAUGAUUACUUAUAACAAGACUUCUUCCAUGUCCUCAAGAACAAAAGUAACUACUCACAAACCAUAUUCAUGUUCAAGAUCAGAGGUGUAUUGAAUAUGCUUAAGGAUUUGAACAUUUAAUCUUCAACCAAAUAAACCAACUAGCAUCAACUUCAAGAUGUAAUCAACACUACUAGCAACCCACAGAUACCAAUCUGAGGUUUUGGGAAAAAGAUUGAAUACAAGAGAUGAACUAGGGUUUGAGACGAGAUGGUGUUGGUGAAGAUGUUGAUGAAGAUUGGCCCUCCCAUGAUGAGAGGAUCAUUGGUGAUGUCGAUGGAUUUGAUUUCCCACUCCCGGAGGGAAGUAUCCCCGACGGAAUCGCUCCACUAGAGAGCAAAAGUGCUCCUGCCCAGGUUCCGCCUCGAGACGACAACUCUUCGUCCCAAAAGUCUUCUUUUGAUUUUUCUCCAGGGAAAAUAGCAUCAUAUAGGAGAAGAUAGACCCCAGAGGCCUGUUGGUCGGGUUACGAGCUUACUAGACGUGCCCCGGGAGGGCGCCCUUGAGCUCGUGAUAUCUGGUGGGCCCCCUCCUGGCAUUUCUUCCUGUCAGGACCCCGAUCCUAAGUAACACUGAUCUACCAUAUAACACAUCAUAUCACUUUGCGGCAUCAUGCACGGUAACUGUCGGGGAUAUACCCCCGCGGUAUAACCCGGCCGGAUGUAUGACCCGGCCGGAGCUUGGCGACUCACUGGUGACCCGCCCGGAGCUUGGCGACUCACGGGUAACCCGCCCGAGCUUUGUGACUCAUUGGUAACCCGGCGGGCGGGUCAGAUGGGCGACAAGACCCAACGGCCCAUAAGGCGGCUCAUGGGAAGGCUGACUCAUGUUAUUGUGGGCCUGCUUAAGAGGAAAUGAUAAGGAGUAUUCCCUUACAAAGGAAGCAAGACUAGGAUUCUACUUGUAAUAGAGUAGUCCUAGUCCUACUAGGACUCCACAUGUAACCCGCCCCUCCAACUUAUAUAAGGCCAACUCCACCGCGCGACCCCAAACGGACGUCCGCUUUGCCCGGAUUCAAUCCGUUUGGAUAGGGCAAUGGGGUCGUGUCCGGGCCUGUCCUGGGAUGCGGUGGCCGUGCGCCCGGCGCGCGGCCGCAUCCUUUGGCCCCAUCCUGUCCGCCACUGCCAAAAAUGCCCAUAUAUUCAUAUCAAAACAAGUUUGCACGUCCAAAUAUUAAUUGUCUCGAAAUAAAAAUAGUUUUACAAUCUAUGCUGCUAAACAUACCUAGAAAGCCUCUAGCUGCGUUGGUCGCCAACAAUCUCUCUGUAUCAGCAGCAGUUGGCUGCCUCAAGUACUCAGGGCCAAACACUACCACCACCACCUGGCAGAACUUGUGCAGUGACAUCAGACAUGUGGUCUCACUCAUACGCACAUACUCAUCCACCAGAUCGCCUGGAAUUCCAUAUGCAAGCAUGCGGAUGGCCGCGGUGCAUUUCUGGUAAGAGGAGAAUCCAAGCUUGCCAAGGGCAUCCGUCUUGCACUUGAAGUAUGGGUCAUGAGCAACCACUCCCUCUCGGAUACGAUUGAACCCUUGCCAUACGAAAACGACGACGGAAUUUAUCUGGCUUGAAGAGCGGGGUGUUCGCAAAGUAAUCGGCAUAGAGCAGGGCGUGGCCUCUCUCCCUGUUGCAGUUCAGGUUGGGAGCACGGCCAGGGAGUGACCACCUGUACCGAGGAAGUUGUCGUUCAAUGUGGUCGUCAACGACCAGUGCAGCCACCACAAGAUCUUCAUCAUCCGACGACCAAUCGUCCGAUGAAUAAAUGAAGUGGUGGAAGAAAAAUUCAUCUCCACUGUCCAUACCUUUGUGGGCAAAGUGUCGAACACCUUGCGGUUGUGGUGGCAAAGAGGUCGUGAUGAUCACCUCGAUGCAGCAGGGAUGGUUGGCGGCCGGCUACUGGCCGCUCUGGAGCACUCGUCGGAAGCUGUCGUGGCCGCCGUGGUACGUCGCCGGCGGCUGUAUCCCCUCUGCCACUGGUUACGACGCCGACGGCCAAAUCUCCUCCAAUCGACGGCCAAAACUACGGCGAAAGCGCGAGCGUGGUGGCAGCCAUGUCGAGACGUGGUUUGGUAUGGACAGGCGGGGGGUGCGCAGUGAGGAGGCGGCCGGAGAAUAGUGGCGGCACCGGCGGCGGGGUGGGGCGGGGAGAGGAGGUGGAGGCGUUGGAAGCGAAGGGAGUGCUAGUGUCCCCGACAGGCGGGCCAUGGGGGGGACAAGGGCGUGCGGCGAGCCUGUCCGCGCGAUGUCCGUUUCACCCCAAACUCGGCGCAAGUUUGGGUCGGGGAUGGGUCGAAAACGGACGGAAUCCGGACAUUUGUCUGUUUGGGACCACGCGUUGGGCCGCGCUAUUCGUCCGUUCUACCCCAAACGGACGCACCCGGACAGGAUGGGGUCGCGCGGUGGAGUUGGCCUAAGGAGGGACAGGGCACCCCAAGAGGGACAAGUUUUCACGAGUUGGACAAGUUAGGGUUAUACAGACAAAUCUAUAGCUCUCGAGAUAGAGCACCCUUGUAAUCGUGAUCAUCAUCAUCAAUAUCAAUGAAGCAGGAUGUAGGCUUUUACCUCCACCGUGAGGGGCCGAACCUGAGUAAAAAACCUCGCGUCUCUCGUCCCACUCAACCCCUCUCAAGCUACUACGUAGAUGCAUUGGCCUCACGACUAAGUCCUCACACUAGGACAUCUGCCGUGACAAAUCCACGACAGUUGGCGCCCACCGUGGGGCCCGCGCACGGUGGUGUUGUUCUUGGAGGGAGCUCUUCAUGGAUCGAGAAGCUCGCGAUUGUUCAGAUGAAGAAAAGAUGGUUUGGCGAUCAGAAUCAUGAUUAGCUUUGAAGUUUACAACACAAGGUUUGAAAUCAAGAGGUUAGGGUUCCGUCGUCCGCGCUGCUGGAUGUGACGAAGCGAUCUGUCGAAACCGUUUCUAUGCCAAGUCCGAGGUCAAGAAGGAGUUGAUCCGCUGCACAUAUGCGUACAAAUUGUUCCAAGGUUACGGCUGGAUCCGCCAAGUUAUGAGAAGUCCAGAUAUGACGAAGCGAUCAACGAUAAUCCUCGCCGGAGGUCUCAGGAGGAAAAUGCAAGGUGCGCUGGUCAGCGAUCACCGCACUGGAGCGCAAUGGCGGGCUGGGCAUCCACGACCUUGACAAAUUCGCACGGGCGCCGCGCUUGCACUGGCUCUGGUUCUCGUGGACGCGGCCGGACCGUCCCUGGGUCGGCUCGGGCACUCCUUGCGAGGCCUCUGACCAUGCCCUAUUCGCGGCCUGCACAGCGGUCACCAUCGGUAAUGGCGCCACAGCCUCCUUCUGGCUCUCCCCCUGGCUAGGAGGUAGGCCACUUUGCCAGGCCUUUCCGGUUGUUUUCGCACGCUCCAUCAGGAAGAACCAAUUGGUUCGUGAGGCGCUGCAUGAAGACAGGUGGGUUCUGGACCUGCGCCACGGCGAUCACGCGAGCAUCAUGCACAUGGUGCUACAUCUUGCCAGGGAGAUCCGCGCAGCCAACAUCACAAUGGAAGACGGAGUGGAGGACACGAUCAGAUAGACCAUCAGCAGCUCUGGACAGUACUCGGCGCACUCAGCUUACGUCAUCCAGUUCCCAACUGAAACAGAGGCAAUCAACUUCAGAGGAUCGAUCUGGAAAAUCUGGGCGCCAGGCAAGAUCAAGAUCUUUCUCUAGCUUCUACACUUGGACAUGCUCUAGUGCUGCGACAGGUUGCAACGUCGCGGCUGGCCCAACAGCUAUUUCUACCAGUUAUGCUUCAGAAAUCUCGAGACCUCCUCACAUCUCUUCUGGGAGUGCCCAAUUGCCAUCCGGGUCUGGGACAAAGUGGCCUCAUGGUGUGGCUGCAAUGCCCUUGCUCACUCCUGCUGGAGCUCGGGAACGACCACUGGCGAUCGCGUCCAAAGGAUGAUCGACCACACCUCCCCAAGUAACCCCCGAGGGACCAAAUCACUGCUGGCCCUUGUUUGCUGGCAGAUUUGGAUUGAGCGCAACGCAUGCACAUUCAGAGGAAAGACUGCAUGCGUGAGAAGUAUCACUGAACCUUGUAGGCGAGACAUGGAGCAAUGGAGGAUUGCUGGAGCAAAAUGCAUGGAGCACCCGUUCGGGGACGUACCGUGAGAGAUCGCGUUUGUGAACACAAAUGCCUGCGCGCAGGCCUAUAAUCUCUUUUUCACCCCAUGAUCACUUGAUCAACAUCUGUUUCCGCCUUCUCUCUGCUUAAUGAAUGAAUGCCAGCCGAAUUCAGGAAUAGAAUGGGAAAGUACCAAGCCAGGGAUUUCACCCUUGACCUUGAUUACCUUGAGAUGGAAGCUGUGGAUCUCCAGGAACUAGACGCCAUAUUUACGGAGGAGGAGAUUUGGAAUGUAAUUAAAGACCUUCCGGCUGAUCGCGCGCCGGGGCCGGACGGAUUUAUUGGCAUGUUCUACCAGAAGGCAUGGCCUAUUAUCAAGCAUGAUAUUAUGGCUGCUAUCAUGAAGCUCUAUGUCGGAGACUGCCGCGGGUUUGGCAAGUUAAACAAGGCGCUGAUCACUCUCAUUCCUAAGCGCGCGGAUGCUGAUUCUGUGGGAGAUUUUCGCCCGAUUAGCCUGACGCAUAGCUUUGCGAAACUCUUUGCCAAGGCGCUGGCUCUCAGGGUGAGGAGACGAAUGAAGGAAAUUGUCCAGGCAAAUCAGUCAGCUUUCAUCGCCGGAAGAUGCUUACAUGACAAUUAUCUCCUGGUCAGACAGAUCGCGAGGAAACUUCACGCAAGAAAAACGCCCGGAGUGUUCCUAAAGCUCGACAUUACGCGGGCGUUUGAUUCCUUAUCCUGGUCGUUUUUGUUCCAAGUGUUGAGAAAGAAAGGCUUUGGGGAGGCGUGGAUCAGGUGGGUGGCUAUUCUGCUUCAGACAGCUAGCACUAAGGUGGUGGUGAACGGAUGUCCGGGACAGAGCUUUGUUCACGCUUGCGGCCUUCGCAAGGGGACCCAGUUUCACCACUACUGUUUGUCAUCACGAUGGAAGCCCUAACGGUGAUGUUCAGGAAAGGCGCUGAGGAAGGUGUGGUCAGCAACCUCACUGGGAUCUCCCCGACUCAAAGGUUAUCAAUCUACGCGGAUGACGUUGCGUUGUUCAUCAAGCCAACGGAGAUGGACUUGAUUUUUGUCAAGCAAGCGCUAGCAAGCUUUGGGCAUGCAUCAGGUUUGGAGGUGAACUAUAGGAAAUCUAAGGCGAUUCUGAUUCGGGGCUCGGAGGAUGACCAGCGCAGAGUUGCCGCGCAUCUGCCAUGUGACUUGGGGCAGUUCCCUUGCAAGUAUUUGGGCAUUCCCUUGGCGAUCCAUCAACUGUCCAGAGCGGAUUGGCAGCCUCUCGUCGAUCAAGUGAGUUUCUUACCAUCCUGGCAACAAGGUCUUAUUCAACGGCCAGGGCGUCUUGUUCUCAUCAAAUCAGUGGUGGCGGCGAGACCCAUCCAUCAACUAAUGGUGCUUAAUGCACCUGAUUGGGUGUUUGAUGAGAUUAACGCCUGGAUGCGGUCGUUUUUUUGGGCUGGGAAGGACAAGGUUAACGGCGGGCAAUGCCUUGUGGCGUGGAACAUCAUAUGUCGCCCAACAAGGUUUGGAGGCCUCGGUGUUAAGAAUCUGAAGCUGCAAGCUAUGGCACUCCGGGUGAGAUGGGAAUGGUUGAGGCGAACGGACUUGGAUAGACCAUGGCAAGGCAUACCGUUCUUGGUCGAUGAAGAAGCGAGGCAGCUCUACAACCAACUCGUGCAAAUCACGGUGGGUGCUGGCAACAGAGUGCUCUUUUGGAAGGAUCGAUGGAUGAACGGCUUGGCGGUUGCAGACAUUGCGCCGGCCAUCUUGCCUUUGGUCCCCACCAGAGUGCAAAACAAGCGAACAGUCGGUCAGGCCAUGGUGGAUAGCACGUGGGAGAUGGAUAUCAAUGGAGAGCCACCUUUCAUGACACUUAUACAGCUCAUGCAUCUCAGAGUGGCUACUAUGGAUGCUUAUCAUGACCCUCAAGCGUCGGAUACAUUUACAUGGCCUUGGGACGCUUCGGGGCAGUACACAGCUCGGUCCGUGUAUCGAGCUCUGCAUCUUGGGCUUGCGACCUCUCCAACGUAUGAGUGUAUUUGGAGGAGUGGGGCGAUCCUCAAAUGCAAAAUCUUUGCAUGGCUAGCGGUGCAAUAUAGACUUUGGACCUCGGAUCGGCGAGCUAGGCACGGCCUGCAGGAUAGUACGGCUGCUUGCUACACAUGCUUACAAGAAGAAGACACGGUCGAUCACAUACUUCUCCAUUGCCCCUACGCUCGGGAGGUGUGGCAUCUAUGCUUCACACAAAUCAGUGUCACCGUGAGGCAACCGCAACCUGGUGAUUCACUUGAGGCAUGGUGGCUUCAAGUGAGGAGUGCAAUUGUCACAAGGGAUAGAAGAGGUUUUCACACUAUUGUCAUAUUCGUCGCUUGGUCAUUAUGGAAACAAAGAAAUGCCAGAGUAUUUGGGCGGCUGGAGCAACAGAGGAGGCCGAGCCAAUUGGUGCAUCAAAUCUUUGACGAGCUUAGAGAAUGGGACGAGGCCGGAGUCGGAAGAAUACACCGUUUUGUGAGAAGUUAGAUCUUUUUGUCCUUUAGGUGUUGAGUGGGUUCUGCUAGCAUGAUGUUCGCAUCUAUGCCUAGCCUCUUGUAAUUAUGUUUGCUCUCUUCUAUAAUAAUUUGGUACGUCAUUGGCGUACUCUCAAAAAAAAAUGCCAGCCGAUCUGGAUCUUUAAAAAAAAGGUCAGCGAUAAUCCAAACCCGGCCAAUCGCCGAAUCUCCGCAGUCAACCUGGGAUUGGUUUUGUCUUAGAAAAAAAAAGGAAAGAAGGGCCACGACCCGGAGGUUGAGGCGAAGGUGGACUUGGAAAAACGCACGACCCGGAAACGGACUGGGCCGCGGGCUCCGCCGAUCGCCUCCUGCCCUUGCGCCGAGUCGCCUGAACUGCCGUUGCCGCCUUGCGGGUGUUCUUCUGCCACGGCCGCGGCCUUGCAUCGCCGGGCGCCCGUCCGAGUCGCCUAUUGCUCUGUCUUUGCUGCCACGGCGUGCUCCACUUCUGGCAAGACACCGCAUCUUCCGUCAAAGUCGUCGACGCCUCACCGCGCUCUCUUACGUGGCCUUUCAAGCUGCCGUGGCCCCUGUCGAGCCGCCGGCCUUCACCGCCAGGGACGCGCCUAUGAGCCGCCACCUCCUUCACCGUUACCUGCCGCGUCGCUCUUCUGUCGUGGCUCACUUUGCUCCGGCCAGCGCCGGCUUGCUGCUGUCGUUGGCCACCUGCGCCGACCGCCUGCUGGCUCCGUUACGCCCGCCACCCAUCUCACUCCGUUGCAACUACAGCAACGCCGAGCCGGGCCGUCUCACUGUCAUGUGGCCAAGCCGCCGUUGCCGGAUCCUCCGUAUUCGGGCAUCACUUUUGUUCCAACCUGCGCGGGGGUUGCCCGCCCGCCUGUUCAAUCUCUCCGCGGACGCGCCCGAGGCGGAGUGCGAUGAAUUCACUGCUGCCAUGGCACUUGGGGCCUGUAGCCCUUUCUGCUUUGAGCCUACAGCUCCCGCACAUGCCGGGUUAACACUGCACUGAGCCUUCGUUUCAAGCUGCCGUGGUGGCCGCUCCGUGAUUCUGCUACGCUCAAGUUGGCCCAGCCAACCGGCCUCGCCGUCCGCCUCUCAGCCGCUGCCGAGCCCUGCUACGAGCCGCCGUGUCGCGUUGUGCCGCCACGAAUCGCGAGCCGCCUCGGCUUUGACCCCGCGGCACUCGCUCCUCUGCUGAAGCUUCAGCUCACGUUGAGCUGCCGAGGCUUGGCCGCUGGGUCGCCACGCCCGCUCCCCCUGCAAGACCGGUGCUGGCUCCUUGCACUGCCACAUUCCGCUGCGAUCGGCUCUCCGAGUCUCCAACCCGCCCUCACCAUGAGCCGCCUCCGCUACGGUGGGUCAACGUCGAGCCGCUGCCGAAGCCUCGCCGACCUCUGUCAUAGCCAGCUGGUCCGCCUCCACCGUGGCCUUGCUUCGAGCUGUUUUUGUCUCAAGUCGUCGUCACUGCCGCCGCCGGCGGUUGCGACCAUGGCUAUGGCCUUGCCUCAAGUCGUCGUCUUCUACUGCUGAGCCGCCUCUGCCCGCAAGCUUCUGCUCUUCCGCGCCCUGCGUUGCAUCGUACCUGGCCAGCCUUACCUCCUCUGCCGUGGCACGGCCUCGAGCCGCCUGCUAGCCUCUAGCGCCACGGCGCAGCAGACACCGCCCCUGCAAGCGUGCCCGGUCGUCGUUUAUGGCAGAUGCACGGAUGGAAGGGUGUGUUAGUAUGGAUCCGGCUUGCCUACUCCCUCCCCAUACUCCCAUCCAUGCUCCCACUUCAUCAUACGGCUGUCUUUUUCCCUUUUUCUUUCUAAUCUAAUCAUUCCCUUGAUUUAAAGGGGGUGGGCCGGGCCUUAUUUUCUUCCAAUCAAAUCAAGCCACGUACGCAGGAGCAUGGAUGGGCGCACACGCGGGGAGCAGGCAAGUCUCAUCCAGUAUGGAUCCGGCUUGCCUGCUCCCUCCCCAUACAAUGCAAGACAGCCCUUUGGCUAGUACUGAGAAAAAUCCAUCUUUGGAGGAGGGCAAAAGCUCCGUCAGAAUUACAUCAGGGUUUUUUGAAGACAAAUUACAAGGCCUAGCUCCUGGUGGUGAAACCUGCGUUGCUGAUGUGGGAUGCUAGGCACUGCCAUGUCCACUUUCUCACAAGAAGACGGAGGCAAAAGCAACUAGUACUGUACAAUACAGCCCACGAUCAUACGGUGAGGGAGUUCUACUAGUAGUAGUAGUAGCCCAUCAAGAUUAAAAUACUGGCACAUGCACAGUGCCGUUGGACCCAAUUAAAUUCUAGCCUGGGCACAAGGAUCAUCUGUCCGAUAAAUCAGGUGAUAUCCAUCUAAGUCUAUUUUAUUAGCACAUACUGUUUUUUCAAAAACAAUUACUCUGGUCCGCAAUAUAUUUUGUGCAGGACAAUGAUUCAUUAUAAAGGUGGUGCCAUGCUGUGCCUAUGGAGUAUGCGCUAGCAUCAUCAUGCACCGACGUCCGCAUCCGCUUGUUGUUGAACAGGUGUGCGCAAGCCGCCGACUGUGCAGCUCGAUUUACAUCAACGCGGCGUGACUGACUCGCCCGUCCACGCGGCUUAUCACGCCUGCGAUUGACUCACCUGUCCGCACCGGUUUAAAACGUUGUGGCUGAUUCACCCGAGAUUGAUCUCAGCUUCACUGAAGUGAUUAUUAAACUCCACAGUGGAUAAUUUUUUCGGCCUAACAUAUCAGGUGAAAUCCAUCCAGUAUAUUUUUAUAUUACUCUGGUUUGCAAAUUCUUUAAUGCAGGACAAAUUGUCUACUGCAAAAGUGGUCGUCAUGUCACUGAGUUUGUUGAAUGACUCAUACUGGGAGUAUAUAACAAGCAUUGCGAGGAUCAUCAACUCGUUUCAAGCUUGUGGUUUACAUAAAUUCCAGCGUUCCGCUGCUCAACUGACCGGUUUACAUCACGGUCAAGUAUGAAGAAUCUCAAGCCAACUCCUCGAGUCGUCUUAAGACUUGGGGGCUAUAAUGACAUGACUCAGUCAAUUCACGACCCCGGGUCAUUGGAGGGAAAAUAACCCGGUCCCGGAGGCUGCUGCCAUAUUGAUGAAAAUUUAAAGGUCGUCAGAAAAUUUCCGGCUUAAAAUGAAGGAUACCGGUUUAAAAUCCGGCUCAAGGGAAAUUUGUCUCUCACAAAGCUUUGAAGCUCUCAAUAUACGGUUUAAAAUUCUGGUUAAAAAGAGUCCAUCUCUCGCAAGUUCGAGUUCUCAGGAAAAAUUAAAGGUUGACAAAGAGAACUUGCUGCCAUGAUGCACGGUUCAAACAUAGGUAUCCUGCCUUAUGGGCUUAUCUUAUUAUGAUCACUUGGGGGCUUCCUGCUCACUGAGCAUAGCUGUGAUUACCCUCUUGAUCCGGUUUGCACGCCUUGUUAAAAAUUACUUGGGAGCUUCCUGCUCAUUGAGCAUAGCUAUGACUACCCUACUGAUCCGGCUUGUACGCCUUGAUUGCAAAUAACUUGGGGGUUUCUGCCCAAGUUGAAUUGUUACCAAAGCGGACUUGCUAUAAUGUUCAGUUCAAACAUAGGUAACUUGCCUUGAUGGCUUGUUAAAGGUCACUUGGGGGCUUCCUGUUCAAUGAACAUAGUUAUAUUCACCCUUUUGACCGGCUUGGACGCCAGGUGUAUACACCAAAAUUUCAGUUGAUCGUGCCUUGUACGUCUGCCACUCCACCCAGGUAAUCCUGGAAUGACCCGCCGAACUCUUGACAGACAAUCUUAUUAAAACCCUGAACUUGUCAAAGUUAAAACGGCGGUUGGUCAUGUGAGGCCCGGCUUACAGGUUUGAAUGAAGGAUUACUUAGUGGCCGUGCAGCCCAUGAAAAGCACUUGAUAUUGAGGCUUGGCCACCUAUGAAAGCCUUGAUUUUUGUUAUUGGUUUUUGAACUUUGUUUGGGUUCAUAUCUUUAUAUACCAUAUUGAUAUAUGGUUUAAAAAUUGAUUCAGGCCAUAUAGCCUUGAUUCUUAUAACUCAUAUUUGAGUAUAUCCAGAGUGUUGAUAACCGGGCCUGGCUAUGGACUUUAAGUCGCCAGUAUACUUUGGAUUGCGCAAUUGGGAUUAUGCGCUUAUGAAUACUUGGGUUGUCACCCUCACUGGAUGUGGCGAUGUAAGCCGGCAAUUUGAGCCAAUUUUCCAGGUAUAUUUUUAAAUUGUUGGAUGAAUAUGCAAGGUUUGAUAACCCGCCCUGGCUUUGGAUGCUAAGUCGCCAGUAUAUUUUGGAUUGCGCCAUUGGAAUCAUGCGCUUAUAAAUCAUUAGAUUAUUACCCUCGCUGGGUAUGGUAAUAUAAGCCAGCAGUAUAGAUCAAUCCUACAGGUAUGUUUUCCUGGUUAUAUGAAUAUGCGAGGUUUGAUAACCCGCCCUGGCUUUUGACUUUAAAUCGCUGGUACAUUUUUGGCUUAGAUGGCCUUAAUUUUAGUCUUUUCCAUAAUUGCAUAAGACUAUAUUAUGUUUAGGUUGUUGCCCACCCUGGUUUUUGACGUUAAGUCGCCAGGGCAUAUGUUGUUUAAACUUUGUGUAGGAUAUGCGAAGCUUUACACAUAAAUAAGAAUACUGCUAUUGCUCAUAUGAAUCAUUGCGUUUAAACCCAUCAUCUGGCCAUCUGAGGAUAUUGCCGGGUUAGUCUGCUCCGGGCUAUAUUGCUAAAUAUUGAGUUUACUGAGGCUACAAGACGCCAAAGUGAUCUUUUCAAAAACUGGACAUGACUAUGAGCCGCCAUGGAUGGGUUAUCAGUUAUUGAUUUUUACAAAGGCUAUAAGCCGCCGGGUUACAAAAAUCCUGGAUUACAAUGGAUGCGUAUUAAGUCGCCAUCGCCAAGAGCCACCGGGUAUUUAAACUCCGGAUUUACUUGUCAACAGAUAAGGUAUUCAAAUCUUUAAUAGCCAAACUUGGCUGGAUUUUCAUUGUAAUAUUGAAUGAUUGAGGUUUUCAUACCGGAUUAUAUUAUUCAAAUAUUGAAUAACCAACAUGGCUGGAUUUUUAUUAUGGUUAUCAAUAACCAGUAUUAUGAUUGACGUUUUCAAAGUCUCUUCAGUGCAAUGGUUAUUAUUUCUUUAUCAAUAGAUAUGAUUUAUUCUACAAUGGAAGGAAUAGUCCCGAGUCACUGCAGGCACACGACCCGGCACUUGGGGGCUACAUUAUUCAAAUCAUGAUUAUAUCAAAUAUGGAAGUCCCACGUCGCUGCAAGCAUGCACCAUGACACUUGGGGGCUAAUGCAAGGUCAUUUUUAACUUCCCUUAUUGAAGACCCGACCCGUCACAUUGUGAUGAGCCGGCCCUUGGGGGCUACUAAUUGCUCCUGUCAAAGGUAACCCGAACUUGGGAACUACAUCAUUUGGUGUUAUUAGUUACUGCUCAAAUCUACAUGAUCAUAUCUACAAAGUCCCUGCUCAUUAUUGCAUAAUGACCCGGCCCUUGGGGGCUACACUGGUUGAAGUUUUUAUGAGCAUAAGGCAAUUACAAGUCCGAGGUUGCUGCAAGCAUGACAACCUAGCACUUGGGGGCUGCAUAUGUGGAAUAUUCAGUUUAUGACUAGUGACUGAGAUGAACAACCCGGAUUUCUUCAAGGUUGUGACAUUUAUAUUGAAGCAAGUCUUAAGUUGUUACUACGCUCCCUUCUAAAGACUUGGAGGCUACAAGUGAUAUGCAUAUAAGGGAGGUACAUUUUCAAGCUUGACGUUAGCAACAAUUAUGACCCGGUGCCAUCAAUAUUUACAAACCGGCAAUUUUGGCAAUGAUAAACCGGCAAGUUCUACAUCUUCAAGCCGGCUGAAAAUCAGAUGAGUAUUUCAAGACCAAUAUUUUUGUUAAGCAUUCGGAGCUGAAUCAAAUGAAUUAUUCUUCACAAUAUUUUUCUGUGAGAAACCAACAUCAGCAAAUUGAUUAUGAAGCUGGUCUAUUGACCCGGACUUUCCAGAAGAAGGAAAUGACAAGGACUUAAGGAUGAUCAGGUGCCGGUUCAGAAAAAACUUUUAACCCGGAGCACAACCUGUCAAAUAUGUUCUUGUGUUUGUGUUUGCGGGAUGAGUUUAACAUGGAUAAAUCCAAAUUAAACUGGGGGCUAAUGUCGGGGAUAUACCCCGCGGUAUAACCCGGCUGGAUGUAUGACCCGGCCGGAGCUUGGUGACUCACUGGUGACCCGCCCGGAGCUUGGCGACUCACGGGUAACCCGCCCGAGCUUUGUGACUCAUUGGUAACCCGGCGGGCGGGUCAGACGGACGACAAGACCCAAUGGCCCAUAAGGCGGCUCAUGGGAAGGCCAACUCAUGUUAUUGUGGGCCGGCUUAAGAGGAGAGGAUAGGGAGUAUCCCCUUACAAAGGAAGCAAUACUAGGAUUCUACUUGUAAUAGAGUAGUCCUAGUCCUACUAGGACUCCACAUGUAACCCAUCCCUCCAACUUAUAUAAGGAGGGACAUGGCACCCCAAGAGGGACAAGUUUUCACGAGUUGGACAAGUUAGGGUUAGACAGACAAGUAUAUAGCUCCCGAGAUAGAGCACCCUUGUAAUCGUGAUCAUCAUCAUCAAUAUCAAUGAAGCAGGAUGUAGGCUUUUACCUCCACCGUGAGGGGCCAAACCUGGGUAAAAAUCCUCGCGUCUCUCAUCCCACUCAACCCCUCUCAAGCUACUACAUAGAAAACGUUGGCCUCAUGACUAAGUCCUCACACUAGGACAUCUGCCGUGACAAAUCCACGAUAGUAACCCAUGGCUGCCACCUUUACCUUGGUCGGGACCGUUUGUGUCUUUUGGCUCACGUAUAUGAUUAUGUUGCUAACAUCCACAUGAUAGAGAACCCGGGUCGACAUGACUUGUCAUAAACCAAGGAGGCACAAACUUACAGGGACAACCAUAGGUAACCCAACAAUGCACAUGUUAGUCAGCAACGAGUGUAACCAAGUCGUAGCAAAACCACAAGGACUUUAGUAAACACCGUGUGACAUUUCCCCAUAGGGACAUACCCAGGAGCAAAGAAGGAUACAUGCCAGUCAAUCCAUGUGUUCCGGAGCAGUAGCGAACUACUAAGGCUCAGUGGAAGCACUGGGAGGUAUUUCCCUAUAGGGAAGGCUACCAAACGCAAAUAACUAGGUGUCGAAUCCCACACAUACCAAUGCAUUUCAAAACAUACACACAAUAUGCACGAUAUGUGUAGAUACAACAUGGCAUCACAACAUAACUCUACGACUCAAAGUAUUUAUUUAAUAGGCUCCGAGGAGCCAUACAUAGCAUGAUAUUACAAACAUGGGUCUCAUGACCGGACAUACAAAAGCAUACAAGCAACAGAAGCAUAAAGAUGUCUGAGUACAGACAACUACAAAAGAAAAAGGUUGAGAAGCCUGACUAUAUACAAGACCCUCCAUAGGAACCAGACCUCUAUCUGGGAUUCUCAAGCUACUCAAUCAACGUCGAACUCCAUAUGGAACUACCAGUAGACUGAAGUCUCCUCUACAAAACAUAAAUUAAGUGACCAUGAGUACAAAGGUACUCAAUAAGACUUACAUCGAUACAUACACUAGGCAGCAAAGGUCGCCACCAGUGCAUACAAACGCGCCAACAAAAGAAUAUACAAAACCAAGAGCACUUCAACACAGUUCAAGAAACGUUAGCCCUGCCCCGGAGGUGCACCACAAGCAACAGAACAAGCUGAUGAGACCUCAGUUGUCUAAACCACAUAUCCUCCAGCUCUAGCCGUGUAUCAAGAAAGCACGCAUGACUGUCCUCUGUGAUCUUCGUUAGAGAAUGGACUACAAGUCGGACCUCAGUUGAAGCAAGUCUUUCCGCUUUAAGUUGAGACAGGCGACAACUUCACCGAGGUUGUAUCACGGCUGCCGGUGAGUAGCUUGAACUCACUGUCUUCAUCAAGACAUGACCUUGGGGUCAUCUUGCUCUCUUCGAGAUGGUUUGGCUCACUAUCUUCACUAAAGUUCUGCCUGGCAUCAGAGAUAUGACUCUGAAAGAGAAAGAAGGAGAUAGAUAACAGGUUCCUCAAAUAUAUAAGCAACGAUGGCCAGUGUGCUGACAAUUCCAGCCCAUUUUUAUAUUGGCAAAUUCAAAGAUAUAAUUUAAAAUAGCAUUAACAUAAUAUGGCAUUGUCCGUAUCAUCAGCAAAAUCAGUUAAGACAAAGCAGGAAAUGAGAUGAUGCGGGCGUGGAAAGCUACACCACACCACCGUGUUAGAGAUAUAGAACACAUGCAUACAUGCAGGGCUAAAGAAAAUCAAUGGAUCUGUACUGAUUAAUGUGGAUGGUAUGAAUAAGGAACAUGUUUUUACAGCUACAGUUUGAAACUGGCAGUUGUUGCAAACAUCCAAUCUGAUGCAAACACCAAAGUAAACAGUAGUGGAGGAAAUGAUGUCUAUUUUUCAAAUCUAUACUAGAACAAAGUUUGAAGUCUUGAGAAUGAUGGACUUACAUUAAAUGUUAACACAGGCUCGACAAAGCCCUUCUCCAUGUCGAUGGAAGGAUAAUUCAAGUAAUUCCCCAAAGAAACUCCUUCACAAGUGUUGCUUUUAUUCUACAUUUUGUAAAGAGUAAAUAUAGAUCUAAUAAUAUUGGAAGAAAUAAAGGAUAAUGAAGCUCAUAUGCAGAGUGAUGAUACGCAAUCAAAUAGCUAUCAAUUAAAUACAACGUUACAAGGCAAAAGGUGCAAGAGGAAUGCAGACCUCAACUUGUGCAGUGGCACUGAUUUUAUUCAACAUUUUAGGAAGAGUAAAUGUAGAUCUGAUAAUUUGGAGAAAAUGGAGGAUAGGGCAGAUAAGAUGAACUAUCUCUCAAUGUAGUACAGUAAUAUUACCUUCGUCCGGAAUUACUUGUCGCUCAAAUGGAUGUAUCUAACACUAUUUUAGUUCUAAGUACAUCCAAUUGAGCAACAAUUAAUUCGAUAUGGACGGAGUGCAUGACAACAUGUACUUACAAGAGCAAUCCAGAACUUCAUAACCGUUGGGUUUAUUCUACAUUUAUGUAAGAUUAAAAUAUAGAUCUUAUAAUUUCGAGCAAACGGUGAAUAAGGAAGCGAACAUUUACAUUGAUACUACAUGAUCAAACAAAAAUGAGUGUAAGUGUAACGCCCCAAGACCGACGCUCCAGAUGCCUUCCUUGUUUUGCGAGUCAGUUGUGUUUUUUAUUUGUUUAUUGCAUCUCAUCAUGGCAUCAUGUGCAUUGCAUCAGCAUGUUUUCUUAAAACUUGCAUCCGCUCAUAGUUGCCGUGUCCCCCCUUGCUUUCAUUGACCGUUCUGAGACCAACCUUGUUAUUCGUUUGCCCUCCUGCCUAAACCGGAGUCUCUCUGUGCAGUGCACAAACCCCCUUGUGUGCGCGUCCGAAGCUGUCCCGAACCCAAACCGCUCAGUCAUGACCAUUGGGUCCGGAUCAUCCCCAAACAUCUAUAAAACAUCUCCGUUCUCUUAAUUGGACUUCCUAACCUAUAUUUUCUCAGCCAUCCGAUUACGAUCGGAGGGAUCCGAUAGCCCCUUACCUAACCCACUUACUAUAACCAGAUAAACUCUAGACCCUAGGCAGACAAACUCCCUCCAAUCCCGAGUGCGCCGCCGCCACUCUCUCCCUUGGGAUCCUCCCAGAUCCCCUCCUCACCAACCCACGCACAGCCAGCCACCUCAACAGAUCCACCAACCAUCCACCCAUCUGGAGCCGUCAGAUCGACAUCCAAUGGCUCCCGUGCUCCAGUUCGUCUGAUCCAGAAGCCCCGAUCCAGCCUCCCAGAACAGCCGCUCUCGAUCCAGCCUCGUGGAGCGCUCCUGAGGUCCGAGCUCCUCCAACCUCGCAACCCCGCUGCCCCGGCGAACCUCGCCGCCGGCAACCACCACCAACAGAUAAGCCCUGCGCCGCCCCUUCCUUUCCUGCUUCUCUCUUCUCCCUCUCACAUCUCUGUCUCGUUUUCUUUUUUCGUCAGAGAACCAUCAGCCGUAGCCGUCCCUGUCGCCCGAGCUCCUCCUUGCACAGCGCGCGCCCGCACGACCCCGUCGCUGGCGACCCGUCUCAGGCCAGAUCCACGUCACCUGCCUUGGGAACUGCUUCCAGCCGCGCCAUCGCCCGUCUUCUUCGUCCAUGGCGAGUACUGUUGCUGUCCUGCUCGCCCGCGCCAAGUCCAUCUUCAAAUCAAGCUGCCGCCCUCCGCCUCACCAAGUCUCGCGCCAAGCCUCCACGUCGCCGGAGCCCUGUGCAGUUGCGCCACUGCCUGCCUGCACCUCCUCUGCUCCGAGGCGCUCGCCAAGUCCCUCGCCUCGCGCCAAGUUUCUGUCGCCGGCGCUGCUUCUACAUCGUCCGCAUGCAUUGACCGCGUCGGCGCCAUGUCAGCCUGUGGGCCCCACCUCCUACCGUGUUCGCAGCCUGCCUCCUCUCCAGCGUCGCACCCAAGUCCCACGUCGCCGGCAGCCGUUCCCGCCGUCCGUCGUCCUCUUCUCGGGAUCGAGCUCUUCUUCCUCUGCAACGAGCAAAGCGCAGCUGCUCGCCCCGUUGACCGCGCCUCGCUCAAGCGCGCGCCUGGGCUGCCUCCCCUCCAGCGCCCCAAGGCCCAGCCUGCUCCAGCUCCUCACCGGUCCAACUCCAGAUCCGGCCUCUGGCCCGAUGUGAGCAGCUCCCCCCCCCCCGCGCGCCCUGGGCCAGAUCUCAGAUCCGGCCCGUAGAUGUUUUUUUACCUGGACGCAUUGCUAUUUAUCCAGGAGUUUGCUAUUUUACAAAAAAGUCCCUAGUCUUCAUGCAUAUAAUAACUCAUUAACCGUGCAUCGGAUUAAAAUACUUCAUAUAUGAAAAAUGCUUAGAAUUUCAUCUAGUUUCAUAUUAUGCAACUUUUGUCCAUGUUUAAAAUGUUUAAAUUACUGUUUGCAUUAAUUUGCUUAAAUGCCAUGUUAAAAUGAUUUAUUUCAUAACUAAAUAACAGUAGCUCCUUUUUAAAUAAACUUUAUAUGUAAAUGGGGUAGGAAAAUGCAUAGAUUAACAUGUUACACUUUAUUUUCCUGUUUAACAACAAUAAAAUAUGGUGUUAGGCAGAACAGUACCAAUUCCAAAAUAUGCAUAUGAGGAUUUUCCGGAAUUGUUAUUUGUUGUUCCGGCCUCAUUUAAACUUGCCUACAUAGUUAGUUUACUUAUGCUUCACCUCUUGUCAUGUUAAUCAACAUUUAAUAUUGUUGAGUACAUAAACGGGAGAGAACUAAAUAAGUCAUGUGGUGUUUCGUCAAUAUGCAACUCGUUACAUAUAAGCUCCACUUAACUUGUAGUGUUGUUUGUUGCACUUUGCCAUGCCAUGCCUCUUUAAACCGGACAUGCACCAUACUUGAUUGUGCAUCAUGCCAUGUUUAUGUGAUGGUUGUUUACCAUGUUGUUUGCUUCUUCGGGUUAGUUCCAAUACCGUCGCGUUUGUGAGGAUUCGUUCGACUUCGUCCGUUUGUCUUCUUCAUGGACUCGUUCUUCUCCCUUGCGGGAUCUCAGGCAAGAUGACCAUACCCUUGAAAUCACUUCUAUCUUUGCUUACUAGUUGUUCGCUCUAUUUCUAUGCCGCGCUACCUACCACUUGCUAUAUCAUGCCUCCCAUAUUGCCAUGUCAAGCCUCUAACCCACCUUUCCUAGCAAACCGUUGUUUGGCUAUGUUACCGCUUUUGCUCAGCCCCUCUUAUAGCGUUGCUAGUUGCAGGUGAAGAUGAAGUUUGUUCCAUGUUGGAACAUGGAUAUGUUGGGAUAUCACAAUAUCUCUUAUUUUAAUUAAUGCAUCUAUAUACUUGGUAAAGGGUGGAAGGCUCGGCCUUAUGCCUGGUGUUUUGUUCCACUCUUGCCGCCCUAGUUUCCGUCAUACCGGUGUUAUGUUCCUUGAUUUUGCGUUCCUUACGCGGUUGGGUGUUAUGGGAACCCCUUGACAGUUCGCUUUGAAUAAAACUCCUCCAGCAAGGCCCAACCUUGGUUUUACAUUUGCCUAACAGCCUAUUACCCUUCCCUUGGGUCGGCCAACCCAAGGGUCAUCUUUAUUUUAACCCCCCAGGCCAAUGCUUCUCUAAGUGUUGGUCCGAAACGAGCAGACUGUGGGGCCACCUCGGGGAAACUUGAGGGCUGGUUUUACUCGUAGGAUGUCUCAUCCGGUGUUGCCCUGAGAACGAGAUAUGUGCAGCUCCUAUCGGGAUUGUCGGCACAUCGGGCGGCUUUGCUGGUCUUGUUUUACCAUUGUCGAAAAGUCUUGUAACCGGGAUUCCGAGACUGAUCGGGUCUUCCCGGGAGAAGGAAUAUCCUUCGUUGACCGUGAGAGCUUGUGAUGGGCUAAGUUGGGACACCCCUGCAGGGUAUAAACUUUCGAGAGCCGUGCCCGCGGUUAUGUGGCAGAUGGGAAUUUGUUAAUGUCCGGUUGUAGAGAACUUGACACUUGACUUAAUUAAAAUACAUCAACCGCGUGUGUAGCCGUAAUGGUCUCUUUUCGGCGGAGUCCGGGAAGUGAACACAGUUCGGGUUAUGUAUGAACGUAAGUAGCUUCAGGAUCACUUCUUGAUCACUUCUAGCUUCUCGACCGUUGCGUUUCUUCUCUUCUCGCUCUUAUUUGCGUAUGUUAGCCACCAUAUUUGCUUAGUGUUUGCUGCAGCUCCACCUCAUUACCCCUUUCCUGCCCAUAAGCUUAAAUAGUCUUGAUCUCGCGGGUGUGAGAUUGCUGAGUCCUCGUGACUCACAGAUUCUACCAAAACAGUUGCAGGUGCCGUUGAUACCAGUGCAGGUGACGCAACCGAACUCAAGUGGGGAGUUUGACGAGGACCUUGGUCGUUACUAUGUUUCGUUUCCUAAUGAUCAAUAGUGGAGCCCAGUUGGGACGAUCGGGGAUCUAGCAUUUGGGGUUAUCUUCUUUUCAUUUGGAUUUGACCGUAGUCGGUCUAUGUGUGUAUUUUGAAUGAUGUAUGAUUUACUUAAGUAUUGUGUGAAGUGGCGAUUGUAAGCCAACCCUCUUUAUCCCAUUCUUGUUCAUUACAUGGGAUUGUGUGAAGAUGACCCUUCUUGCGACAAAAACCUACAAUGCGGUUAUGCCUCUAAGUCGUGCCUCGACACGUGAGAGAUAUAGCCGCACCGUGGGUGUUACAGUAAGUCUGGUGAUAAAUAACAAGAGGUACUGACAAGAGCAAUGCAGUGCCCAGUAUUGUUGUGAGAUCCUAUGAUCCCUUGAGAAUGGAUAUUCAUCUGCAAGUAGUUUUCAUACAAGAGAGAUGGUAAGGCACAUGCAAAAAUGUAGGAGUUCAAAUUUUGAUUUGAUAUCAUAGACAGUACCUGAUGCUAGGCUCUCUGCAGUUCUAAUAGGGCUUUGGCCAGUGGAGUAGGGGUAAAGUGUGCUACAGUUGGGGCCAUGUUUUCUGGGGCUGGUGAUCUAUCUGAUUUAUCAGGUAUCACUGCCUUUUCCAAAUACUUUGUUUGUACUCCUUCAGGAUCUGCACUCACCCUGUUCCUUUUGGACAUCUAUUACGAAAGAACAACACUUGACUGGAAAAACAUGGUAUGAUGACACAUGGAAUAGGUACAUAAAAUGGAUAGGCAUGUCAUAUUCUCAUAUAUGAUGUGUCAACUAAUCAGAUGGUGGUGUAACAAAGUAGAAGUAAUGAAAGACAUCAUAUGCAAGAUACGUGCGACUAAUAUAACCUUGCCAAGUUAGAGCAAGCACCUUGAUGGGUGAAUAAGAUAGGCCAUCCUCCAUCAUGCCAAGUUUGCUAGCUAGUAGAUUGUUCCGCAAUAUUCCUCCCGUGCACCAAUUAUCAUAUUCAUUAUGAUCAUGUUCAAUACCUACAUGCAUGAAAACAUAAAAAUAAGUGAGUAUCUUUGUGAUGCUUAGGGGACUCUAAUCCAAUAGUGCCUCCCUGUAAACCCCUAUGUGCUAUCUGUGUGCAAUUCUUCCGAGAGAUGCCAUGUGUGCUGUAAUUUGGUGUGUGCAUUAAUAUAAUGUGGCCUACUAAUCAAAAUAGAGGCUCCCUGUUGAGAGCUCCAGAAGUAAUGAUACUUCGCAGAUAAUGGAUCGCCUUGUCUUAAACCUCUCAUAGGCUUGAAACUUUCAGUUUCUUCAUCAUUAAUUCAAACCCUAUAAUCAAUAGUGAAGACGCAUUUCAUCAUAAGAUCUAUCCAUCCUUCCUGAAAACCAAGUUUUAACACAAUUCCCUUCAAGAAAUGCCAUUCAACUCGGUCAUAAGCUCUGUGCAUAUCAAGCUUGAUCGCGCAUAAACCCUCUUUUCCUUCCCUCUUAUUUCUAAUAGUAUAAAAGCUCUCGUAGGCCACUAAAACAUUGUCCAUAAUCAUUCUCCCGGGCACAAAAGCACUUUGGGUGGGACUAAUAAUAUGAGGCAACAAAACUUUCAAUCGCGCUACCAAUAUUUUGGAGACAACUUUAUAAACCACAUUGCAAAGACUGAUAGGUCUAAACUAGGUUACCUUCUCUCUGGUGAAUUGAUCCUAGGGAUCAACACAAUCGUAGUGUCAUUCCAUCCGGAUGGAAUUGUGCAGGUAUUCACCGCUUGCAAGACCUCAUCAACCAAAUCAUCCCGUAGCAUGGGCCAAAAUAUUUUAUAAAAAAUAGCAUGAAGUCCAUAUGUCCCUGGAGCCUUUAAUUCUCCAAUAUAAAAAAGAGCCUUACGAACAUCAUGAAAAGUAUAAGGGCCAAGCAAAACAUUAUUCAUGUCUACAAUCGCUCUACUCUGGACAAGGGACAAGACUUGCUGGUUUAGGUUUAGAACAUCCGAGGUAAAAGCACUGGAGAAGUAACUCAUAAUAUGUUCCUUCAGAUCAUCAUCCAGAAGUUUCUUAAUGUUGUUCCUUUUUUUCCUGGUAGUUGCAGCAUUAUGAAAAAGCGAUGUAUUGCGAUCCCCAUCUAACAACCAGUUUGCUCGGCCUCUCUAUAACCAGAAAAUUUCUUGUUGAUCCAAAAGAUUUUCCAUGAGUACUAAAAUUUCCUUCUCCCUCGAACGUGAUUCCCCAUUGAUAGGAACAUGCUUCAACCUCUCUAAUUCCCCAUUGAUAGGAACACGCUUCAACCUCUCUAACUAUUUUUAAACUUAUUUAUUCUCCUUUUUCGUCCCUUCAAAGUUACUCGGUCCCAAGCAUGUAAAUCCUCAUGCACUGUUCUAGUCCGUGCAGAGAGUUGAAAAAAGCUUCAUUUGGAUUGGUGCAUUGAGUACCUGUACCAGUACCCACCCCCAAACUAAAUGGUCCCACGUCGCCCCCGUACCAUUGCGGCUCCGGCCGUGUUGACCAUCCGUUAGUAAGACGACUUCACCAAGAAAGGUGCUUGGCUUGGUGAGAUUCAAUGCCAUAACUGGACGUCAGACGCUCAAGAGACACUUUACAUUGAUAGCCCAAAAGGUUUUCGAACCUAUCGAGUCUUGUAAUUUCAUGGUGCUUUCUUCAAGAAAGUUCCCAAGCGAAAUCCUGGACGGGGUGCAUGCGCACUCCUAGGUCCCAAAUGUUAAAAAUGUUAAUGUGCUUGCCAUUUCCACUCGUCGCACAUGCCUUUUAUCAUUGCACUUACUUCAAGCAUAAUAUUUUGCCGACUAGAGGAGGAGCCCUAAUUUCGUGUUUGUCUUUAUCCCAAGACCCUGUCUUUUUCUACCAUUUUUUCUUAGUGAAUGUCAUUUCUUCUCUUCUUUUAGAACAAAAUGUUAUUUCAUCUCAAAAACGCAGAAUGGUGGCCUUUUCACCUUGACCUCCUUUUCCCCGACUUAUGUGGGGAAUAGAGAGGAAACACGGAGCGCCUUUCCUUCGCACUAGUUUUGGGUCGGCCCAUAUGAGGGGCGAGGCUCCCCUAUUUUUUGUGUUUUCUUCUCUGUUUUCUUUGCUUCUUAAAAAAAAUCAGGAUUUCAACUUUUUCCAAAACUCAUAUUUUUUUUCACAACAUUUCAAAAAAUAUGAAUUUGAAAAAAAUCUUUGUAGAUUUUAAAAAUAUCCCAUAUUUCAAAAAAUCUUUAUGAUUUGAAAAAAUGUUUGGAAAUUUUCAAAAUUCCCAAAUUUCAAAAGCUAUUCAUGAAUUAAAAAAAUUCCGAAUUAAAAAAAUGCUCACAACCUUGUGUAAUGUUCCUGGAUUUAAAUAAUUGUUCAUGAUUUUGAAAACAUGUUCAUGUAUUUCAAUAAGUGUUCAUGAUUUUUCUUUAAUGUUCUGAAUCAAAUAAAUUCAGAAUUGUUUCCAGAUUUCGAAGAUUGUUUGCGAAUACAUAAAAAUAUUCAUGAUUUCUUUAGAAUUUAAAAAAUUGUCACAACUUUAAAAAUUGUUCAUAUAUUUAAAAAAUAUAAAAUAUAAAUAUAAAACCAAAAACCAAAAAUGAAAAAUCGAGAUAAAACUGACAAGGAAAAACAGAGAGAAAAAGGAAAACCUGCCCAAAACCAGAUGGGGAGUCUUCAUAAAAAUACAAGCAGUUCUACUUCACCCUAUGUGACACCAAGCAAAUAAGUGGGAGAGGAGCUAUGCGUUUGGUUGCUAUCCGCCGCCCUACGCGAGAUAUAGGAAUCAUCGUUUUCACAAGCUUCCCUGUUGGACUAGGACACAUGUGUGAGCCGCAGUUGUUAAAACGCUGGUUUUGAAGGCCCACACUAGCCCAGUCCACGUUGCAACGCGGCGUGAUCAUGGAUCUAAAUGGGCAUUACCUGAAGGACCAAAAUAUAAGAAAGCCCUCAAAUAAGUGGAACCCCAGAACCCUAACCAGGCUCUUUUCUAUCCUCUCACCACUCGCGCCUCUCUCGCCCUUCCCGCCGCCACCGCCGCCGCCGCCACUCCCCUCGCCGCCGCAGCAGCCGCAGCCAUGGGGCGCAUGCACAGCCGCGGGUAAUCCUCACCCCCUGCACUGCCACCGCAAUCCUGUGAAUUUUCUGGUCUAAUGGCGUCUCCGCGACUCUGUGACGCAGGAAGGGCAUCUCGUCGUCAGCGCUGCCGUACAAGAGGACUCCACCAAGCUGGGUCAAGACCGCCGUCGCCGAUGUAAGAAGAAGCCUCACCUUCUCUUCGCCCCCUCGAUUCGAUGUGAUAUGGCUGGCUGAUGCGUGCGUCGGGCUCGUGUGCAGGUGGACGAGUUAAUCACCAAGGCCGCGAAGAAGGGCCAGAUGCCGUCGCAGAUCGGCGUCCUGCUCCGUGACCAGCACGGCAUCCCCCUCGUCAAGAGCGUCACCGGGAGCAAGAUCCUCCGCAUCCUCAAGGCCCAUGGUGAGAAAUAGAUUAGAUCCCCCCUCGUCUUUCUCAGAGUGCUCUAUGUGUUGAUAGUGGAUUGAUUGUGUGAGUGUUGGUGCGCAGGGCUGGCGCCAGAGAUCCCGGAGGAUCUCUACUUUCUGAUCAAGAAGGCGGUGGCGAUAAGGAAGCACCUGGAGAGGAACAGGAAGGACAAGGACUCUAAGUUCAGGCUCAUCCUUGUGGAGAGCAGGAUCCACCGCCUCGCUCGCUACUACAAGCGCACCAAGAAGC
Molecule: long non-coding RNA, 210532 nt
Filed under: Triticum aestivum (bread wheat)
Lineage: Eukaryota; Viridiplantae; Streptophyta; Magnoliopsida; Poales; Poaceae
Description: long non-coding RNA (TAES_LNC018069)
Rfam family: tRNA (bases 31919-31987)
Source: RNAcentral